RNAcentral lists this long non-coding RNA (289534 nucleotides) under Triticum aestivum (bread wheat). Its description in RNAcentral is "long non-coding RNA (TAES_LNC008719)". The stretch from base 84178 to 84264 matches the Rfam family "MIR1120/MIR1122 microRNA precursor family". The record is from RNAcentral. Lineage: Eukaryota; Viridiplantae; Streptophyta; Magnoliopsida; Poales; Poaceae.
UCCCACACAAACAUAUGCAAAUAUAUUCCACCAACAAUAUUAGUCGGUCCUCGCUAUCAACCACAUCUAAAACCAUGUCAACGAAUGGAAACUUAAAAGUAUCCACAUGAGAAGGCUCCUUAUAUUUGUAUUAACAGAAGAGCAAAAAGAUAUAUAUGUAUGAUUUCAGUGAUCCAAAUCCGCACGGUGCAGCGGUGCGCAAGACUACCAUUUCCAAUCGGCACACAUCCUGUCUCCUUCCGCUCACUACCCUGGCUACAACUCUGGCUGCUGGUUUUCUUCAUCAGAACGCAGAGCUCAGGGCACCACGUGUUGCCUGUUGUUUCAUCUCCUGGGCUUUUCCACUUCCAGAGAAGUACAUGUACACUUGCUGCAUGUUGAGUAAGAGAGUUUGGUGAUCAAGAGAUAGGAACAACAUCAGUUGCAAUGCAAGGAUCUAUUGGCUAUGCCGAUCAGUCUAAUACAAAUUGAGCAUUUCAUCCAAUAUGUGCCAAUGCAUCUGCUCAUCAGUAAGGAGGGGCUAACACUACAGUUUUCGAAAAGGAUGAUAACCCCCGACAUCUGCAUCAAUCCAUGCACACAACCGCCUUUAUUAUUAUCCAAUAGAGUUUGAAAACAUGAAUACAUGGAUAAACCCGAAGCCACCUAUCUCGCGAACAAACUAGCGAUACCUACAAUUUGUAAUGUAUCACUACGAGCUCAAAUUCCCAUCAUAUGGACGGAAAAAGCGAGCAGGCAAUGGCUCCCGCAACCGCGCGCCCGCGGCCGGCGGCGCCGCGCUGAUCUCCUUCUUCCGGCCUCCAUUCCAUCCCCAAGACCAGAUCCGGACUGCUCUCCGCAUCCUCUCUCGGCUGCACAUAUUCUGGCCUCCGAGCUCUUGUUGUGCUGGCCCAUGGCUCUUGGAUCCGCAUUGUCGGCUCGGGCUCCAGCGGCUGCCUCGGCUGCCGCUGCCGCGCUCGCCGCGGCUGCUCUUGCCUCCCGCAAGGCCGCCCCGGGCGCUGGUGGCCGCUUGGGCCACGCUGGACGCCCUCCGAUGCCCGUUGUGGCUGCAUCUCCGGCAACACGUUCGGGGAUGCACUCCCUGCCGGGCUCCAGGCGUCCACCGGCCGGCGUCGCCGCGACGUCCUCCCUCGAAGCUGCAAGUGCAACUGGCCUGGAGGAAGGAGGGCUUGGGUCCCCGCUGCCGCCUCCGUAUGGGCGUCCCCCGUCCCCGGCUGUUGCUGACACUGUGGCAUCCGCUACUCCUGUUGGUACUAGGCCGUCACCCCCGACUGCUGCUGACGACGCACCGUCCCUGACUCCUGCCGGCGCCGCUAUGUCGUCCUCUGCUACUGUUGAAGCUGUGCCGUCCUUGGCUCCUGUCGACACCGCGUCGGGCCUGGACACAGGGCGACUUGUUCUGUGGAGCUCCCUUGCUGACGAAGAAGAAGAAGAGGAUGAUGAUGAGCUGGCCCCGCCGACGCCACCUCCGGCUACCAGUUCCUCAGUUUCGCCUGCUCGGUAGGGCGUGGAGAGUGAUGCGGCCACCACUACCCUCCACGACGCCUGUGACGGGGUGGAGGUGAUGCUUGAGGCCCCGCUCCACGGACAACCGACUCUGCUUGGUCCAUCUUUCGCGUCGGCAUGUAGCAGUCUUUCUGCUGCCGCUACCGUUCUUGAAGCUGAGGUGGGCUAGGAGCAUGUGGGCCAGGGGCACCGUUCCGAUCAGGUUGCUCCCCUCGAGCUGUCGAGGGAAGGUCUCGAGCGUAUCCUCGCUUUCAAGCGUUGGGCUCGAGGAAGUGCUUCCGUUGCCUCAAGCGUGGCCACCAAGUCAGCGCAUGUCAUGAACCAUUCAGAUGCAUUCGCUGUCGUCGCCCUGGUCAUCGGGAGAGGUUCUGUCGUGCUCUCUCUCCGGUUGGUUGUGAUCGCUCUCCGGUCGCUCGGGCUGGCUCUCCGGUUACCACUACUAGGGAAAAGCCUAUACACAGAAUCUUAGCAGCAGCGCGGCUCAAAAAGGAGCGCUGCUGCUAAUUAGUAGUAGCGCGUGUGCGGAAACUCGCUGCUGAUAAGUUUUUAGCAGUAGCGCGCUCUGUGUAAACCGCGCUGCUAUAAAUAUCGACCGGCGGUGUUCACCUAACUCCAUUUAGCAGUAGCGCGGUGGCUCGAACCGCGCUACUGCUACGGAUGUAGUAGUAGCGCGCUUUUACUGAGAUCGCUACUGCUAAAUUCCAAAUUGGCACAUUUUUUUGUCCCUGUUAGCAGUAGCGCCGUCGCCCAAAGCGCGCUGCUGCUAAUUCCUUAUCAGUAGCGCAUUUUUGCUCCCGCGCUACUACUAACCCGCACCAACCCACCACCUUUUCCCCACAGUCCCUCCCCUCCGCCUCCUCUCUUCCCUUCCCCCUACCUCCCCCACAUGCUCCCGCUCUCACUCUUCUUCUUCCUCAAUACUUCUCCCCCAUUACUCUCUCUCUCUUCUAUCCACCUUUCUCUCUCUUCAUUACUCUUACCUAACUACACCACCUCCAUUAAUGCAUCUCCUUUCUCUUUUUCCUUUCCCCUCCACUAGUUGAAGUUGUCUCCUCCUAAAUUGGGUAGCUAGGUAGAUGUAGGAUUUAGUUAAGUGACCUAUUUGCCCCCUAACUAGAUCUAUCUUUGUCAAGAAGAGCUUUGUGCACUUUUGAUCUCCCUAAAACAUCAUCUCCACUGUGUGCUCGAUCUCGAUCGAGAUAGAGGUGAUGAAAAUUUAAUGCUUUUGCAAAAUGGAAAUAUGUUUAUGUGUGUGUGAUAUGUUUGUGGAAAUUGUGUGUGUGGCAUGAGUUGACGCCAAAUUAUGCUUUUGAGUUGCCUAUGUUUUGCCAAAAUGUCGAUUUAUUUCCGUUUCGGUGAAUUUCGGGCAAACUCUAGAUCCAUAUAUGUCCUAUUUUAAGGAAGGUCAUGCCAAAUUUUUUUAUGACUUUGAUGCAUGCAUGCAUUUUUAUAAUCAAUUUGUUUAUUAUUACCGUGCAGAGUUGACGAUGGUCAGUGGAACGAUGUUGGACAGGUGGUUGCGGUCGGCGGUGCAGGACAUGAAAGAAAAUAACCGGAUAGAGGUUUUAUGUCCGUGUCGAAAAUGCAAAGGAAUAGUUUGGCUCGACCACCAUGACGAUGGUCGUGUCGAAGCGCACCUGCUCAUGAAUGGUUUCAUGGAUGGCUAUACUCGGUGGAUAACUGAAGAUGAGGAUGACGAUGUUGAGGAUGCCGACGGGGCAGGCAAUGAUGACACCGGGCAAGACGAAGAGAUGAUCGAUAAUGGCGGUGGGGAAGAGGCCGGACAUGGCGGCGGAGAAGGGGCCGGACAUGGCGGAGGAGAAGGGUCCGGACAUGGCGGCAGAGAGAACGACAUGGACUCCAUGCAGCAGAGUUCGUCGGUACUAAGUUCAACGUGCGGGACCCUCAUGUUCAAGCAUUGCUUCACAAGGAGACGAGUACUGAGAGAGUUGCUUCUAGAGAGGAGGCUAAUCUGGAGCAACUGGUGGUAGACUCAAACACUCCAUUGUAUGAUGGUUGCAAUCUUGAGGUGACCCGCUUGAGUUUCACGCUCCAACUCCUGAAGACGAAGGCUAAAAAUAAAUGGACCGACACUAGCCUCGAUGAGCAUCUCAAGUACCUAAAGGAUGUUCUUCCCGCGGGUAAUCUAUGUCCUACUAGUGUUGAUGAGGCCAAGAAGAUCGUGUGCCCUCUUGAUCUGCCACACAUUAGAUACCAUGCAUGCAUCAACGAUUGCAUAAUUUAUCGGAAGGAGCACACAGAAAAAACAAGCUGUCCGGUGUGCAAUGCUUCUGGAUACAAGAAGGCCGGGAAGAAAUGUCCCCAGAAAGUUGUAUGGUACUUACCGAUCACUCCCCGUCUCCAGAGGAAUUUUGUAGAUCCCAAGGAAGCAAAGCUAAUGCGCUGGCACGCGGAGAGGAAGAAGCCCGACGAUGGAGAUGAUCCGAAGCCGAGACACGUGAAGGAUGGAAGCCAGUGGAGAGCGUUGAACAGCUUCUAUCGGUAUUUUGAAUGUGAUGCAAGGAACAUCAUGCUCGGCGCGUGUACCGAUGGCAUGAAUCCGUUUGGCAACCAGAACACCAACCAUAGCACAUGGCCCGUGUUUGUAUGUACGUACAACCUCCCCCCUAGUUGUGCAUGAAAUCAAAGUACAUUCACAUGAGCAUGCUUAUUCAAGGGCCGAAACAACCAGGAGAUAAUAUUAAUUUGUAUCUGGGGCUACUUCAAGAGGAGUUAGACACGUUAUGGAAAACACCGGCCAAGACAUGGGAUGCCAGCAAAGGUGAGUAUUUCAACAUGAGAGCCGCGCUGAUCACGACAGUGCAGGACUAUCUCGGUUACGGAUAUGUGGCAGGCCAGGUGUGCCAUGGAUAUUGCGGAUGCACACGGUGCAUGGAUGAUACGACAUCUCAGCAGCUAACGUCAAGGAAAGAUGGCGGGUCUGGGAAAAUCGUGUACAUGGGGCAUCGAAGAUGGCUUGAACAGGACGACCCGUGGAGAAACCGUGGAGAUCUAUUCAAUGGUCACGCUAAGCAUCGAGGACCUCCACGUAAGCGGAGCGGUGCCGAAAUUGAUGAGCGUUUGAAAAACUAGAAGGAGUGCCCCGCGUCGGGAAAGACGAUGAGAAAGGCGCCAGAGCCGCUGCUGAAGGUAUGGAAGACGAGGUCUGUGUUCUGGGACUUGGAGUACUGGCACAAACUCGAUACACCUCAUUGCCUUGAUCAAAUGCAUAUUUGUAAGAAUGUCCUUGAGAGCUUGCUCGCAACACUGAUGAACAUGCCGGAUAAGACCAAGGAUGGGCCGAAGGCAAGAAAAGACUUGCAAGAUUUGAAAAUCAGGGAAGAUCUGCACAUGCCGCCCCGUAAAAUGUCAGACGAGAGAGAGACGGAGACAGAGGAACGGGAGAAGAAGGGCAAGAAAAUAAAGAAAGAGGAUUAUUGCCCCCCUUCUUGCUUCACCUUAAGUCUGGCUGAGAUCAAUGCCUUCUUUAAGUGCCUUACCGGAGUCAAAGUUAGUUCCGGUUACUGUGGCAAGAUAAGCAGAUAUCUAGACACGGACAAGAAAAGGUUUAGCGGGAUGAAGUCUCAUGACUGUCAUGUGAUGAUGACGCAGAUACUACCUGUUGCCCUUAGAGGGAUAAUGGACAAGCACGUCCGUGACACGCUUAUUGGUCUCUGCAACUUUUUCGACGUCAUCUCUCGAAAGUCGAUCAGUGUGAAGCAGCUCCAAAGGCUACAGGAAGAGAUCGUUGUGAUACUGAAUGAGCUUGAGAUGUACUUCCCCCCACGUUCUUUGACGUGAUGGUGCAUCUGUGUGUCCAUAUUGUGGAUGACAUAAUAGACCUGGGGCCGUCAUUCUUGCACAACAUGAUGCCGUUUGAGAGGAUGAAUGGGAUCAUCAAAGGAUUCGUUCGUAACACGUCCUAUCCGGAUGGAAGCAUCGUCCAGGGCUAUUUGGCACAAGAGUGCAUCUCUUUCUGUGAGAAUUUUCUAUAUGGCGCAGACCAGCCGCCUGGUGUUAGUGUUGGUUUGCCCGUUAACAAGCACGAUGGGAGGCUCGAAGGAGAUGUUCACUGCAACGGUCGCAGGGAACUGCACGUGGCAUACUUAGAUCGAUGCAGCGACUUUGACAGAGCAAACUUGGUAGUGCUACAACACCUAGACGAGGUAGAUCCUUUCGUGGCACUGCACAAAGAAAUUAUCGCAAAGAAGUAUCGUGACCGGGGGGUAUGCAGGACAGACGCCGAAGUUACUAGAGAGCACAACUCCACUUUCCUGCAUUGGUUCAAAGAGCAUAUUAUUGCUAAUCCCCCGGAGGAGGGCUCUAAGGACGGAUUGCUCAUAUACGCCUUAGCACAUGGCCCCUCGCCCAACCUCGUAACCUAUCAGGCAUAUGAUAUCAACGGAUACACGUUCUACACGGAGGCCAAAGAUAUGGACAGUGAUGAUCAGAACUCAGGGGUGACGAUAGAAUGCAUGACCGGCAGCGACAACGGCGCAACUGAACAAUUUUAUGGAAGGGUCGAGGAGAUCUAGGAGCUUGACUACUCUGGACUGCACAACACGACGAUGUUCCGUGUCAGAUGGGCUAAGAAUGUCGAAAGAGAAAGCCGGAUUUUCACUACCAUGACUAUACCCGAUGCCAAGAGCGCUGCCGUGAACGCUAUCGCAAAAAACGAGUCAUGGGUAAACGCUAAGCAUGUGGCACAAUGCUUCUUCAUAACUGACCCGCGCAAUCCCAGCCGUGUUGUCGUGAGGAGAGGCAAAAGGAACAUCAUUGGUAUGGAUGGAGUCGCCAAUGAGGAAGACUAUGAUCAGUACGGCAACCCAAUAAGGGAAGAUGACGAUGAUGAUGAAGUAUACGUCAAAAGAAGAAUCAAUACUACAUUACCUAAGAAAAAUCGUACCCCAUGGAAAAGGCAAAGUCACAAUGAGGGGCUCAAUUAUUCUUCGACGAACAAGAAGGGAAAGAAGCUGACUCAAAAAUGAAAACGUCAGCACUGAGGAAACUUAUGUUAUUGGUCAAAUGAUGUAAUAUAUAUAUAUGUUCCUAUUUUGUAUACACACUUAGCCAUUAUUAUGCAUGGGUCCUAUGAUGUGUAAUAUAUAUGUUCCUAUUUUGCAUACAUAUUUAACCGUCAAAUGAUGCAAUAUAUAUCGCCCUCCCUUCCUUCACUGCCCUCGGGAAAUAAAAGUGGGAUAAAAUAAAGGAAAAGAAAAAGGAAAGCUGGCAGUAGCGAAGGUAGUAGCAGCACGUUUUGCCUAAACCGCUACAGCUACUGAAGUUAGUAGUAGCAAAUUUGGUAUAAAGCGCUACAGCUACCGAAGGUAGUAGCAGCAUGUUUUGUCCAAAUGCGCUACUGCUAUGUCCACUUAACCCAAAAUUCUCACCCGCCCUGCUUCAUCCCGCCUUUCCCCCCGAAAUCCCCACUCUCUCUUCCCCCGUCGCACCGCCGCGCCCGACCCGGCCCCGGCGCUCGCCCCCGACUCCGGCGCCGGCGCUAGCCCCCGACCCCGGCGCUCGCCCNNNNNNNNNNNNNNNNNNNNNNNNNNNNNNNNNNNNNNNNNNNNNNNNNNNNNNNNNNNNNNNNNNNNNNNNNNNNNNNNNNNNNNNNNNNNNNNNNNNNNNNNNNNNNNNNNNNNNNNNNNNNNNNNNNNNNNNNNNNNNNNNNNNNNNNNNNNNNNNNNNNNNNNNNNNNNNNNNNNNNNNNCUCGCCCCCGACCCCGGCGCGCUCGCCCCCGACCCGUCGGCCCUCGCCUCCCUCCUCUCCCCUCCCGGCCGUCGUCGGGCCUGCCUCCUCGCCCCUGCAUCCUCUAUAAACCCCCCUCUCUCUCUGCUAGGGUUCUUCGGUUAAUAUACUUAGGUUUUAGUUAGGGUAGUAUGUUAAUUAGGUUAUCUAUUUAGUUAUGAAUUUAGCUAGGUUUCAAAAUUAGCUGAAUUUAUAUGCAAAUUUGAACUGGACAUGUGAUAUGUGCAUAUGUCAUGUUUUGGACAUGUCAUGUUUGGAAAAUGAUCCGAGUGGCCUAUGUUACGCCGGAAUGUUGAUUCAUUUCCGUUCCGGUGAAUUUCAGGCGCUCGAUAUGUCCAUUUUUUAGCAAAAGGUCAUGCCAAAAUUUCCCGUGAAUAAAUGCAUGAUUUUGUGCUACAUAGUUGGCAUAUCGAGUGCUGGCACAUAGAUUUCUUUUUAUGUCAUUUCUCAUUUAUUCAUACUUUUAGAAAUAAAUGAGGACACAUAAUCAUAGGAAACAUGUCGAACAACGAAGAAACUGGGCCUUCUGACCAAGAUGCAGACGAGAUGGAUUAUGAGGGUGAACAAGAGUACCUCGACUAUUUGACUGCUAAGCAAGGUUUGCAGGUCGGCCUCGAUGAUGGUACUGACGCCAACAUCGACACCGACGGCGCCGGCACCGAUGGCGGCACCGAGACCGGUGGGGAAGGUACCAGCGGGGAAGGUACCGGCAGGGAAGGUACCGGCCCCGAUGCCGCUACCGAAAAGAGGAAGCAUAAGAAGCAGAGGAUACGAAAACCUAACAAACUAGGGAUUGGACGACUUGUGAUCACAAAGAUGGCACUUGGCAAAUUUGAUCCGUUAGAGCCGGAAGAACCUCGCAAGUGCUAUGGGAACCAAGUAGGAUGCAUCCUAUGGGAAUGCGCGAGCAUCAACGACGAUGACUUAAGGAGUAAAGAACAUUUGACGUAGUUGCUCCUAACGAAGUUGCACAAGAGAUUCAAGUUCCCCGACCGGGAUGAUAACAUAGAACAACCGUGGGAUGAUCCGAAGAUGAAAAAGAUUAACAAUCACGCCAUGGGCAUGUUCAGCAAUGAUUUGGCCUCCUGGAAAGGGAGGAUGAAACGAGCUAUUGAGGCUGAUGAACCCCUAUCCAAGAUUCUGGAGGAAAAUCCGACACUUACGGAAGAGGAGUUCGAAAAGUUCAAGGACACUUGCGCUACCGAGGCAGCCAAGGCUAAGGCUGCGAAAUUCAAGAGCCUUCAGCAAAGGAACACGGGGAAGCAUCGCCUCGGAAGCCGUGGCUACCUCGGUAAAAGGCCCAUAUGGGAUAAGGAGGACGCGGAAUGUGAAGCCGUGGGUCUCCCAGACCCCUUCGCGAAGUUCACCAACCCCUUGGAGCAUGACUUCAUCAGGGCCUGCUACAAGUGGGACAAGGAGAAAAAGGUUUUUUACACGGACAAGAUCACGAGGAAAUUAAUUAGACUACUGGAGAAGCAACACCAGCUUGCAGCCAAAAGCCCUACUUCUCCGAUGAGGCCCAAGUGGGACACCCCUCUCAACUGGGCCUUGAACGAACUUAAGGGACUCCCUUUGGAUCAGCGGCUGCAAUAUGGUCGUGUGCACGGCGCUGGAGACGGCGCCACGUGGAAGGUAUUUUACAACGAGGGCCUGGAGGCCAAGAAGCUGAAAAAGAUGUUUAGUCAGGCGGACAUCGACGCGAAGGUGAAGCUUGCGGUCGAGAAAAAAGCAGCCGAGGACGCGAAAAAAGCAGCCGAGGACAAAUAUGAGUUGCUACAGUAGGCAGUCAAUGCAGCUGUAACUGCCUACAGAAAUGAUUUCGCUACUAACUUGGUUCCAGUUAUCAUCAACUGGGCGAAGGAAAAUCCAGACAAGACGGUACAUGAUUUCCCGUUGCCCUGUUUCGUCGGGAGCAACUCCAUGAACAACAACACCAUCGCACCAUCACUUGCUCACGCAACCGGGCCUCCUCUCGCAGCCGCUCCCGCUCAUAGCAGCCCGUCCUCAGUCUCACGGUAAUUACAUGUCGCACCAAUAUAUAUAUAUAUAUAUAUAUAUAUAUAUAUAUAUAUAUAUAUAAUAUUCCACUUUUGUUGCCUUUCGGUUGUUUUACACCGCAGACAUAUGUGUUUGCAGGCGAAAGAAACCCCGUGCACCAUACUCUACUUGAUCAAAGGCCAGAAGGUGGACAUGGGAAAGGGGAUGAUAAUGGACCCCUCUCAAUGCACGUUCCACAACCAGCCGAUCCCCACUGGGCACUUCAGGGUUAGCUUGACCAAUGUGAAAUCAGGGCACGAGGAUUUGCCUCCUCCAGUACAGCAUGUGGGAGCGGACGACGAGACCUCACCGCAGAUUGGAAGCUGCAAGAAUUGGGUGCUGCUAUGGCCGAAGAAUCUUAUUCGUCUGGAGCCGGCCGAGAGCACACCAAUAACUACCACACAUCAACAAGCAUGUGCGAAGACCACCACCCCGCCUACGCAAUUACCAGCUCCUGUAGUGCCUGGUGAGAGCGGCGGACGACAUGAUGAAGAGGGUGCAAUAGUACUGGCUGAUGUAAUUUCUCGUGUAGAACAGAGAAUGGAUGAUGAGACGGAGGUCGACCCUAUGGAUUACCUCAAUACAAACGCGUAUGACUGUGACAUAGAUAUGAUGAGUCAACCAUAUGACGAAUCGGGCUAUCAGCUUGCUAAUAAGUAUAUGGAUGAUAUGCCCGGGCAGGGUCGUACCAUGGAUUGCAAAAAGUCUCUCUUCAUGAAAUCCUCACAGGACACGCCUGAAGAUGCCGCCUCAACACAGGCUCAACUAGCCGGGCGCGAGGGUCGUACAGUACUUAGCCUGGGAACACUGGGGCAGGGGUUAAGGAAGGGUCUGGAAGGUGUGCCCAAGAAAAAGGAGAGGAAGAGAUCGGGAAAGGUAACUGCCUCCAAACAAGCCAGAGCACAUAGCAGCCAGACGAUGCAUUCUGAAGAGCGUGUACCCGUGAAAGGUGCGGUCAUGUUCCAUCUCACGGGCGAGCCGAUGCUACCGCCGAAACCGCUGGAGGCACUAUCAGGGGAUCUCAGGAGACUGCACGACCAUGUGCUGUCGACUGAGAAAAGCCUACUAGCCUCAAAGGAUCCAGGAUAUCUGACAUAUGCGGCUCGUGUGCCUGAGGGGAAGUGCUACAUCGACACAUGGCCCGCAGAGGUGUUCUUCCUGCGGUUUGACCAUAUCUUUGAGAUGUUUCUAACAAGGCAGCUUGAUUUUACUAUCGUCCGCCUUUUUGCGAUACAUAUGAGCUCCAUCAUGAAGAGUGAAGAAGUCUCGCAAAUCUGUGUGGCGGAUCCGUACUACAUGCACGAGUCUUUCUUGAGUCACGGCGACUUUGAGCGUGAAAUUGCUAGGGAGUACCUCCAAAACUUCAUGGUAUAGAAUAAGGACCGGGAAAUUGUCCUCGUGCCUUAUCAUCCAAAGUAAGUCAGUUCCGGACAACCCUUUCAUACAUUUCAAUCAUUCCUUCUCUCUCAUAUGGGGAAUAAUUUGAGGUGUCUUUUCCCGGAAGCAACGGGCGCGCCGUCCUUAUCGUUCUUUACCCGCAAGUCUCCCGCGCCGUGUAUUUUGACCCUUCCAGAGACUACGAGAAAAAAGACUACACCCACAUAAUGAAUAUUCUAGAUGAUGCUCUCCAAGGCUGCAGCUUUAGUGGUGGCCACGUGCAGAUCAAGAAACAAAGGAACAAGAAGAUGGGUUUCGCGCAUAAAACUAACUUCUCCUGCAUCCAUGUCCCAAAACCAAGCAAGAAGGAUGGACUCUACAUCGUCCAUCUCAUGAUUCAGUUCAACACGGAUCACCAAAAGCUUCGCAUUAACAACAGAAAUGAUGAUCAUAUCCACAAGUGGCGAGAAUCUCAUGGAGAAGCGGAUUAUAAACUUAGAGAUGACUUCUUUCGCAUCCAAAGCAACAUUGCGACGAUCAUCAUGAAAGAAGUCGUCGAUGAGAAGGGGAUGUUCCACCACGGCCCUAUAUUGCGAGCUGACGUCCGAACUCGCAUAGGCAUGCAACGUCUAGACCUCACGCCGUUCAAGAAUCUAGGGUUCGUCCUUGAUGAUAUGGAAGGAUGGAACUUCUAGUGAUUUAUGAUGCCGAUGAUGAUGAUAUGUGUCGGUUGAACUUGUAUACUUUUUGUAGCGAUGAAACUUUGUGAUGUCCACGGUCCCUGCCGAACUUGCGUAACGCUACUUUGUUAGUUUGCGUACGAUGACCUGCGUACCUCUAGUUAAUUAAUUUGUGUACUGUAUGUUGCAUCUAGUUGCUAACCCUUUCUUUUUCGGUGUUGCUCUAUUAUAUUUUGUUGCAUAUAUAUGAUUGUACAUCCUCUUCAUGAACAUGCAUAUCUAACAGGUACCUAGUUUCUUGAUGGCGAGAUGGAAUUGCUAUGUCGUGUACAAAGGGAAGGUCCUGGGGGUGUACAACGAGUGGCAUGAGUGUCAGGCGCAAGUGAAUGGGUUCACGUGCGUCAGCCAUAAAGGCUUCAAAAGCAGACAAGAAGGAGAAGCUAGUUACUUGAGGUUCACGCUAGCGCGAGAGAGGACUCGUAACCGCCACCUCAUGUAUUGCAUAGUUUUGCUCUCACUCAUAGUGAUAGCACUUCUUGCGUAUACCUUUGUUUAGAUGGACGACGUUGUUGUAGUUGCAAGUAUUCGAGACUUGCAUGUAUCGCUAUUUUCUAGAUGAUGACAAGAUAUCACUUUGUGUUGGAUGAUGAUUAUGAUGAGACUAUUUGUAUGUACAUGCUAUGAUUACAUUUGUGGACCCCUCUGGCAUUUGUAUGUGUAUCAUGAUGACAUUUCUAUGUGCUAAAGAUUCUUCUAUAAAGCCUGUUCAAAUACAAAAUAAAUAUGCCAAAAAAACAAAAAAACCUACUUAAAUUAGCAGUAGCGAGUGUAUAAAAGUUAGCAGCAGCGCCGCGAUAGCAGUAGCGCGUCCAGGCAAAGCGCGCUAGAGCUACUAGCAGUAGCGAGCUUCCGCUAACAGCGCUGCUGCUACACUUAUGUAGCAGUAGCGCCGGUGAGCACGCGCUACUGCUAUCUGUUAGCUGUAGCGCCUUAUUAGUAGCGUCUAUCCCCGUGCUACUGAUACAUCUAAAACCCGUGCUGCUGCUACCCUUUUCCCUAGUAGUGUACCCCCGCUCCUCGCCAGCGAAGCCGCGCCCCAUGCGUCCAGCCUUGCCCUUCGUUGAAUAGGAGUUGGGCUGAGGUCGUGGGCCACUCAUCGCCACGUGUGUCGGUACCGCCAAGGUCCCAAUCUGGGUGUUGCAAGGAUUCCAAUGUAGCCUUUUCGGUCUCUACUUUGGAGUCCCAACUUGCCCUAUUGCGCACAGAGCUCCUUGAGGAGGUUGAGCUGCUCCGCACUGAGUUUCGCAACGCUCUUGCCAAGCUUCAUGUUGCUUCGUUUGUGCCUUUGUUGCCCGAGCUUCAGGUUGGUUCCAUUGAUGGGGAGGCUGAAUGCUUCUUUCGAGAUUUUUCUCCACGUGGUCGGCAUGCGACGUCGUCUGUCCAUGGGAAUGCGGUCAUCUCCAAGGUCGUGUCUCCAGUUCUGCAGAUUAUGCCUGAGCCGCGGGAGCUUUGUGGGGAAUCACCUAUGGUGCUACCGAUGGAGUUGGAGUCCUUAGCGGUGGCCAUGACGCCCUCACCACCACCAUGGUCAGAGUAUUGUCAACCGCCCGCCUUUGUGGACAUUGGAGGCUUGGUUGGUUCUGUCACUCUCUCAUCUAUGACCAUUGGGCAUGAGGCGUCUUUGAGUGACGAGGUUGAUGAGAUAAGUGUGUUGGCACCUAACUCUAGAGCUUUGUUUUGUGAGCAACUCGAGGUGGCUGAGUCCAUCAUGCCGGUGGUACCUGCGAUUGCUGAUGUUGAGGCGGUUGAUAUGUUGGCGCCGGAUCCAUUGGAGCCCACACAGCCGGUCGCCUCUGUGGAGCGUGGAGGUUCUGAUGUUGCGGUCACUCACUCGCAUAUGACCGUUGGGUAGGUUUCUGUGCGUGAUAAGGUCAAUGAGAUUCUCUUCCAGAUAGAGCUUCAUAGCUUGCUCAAACGUUGGAGAGGGUUAGCCCUGGAUCUGGCAAGGAAAUUGUGGAGGAGGCUCUCAGGAGCGAAGGAAAGAAGAGUGAUGUCACAGGAAAGGUGUAUGCAGCUACUUGAUGGAUGGUCAUCGGUAUAUUGGGUUGUCCUUAUGGACUGACUUGUCUUCAUGGCUUUGGUGGUGCGCGUGGUCUUCGGCCGAAUUACUCUCGUUGGCGCUCUCUUUGCGAUGUUACGGUGUGAGGGUUGGCUGUCGGAUCACGUGCUUAUAGGGUUGCAUGCUCUGUGCGUAGUCUACCUAUGGUUCGUUUGUAUCGGUUUUCGCCCAGUUUUCAGUUUAAUUAACCGGGCAAUUCUCUUCUGCUUAAUUAAUCGAUGAGGCAAAUCCUUUGCCUCCGUUUCAAAAAAACAAUUUGUAAUGUGCCCAAACAGCAUGAACUCAUACCGUCUAAUCCGGUGGCCUCACACAGCUGCCCUGCAUCGGGCCAAGAGCACCACCCGUUCUGGGCAACCCGCAGCACGCACCGCAUGUGCACGCUCUGAUCCGUUGCCGCCAUCUUCCACCGUCCCAUAUCCAGGAGUGAUCAACGCUUUGACCUUGUCAGGCCCAACUGCCAUCGACGCCACCACGACGCCAGACAGUGCCACCAGCCUACACGUGUUCAUCAACCUGCAUCCAACACUGAGAACCAUUUCGCCACGCCGCCAAGACCCGUUGUCUUCGAUGCGGUUGUUGUUACCGCUCCACCUAUUGGCCCCUUUAGUUGGUACCUUCUCGAAAACAAUGCCCCCAAGAGGGAGAACGGCACCGAUAUCCCUGUCAUCAUCUGAUCAAGGAGACCCAGAUCUAGGGUUCCCCCAUAGCAAAUGCCACUAGAGGGAGAAGGGCACGCCAUAUUCUGCGGCCAACGAGCCCACACGGUUCCCACCACCACAAUGCGCCCCCGGGCAUAGUUGCCAUCACGGUCGGCCGUAGACGAUCAUGGAGUUAUCCUGCUCUGAAGCCCCCACCACCCGCUCCACCAACAACCCUAUGACCGGCUAGACAAGCAUGGCCAAGAUCCGGCCAAGUUGGAACGCACCAUGUCGGGACGAGAUGGAACCGCCAGAUCCAGCGUCAUCGGCCAUCGGGGCAACAAAGCUCCGGCCCAACCUGCAGGGUAGCCAUCGGUCACCAGAUCCAGCGACAUGCAACCCGGCAGCCCCUCCUCACCACAUGAGAGGUUGGCCUCGCCAGAGGGCCACAUCCCUAGAUCCGAGUUUUCAGCCCUAGAUCGGGAGGAGCAGCACAAGCCCUGCCACCACAGUCCUUGGCUGCGCCGCGGGCUCACCAGCGUCAGCCUCAUGUGGCGGCGAGGAGGGAGGGAGGAAAUUGGGAGUCCCGGCAGCGCAAGGAGGAGUCGUCCUAGAGGGGCGUUGCGCUCGAGGUAAUUAAAUACUACAUAAUCAUAACCUUAUGAAAAACAUGAGAACUAAAACAUUCAAUUGGCUUUUGGUUGUUAACUAAUCAAGCGGUCAACGCAUUAUCAUGGUUGGAAUAGAGAGAUAACAGCACACAUAUGAUUGGCCAUGCAGACUAAGAUCUUCAAAUAACAAGAAUUUAAUCAUCCCAAGAAAAAGAGGGAAACCACACCACCUGAAUGACUCCUAUGCUCAGCAGUGAUUCAAGGCAGAACAAUCCAAAUCCAACAAAGUAAAAUAUCUACCAAAUGAACUUCCACAAAAAUAAGACUGGCAGACACAAUCACGUCCAAAUGCAAUCUACGAAGUAAAACCUUGACACUCAUAUGCGUGUGAGGUUACUGAGGUAUGCCGCAGUUAUGUGACAUUCCAACCUUCGUAAUGCACUUUAUCAAGGAAACAAGAUGAUCGUCGUGCUCGUGCAACUCUGCUACACGAAGAAGAGCUGGGAUAUGUUGAAGGCAUUGGUUAUGACUUACAAGGACCAAAUGAAGAACAAUAUUUGCCCUUGCUGCUGCCUGUGAAGAGCGGUGGGGAUGGGGGAAGUCGGAUCAAGGGAGAAAGCGGCGAUAGAGAAGGAUUGUGGUGCGUGAUAUAAGAGACAUUUUUCACACAAAUAAAAAUGAUGUGAUAUAUUAUUCAUGAAACUGAAGUCCAGGAGUCUAGAGUGGUUGAGCCGCAUAUCUCCAUAUAUGCAUGUGGUCAUGGACCGAUGGUCCGUCUACAAAUUACUAGUGUUACUCCAUCUAAACACACACAAUGUGCAAUCAUAGAAUGUCAAUCUUAGGAUAUGUACGGAAACGGCGUUUGGUUCACAGGCGAGGUUGGCUUGGCUGAGGAUAUACCUAACCACGUGGUUGGGGAUAUCCUCGCGCUUGUGUUUGGUUGUAAACUGGGAGGUGGUUAUCGAUAGCCAAUUUUAUGUUUUGUAAGAAGGAUGAGAGAAGGAUAUCAUGUUGUCGACUGAUUAUACAAAAUAUAGAUCAUGUGGAAUAGGUCAAUAAACCCAUCACAAAAAUGUAUUGUAAUCCCAUGAUCCAAACACAUCCAUGCGUACAGUCAAAUGGCAUAAUCUAAUCUGUCAAAAAAGGUGUCUAAAACACGUCACAUGCAUUUGCAGAUUAGACGAUUCAUCAGAUGGUGAGUCGAAGCCAAUCUUGCUGUCUGAUGCAAAUAUGCUACUCUGAAGAAUGUAUAAUCAGGCAGUUGGAGAAUAUGCUACAUGGGUACGAGUUUGCUACGUGCCUACGUGCGUGUUGAUCGGGCGUGGGACGGAGGACCCGGACGUUCUGGUAACGUCUUCCAACAUAGGCCAGCCUCGACGUGCUCAUGAACUUGGGAUCGCCGGAGUUGUGGAGGCAGUUGCCCCGGCGUCCGCACUGCACAUCAGCAGCCGCGGCCGGCGAGCGUGCGUGUUCGGCAUAGGCGCAACUCGACGCGCACCACCGGACACUGGACCUUUCUUGCCCUUGCUCCGCUCAAACGGCCGCCGCCGAUCCAAAUCGUAGCUGCCGCCGCUGCCUUGUCCGUGUGGAUAGGGUGUUCUGUUCUUUCGAGAGGGGUGAGAAAAGAAAAUAAAACGUUUCGCCGCGUCGGGAGGUCACCGAGCGUGGGUGGCUGCCGUCGUCCGCGAGAAUUUCGCGGCUCCCCAUAGCCAGCUUUUGGAGGAAUAUUCCUCGGUAUCUGGUUAUCCUCAGCCUUCUUCACCAUCAAACAAAACGAGUGUUAUCCCUUUCAAAACUGGUGGAUAUCCCUAUCCACCGGUUGCUUAUCCCUCCAACCAAACGCCACCCUAGAUGAUUGGUUGAAGAGUCGUAGUGAUACGUCAACUGGCAGCAGACAUAAAGUGAUUCAUCUGGAAUAGGAUGCACGGAGAAUUGCAGUUGAAGACCAACACUAAGAGCAUCUUCAACGGCCGCCUCAAACGACGUGCGUGCGCGGUAAAUCCAGCUUUUAGCGCGCGCGGGACGGUUUGCCGCGCUCCAGCGGCUGUAGGAAACAAGCGCGCGCGGGAACAGUUUGCGCGCGCGCGCGAAAAGGCGUCAGCUCGCGCGCAAGAUUUGGCGCGCCGCUUCGCGCGCGCCUAUAAAAAUGCUGCGCGCGCCACGCGCCUUCUCCACGCUUCCUCUUCUCCUCUUCCUCUCCCUCUCUGCCACGCGCCGCUCCAGCGCCCCGCCACCGACGCGCCGCCAUGCCGCGGCGUCGCCGAGGAGCGUCCGGCUACCGCGGCAUCCGCCUGCGCCCCAACGGCAGCUACUCCGCGGAGAUACGCUCCGGCGAACUCCGGCUCGGCCUCGGCUCGUACGGGACGGCGCGCGAGGCUGCCCGCGCGUACGACGCGGCGGCGUGGCGCCUAGGCCGGCCGCGCGGCCAGAUGAACUUCCAAGAUGUGUACACGCUCCAGCAAGCGCUCAACUUCGCCCCUCUGCCUCGUCUGAACAUGGCGGAAGACCGUGCGGAGCACGCCGAGCGGCAACGCCGCCUCCUCGUCUCCCAGGAGGACGAGCGGGUCAUGGCGGAGUGGCGCCAGCGUCACCCGAAGGACGUCGCCUACGAGCAGUCCUACUGGGCAAGGCGUCGCGAGGAGGACACGCGAAGGCGCCGCGCGACGCGGUUGGACAAGCGUCGGCGGAAGGCGUUGGCGAAUGCGCAGUCCGACCUCGUUCCAGCAGGUGGGCAGUCGUUCUUCACGCCAAACGAUGAGCGAUGGCUGGACAUCUGGUUAACUACCUCGGACGACACCGGCGAGGAUGAUAGUGGUGAUGAUGAUAGCGACUUAGAGUAGUUUUUUUAAUGCAAUCUAUGUUUUUUAUCGUUUGUCGUUUUUAUUUAUGCAAUCUAUGUUUCGGAUGUAAAAUACCUUUGUAUCAUUUAAAAUCUAUGCAAUCUAUCUAGUUUUUUUUAAAUUUCUGCUUUCAAUGCCUACAUUUCUAGUUUGUAAAACGAGCGCGCGCGCUGCAUUUUUGCGCGCUGCUGGAGCGGUGCGCGCGCGCUGCAUUUUAGCGCGGCUGCUGGAGUGGGCGCAGCGCACCGCGUCAAACCAGGCGAUGGGCGCGCGCUAAAGCUGUUUUUAGCAUGCGCCGCGUUCGGCGUCUGUUGGAGAUGCUCUAAGCACAUGAUCUGGUUCUUGCUUCUCUCGGAUACAUGUCGUGGCUAUGUGCUUCGUGGCAUGAGGCAGUAUGCCCCUACAGAAUAUACCAUGCCACACUAGAUGGUUAGCAAGAUGCUAUGGAGUAAUUGGUUAAAUUGUUAGAUCUUGAAUUGAGUAUAUAACAAGCGAACUGAGCAUAGCACCCCGCGGCGGCGCGGCUCCCCUGGACCGGACGCCCGGGUCUGCCUCUCGGACAGCGGAUCUGAGGAUGGGUUCUCGCCUUCACCACCUAGGUCCUACACUGAGGCCGUUGCGCAGGGGAUGGGCGAGUCCACGCCGUCCGCGGCCAUCAAUGCCAUGGCUGCGGCCAUGGCAGCGCCUUCCGCGGCCAUCGCUGUCGUUGGCAUGGGCGCGGUGCCUUUGGCCGCCGGGUCUCCUGCCGCCGCGCCUACCCCGGGCAUUGACGCUGGCAACCGGUCAGCUGCGUCAUCCAAUGCCGAGGCCCCGGAGCUUGGCUGGCAGCUGGUCUCCCACAAGCGCGGCCAGAACCAGCUCCCACCUCCCAAAGCCAAGACUGCCACUCCCCACCACUUCCACUACUCCUAUAAAGAUGACCUCGUCGGCCGGUGCUUUAGAUGCCUUGAAGCUUCCCAUCGUGUUGGGUCCUGUCCGAAUCGCCUGCGCUGCAUUCACUGCGUCCGCUUUGGCCACCUCCGCAAAGACUGCCGUCGCAAACACCUUCCCCAUCAGCCACUACUACCGCUUCACCUUCCCACCCGCCGGCCUGCUCGACCGACGCUCCACCCAUCACCGUGCCCUGUGCCCCUGCCUCCCGCUCCAAGAUCGGCUCGUUUUCCUGCCGCCAGGCGCGAAUCACACUCGAGGCCUCGACCCUCGCUCGACAUGGCUUACUCGGCUGUCGUGGGUUCGCUACCAGGUGCCGCGGACAGACGUCCGCUGGGCACCAGUGCACCAUGGUGCUCCUGGACUUCACCCAGGAGAUGGCCGAUGAGGAACUCCGGCUGCGGGCCACGGUUAUUGUCGUCUCGGCGGCGGAGGAGGACAUGUUCCCGGGUCCCGGCCAGGGUGAGAGCAGCCAUCCUGGCGGAGUUCCCCGACAUCCCGCCUGAGGCGGUGAGCGUCUCGCUCUUCGGGAGCUCCUUCACCGCGCGCUUCUCCGACGGCCGCUGGCGCGACGUGGUCUUCGAGCGUGGCCUCUCCCACGACAACCAGGGCACACCGUUCCGCGUUCAAGAAUGGUCCAGGCGCUCAACUCCGAGCUCAAGACGCUGCGCUACCGGGCGAGGAUCUUCCUGGAGGGUGUUCCGCUACAGGCUUGGUCUGUCCAGGCUGUGGCGGAGAUGCUGAAGAUGGUCAGGAUCAACGCCGUGGAGCUGGAUUCGCUUCACAAGACCGAUACCUCCUACUUCGUGCUGUAUGCAUGGAUCGAAUCAUCGGACAAGCUAGAAGCUACCCCGCAGGAUCGACCUGGGCACCCACGAGCCCCGGCGCAGCAUCGACGGUGGAUCAUCCCCGGCAGCCGUUGGCCUUCGUCCAUACGGUGGGCCCCGACACGCCCCUCCCUGCGUGCCCGCGCGUCCAUGACGGCCUGGUGCUUGUCCAUGUCGACGAGCUGGAGGAGUUCGCGUCAGAGGGCGGGCCGCCAGGACGAGAGGGGGGCCGCAUCAGCGUCAGGUCGCUCCCCUGGGCACACGCCCACGUUGAUGGUGCCCGCUCGGCUCCAACAGCGCCUGGACGUCCUUCGGUGUUCUCCCGCCUGGCCGGCGGCGGAGCAAUGUACCACGGCCACAAGGUGAUUGGGUUCUCCUUGGGCGGCGAGCGCCUGCAGGAGCAGCCGGCGAUGGAAACUCAUGCUCGGGACAGCCCUAGCGCCAGGAUCGAGGCGCACAGGAUGGCGCCCUGCGCCCACUUCCUGACGGCCACGACCACGCGGGAUGACCCAGCGCUCGAGUCGAUGCUCGCCACGCCGCUUCAGGCAAGCCAAGCUGUGCAACCCCACGGGAGCAGUCCGUGCCUUUCCCUUCCUAGGUUUCUUCUUGGGCGACAGGGCAUUGCGCCCUCGGCCUGGAACCUGGGCUGCGGCGCGAAACAGUUGGUCCUGGUCCCUGUCCUGAGUCUCCUGACCCCUUUGGUGGCUACCGACGCGUCAACGGUGUAGCCUGAGCGCAUCUCCAACAGCCGCCCAACGCGCGGCGCGCUAAAAAUUGGUUUGCGGCGCGUCCAUUAUUAGGUUUGGCGUGGCGCGUAGCGCUGGCUCGCGCGUGCGUAGCUCCAGCAGCCGCGCUAAAAUGCAGCGCGUGCGUAGCUCCAGCAGCCGCGCUAAAAUGCAGCACGAGCGCUCUCGCAGAAACAACAUAUGCGCUCCAAACACAUUCUAGAAUAUCAAACACAAACAAAAUAAAUCAAUAUAAAUAUUUCAAUCUAUUAUUACUACAACUCAAACAAAUAGUAUAUUUCAUCAAAUACAACAAAUAGUUCAACAAUACAACAUCAAACGCACAAAUCAUGAUGCUCUUUGGCGGCCAUUCCAAACCCACCACUCCUCAAUGAGAUCCUUCUGAAGAUCAUUAUGCGUUGCCGGACGUCGAAUGUCAUGAUAGAAGGCAACAAAACGGGCCACCCUUUCAGCCCUCUGCCGCACUCGCAUGGGAUGUCCCAAGAGCUCAUAGUGAGAGUAGUCUACAGCUUGGCCACGCUCAUUAUCGAUGACCAUGUUGUGCAUGAUCACACAAGCAUGCUUAAUGUACCAAAACAUUUUUUGAUCCCAAAAUCUAGCCGCCCCCCUCACAAUAGCAAAUUGGGCUUGCAAAAUCCCAAAGCUCUUUCCACAUCUUUUCUAGCCGCCGCCUGAGCAUUGUGGAAAUCAAGAUAUUUCUUACCUUCUGGUUUUUUCAACGGCUUCACAAAUGUUUGCCACUUUGGGUAGAUGCCAUCUGCAAGAUAGUAGCCAUAGUUGUAUAUACGGCCAUUAGCAACAAACUGCACCGGUGGCAGUUCACCAUUUGCAAUCUUAUUCAUCAGUGGUGACCGGUUGACAACGUUGAUGUCAUUCAAAGAUACAGGCAUUCCAAAAAAGCAUGCCAAAUCCAAGUCUCUUGAUCGGCCAAUGCUUCUAGAAUUAUAAUGGAACCCUUUUUUUGUCCGUGGAAUUGGGCAUGCCAUGCCUUUGGACAAUUCUUCUAAUUCCAAUGCAUGCAAUCUAUUGAGCCAAGCAUACUUGGGAACCCGCGAGCUUUGUUCAUCUCCAAUAGCCUUGUAACGUCUUUAGCAUUGGAAGAUCUCAAAUACUCCGAGCCAAACACUUGCACAAUUCCGACUGUGAAGCGCUUGACACACAUGAUGGCUUGGCUCUCACUCAUGGCCAAAUGAUCAUCAACUAGAUAAGCGGGGAUACCGUAUGCCAACAUACGCAAAGCGGCUGUCACCUUCUGAAAGGUGCUAUGCCCAAGCUCUCCAGCGGCAUUCCUCCUCAGCUGAAAAAAUGGUCAUGGCUCGCUAGUUUCUCUGCAAUGCGCCUGAACAACGCGGUGCUUAUUCUAAACCGGCGACGAAAGUACGACUCAGGGUAUGUGGGAUUCUCCAUAAAAUAGUCUCAUCAAUCUGUUGUGGGCAUCAAUCCUAUCCCUCCAAAUUUUUUGCCGACCCAUAACCAAACCACCGUGCUUUGGUUUUUUAUUGAUGUGCAUAGCUAGGAUCGUUGCAAGAUCCUCCUCCUCUUCCUUAUCAAAUUCUUCUUCGAAAGAAUCAUACGAAGAACUCGUCUACAAUGUUCAAAACUAGGAUAUAAAAAAAUUAUAAACAACAUGCACCAAAAUUCAAGUAAAAAUAUGAAGUUUGAAGCAAUACAUACCUUGCGGGCUUUUGUCGAAUACCUUGUGGGUGCCAAGCGGCAGUGGGCGGCCGGGCACUGUUCAUCGGAGGACUGCCGCUCACGACAGGCGGCGCUGACUAGAGGGAGAAGGAGGAAGCCGCGGCCGCGUGGGGAGAGACUGGGGAAGCGCCGGAACAGUCGCCGGAAGAAAUGGGAUGGCGUGGGCAGCAGCGGUUGGAUGGGUAGGUGAAGUUGUGAGCGAGCGCUUGAGAGUCCAGCGCGCGGGAGCGGGCGCAACAAAUAAGCGGCGCGCGAUGGUGUUUCCGCCCGCGCGCUGAAUUAGAUAUGCCGCGCGCGCGGUUUUUGGCGUCCGCUGGAGCGCUUAGAGCGAUAGCGCGCACGCUAAAAGUACUACUUUUUCCGCGCAGUGCCAAGGAGAUUAUUUUCAGGCUCGAUAAGGCAAGAGACUUGCGCGAUCUGUCCCAACAUGAGCAUCAGCUGCGCAAUAACCUGAAGAUGAAAUUGCUAGGGUACAGUUCACUCCAGCGAUCAAUUUGGAGGCAGAAAUCUCGGGUGAAAGGAAUUAGCGAGGGCGAUGCAUGUAUCAAGUUCUUCCACAUGAAAGCAUCAGCCCCAAGGAGGAAGAAUAGCAUCCAAUCAAUUCAGCACCAGGGGCAAAUUUUCACCGGCCAAGAGGAUAAAUUGCAAUUAGUUUGCGAUUUCUACUCUGAACUUUUUGGAAGACCUGCAGAUCGAACCAAAAGCUUCAACUUCCAAGCCAUGGGGUAUUCUCAGGACCCGGCCUCCCUUGCACAGCUGGAGAACGAUUUCACUGAGGAGGAGGUGCUAGCGGCUAUAAAUGACUCCCACACGGACAAGGCACCUGGCCUGAACGGUUUUACAGGGCUUUUCUUCCAGAAGUGCUAGCCUCUCAUCAAAGAUGAUCUCAUGAGAGCGCUGAGGAAGUUCAGUAACCAGAACAUGUCCAACCUUCAGGUAAACCUGGGCAAACGUCGGGCCGGGCCGGGUUUAGAGCCGGGCUUGUAAAAGCCCGACCUUCAUUUCUCAAGCCCGAGCCCGGCCCAAAGCCCGAAAUACUCCAUAUUUUCAAGCCCGAGCCCGGCCCGAAAUCAAGCCCGAAGCCAGAAAGCCCGGCCCGAAUGCUGUUUUUUAGUACGCGCACGUGCAAGCCCGACCCGAAGCCCGAAAGCCCGGCCCGAAAUAUGGAAAAAUUGAAGCCCGAGCCCGGCCCGAACUAUCUUUCGGGCUGCAAAGCAAAGCCUGAGCCCGGCCCGAAUGUCAAGCCCGGCCCGGCCCGGCCCAGGUUUUUUGGGCCAGGCUCAGGCCGGGUCGUCGGGCCGGGCUGCCCAUGCCCGGGUUUACCUUUAGGCAUUGAACACUACAACUCCCAUUCUGAUCCCAAGGGUGGAAGGUGCUACCAAGCUGGCCGACUUUAGACCCAUUAGCCUAAUCCAUAGCAUCGCGAAGCUUAUCGCCAAGCUCCCCGUGCGAAGACUACAACCGCUAAUGAACAAGCUCGUCGCCCAAUGCCAGAGUGCGUUUAUCAAGAAAAGGUCCAUACUUGACAAUUUCAUGUAUGUUCAAGCUAUGAUAAAGACUCUGAAGAUGAAUAAGGCACCUGGGCUGCUCCUCAAAGUGGAUAUCACAAAGGCAUUUGACAUCCUAUCUUGGGAAUUUUUGCUGGAACUGCUACUGGAAAGGUGUUUCGGUACCAGGUGGACAAAUUGGAUCGCAACCCUGCUCGCCACCUCUAGUACGAAGCUGAACAUUAAUGGCGACCUCUCAGAUACCAUAUUCCAUCGCCGAGGAUUGACACAGGGGAUCCCCUCUCCCCCUUACUCUUUGUCCUUGCCAUGGAUACCCAUGCGACACUCAUUGAUGCGGCAUGCAGAUACAAGGUACUGGCGGACAUUGGAAGGCAAAGUAUGCCUUCCGAGUGUCGAUGUACGCCGACGAUGUGGUGAUCUUCAUCAACCCCUCCCGAACAGAGGUUCACGCGAUCAUUGGGUUGCUUCAGGCUUUUCAAGCGGUGACCGGCCUACGAACGAACUAGGCUAAAAGUGUUGUGAUCCCAAUCAGAUGCAGCAACACACAUGUUGAGGCUGCCGUGACGGGAACUGAAUGUGCUACAAGGGCAUUCCCAAUAAAAUAAUCUAAGCUUUUUUUAGAAAAAAGCAGGAUGACCCCCGGCCUCUGCAUCUGGGCGAUGCAUACAACCACUUUACUAAUUAUUCUUACAAGAUCUUACAAAGUGAUAUAACAGCAAGACUAAAGCCACAGUCUAAGCAACAAAUGUCCCUACACAUAUCCAAUUGAUGAAGGGGCGCAUAUAGUCUGGGCCUAAUACCAAACAGACAUCGCAGCCAAAUCUAAACAUCUAAGACCUGAGGUCCCAACCAGGACGCCUGCCGGGUAUGGGGCACCUACCAGUCCGGCGCACUCCUCAACCAGGACGCCUGCCGGGUAUGAGGCCGCCGCCGCCACCUGCCAACAAUCCAUCUUCAGAGCUGUACUGUUGCAUGUACCGUGUCAGGUCUCUCUGCCAUCGACGCCACCACGACGCCCGACAGCGUCGUCCUCCUGCGCAAGUCCAUCCUCCCACAGCGAACUCCAAAUCUGCAUUGCGCCACGCCGUCAAGAUCCGUCACCAUCAGUGUGUAGGAUGAAGCACCGCUCCACCAAAGAAUCUGUCCUUUGGUCCCUCGAUCACGUGUGUACCUCCAAGAAUGACGCCCCCAAGGGAGGAACGACACCAAAGCGCCGCCAUCAUCCGAUCAUCCGAUCUAGGGUUUCCCCCAGAGGUAGCAGAGACUGGCCUUGAACUUCUCCACGGCGAUGCCUUCAAGAAGGGAACGACGCAGAUAGCACCGCCACCGCCGGCCUUAGCAGACGCCGAAGACAAGUUUUCCCCCAGAUCAGUUCAAAGGGAUCCAACUCUCGUGCACGGGCCGCCGUCACCACCAGCACCACCAGGCAGAACCUUGGAGCACCGGCAAAUCAGCGAGCCGCCGGCACCACCGCAUCCAGAUCGCCGGCCCCGCCGGGCCGCCGCCAUCCCCCGCACCGUCCGGGUCAGAGACGGAGCCGCCGACCGUGCACAGGGACCACCACCGCUUGCGCAUGCCAGAGCGCCGCCGAGAGCCCAGCGCCCGCCGCCGCUUGCCGAGGGCCGCUGCCGCGUGCCCCGAGCAGACUCCCACGCACACCAGGCAAAACUGCCAUCGCCCCCCAAGCUCGCGCCGGCGUGCCCCGCCUCCAGCACGCCACCAACCACCGCUGCGAUUCGCCCGCGCCAGAUCCAACGAGCCGUGGGAGAAGAGAUCCUGCCGCCGCUGACGCCGAUCGGGCUUUGCCCGGCGGCGCACCCCGGCGGCGGUGAGGAGGAGAGGUCGGGGGACGGACCAGGAUGCGGCGGUGCUAGGGUUCUCUCCAGUCGCCGCACAUGGCGACACAGGAGGAGUCGGGAGGAGUCCAGCUGCUACAACGUGGCUUCCCCUAAUAAUCUGGGUUUACCGCUAACUGAUGUACGCCUGAGGAAAGACGACCUGCAGCCUAUCAUUGAUGCACUUGCAAAGAGGUUGAGAGGACGGAAAGCCAAACUGAUUGCGCUGCCAGGAAGAAUUGAGCUAGUGCACACAGUGCUGUCGACCAUGGCCAUUUACUGGAUCAUGGCACUGGCUCCUCCAAAGUGCUUUAUCAAGAUGGUGGACAGAUUGCGGAGAGGUUUCCUUUGGGCGGCGGACGAGGCUUCGCCGGGCGGCAGAUGCCUCGUGCGGUGGCGUGAUGUGUGCAAACCAAGGGAGCUGGGCGGGCUGGGAAUCAAUGAUCUGCAGCUUCUGUUAUAUAAUAACGAGAAUAAACGAGACAGAGAGACACGGAUUUUUACGUGGAAAACCUUGCGGGAGAAAACCACGGACGCACGAAGGCGCAAUCACUAUGAUGGAGGAGUAUUACAAGCACGAGACAACAGACCGUCUUAGGUGCGACUACAUGGGGUAUAUAUGAGGGGCAACACAUAGGAGUCCUUGUAGGACAAGUAAACGAGUUGUACUCGUACGUGUCGGUAUCAACGCAAAGGCCCACACCGUAUGUACUACGUCUAGUCCAAUAUGGUACUAGAAUUUAGAUCAUAAUUUAACAAUCUCCACCUUGAUCCAAAUUCCCUCCAGUAGCCAAAGAAAAUGAAUAACUCCAUCCAAAUCAGCAUAAACACCUUGUGCGUCAAAGUCCAUAGGACUAGUGAGAAAUACCAAUUAAGCCUGAGCAAAGCUCAAACUUAUUGGUCGGAACUGGCUUUGUCAUCAUAUCAGCAGGAUUAUCAUGUGUACUUAUCUUGCAUACCUUCAAAUCGCCUUCAGCAACAACAUCUCGAAUAUAAUGAAAUCUGACAUCAAUGUGCUUUGUCCUCUCAUGAUACAUUGGAUUCUUUGUAAGAUAUAUGGCACUUUGACUGUCAGAAAAUAUGGUAGGGUUAGAUGAAUAUCCACAAAGCUCAGUGUACAACCCUCUCAACCAGAUAGCUUCUUUGCAUGCCUCAGAAAUAGCCAUAUACUCGGCAUCAAUAGUGGAACAAGCCACAAUAGACUGCAAAGUUGCUCUCCAACUCACAGCACAACCACCAAUGGUGAAAACAUAACCUAUGAGUGAUCUUCUCUUAUCCAAAUCACCAGCAAAAUCAGAAUCAACAAAACCAACGAGUCAAUCUCCAGUUUUUCCAAACUGUAAAUAAGCAUUAGAAGUACCACGCAUGUAUCUGAAAAAUCCACUGAAUUGCUUUCCAAUGCUCUUUUCCAGGAUUAGCCAUGUAUCUACUGACAACACUCAAUGCAUAAGAUAAAUCCGGACGAGAACAAACCAUGACGUACAUAAGUGAACCAACUGCACUUGAACAGGGAACUCUAGACAUGUACUCAAUAUCGGAAUCUGACUUAGGACAUAAAGCUGAUGACAGUUUAAAGUGUGCAGCUAACGGUGUACUCACUGGCUUGGCAUUAUGCAUAUUAAAACGACGAAGAACUUUAUCAAUAUAUCCCUUCUGACUUAGAUAUACUUUUCCAGACGAUCUAUCUCUGGAUAUUUCCAUGCCAAGAAUUUUCUUUGCUACACCCAAGUCCUUCAUCUCAAAUUCAUUACUCAAUUGCUUCUUUAGUUCAUUAAUCUAUGACAUACUCUUUGCAGCAAUAAGCAUAUCAUCAACAUAAAGGAGCAAAUAAAUAGUUGAACCGUUAACAGUUUUCAAAUAAACACAACUAUCAUAAUUAGACCUUUUGAAACCUUGAGAGAGCAUAAAGGUGUCAAAUCUCUUGUGCCACUGUCUAGGGGAUUGCUUCAAUCCAUAAAGAUAUUUCUUUAACUUACAAACAAGCUUUUCUUUUCCAGGAAUAACAAAACCUUUAGGUUGUUCCAUAUAAAUAUCCUCUUCUAAUUCUCCAUGUAAGAAUGCAGUUUUAACAUCCAAUUGUUCAAGCUCAAGAUCAUGCAUGGCAACAAUACUGAGUAAAGUGCGAAUAGAGCUAUGCUUCACAAUAGGAGAAAAGACUUCGUUAUAGUCAAUACCUAGAAUCUGGCUAUAACCUUUAGCAACUAACCUUGCUUUAUAUCUUGUCUCAUCAUUAGGAGAAACACCUUCUUUCCUCUUGAAAACCCAAUUGCAACGAAUAGGUUUCUUCUCUCUAGGCAAUUUUACUAAAUCCCAAGUGCCAUUCUUUUGAAGGGAUUCCAUCUCAUCAUGCAUAGCGGUCAUCCACUUAUUACUAUCACCAGAAAUAAUAGCCUCGGAAUAUGAAGAAGGCUCAGCAUUACCUUCAAUUUCUUAUGCAACAGAUAAAGCAAAAGAAACAAUAUUGCACUCUUCAAUUAACCUAUCAGGUUUAUUAAUACCCCGCCUAACUCUGUCACGUGUAAGAUUCCAAUUGGGUGGAAUAAUUUGCUGAUUUGGAGUAGGAGUGACAUGUUCAUCAUCAACGACGGGUUCAUCAUGUGCAUCAGCAUUUUCAUUACCAGAUGUAUCACCUGAAUCAAUAACAUGCUCCACCUGAACAGUAGGCUCCUGAACAAUAGGCUGUUGUUCACUCUCAACGGGAACAUUAGUAGAUGAAACAUCAUGUAACAUAGCAGAUUCAUUAAAGAUAACAUUUCUGCUAAUAACAACCUUCUGGGUUCCAGGAUUCCACAAUUUAAAACCUUUAACACCAGACUUAUAACCAAGAAAGAUGCACAUAACAGCCCUAGGCUCCAACUUUCCAUUAUCAACAUGAGCAUAAGCAGUGCAACCAAAAACUCUCAACUAUGAAUAAUCAGCAGGUGAACCAGACCAUACCUCAAUUGGAGUUUUCUUAUUAAGAGCAAUAGAUGGUGAACAUUUAAUAAGAUAACAAGCAGUGGAAGCGGCCUCAGCCCAAAAACGCCUAUGCAAACCUGCAUUGGACAACAUUGAAUGGGCUUUGGAAAUAAUGGUCAUGUUCAUACGCUCAGCAACACCGUUUUGUUGAGGAGUAUAAGGAACGGUGUAGUGUCUGAAAAUGCCUUCAGACUUGCAAUAAUUCUUAAAUUGCUUAGAACAGAAUUCCAUACCAUAAUCAGUGCGAAGUAUUUUUACCUUCUUUUUAGUUUGUCUCUCAAUCAUAAUCUUCCACUCCUUAAAUGCUGAGAAUGCUUCAUAUUUAUGCUUCAAGAAAUAAGACCAAACUUUUCUCGAAUAAUCAUCAAUAAUAGUCAGCAUGUAACUAGCACCACCUAAUGACAUCUUGCGAGAUGGUCCCCAUAAAUCAGAAUGCACAUAAUCAAGAAUACCUUCGGUUGUAUGAGUCAAAGUGUUGAACUUCACCCUCUUGUGCUUACCGAAGAUACAAUGCUCACAAAAUUUCAGUUUACCAGGUUCAUAUCCAUCAAGAAGACCUCUCUUAUUUAACUCUGCUAAACCAGGUUCACUCAUAUGUCCAAGACGCAUAUGCCAAAGGUUAGCAGCAUCACAAUCAGAAUUCUUUGAAACAACUGGAGUAGCAUUACCUGAAACAGUAGAACCUUGAAGGUAAUAAAGAACAUUGGUCGAACUUAAGUCACAUUUCAUUACAACAAGGGAGCCUUUGGUGACCUUCAAAACACUAUCUCCACCUGAAUACUUGUACCCCUUUGCAUCAAGGGCACUAACAUAGAUAAGAUUUCUCUUCAUCUUUGGAAUAUACCGAACAUCUGUCAAAGUUUUGAUUGUACCAUCAAACAUCUUGAUUCAAACGGAACAUAUGCCUUCAAUCUUGCAUGGUGAAUUAUCAAAACCCAAAAUGAAACCAGCAGCGGUAGUGGAAUCAAAAGUAUUAAACCAAUCUCUAUGUGGACAUAUAUGAAAAGUGCAUGCGGUGUCAAGUACCCACUCAUCAUUGGUCUCAGCACAUCCAGCAAUAACGACAAGAGCAUCAUCGGAACUAUCAUCACGAGCAACGUUAGCAGAAUUUUCACCUUGUUUGUUACCUUUCCUCUUUUCCUCGUUUUGCAACUUGAAGCAUUCUGAGAUGUCAUGCCCGUCUCUGUUGCAAUAUCUGCAAUAUUUCUUGUCUCUGGAUUGCGACCGGCCCCUGUAGCCGUUUUUACUUUUGCCUCUGUUUCCAUUAUUGGAGUUCUUCUCCUUUGUCCUGCUACGAACAGAUAAUCCCUCGGCUUGGGAUGAAGUCGAACCAUCAUGAGGCACCAUUAAUUUCAUCUUCUCCUUGGAGUUCAAAGCUUCAUAAACUUCAUUAAGCAUGAGAGUAUCACGACUGUAUAAUACGGUGUCUCUAAAAUUGGUAUAAGAACUUGGCAGUGAAGAAAGUAACAUUAAAGCAGUAUCUUCCUCUUCAUACUGAACCUCCAUUGCAGCUAGAUCAGAUAUGAUCUCUUUAAAUUCUAAAAUAUGAUUCAAAACAUUACCUCCCUCGGGUAACCUGUGCAAGAAUAAUUUUUUGCUUCAGAUGCAUCUUGCUGGUGAGAUCUUUAGUCAUGCAAAUCCCUUCCAGUUUUAACCAUAGAGCAGCGACAAUUUUCUCGCUCAAAACUUCUUGCAAAAUAUUAUUAUGCAAAUGGAGUUGAAUUUGUGACAAAGCCUUACAAUCAAUUCUUUUCUCCUCAUCAGUACAGUCCUGAAUUCUAUUUUUCCCAAAACUAUCCAGUGCUACAUCAUAGUCGGACUGUGCCAACAACGCCCCAUCUUGACUUGCCAUAGGGUAAACCUUGUGUCACGGUCCAACAGCGGAAGAUCGUACUUCAUGGAUGCCAUGAGUCGAUAAAUCUGUGUAAACAAAGUAGUACAAGCCCGAUAGAGAAAUUCUUGAUAGAAUUAAUACACGGAUCAAAGAACUAGUAAAUAGAUAGCACCUGGUAAGCGCCGUGUGUUUAGUAAGCAGUAAAAAGAAAUACAAAUAGUAGCAAUUAGCACCAAAGUGCGCUGUAGCUUGACGUGAUGGCGUACUAGUUGAAGUGCUAGUACACUAGUACUGCCAGCCCUUGGCCUUCACGUGUGGACGUGGUGGCUGGUCAGAACGCUCGCCGCCGAAAAGAAUCUGGGGACUUUGUCCAAGCGGGUGCUGCUUUUCUUCUGUCGCCUUGAGACUCGGGAGCAGCGCCGGCCAGAUUAAAUCAUACAACACGUCGGCUCGGUGCAGCGGAUUCGUCUUGAUCUCGGUGUAGAGGAAAAAAUCAAUAUCCGAUCUUGAUCUGGACAUGGAUGAUGAGCCGCCCGGACUGGGCGGAUUGCACGACACGGCGAUAGCGCGGAACCCUAAUCCUCUCGAUCUCAAAUCUCGUCUCUAAAACUUGGCUCUGUAUAUCACUUGUUAUAUAAUAACGAGAAUAAACGAGACAGAAAGACACGGUUUUUUACGUGGAAACCCUUGCAGAAGAAAACCACGGAUGCACGAAGGCGCAAUCACUAUGAUGGAGUAGUAUUACAAGCAUAAGACGACAUACCGUCUUAGGCGCGACUACAUGGGGUAUAUAUGAGGGGCAACACAUAGAGUCCUUGUAGGACAAGUAAAUGAGUUGUACUCAUACGUGUCGGUACCAACGCAAAGGCCCACACCGUAUGUACUACGUCUAGUCUAAUACGGUACUAGAAUUUAGAUCAUAAUUUAACAGCUUCAUGGGGCUGCGUUACGGGCGCGUUGGCAGUGGAGGAAGUGGUCAGAUGAUGGUAGGUCAUGGCAACAACUCAUCCUACCAACUGACCCGAUGGCUGAAUGUGUAUUCAGAGCCUCCACAUCAAUCAUCAUCGGUGACGGCUGCAAAGCAAAUUUUUUGCGCUCUCACUGGGUGGACGGUUGCCGACCUGCCGAUCUAUGGCCGAACCUCUUCGACCACUGCAAUGGGCGAUGGCUCUCCCUGCGUCUGGCUAUCAACGAGGACAAAUGGAUGCAGUACGUCAAGGCCAACCCCUCCCCGGUUGUCCUCCGCAAGCUUUGCCAGCUGUGGGAGGCCACGCAAGUGAUCACCUUCCAGGACGGCAUGACGGACUCUUUGCGUUGGAAAUGGACUGCAUCAGGUGAAUACACGGCGGCUUCAGCAUACCACAUACUGUUUCAGGGAUCCAAUGACAACUCCGUCAUUUGGAGGGCCAAGGCGGCGUCGCGAGCCAAGGCUUUCGCCUGGAUUCUGCUGAAGGGGAAGUGCCUGACAGCGGACAACCUGGCUAAACGACAGAUACCGCACAACCCCUUGUGCCCCCUCUGCCAGCAGACCCCGGAAACGGCCGUGCACCUCAUCGCAAACUGCACAUUCUCGGCUCGGGUUUGGGAGAAGACGGCGAGCUCUGUGGGACCUCCAUAUAUAGUCAUCCAGAUGCACGCAACCGGGCGUCUCCGAGAUCGCUUUCGAAGGCAGGUGGCCUCGCUGUCAACGUUAGACAGACCCACCUGGCGGGCAUCAUGCCUCCGGGUCGCAUGGUGCUUAUGGAAGGAACGAAACGCAAGGAUUUUUGAUGCCACAGCAAGCUCGGUGAACCAGGUCCACUCCAGAAUCCUAGAUGAGGCACGGUGUUGGCUGCACGCUGGGCUAAAGCCAAUGUCCAUGUUUUUUGAUCCGCCUUGAGGCGUUGUUUGGAUAAUGAGGAUUAACGAUCGGUAUAUAGAAAACAAGUUUUUAGCUAGAUUUUAGCCGAAUCAGUUUUAGUUGUGAUUUUACAAAUAACCAGUAUAUAGAAAGUCACGUUUGGGUUGGGAGAGUGUAAAAUCUGGUACGUACACUUCCUUGUUUGGAUAAGCCCGUUCCUAUUCUCUCGGUGAGUGGAUCUCCCGCAGCAAAACACAAAACACCAACAAAGUUGUUGAGAAAUGAGCGGGUGAAGAAAAAACUGUUGCGCUCACGCAUGUAGCAAUUGUGUUUGUGGAAAAACGGAUAAUACUCGUUUUUCUAUAAACCCGAAAUCCUGGGUUGUGCAGUUCCUAGUUUCCUAUAUACGUGGAUUUGUUUUAGUAACCAAACGAGGUUUUCUUCGGCUCAACCGUUUUCCUAGUUUUUAGAGUACGGGUUCUGUAUAUAUCACCUAUCCAAACAACGCCUGAGUGUGUCAAAGCUGGUUUGUAUAGUUGGUCGCCGGUGCCGAACCCUGUCUAUGUAACCAUCAGCUACUCUAUUUUUCUUCUUCAUCAAUGAAAAUCAGCUCUAGGUGCUUUUUCGUCAAAAUUAACCAAAAUUUCAUCAAGCACGGAGACUUGUGCAUAUAUGGUCCUUGCGCGUAGUGAUAUCAUUGUCCUCCGGCCAUAUCAAAAAAGCGCCAAAACUUUUCUUUAACAUUUUGCAUUAAUCAUUUUGUCAAACGUUAUUCUUUAAUCUUUUUCUUUAGUACGUGUUUUCAUUAGUCCUUCAAGCAAGUGAGCCAGUCGCGGGCAUAGAGAGAACCAAAUUUGUAAAGCAAACAAACCCACGCUUCGGGAAGGUGAGGCGAACUAACCAAGCCACUACCUAUGAGUUGCCGGCUCAUUCUUCAACAGGCACGCGGUCAGAGAUCACUUUCCCCUCCCACUGCUUGGGAGCUCAGCACGGUUUCACGUUCUAUUUCACUACCCACUGGGGGUUCUUUUCACCUUUUGCACUCUUUCUAGGUCUAAUGCGAUAGAGAAGCAGGCAGUGAACGGAUUCAUCCUGCAAAAGUGGCCUUUCAAGUGUACCAAAAAGUUCUUUGUUAGUUUAUAUUAAGGUAAGUAAGAAAAAGACAUGUUGGACUUCUUUUUUGAGAACCAGACAUGUUUGACUUCACAAUCUCUCCCAUUGCAAAGUAAAUUAAAAUUUAGGCAUCUGCUUACUUUGAGUAAUAAGUGAUGCCUACCCUUUCUAGAGAAAAUAAUCACAUCAUAUCCUGACAUGUUGUUAUCCUUGAUUGAUUUCCUUACUGGUCCCAUUUUCCUAGUUUAUAAACCGAUCACACAUUUUAAGAUUCAACUUAGACUAUCAUUCAAGCCAAUAAUUUGUAAAUUAUUACCAUAAAAAUAUACCAUAGGAACUAUCGAAUAUGAAUUCAGGGGCAUAAUAUUUGGAUGACAUAACCUACAUUUUGGUAAGAAACUAACACCCACACGUGUGGGCGUUCUCCAACUCGCCCACACGCCUGAAUGGUCGGUGAUUGUCUUUUGCACAAAUCUUGACAUGACAAGGUGGAUUUGGUGUGCCACGUAGGACGGGGCUGGUGUGUGGGCGUUGGAGAGUUUUCCCACACGACGCACAUCACGCUGUUGCCAGCUGCACUGUGUGGGCGAACUGAUUUUAGCCCACACGAUACUCCUACGUUAUGAAUGGCAACUGCAUUUAUGCGAACGUGGCAACUAGGUAAACAAACAUGGCAACUGUGAUUAUUUUGCUAGACGACAACUAGUUGCGCGUACGUGGCAUCCAGAUAAACACACAUGGCAACUGCGAUUAACUAUACAUGUGAACUAUGGUUGGACCACACGUGGCAAUUAGGUAAACACACAUGGCAACUACUGUUUGACCAUGUGUGGCAAGUAGUUAAUCACACAUGGCAACUAUGGUUUGAUUACACACGGCAACUACCAUAAAUUAUACAUGGCAACUAUACUUAAUCAAAACAUAUAGAGUUGCCAUGCUUUUACAACUACACUUGCCAUCCCGGAUAACUACAUCUGCCAACCAGGAUGGCAACUAAAUCGUCAUCCCACGGAGUACCUAACAUAGUUGUGCUAGGACGUGUGGGCAUUUUUGCUUCGUGCCAUACGCGCGGGGUGAAGAUGAGUAGUACUGUUUGGCGUGUGGCACGAAGUAGUCGUGCCCACACAUGUGAGCAAUUCUAAUGUCCGCCCACACACAACCCAUGUGGGCUGCCUCCUGCUCACACCACACAUGGUCUGUGGCUAGACCCUUUAAGGCCCACAUGUGUGGGCGUUAUCGGCGUCCAAGAACUUUUAUGCUCAGUAAUUCCUAAUGCAAACCAACAACCAUCUUUCGGUUGCUUUUAUUGUCCAUGGGCAUGUGUGUAAUAUGGCAUUCUAAGUUUGCAUUUAAAUAUGGAUCAUCUUGGGGAGUCAAAGGGAUAGGAUGGUCAUUUCAUGUUAAACAUUAAAUUAUGCAUACACCUAAAACACCUUGUAAAAGUUAAUAGAGGGAACGUUAACCUGAGUGCCUAGCAAUAAUGCAAGUGCAUCAUUUUGGUUCUCACUUGAUCAUCUUAGCGACUUGUCUCGUGAGCCCUAUAGAUCUAGUCAUUACAUGCUCAUUGUAGAGCGAAGCCAUGAAGAUUGAAAUUAGCAAAUCAUGUGGACUAGAAUCAAAUUGUCCUUGUUCUUAUGAUGCUCACUACUUCACUACUAGUAAUAAAUUAACAAUUUAAUAAUAUUUUGUAUUCAUGUUUCUAUUGAGUUACACAGAGGAUUUGGUGUGAUGGCCUAUCUUUCGUUUGAUAUACCAAGUUGGAAUCAAUCAACACUAAGAAGUUUUUCAGUUUUGGUUGAGUUUGUGAUAGCUUUGUCAUGGUUUUCUAGCGGCAUUCGCUUUAGGGUUACGUAGAGAAACAUUGGUAAUUGCACCACUCGUCGUAGACUUAAAUGACCAAACCAUUGGCAUGUGAUGUUUGGUGGAGAAAUGAUGUAUUGGCCACACAAAUGUUUAGCUCCUAGAUUUUAUAUGCAUAUCUAUCUUCCCCAUGUGGCGGGAUCAUGUUUAGUUGCUAGGAGAUAAUGCCAAAGCAUAGGAGAGCAACACUGAUGAGCACGGUGAAUGCACCGACAGUCACAUAUCGUGACCGAGCAGGGAAUGUGAUGUAUCAAAACUUUGAGUUGGAGCCAAGUAAAAAGAAAAAAAAUCCAUCGAAGAGUGGUUGAACUAGCAAACACCCAUCAUAUGGUGGCUCUACGUUGUCAAUUCAGUGCAAUUCAUCCUAGAGUAUUGAGUCGUAGAUUUCAUCAGUCGGAUAUACUGGUUGCACGAUCUAAGACUUCACCAAUCUCUAACACUUGAAAAUGGAAGAGAAUAUGUAUGCAUUGUAUCCAUAUUUUCAUAAGUGGAAUUCUAGUCUUAGUCCUAAGAACACACAGUUAUUUGCAUCUGUUAAUCGCAUCACCUCUUGACUUACAUCCUUAAAGGGCAUGUCGCAUUACUAUGAUUUACAACGCAUACCUUUAUACAUUGUUGUUGCACCUAGUUAGCACAAUUAGUUGGCAUGAUAGUAAAGCUCACAGUUCAUUCGCUUGUUCAAAACAAAAAAAUCCUUCGUAAAGAUUCUCAAACCAUAUGAAUAAGGCCACAUAAGUUAAUGGAUGCAACAAUUUAGUUCGACCAUACUUGAUCUAUCUUAAUUAACAAUGAUAAAAGAUCCAAUUGUUUUGAUAUUACAGAUAGCCAUGCCCAGCCAAGGAAUAUAUGGCACGGUGUAGCAAUGUGCAGGACUGCCAUGCCCAAUUCGCACACAUCAUGUCUCUUUCCACUCACUACCCUGUCUCCAACUCUCACUACAACAAAUAUGUGAACUUGUGACCUUCACUAUUGGUCACUGAAAGGUCAUUAUUUUCAUUUGCAAUCUUUUUUUGACCAAAAACAGAAGGUCAAAAGCUAGCGGUCAUAAACUGAAAUUAACGACCUUCUCUGUGAGAAAGUCGUGGACGUUUACGACCAAAAUAUGCCUAUUGUUUUGUUUUGGUCACUAGCAACCUCCCCAGGCCAUGUAGGCAUCCAGCGUGGCAAGCUGAUGUGGCACAAGAUUCAGCCCGGUCCGAUUCGGCAUUUUACAUGGGCCGAGCCCAUUAAUUCAGCCCAUUUAAUUUAUUUUUUCCCUGUUCUUUGAUUAGCUAAAUAGGCCUGGCCCAACAAUUAGGACUUUUUUUUUCUGAGAUGCAGUCUUUUACAAUCCAUUUUUUGGGUCCUCAACCUUUUUAGAAUCUGAAAUUUAAAUUGCUCUUUUUAGAAACAAGUCCAACAUAGUUUGGGCCAUGGCCUUUUUAGAGCCCAAGUAUUGAGUGCAAUAUAAAUUCUGGACAAGGCCUUUUUACAAUCCAAUAGUGGGCCAAGCCCUCUUUUAUUUACAACCAAUAUUCUCAAAUCAGUAUAGUAACAGUACUUCUUUCCCACAAUAAUAACACAAGUAUAGAAAACUUUCUCACACAACUUUAUCUCGCAUAACAUUAGACAGACCAACAUGUAUCAAUAACUUAUCGCCUAUGUUCACAAGUACAUAACUUUUAUCUGACACAACAUUAUACAGAACUGUAUCUUGCAGGUUCAAAUCGCAUAAACUUUAUCUAACAGGUUCCCCGCAACAAAAGAUGAUCACCAUCAUCUCCUAAUCAAGAUGCAAAUAACCACACAUUUAAAAAGAAAAAGCAAUAUGUCAAAGAGAGACAAACAAAAAAUAGAGACUUGCAUCAAGUAGACUUGAUGAUGUACAAAUAGUAAUCAAACUAGCAUCUACUUUGCCCGAGAGAUAGCAUGAAGCAGUUUUGAUGCCAUUCAUGCAUUUUUUCUGAGACUAGCAGCAAAAAAUACAUAGGAUGCCAAACAGCCGGCAGCAGCUAAGAUCGGUUAGUUGUUGGCUACCACUGAUGGUGAGAACUAAACGAGCAGCUUAUAUUCAUUGGGCUGGGUUGGAUUGGAUUGAUGCUGACAAAGUGAUAACAGGAAGGUAAUGAGCACAUACGACGAGCUCUUGUAUACCGACAUGCAUGAGCACUUGUUAAUAUUUAUAUUCAUCACAGCAACCUAUAACCACCUACGCAUACAAAUCAGAAAGCACACAUAUAUACUGAACAAAAGCAAUGACCAUGAAUAGAUGACUUAACAAUUCAUGUUUGUUAACAAAACAAGAGUGGACAUCUCAUAGUGAGUCUAAUACAGCUACACUAAGCAGAGAACCACAUCAAGACAUGAAGAGUAAGCCGUCACACUAUAGGAGGAUUGGACUGCAUACCUAGUCGUCCUUGAGGUAGAGGACUGCAUACCUAGUCGUCCUUGAGGUAGAGGACCAUCUUGGUACCCCUACUGAGCUACUCCCCAAACGUAUCACGAGUGACGGUGAAGGAGCUACCGGCCUGGGACUCCCACACGUACUGCCCAUUGUUGUUGUGCUUUGUGGUGACGACGACCCUCUCGGCAACAAGGUAGGCGGAGUAGAAGCCAACACCAAACUGCCCAAUCAUGGACACAUCAGCGCCGGUGGCGAGGGCCUCCAUCGGCACUGUACUGAUCUUGUCCAAGGCCUGCAAAAGUCACACCGGCAAGCACACCAUGUCAGCCCAGGAACAAAUCUCGCACACCACGAAUCAAACCGUGGGUCAACGGAUCUGGCUCGGCAGAAUCUAAAGCCUAGCCUAAAAUGGCCAAUGUAAUUAAUGGCCAGUGCUGCUAGUAUUGAAUGUACCACAUCAUCAAGCAUUAUAUAGUACUACUAUGUGAUUGAUAUGCAAAAGAAGAUGCAUCUCCCAUGUUCAGCAAUCAGGAUCAACCAUGAAGUUUCUACUACUCCUACAUCAUUUUAGCUAAUCAUUUAAGAUGAUCAUUUAAGAUGCUAAUGUUUACUUGUCAAGUACAAUUAUUGUUACUCUAAGAUUUUAGCUAAGCAAAUAUAAAGAUAAGAAGACACUUUGCCACCAAUAUUUUGUGACAUCUGUAGAAUUUUCGUACCUCAUAAACAUGCAUGAAAUGUCUAUCUCAAAGAAGUAUACAUACUGAUCAUGUUUAAUUAGGCCAGCAGCACAAAACAACCAAUUAUAUUGCCUUACAAGAAGUACUAGCAGAAAAAACCUCUAAUAACCAGGCAUACAACUCAAUGCGCCAUAGCAACAGAACUAAGAAGAUGAUCAAAGUGAAGAAGGUAGCCCCAAGAGUUCACCGGAGUUCACCAGAGAUUUGUAGUGCAGAGGCAGGAGCCAAGGAGGUAGUCAAACUGUUGAAGUCAAGGGCCAGCCUAGCCUUCUACCACGCAUGAGGCCACAACCAGCCCAGCACCACCACCACCGUCGAAGCCCUCACCAACGUCCAAGCUUCACCGAGCUCCCUGCAAAUUGCAUUUAGCAUCAAAGCAUCAAUAGUUUUGCAAAGUGAAUAUAUUAGGGGAAGCUAAAAUUAGCAUAUACACAGGCAGGGCAGGGUUUAAAUAACCAAGUCAUGUUUAAAAGAGUUAAUUGAAUGAGUACAAUUAGCAUGUAACCUGGAAAACAUAUAGCUAGUAUCUAUCUAUCAACACAUGUCAUCACAUAGAAGCCAGAUACUAUUAACUUCAUGAUUCAGAAGCAGGAGCAGUUGAUGAAGCUAUGUACCUGGGGUAGGGUCAUGGACCUGUCCAAGAUACCCUCCCCAAGGACAUCUCUAGAAGAAACCACCUUUUCAAUCGACCAUGAGAAAUGUUCCACUCGACGAACUCGAAGACACUCGACCAUGAAGCCAACCACUCGACAGCCAGGAGUUCUAAAGUCACUCUGCACGCAAACGGUCGGGCAUUAAGUAGCUUUUAUGGUCAUCAUAGCACUUUAUGUGGGGCGUUACCAGUAACUCCCGAUCUUAAUGUACUUUAAACCCUACAUAACUGAGGUCCGGAGGGGUCUGGCGAACUCUAUAUAAGCCACCCCCUCCUCAGUGUAAAGGGUUCGCACCCCUGUAACUCAUACGCAUAUAAUCCAGUCGACCGCCUCCGGGAUCCGAGACGUAGGGCUGUUACUUCCUCCGAGAAGGGCCUGAACUCAUAAAUCCCUUGCAUAUACAACUACUCCAUAGCUAGGAUCUUGCCUCUCCAUACCUACCCCUCUACACUACUGUCAGACUUAGAACCACGACAGUUGGAGCCCACCGUGGGGCAGGUGUCUUAGCGACUCAUUAGAGAAGUUGCGAUUUUUUUCGAUCUCUUUCAUCAUGGUUUCAGGCAGAAUUUGGGUUGAGGGCCGCGAGAUCCGUCUCGGCGCGCUCACGUUCAUCAUCGACGACUCCACUUGGCUUUAGGAGGCUCCGCUCGACAUCGACGUGAUCCCUGUCUGCAGGGCGUCGCACUUUCGCGCGUGCGUCCACGACGUCCUCCGGCGACAACCGUCGACCCAGUAUCGGUCGUCCCCUGUGUCGUCCUCCCUCCCCGUCUCCCACUGUCGCAAGCGCUUCGGUCGGUCGAGGCUUCAGCGGUGGGUGAGGCACGCGGUGGCCCGCCAGUCGACCACCUCCCAAGUCGCGGCGAUCGAGCCCGACGAAUCUCUCUACGGCCUGUUCGACUGGCUCCAUAAAGACUGCAUCCGAAUGCGACAGCAGUGAUCCAACGGCGGAGGUUCUGAUGGUCGAUGGACCACGCAGUCCUCCCGGCUUUCCCCGCACCGACGUAGGUGACGGCGGAGGCGAUCCGGCUCAUGCCAACGAAGAAUAUCACGCCGAGCCCGUCACUUCGCUGUAGACGGAAGAACUUCGCCGCUGGAACAUGGAUGCACUGCACACUCCUAUCGUUGGAGAAACCCCAGAGGCUCGUGCCUUAGAGGACGCGCGCUUGGCCAACUUGGCUGAGCGCACUCGACUGGAGAACCUCCAGCGAGCACUCGACGAGCGUGCGCGGCAACGGGUUCCAGAAUCCAAUCGGCGUCAGCUCUUUCCACCACCGACUCAGGUAUAUCGAACUCCGAUUCAGAAUCUAGCAGCUGCAGCCCAUAUAGCCGAGUCGAUUCAGCCUUCCUAGUCAGAGGCUGGCAGAGGCUUGUUAUAGAUCAGAGCAUUACUCCGGGCAGCAGGAGAUCAGAAUUCAGCUGUAUCCCAGUCGUAGAAUAGGAUUCACAGCAGAUCUGUCGCUGCAAAUACAGUCCAGUCGGCCAAUAGCCCAAGAUCGCCCCCGAGGCAUGAGGGACGUGGAGACCGGCGUGAUCAGUACAAGAACCGGGAGCAGUACGAUGACCGACUCAAUCGUGAUGAUCGGCGUCGAGUGCCCACCCCUCCCCCAAGGGGUGGAUCGUACGUGCCUCGAUAGCAGGAUGACAGACGCCAUCACAGUGUUGGGGGAAGGAUUCCAGUCGACCCCAGGGAACCAGGCUUUGAUGCGAGAUCCAUUAUCGUUCAAGGUUUGGUCGACAGGAACAGAGCUCACCGAGAAGGUCAUGAUAGAGAUGCACCCACCAGCAGCAGAGUUCACGUCUCAGGACCAGAGUGUUUCAGCAGAGCCAUCAGGGCCGCGGUGAUUCCUCCCAACUUUAGGUUGCCGACUGGAGCCAGUAAGUUCACUGGUGAGUCCAAGCCUGAUACUUGGCUUGAGGACUACCGAGUGGCUAUUCAGAUUGGCGGCGGCAACGAUGAGGUGGCCAUGAAACACUUGCCUCUUAUGUUGGAGGGCUCGGCCAGAGCAUGGCUGAAUCAGUUAGCACCCAACAACAUUUACACUUGGGAAGAUCUUGCCCGAGUGUUUGUCAGAACAUUUGAAGGAACUUGCAAGCGACCAGCAGGGUUGACAGAGCUGCAAUCCUGUGUGCAGAAUUCGAAUGAAACUCUGAGGGAUUAUAUCCAGAGAUGGAUCACGUUGCAUCACAUGGUAGAGAAUGUAUCUGAUCACCAAGCAGUCUGUGCCUUCAAGGAAGGUGUUAAAUACAGAGAGUUAAACCUGAAAUUCGGUCAAACCGGAGACAUGUCUCUGAGUCAAAUGAUGGAGAUCGCCACCAAGUAUGCAAAUGGUGAAGAAGAGGAUCGGCUUUGGAGUGGCAAGCAUAAGUCAGUCGCCCAUGAAACCGGAGGAGGGAACUCCAGUCGGAAGCAAAAGCGGAAAGCUGAGCCAGCUGCUACUGGAGAAGCCUUGGCCGUGACUCAAGGAAAGUUUAAAGGGAAGCCCAAAGGGUCUUGGAACCCUAAGAAAGUGAAGGACAAGGAAGGGAAUGACGUGAUGGAUUUGCCGUGCCACAUCCACAUGAAGAAAGAUGAGGAGGGUAAAUUCAUUUAUCCAAAACAUACCACUCGACAGUGUCGGCUCUUGAUCCAGCAAUUCCAGGGGAAAUAACCCAAAGAUAAGGAAAAGGAGUCGGACAAAGUUGAAGACAAAGAAGAUAGUGAUGAUGGAUAUCCCAGGUCAAUUCCACGCUGAUGAUUUUUGCUGAUGUUGAAAGCAAAAGUCGAUUGAAAGUUAUCAACGGAGAAGUGAAUAUGGUCGCUCCGGCAACACCAAGUUAUCUGAAAUGGUCUCAGACUGCCAUCACAUUCGACCAGUCCGAUCAUCCGACACACAUAGCCACCCCUGGGUGCAAGCUUUAGUGGUCGACCCAAUCGUCGAAGGCACUCGGUUGACUAAAGUUUUGAUGGUGGCAGUGGCCUAAAUAUACUAUAUGCAGAGACGUUGAACGGAAUGGGCAUUCCGAUGUCCAGACUUAGUACCAGCAACAUGAGCUUCUAUGGAGUCAUUCCUGGAAAGAAGGCUAAGUCACUCGGCCAAAUUUCUCUUGAUGUGGUUUUCGGUGAUUCCAAUAAUUACCCUAAAGAAAAGUUGACGUUUGAAGUUGUGGAUUUCCAUUGUGCUUAUCAGGCUAUUUUGGGCAGGCCAACUUAUGCACGUUUCAUGGCUCGACCAUGUUAUGUGUACCUCAAAUUGAAGAUGCCUGGUCCCAAAGAUGUGAUCACUAUCACUGGCAAUCGGAAGAAGGCGGAAGAGUGCUUUCAGAAAGGCUCAAAUAUCGCCGAUGCUCAGAUCGCAGUGGUAGAGCUGCAAGAAUAUGAGAAAACUGCAGACCCGAGUGAUUUGUUACGAGCAAAGAAGCCUGCUAUGGAAUCAGCUUUUCAGUCAUCCGGCGAGACAAAACCGAUUCACAUUCACCCGACCGACCCCAAUGCUGCUCCGACCCAUAUUUCUAGGACACUCGACUCUAAAUAGGAAGAAGCGCUCAUCCAGUUCCUCCGUGAGAACUGGGACAUCUUCGCAUGGAAACCUUCUGACAUGCUGGGUGUUCCCAGGGGGCUGGCUGAGCAUCGUCUACGAGUCGACUCAAAAGUGAAACCUGUUAAAGAACAUCUUCGAUGGUCCGCCGUCCGGAAAAUAAAGGCCAUUGGCGAGGAGGUGGCUCAGCUCUUAGCAGCGGAGUUUAUCCGAAAAAUUUACCACUCCGAGUGGCUCGCCAAUGUUGUCAUGGUCCCCAAGAAAGACAAGUCACUUCGCAUGUGCAUCGACUUCAAACAUAUAAAUUGGGCCUGCCCGAAAGAUCAUUUUCCUCUCCCCCGCAUCGACCAAAUAGUCGACUCGACUGCGGGAUGUGAGCGCCUGUAUUUUUUAGACGCCUAUUCCUGUUACCAUCAGAUCCAUCUGUAUGGACCUGACGAGAUCCAAACAGCUUUCAUCACUCCAUUCAGGUGCUUCUGUUAUGUCACCAUGCCAUUCGGCCACAAGAAUGCCGGAGCCACGUUCAUGAGGAUGAUUCAGAAGUGUCUGCUCACUCAAAUCAGUCGGAAUGUGGAAGCAUACAUGGAUGAUAUUGUGGUCAAGUCACGAAAGGUUCCGACCUGCUGACUGACCUUGCUGAAACAUUUGCCAACCUCAGGAGGUAUGAUAUCAAGCUUAACCAAUCAAAGUGCACAUUCGGAGUUCCUGGCGGAAAAUUACUCGGUUUUCUCAUUUCCGAACGAGGAAUCAAUGCCAACCCAGAAAAAGUUGGUACUAUACUCCGAAUGAAACGUCAUGUACGUGUGCACGAUGUCCAGAAGCUUAGUGGUUGCUUGGCCGCUUUAAGUCGAUUCAUCUCUCGUCUCGGUGAAAAGGCAUUGCCUCUUUACCGACAGAUGAAGAAAUCAGACAAGUUCGAGUGGACUCCUGAAGCUGAUGUAGCGUUUGCAGAGCUAAAAGCCCUGCUUUCCACCCAGCCGGUGCUUGCUGCCCCAAUCAGCAUAGAGCCUUUGCUGCUUUACAUUGCAGCCACGGGACAAGUCGUCAGUACAGUACUUAUGGUCAAGCGGGAAGAAGAAGGAAAAGCCUUUAAAGUUCAACGCCCAGUAUAUUAUGUUUCUGAAGUUUUGACCCCAUCAAAGCAAAGAUACCCUCAUUAUCAGAAGCUUGUAUAUGGGAUUUAUAUGACCACGAAGAAGGUUGCUCAUUACUUCUCUGACCAUUCCAUUACAGUCGUCAGCGACGCCCCAUUGUCAGAGAUUCUGCACAACAGAGAUGCCACUAGUCGAGUGGAAAAAUGGGAGAUUGAACUCCUUCCCCUAUAUAUCAAGUUUGAGGCAAGGAAAGCCAUCAAGUCCCAAGCAAUAGUAGAUUUCAUCGCCGAGUAGAUUGAACAGCAAGUGCCGACUCAGGUUCACUCGGAGCACUAGACCAUGUUCUUUGAUGGUUCUAAGAUGCUGAAUGGUUCCGGUGCUGGGGUAGUGUUGGUUUUCCCCCGAGGAGAUAAGCUCAGAUAUGUGCUCCAGUUUCACUUUGAUUCCUCCAAUAACGAAGCAGAAUACGAAGCGCUUUUGUAUGGGUUGCGUAUGGCCAUUUCACUCGACGUCCGUCGCCUCAUGGUCUACAGCGACUCAGAUUUGGUGGUUAACCAAGUGAUGAAGGAGUGGGACGUUAGAAGUCAGGCCAUGACUGGUUACUGCAAUGCAGUGAGAAAGCUAGAGAAGAAAUUCGAGGGAUUAGAGCUUCAUCAUAUACCCCGACUGAAAAAUCAAGCGGCUGAUGAUUUGGCAAAAAUAGGUUCCAAGAGAGAAGCCAUUCCCAGUAAUGUGUUUUUGGAACACAUACACACAUCAUCAGUUCAAGAGGAUCCUUUUACCGAAGAAGCCCCGCAGCCAAAAAGUGUCACGGAUCUGACUGAAAAGUUGAGAUCCCAGCUGUGGUCGACCUGAUCAUGGAAGUCUUGGUCAUCAUUCCCGACUGGACAGUGCCUUACAUCGCGUAUAUCCUAAGUAAAGAGCUCCCAGAGAAUGAAGAAGAGGCUCGACAGGUCGUCCGUCGAUCCAAAGCCUUUACUAUGAUAAAGGGACAGUUGUACAGGGAAAGCGCAACUGGAGUCGGUCAGAAAUGUAUAACACCAGAAGAAGGUCGGAUAAUCCUUGACGAUAUCCACUCGGGGACCUGUGGUCAUCAUGCGUCCUCUCGGACCAUUGUGGCUAAAGCAUACCGAGUAGGGUUUUACUGGCCAAGGGCAAAUGAAAUGGCGAAAGAGAUAGUCGAAAAGUGUGAAGGGUGUCAGUUCUAUUCCAAUAUGUCACACAAGCCCGCCUCAGCCUCGAAGACCAUUCCAAUCGUCUGGCCCUUCUCUGUUUGGGGGUUGGAUAUGGUUGGACCACUGAGAACUGGCAGGAGCGGCUUCACUCACUUGCUAGUGGCGGUCAACAAGUUUACUAAAUGGAUUGAAGCUAAACCUAUCAAGAAUCUCGAUGCUUGCACUGCUAUCAGUUUUGUCAGAGAGUUGAUAUUUAGAUAUGGAGUUCCGCAUGGCAUCAUCACUGAUAAUGGGUCGAACUUCGAUUCCGACAAGUUCAAAGCCUUUUGCGCCUCUCAGGGCACAUGAGUCGACUACGAUUCAGUCGCUCACCCCCAGUCGAAUGGACAAGCGGAAUGAGCAAAUGGUCUAAUUCUCAAAGGAAUGAAACCCCGACUAAUGCGCGAUCUCAAGAACGCAGCAGGUGCAUGGAUCGAUGAACUUCCAUCAGUUCUUUGGGGAUUAAGGACCACCCCAAAUCGGUCGACUGGACGAACUCCUUUCUUUCUGGUCUAUGGAGCUGAAGCAGUUCUGCCGAGUGACUUGCCUCACAAUGCACCCCAGGUCGAGCUCUACUCUGAAGAUGAAGCAGAACAAGCCCAACAGGAUGCAGUCGACCUCCUAGAAGAAGAAAGGUAGAUGGCCUUGAUCCGCUCGACUAUCUAUCAGCAAGACUUGCGUCGAUUCCAUGCCAGAAAUGUGAAGAGUCGAACCUUCCAAGAAGGAGAUUUGGUCCUCCGAGUGGAUCAACAGAAGCCACACAAGCUCGCUCCUACUUGGGAAGGCCCCUUCAUCGUCACCAAAGUUCUCCACAAUGGAGCAUACCAUCUUUACAAUGUCGAUCGCCAGAUUGAUGAGCCAUGAGCUUGGAAUGCGGAGCUGCUCUGCCCCUUUUAUACUUAGGUGCUCACUCGGAUGAGAUGUUAUAAAAAGUACCUCUGUAGUUUGUUUAUCAAAGACAAGAGUGUUAUAAUUUUCCCAGUGAUUGUUGUUGCUUUUGUUUAAAUCCCCCAGUGGGUGGCUUAGCUGCGAAUCUGUUUUUGUCUAAGUUUGUAAAAAAAAAUCCUACCGAGUGACGAGCAAGCCUCUCACUCGGGGGCUUAGCUGUGAAUCUGUUUUGCCUAAGUAUUUGAAAAAUCCUACCGAGUGGAGAGCAAACCUCCCACUCGGAGGCUUAGCUGCAGUCCAGUACUUGCCUAAGUAUUUAAAAAUUCCUACCGAGUGGAGAGCAAACCUCCCACUCGGGGGCUUAGCUGUAGUCCAAGUACUCACCUAAGUAUUUGAAAAAUCCUACCGAGUGGAGAGCAAACCUCCCACUCGGGGUCUUAACUGCAGUCCAAGUACUCGCCUAAGUUGAAAAAUCCUACCGAGUGGAGAGCAAACCUCCCACUCGGGGGCAUAGCUGCAGUCCAGUACUCGCCUAAGUAUUUAAAAAUCAUACUGAGUGGACAGAAAACCUCCCACUCGGGGGCUUAGCUGCAGUCCAAGUACUCGCCUAAGUUGAAAAAUUCUACCUAGUGNNNNNNNNNNNNNNNNNNNNNNNNNNNNNNNNNNNNNNNNNNNNNNNNNNNNNNNNNNNNNNNNNNNNNNNNNNNNNNNNNNNNNNNNNNNNNNNNNNNNNNNNNNNNNNNNNNNNNNNNNNNNNNNNNNNNNNNNNNNNNNNNNNNNNNNNNNNNNNNNNNNNNNNNNNNNNNNNNNNNNNNNNNNNNNNNNNNNNNNNNNNNNNNNNNNNNNNNNNNNNNNNNNNNNNNNNNNNNNNNNNNNNNNNNNNNNNNNNNNNNNNNNNNNNNNNNNNNNNNNNNNNNNNNNNNNNNNNNNNNNNNNAAAUCCUACCGAGUGGAGAGAAAACCUCCCACUCGGGGGCUUAGCUGCAGUCCAAGUACUCGCCUAAGUUUAAAAAUCCUACCGAGUGUAGAGCAAACCUCCCACUCGGGGGCUUAGCUCCAUUAUAAUACUCGCCUAAGUAUUUAAAAAACCUACCGAGUGGAGAGCAAACCUCCCACUCGGAGGCUUAGCUGCAGUCCAGUACUCGCCUAAGUAUUUAAAAAUCCUACCAAGUGAACAGCAAACCUCCCACUCGGGGGCUUAGCUGCAGUACAAUAUUCGCCUAAGUAUUAAAAAAAAUUCUACCAAGUGGAGAGCAACCCUCCCACUCGGGGGCUUAGCUGCAGUACAAUACUCGCCUAAGUAUUUAAUCCAUUUCGAUCCGCAAGGACGAUGAGGUGCAGGUCGACUGCUACCUUCUCCUUUGGAGCUACGCCACAAAUACAAUGUGCGCUCUGCAAGGACAACGAGGUGUAGGUCGACUGCUACCUUCUCCUUUGGAGCUGCGCCACAAAUACAAUGUGCGCUCUGCAAGGACGACGAGGUGCAGGUCGACUGCUACCUUCUCCUUCGGAGCUACGCCACAAAUACAAUGUGCGCCCCGCAAGGAUGACGAGGUGCAUGUCGACUGCUACCUUCUCCAUCGGAGCCAUGUCACAAAUACGACGUGCGCUCCAUCCCGAUCCACAAGGACGCAGGUCGACUGCAAUCUGUGCUCCAUCCCUACCUACAAGAGCGAUGAAGUGCAUGUCGACUGGAUUUUUCCACUUCAGAGCCGCGUCUCAAGCAUUAAAGUAUAUUCCGAGUGAAGAACAAAGUUCGCUCGAAGGCAAAUGCAAGCAUAUUCAACGAUAAGCCAAGUUCAGAUAACAUCCUACAGAUUCAGAAGUGCUCAGGCGUCAAGCCUGUAAAAGUUUAUCGGUUACAAAACCACUCGGCAUUCCGAGGAAAAUUUUAGGUGAAGCAUAGAAGUUUUUCUUACUCCUCGGGUGGAGGACUGGAAGGCGCGACAAACUGGUCCAGGUCAAUCUCGUCAGCAAUCCGAGUGGCUGCAGCAAAGAAGGUCUCCAUGAAAGAUUGGAAGUCAUGCUUCUUGGUAUUGGCUACUUUGAUGGACGCCAGCUUGUCCUCUCACGCAUCCUUGUAGUGAACGCGAACCAGGGACAGGGCAACAUCAGCACCACACCUGGCAGAAGACUUCUUCCAUUCUUGCACUCGACCUGGAACUUCAUUCAGUCGAGUCAUUAGAGACUCGAGGUCAUUUUGAAGCGUCUCUCCUGGCCAGAGUGUCAUGUCGAUUCGCGACACCGCAACCUUCAGUUGAGCAAGGUAGUCAACAACUCCAGCAACACGAGACUCUUGUCGGAGCACGUUCAUGGUGGCUUCAUCCUUCAUAGGAGAGUUGAUGGGUUCCAAGCUUGUCUCCACUCGACUGGUCUCCUCCUCGAAGUUUGGCGGAAUUCUGCAAGCACAAUUCAAAGAUAAACCAGCAGUUCAAUGAUGAGUCGAUGAUAACAAGUCAGUCGGAUAGAAGAUAUUACCUUCAAGCAUGAUGAAUAACUUGUUGGCGAGCCCUCCUAGAUAAGCCUCUAGAUCGUUCUUAUUUCCCACCAGUUCACUAGCCUUGUCAUUCAGAGCUAUCUUGUCAUUCUUCAGACGGCUGACCUCCUUGUUGGCCGCGUCAAGAGCAGCUUUCAAAUUGGCGUUCUCCUCUUCAAGUUUACCGACUAAAGCCAGUUUUUCUUUCGCAAGCUUCAUUUUAUCCAAAGCUGCCUUCUGCGCUUCGGCAAGGUCAUGGUCCUUCUUCUUUAGAGCCUCCUUCAUUUUAUCUGCAAAGUGACAAUGAGAUCAGAAUCAGGAAUGGGCAGAAAGAUAAAGACAGUCGUCAAGAUUCUCACCGACCAUACCUUUUGCUUCUCCUUUGCCUUCUUAAAGUUCUCCUGAACAAGCUUCAAGUCAAGGUUGAGCUAGAUGUGUUUGUUUUCCAAUUCAGUAUAACGAGCCACAAGCUCGCAAGAUUUCUGCGAAGGAUCAGUUGAUAGACAUCAAAGAUGGGUCGCUUCCGAGUGACUAAGAGAAAAAUCAUAACAUUUCUAAGACUACAGCUGAAUCAAAAUAUUCAACAGUAGUCUCGGGGACUACACCCAGUGGGUGCACUCAGCGUGCCCCCACUGGUUCUACCGACUCGGUUCGAUCAGUCGGGUGAAAGAGACAAAGAGGUUAUGAUCCUAAAACUAUAGCACCAUAGCUAACUGCCAGCAGUCAACCAUGGUCUUAUCAUGAUCUACCAAAAAAACACAGGUUCUUCAGACCUUAGUCGACUGCCAGCAGUCGACCAUGGUCUCGGGGACUACACCCAGUGGGUGCACUCAGCGUGCCCCCACUGGUUCCAAGAUUCCAUUCGGCAUGGUCCGACCAGACCAAGUGAAGAAGUUAGAGUGAAGUAAUUCAAAAUACAAAGACUAUAGUUGACUACCAGCAGUCCACCAUAGUCUCGGGGACUACACCCAGUGGGUGCACUCAGCGUGCCCCCACCAAUCCAAAAAUUCAAUCGACACACCCAGUGUGUGUACAGAUACAAAGAUCUUCAGAAAGAAAGUCUUCUGAUAGCAUAUCCUAACAGAACAAGCGGUGGCCAACUAACCUGGACGUUGCUUUGAAGGGCUGAGCUAGCAUCGUAGGCUGCCUGGCUAGCUUCCCGGAUCACCUUCACCUGCUCCAUCAUGAUCCCCGCCUGGCGUACAGCCUCCUUAGCAGCACCCGCUUGGUCCUCUGGGACGUGGUGUGUGGCGAAAAGGGAGGGUGGGUCAGCAGUCCACGACGAAGGUCGAGCACUCGUCAGCAGCACAACAAAGGACACAGAAUUCCGAGUAAUAUUACCACCAUCCUGAACCGGUGCCUCAGGCACUGAUGCAGUCUGAGUGGUCUUUCUAUUCCUCCUCGGCCUCAGUGGCACCUUGUCGUCAUCAUCAGGGAGAUCGAUGACAUGAGGAGGAGCUUCAGGAAAAGUCCAAAGUUAAAAUCGAAAUCCAAUCGACCAAAAGUGAAAUUACAGAGAUCGUACCAAGGUUGUAGGUGGCAGCGUCUUCCAUUUCCUGGUCUUCUUUCUUGGUGGAGGUCUCAGAGGUAGCAGCACUGCAGAUUUCAGAAAUCAGUCGGUUAGCCAACAAGUCGACCAAGAGUCUGUCCGUGCUAAACAAGUCGACCAAGAUUCUGUUGUUACCCGGAGAUGGUGGGAAUGGUCAUUCUCAUCUUGGGCAAGGCCUUCGGCGGCUUUGAUGACGCCGCUCGUGGAUGCUUCGGCGCUUUUUCAGUCGGCGCCAGAGAGGUCGUCCGAGGGCGCUUUGACGACUGCCCAACAGGCGCAGUCGCUUUGCCACGCUCGUUCAAGAGGUCAUGGGUGAGCUUGGAUCGCCUUUCCGAACGAGGAGGAUCGACUUCCUCCUCCUCCUCUUCACUGGAUUCGUCGUCAUCCUCUUCCCCCUCACCAUCAGAUUGCCACUCCUCCUCACUUUCGCCUCCGCUCGCCUCUUCCUAUUCAGCUGGUUCUUGCGCCCCGUUGGGCAUCGAUUACAUCUCAGUAGUGGCCUAGAAGACAACAAACGAGACAAAAGUCAGUUGACUGAUUUUAAGCAAACAGAAAGAAGAAAGCAGGAUCACAGUCAGAGAUGCAGAAUUGGACCUGGUCUACUUCAUAUGAUUGGUCGAGUGGAGGAAUCCUCCUGGCUCCUCGGGGGUUGUCUUUGUUCCCUGUGAUGGCCGUCAACCACCUCUCCAGCGUAGCCUCCUCGACCUCCUCCAGGUGGAUCCGAGUGGUGUCCUCAGUACCAGAGUACAACCACAUCGGAUGGUCUCGAGCAUGAAGCGGCUGGAUGCAUCGUCGAAGGAAGACCUCCAAGAGGUCCAUGCCAGUCACCCCGUCAUGGAUAAGCUGGACAACACGUUCGACUAGCACCUUAACCUGCAUCUUCUCUUCUGGGAUCACCUUCAAAGAGGAAGGCUUCCUCACUCGGUCCAUGGAAAAAGGAGGGAGUCCAGUCGACUGCCCUGGUGUCGGCUGGUCCUUGCAGUAGAACCAGGUCGACUGCCAUCCACGGGCCGAGUCGGGUAGGAUCAUGGCCUGAAAAGAACUUUUCCCCCUCAUUUGAACCCCAAGACCCCCACACAUCUGAAUCACUUGUGUCCUCUCAUCACUCGGAUUGGCCUUUUUCACCGUCUGGGAGCGACAUGUGAAAAUGUGCUUGAAAAGACCCCAAUGAGGCCGACAACCCAAGAAAUUCUCGCACAAAGACAUGAAAGCAGCGAGGUACACGAUGGUGUUGGGUGUGAAGUGGUGGAGUUGCGCCCCAAAGAAAUUCAGAAAUCCCCGAAAGAAAGGGUGAGGCGGCAAAGAAAACCCACGGUCGACAUGGGUGGCCAAGAGAACGCACUCACCCUCCUGAGGCUGCGGCUUAGAGUCCUUCCCCAGGAGCUGCACCGAUCCAUGGUGGAUCAGUCCUCCAUUGGCUAGGUCGUCAAGAUCUGCUUGACGAAUUGUCGAGCAGAUCCAGUCGCCCUGGAUCCAGCUCUACGGCAGGCCGGCCCUCGAUGAAGAUCCGCCCCGACUGGUCGCCCUUCCCUUCGCCUUCGCUGUCGCUUUCUUCGCCCGCUCUAGAGCCGCCGUCUUCUCUUUCACCAUCUUCGCCGGCGAGGCGCGCACAGGGAAGCGACGCUGAGACGGAAGAGAACGCGGUGGAUAAGUGUGAGGAAGAGGGGAGGAAAUGAGAAUGCACUAUUCAAAAAAAAACUGUCCGGCGCCUUAUAUGAGGUUAUUUCCGAGUGACUGACUCAUGGGCCCAGGGAGAUCCUCUCAAAUCCCGCAACAGUUGCGCGUGCGAUACGUGGAGAAAAAGGUGGCGCGGAGAUCGAGGCGUCCCUGCCUUAUCCCAUCCGAUUACCGCGGCCUCCUCCGCCCCGCGUGCUUCCCAAAAUUUGAAUCCCAUUAAAUCCGCGAGCUACAGAGCAAAUCGUCAGACGGGAGAUUUCCUCCGCUCUGUCGUUCGGAAUUCGCCAAGCAAAUAAAUUCACUCGACGGAUACAAAGAAUGGAUCAAUGCGAUUGAAAAAGAAGUUGGUGCCGUCACCUAAGUUCAUUGAGUUUCUCAAAAAAAACCUAAGUUCAUUGAUCGAGAACAAGACAUGCUCAUAGCACGAAAAUUGGGUCGGAAGAGUUCUCAACUCCUUCCCCAUUCAAACCUCGAUCCAUUCGGGGGCUAAUGAUGAAGCUAUGUACCUGGGGUAGGGUCAUGGACCUGUCCAAGAUACCCUCCCCAAGGACAUAUCUAGAAGAAACCACCUUUUCAAUCGACCAUCAGAAAUGUUCCACUCGAUGAACUCAAAGACACUCGACCAUGAAGCCAACCACUCGAUAGCUAGGAGUUCUAAAGUCACUCUGCACGCAAACGGUCGGGCAUUAAGUAGCUUUUAUGGUCAUCAUAGCACUUUAUGUGGGCGUUACCAGUAACUCCCGAUCUUAAUGUACUUUAAACCCUACAUAACUGAGGGCUGGAGGGGUCUGGCAAACUCUAUAUAAGCCACCCCCUCCUAAGUGGAAAGGGUCCGCACCCCUAUAACUCAUACACAUAUAAUCUAGUCGACCGCCUCCGGGCUCCGAGACGUAGGGCUGUUACUUCCUCCGAGAAGGGCCUGAACUCGUAAAUCCCUUGCAUAUACAACUACUCUACAGCUAGGAUCUUCCCUCUCCAUACCUACCCCCUACACUACUGUCAUACUUAGAACCACGACAAUAGUGGCUACAGAUAACAUGGCCAAGUAAUCCCAAACAGGAAGGGACAGGCUUCGGAGCUAUGUCACGUUGUGAUGCUCUGCGGCAUUUUCCCAGGCUUCCAGCAGGAACACAUGUCGUGCCUCGGCACACUAGAAUACAAGCCAGCGCCACCAAUGGAUGCACAUGACGUGACGCACGCAGCUCAAAUCAACUAGGCGUACGCGAACACCUCGUCCUGCACAAGUACCUACAAUCCUAUUACCUGGAACGACAAACCACAGAGCUAGCGCCACCAAUGGAUGCACCUGACAUUUUACCUACCGCGCAGUGCUUAAAACAAGGAGGCGAUAAUUUUGCACGCUUCCCAAAUCCCUCGUACUGCAUGAGUAGCUGAAAUUCUACUUGGAAGCGAGCUAGCUAGCUAGCAACUCGUCGCCAAAAACUAGGGAGUAGACCCGUGCAGUAUCUAGUAAGAAGAGGAACACGAAACUAGGCCGCCUUGAGCCGAGUCGGGCGGGGUCGUACCUUGGAGGUGCUCACAGGGCUUCUCGAGGGCCUCGCGGAGGAACUGGUCGACCUACGCGACCGGAUCGUCGGCCUGCUGCUCCUCCUGUGGUGCAGCGGCCCGGCGGUCGUCGGUGAGGUCGGGCGAGGAGGAGACCCUUCGUGCCGCGCCACCGGAGGAGGAGGAGGAGAGGAGCAGGCGGCUCAUGGCCCCAUCGAGGUCGGCCGUUUCCCGCGAGUCGGGCACUGCGGUAGCAGCAGCCGCGAACACAGCCGCCGCGUCCUCCUCCAUGCCCGCUGUCACGCGGCCCGAUCUGCUCUGCUCGCGGCAAGGUAAGCUAGAAGCCGGCGAAGCACCUCCCGAUGGCCCGGCUCCUCCCACUCCUCCCGUCGAUCCCGACCCCCUGGCACCGCACGCCACGCGCUGGGCUCAUCGCCGCCAAGAUCUUGGGCGCGGCGUAGGAGACCGCAAGGAGGAGGGGGAGGGUCGUGGCAGCGUGGUGGUGGGAUGUUGGUUGGAGGUUGGAAGGGGAACUGGUUGCCCGGAGCAGGAGGGAGGAGAACGUCGACGGGGGAUCGGAUCUCUUCUGAUGAGGGAGGGGAGGGGAGAGCCGAGGUCAUGGCCGGCGGCAAGGUGAGGGAGACGAGGGAGGUGGGUGGCGGCGAGGGGAGGGAUCUGGAUCUGAGCGUUAGGGUUCGCCGCGCGGGGAGAUAGAGGAGUGGUGUGCGGUGGGUUCUUUUUAGGGGUAGCUCACGGUGGGUGGGUGAGAGGGUGAGGUGUGGGCCGUUGGAUUCAGGAGGAUUCGACAGUGAUUUAUCCAUGAUCCGCGUGAGAGGCCCCUCGACCAAUCAGAACGCAGUAUACAUGUAUGAUAUUUUGACCAUUUAAAUUGUCGUAAUCGACUAAAAGUAAGGUGUAUGUUAGCUAUUUUAUUAUGAACUGAAAAUUUGGAGAGAAAAAACUUCUCAUUGUGUCACCAAAUUUGACUAUAUUUUUUAGGAAUAAUCACAAAUUGAAAUAAGGCAAAUAUUUUUUUAAGAGUUAUGAGAAAUGAGUUCUUUUAAAUCAUUUUUUCAUUUUUUGAGUGUUCAAAAUGAGUUUUUUUAAGGACCUACAAUAUAUUUAUUGUAAAAUUGGAUGAAAUCAAUUUUAUAAACUAUUAGGCCAUAUUUACUGCACAAAUGAUCAAAUUUUUGGUUGUCAAAAGGUUCUAUACACUUCUUGUGAAAAAGACAAAUUUCCACCGAUUCAGCUGGAAGCGGGUUAAAUUUGAACUGCAGCUACCUUAUGGUUUGCUCUUUAUUUUUUCCAAAAAUCAUUUCUAGGUACAUAAGUAUCAAUUUAAUCAGAGAAACACCAAAAAAAUUCCAAGAUUCAACCACUAGCUAGGAACGGCCAUUCCCACCAUUUUGACCGCAUAUUGAAACGGGCAUAAAAAAUUCAAAAAAUAAUCAAAAAAUUGGGAAACAUUCGCAUUGUGUCAUUAUAUGUGGCCAAGUUCCCAGGAAAAAUAACAAACAUGUAAUACGGUAAUUAUUUUAAAAAAGUGUUCUCAGAAACGAGCUAUCAUGUGUGGAGAUCAAUGGCUUUCAAGUCAAAUGAUCAAUCUUAUGGCCACAUUCAUGGCAUAGUUUGUUCAAAUGAUCUCAUAUUAUGCACAAGGGUGCAUAUUGGAAUUCCAAACAAUGUUGCCUAAGGAAGUUUUCAUUUUCUUUAGACAGAAAAACCAUUUUCCAUUUUUCGAGUGCCCAAAAGUAGUUUUUUUGUGAAGGACCUCCCAAAUAAUUGUUGCAAAAUUGGACCAAAUCAAUUUUAUAAAAUACUAGGACAUAUUUAAUGCACAAUUGACAAAAUGGUUGGCUGUAAAAAGUUUUGAUCCACCUCUCAUGAAAAAGACAAAUUUCUGCUGAUUUAGUUGGAAGCGGGUCAUAUUUGAACUGCAACUGCCUCAUAGUUUGCUCUUUAUUUUUUCCAAAAAUCAUUUCUAGGUACAUAAGUAUCUAUUUAAUCAGAGAAACACCAAAAAAAAUCCAGGAUUCAACCACUAGCUAGGAACGGCCAUUCCCGUCGUUUUGAUCGCAUUUUGAAACAGGCAUAAAAAAUUCAAAAAAAAUCAAAAAAAUUGGGAAACCUUCGCAUUGUGUCAUUAUAUGUGGCCAAGUUCCCAGGAAAAAUAACAAACUUGUAAUAAGGCAAUUAUUUAAAAAAAAGUGUUCUCAUGAAUGAGCUAUCAUCUCUGAAGAUUCAUGGCUUUUAAGCCAAAUGAUCAACCUUAUGGCCACAUUCAUGGAAUAGUUUAUUCAAAUGAUCUCAUAUUGUGCACAAGGGUGCAUAUUUGUAUGGCAAACAAUGUUGGCUAAGGAAGUUUUCUUUUUCUUUGGACGAAAGAACCAUUUUCCAUUUUUCGAGUGCCCAAGAGGAGGUUUUUUUGUGAAGGAUCUCCCAAAUAAUUGUUGCAAAAUUGGACCAAAUCAUUUUUCUAAAAUACUAGACAUAUUUAAUGCACAAUUGACCAAAUGGUUGGGUGUAAAAAGUUUUUAUCCACCUCUGGUGAAAAAGACAAAUUCCAGCCGAUUCAGUUGGGAGCGGGUCAAAUUUGAACUGUAGCUACCUCGUAGUUUGCUCUUUAUUUUUUCUGAAAAUCAUUUCUAGGUACAUAAGUAUCUAUUUAAUCAUAGAAACACCAAAAAAUUCCAAGAUUCAACCACUUGCUAGGAACGGUCAUUCCCGCCGUUUUGACCGCAUUUUGAAACGGGCAUAAAAAAUUCAAAAAGAAUCAAAAAAUUGGAAAACCUUCGCAUUGUGUCAUUAUAUGUGACCAUGUUUCCAGGAAAAAUAAUAAACUUGUAAUACGGCAAUUAUUUUAAAGAAGUGUUCUCAGAAAUGAGCUAUCAUGCAUGAAGAUUCAUGGCUUUCAAGCAAAAUAAUCAAUCUUAUGGCCACAUUCUUGGCAUAGUUUGUUCAAAUGAUCUCAUAUUGUGCACAAGGGUGCAUCUUGUAAUUCCAAACAAUGUUGCCUAAGGGAGUUUUCAUUUUCUUUGCACGGAAAAUACAUUUUCCAUUUUUCGAGUGCGCGAAAUGAGCUUUUUUGUGAAGGACCUGCCAUAUAUUUGUUGCAAAACUGGACCAAAUCAAUUUUCUAAAAUACUAGGCCAUAUUUAAUGCACAAUUGAAAAAAUGGUUGGGUGUCGAAACUUUUGAUCCAUCUCUGGUGAAAAAGACAAAUUCCCGCCGAUUCAGUAGGAAGCGGGUCAAAUUUGAACUGCAGCUGCUCAUAGUUUACUAUUUAUUUUUUCCAAAAAUCAUUUAUAGUUACAUAAGUACCUAUUUAAUCAUAAGUACAUGGUUUGGUGUCUAUACGUCGAGGAUUGGGCGGUGGCCGAGGCCCCCAACCCUAGAGCACAUAAACUCGCAUGCCCGCCGCGUGAUCACCGCGUGACCGUGGUGUUGCCAUGUGUUCUGGGCAGCCUAGGCAUGUCUAGUGGGUUGGGCACUCCCCAGGUAGGUGCUAGGAAGAAAAUUAGUACAUAAGAUUCUCAGGAGGAGACCGAUCGAUGAUCAAACAUGAAUUAGCAGCGAAGUGUUUGAUUAGCGGUACGGGAAAUGUACAUGGCUAAUGGGCGUGAGUUUUGGCUAAGGAUGAUCAGUUACUAAGAAGACCGUCUUCAAAAAAAAUUCAUCUCAAAAGGAGGAACCUAGGUGGUACUUGCUUUGCAAACUACCACACUUACGAAUGUUGAAGCUCGGCUCAAAAUAAUGAAUGGAUUGAGCUGGCAUUUGGUGGAGGAUGGUUAUUUGGGCAUAGGAAAGCACUGUAGAAAAUGGAUACUAUCUGGACAUGCCAAAGUGGUACUUCCUUCAGAAACUGUUGUUCUGAACAGAAUAGGAAAAUGAAUAUUUUUGAAUUAUUUUUGAACUAGGCAAGGAAGGUUUUUACAUAUUUGACGAAGAUAUGACCCAAAGAGUUUAUGAGAUUUUUUGGGAAUUUUGGGAAUGACAGAAAUAUAGGUUGCUUCACAACCUAGGGCAAAAACUACCACAUGGACAUGACACAUAGGCAAAACUGAUGAGGUGGCGCCUAGUCAUAGCAACCCACCACAAUUUACAAGGCUAUGGCCAUCUAUAUUGGUCGUUAACAACUAUAAAUAAGGCAGCGAACUAGCGCUGUUUGCUUUAUGACCAUUUCAUGUAAGGAAAUUACGACCUUUCUGACCAAAAUGGUCGCAAUGGUUUAGGGUUUGGAGCCCCCCGAACAACUUUUGACCAAUUGGUCUGAAAUGGUCAUAGAUCUAUGACCAUUUCUUCCAAGGUCACUGACAGAAGGUCACUAGUUGACAUAUUUCUUGUAGUGUCUGGCUGGUGGUUUUCUUCAUUAAAACAGAGAACUCAGGGCACUGCGUGCUUCCUGUUGUUUCAUUUCCUUGGGUUUUUUACUUCCACGGAAGUACAUGUACACUUGAUCCAUGUUCAAUAACAGAGUUUUAUGAUCAAGAGAUAGGAACAACAUCAGUUGCAAUGUGAGGAUCUCUUGGUUAUGCUGGUCGGUCUAUAAUACAAAUUGGGAAUUUCAUCCAAAUCGUGUCAGUGCAUUGUGUAUGAAGCUAGUAAGAAUUUCCUCUUUGUAACAUAGUUGAUAGCCUAUCAACCAUGAACAAGGACAUAAAAGGAAACAAUAGCCACCAUCCUAUAACACGACCGUCACGUGCCAUUUAGCAACAAAGAAGAAGACACCUACUACACUUUGGUAGUGGGGCCUGCCACUAUCUCGAUGAGGUCGAAGGUAGUCGUUGUGAGGACCAAAAUUAUGCAAUGUGCCCCCUAGACAGACAUUGGUCCUUGCCGCCACCUGGGAAGCGACACGUGUUAUGGGGAAGUCGGAUCAAGGGGUGAAAGCGGCAAUGACAAAGAAUUUAGGUGCAUCAUAUGAGAUAUACUUUCCACACAAUAAAGAACAUCACAUGAUAUUGAUGAAAACAAAAUUCCAAGAGUCCUGAGUGGGUGAGUUGCAUGUCUCUAUAUAUGUAUUUGGUCAAGGACCGAUGGCUCGUCUACAAGUUACUAGCUUUUCUCUAUGUGAAAAAACACAAUAUGGAAUCAUAGAAUGUUGAUGUAAGGAUAUGUAUAGAGAACUAGAUGGUUGAUUGAGAGAGUGGUGGUGAUAAAUGUUAAGUGGUCUUGAAUCAUAAGUACCGCUCAUUAGGAAUAGGAUGGACGGGGGAUUCAAGUUCACCGACUGCAAGUCUACAGACAAGAACUCUGAUCUUCACCGCUCUUGGAUACAAUGUUGAUUGUGUGUCGGGUGGUCCCAUGAUGCAAUGUGACAUGAUGCCUACUUAGUAGGAGACUCUGACUUAGGGCCCGUUCGGCUCCUCUCCAUGGGCCAGCUUCCUGAAAUACCUGUGUGAAGCCACCCCGAACGCUCCAGCAUCGGGAAGCCAACUUCAUGGAGACGAGGAUCAAGCAUGUGCAAAUUUUUUGGAGAGCAGCAGCCACCCAGCUACACUAAAGCGAUAAGUUGGAGUUCCUUUAUAUUACAUGGGAAUGCCACCGCUAAGUUGCAUACCGGUUCGAUCUUUUUUCUACCGGGCUCCCGUACGAAUCAGCGAGUAGACAUAGAUGUGUCCACACCUUUCACUCCAAACUGGCCGAUAGCCCAUGUCACCCUUUGUGUAACCUAAUAGCCCAUGUCCACACCUUUCACUCCGAACAACCGUGUAACCCAGCGCCAACCCAUACAGUAGUAGGGAAAAGCUGGCCACAGCCUCCCGAAUGCACACAACUCCUCACAGAAGUUGGACUCAUGGAUUUCCUGACCUAUAGAGCUUCCAAACGGGGCCUUACUCCAUUUGUUUUUGAAAAUAAUAAGUAUAAAUUUGUGUAUGAAGUGAAACUGUGUAAGGUUGACCAGGUUCAUAGAAGAUAAACUAACAAUGACAAUACUAGGUAGAUAUGGCAUGUAAAUAUAUUUUAUAGUGUAUUGAAUGUUACAAAAUUGGUAUGAAAGUUGUUUAUAGUUUUUGAUAAACUUGUUCCAACUUUGCAUUUUUUGACCUAAAAAAAUUAUACGCCUUUAUUUCAAGCACACAGGGAACCCUUGGUUAAAUUAUUGUAUCUGUAAAUUGGGUAUGUAGCAAUAAACAUAACAACAAAGAGAUGCAGAACAUGUUGUAAAUGCCAUGCACCAUCUAUUAAUUUCAUGCUCCAUUUGUUAACCGUAUUUGACCGAGGCCCCCCUUCUUUCCUUAGAAGAUAGAAUAAACCUUAUGUGUUAUCAACAAAAAAUUCAUCUAGGUCCAGGCAUCAUUGCACUCCAACCGUAUAAAGGAAUAUGGUGUAAUUUGUAAAUUAAAAACAAGUACAAAGAAGCACGUUUUACUUUGCAACGUCCCCAUUUCAAAAACAAAUCAUCUACUUAUACCUUCCAUUAUAAGCUAGUAAGUGAUGUCUUGCUCUUUUCAGAGAAAAAUAUCACAUCAUCUCAUGUCUUAUGCUUUUCAGAGAAAAAAAAUCACAUCAUCUCAUGCCAUUCGCUUGCCCUCCUUGAGUGGUUCCCUUACUACUCCCAUCUUCCUAGACUAGAAAGUGUCCAUAGAAUUUUAAGGUGCAUUUUUGGCACCGGUUAGGCCAAUUAUAUAUGAGUUGUUACCUUAGAAAUUGUAUAGAGGAAACAUCCUUCUAAUAUGAAUUCAAUGGCAUAAUUAUUGGAUCACACAACCCAUGUUUUAGUAACAAAUUGCACUUAUCAACUCAAGUAAAUAGUUCCCGAUGCAAACCAACGACUGACUAUUGGUUUCUUCUAUUGUGCAUUGGCAUGUGUAUAAUAUUGCAUCGUGAGCAUUUAAAUAUGGAUCAUCACGAGGAAUCAAAAGAGAUGGGAUGGACAUUUUAUGUCCGACCUUGAUUAUUAUGCAGAAGCCUAAAAGGUUAUGUAAAGAUUAGCAGGGGGAUAUUAACCCCAGUGCCUACCAACGAAGCAAGAACACCAUUUUAGUACUCGUCUAAUCAUCUUAGCAUCUUAUUUCACAAGCCCUGUAGAGAAACUCACUACAUAAUCAUUGCAGAGCGAAGCCAUGAAUAUUGAAAUUAGCAAGUCAUUUGGAAUCGAAUCAAAUGGUCUUUCUGCACUUACGAUGAUCACCAUUUGACCAUCAAUAGUCAAUUGAAAAUUCAAUUAUCUUUGUAUUCAUUUUUUGUUGUUGAGUUAGACAGAGGGUUUGGUGCCGCGAUGUUUCUUUCUUUUGUUAUACUGAGUUGGAAAUCAAUCAACAUGUUCCCGUCGUUGGCCUCUUUGUCAUGGUUUAUAGCAGUAUUCUCCUUAGGGUUGAUCAUAUAUAGAUGUUCAAUGAGUGCAACAAAUGUUGGCCACUACACCAUUCAUUGUAGAAUUAAAUGCCCAAAACAGUUGGCAUGUGGUGUCUAGUGAAAAAAAUCUUGUCCUAGCCACACACAAUGUUUCACUCAUUGAUCUUCUAUACAUAUCUCGCUUCCCCUUGUAGGAAGAUCGUGUCUAGUUGCUAGGGUGAAUGCCAAAGGGAUGGGAUGCAUCAGAAAUUUGAAUUGGAGCCAAGGAAAAAAUAGAUAAAAUCCACAGAAGAGUCGUGGAACUAGCAAAUACAGAUUAGACGGUGGCUCUAUGUUGUCCAUUCGGUUGAGCUUAUUUUGGAGUGUUGAGCUAUAGGUUCGUCACUCUAGUAGACCAGUUGCUACAGAUUUCAGGAUUCUAGAGACUUGUUCUUCCUUUCUCAAUGGUGAGCCUAUGCCCUAGAAGACCGAGGACAAGCCUACUUCUUCAUUACCACCAUCGCCGAAGAAGGAGACUUGAGUAAACGAGUAUGGGCACCACCCUUGGCUUGUUUCAUGCUUCGGGGAGGUGCCCCGGUAUUGUAUCACCAUCACUUUUAUCAUUAUUAUCUAUCUUAUUUUGAUGCUUAGUUAUUUUGUGAUUUAGAAGAAUAAAAGUAUUAGUAUAACUAGUUCGAGUGCUUGUUUCAUGAUCUAUCUAUCUAUGUAAUCGUGUGUGAUAGUUAUAUAAUAAAGAGUAGUUUGAGUUUUGAUACUUUGCUCUCUUGUUUCAAUCUUAGCAAUGAAAAUAAAAGAUCAUAUGCUAAUAUCAUGGGGAGUAAUGACUUCACAUGAAAAAAGUAUAGUUGAUAAAAUUUAUUGGAAGUUAGAAAACAUAGUGUUGGUCAUUGAUGCAAUUCAUGAAAGAUUAGUAAAGGGAGAGAGAUUUCACAUAUAACUACACUAUCCUGGACAUCUUUUAUGUUUCUGAGCUCCCAUCAAAUAUUUUCAGCUUGACCAAAUAGUUAAUGUUGGACAAGGAAGACAACAUAAUGAGUUAUGAUUGCUUAUAUGCACAUAGAAGUUAUAUUGUCAUGGAUCCUCUAACAUGUGGUGCUUGUUCAUAAUCUUUUGCUGGCCAAAAUUUUGUACUAAUUAGAAAUAUUAUUUGUGCAUCCAAAAAUCCUUAAACCUAGUUUCUUGUCAUGAUAGUCCACCAUAUCUACCCAUGGAUUGAAUAAGAUCCUUCAAAUAAGUUCUGAUCGGUGAAAAGCAAUAAAAAUUGCCCCCAAGUAUGUAUGAUCUUUUAUUUUAAGGGAAAACAAGGUUUGUACGAACUUGUGAUGGUAAUGGAAUAAAAGCGACAGACUACAUAAUAAAGGUUGCUAUCACAAGGGGCAAUAUAAAGUGGCAUUCCUUUCCAUUAAGAUCUUGCACAUCCAAAUGAAAAAGUGCAUGAAAACCUCUGCUUCCCUCUGUGAAGCGCCUAUCUUUUUACUUUUCAACUUUUAUUAUGCAAGAGUAAAUAAUAUUCAUCCCUAUUCCAACCUCAAUUAUUCUACACUUGGCAAGCAUCAUGUGGUAGGGAAAGAUCCAUGCAUAUAUAUAUAGUUGGAUGUAGGUAAUCAUGAGUUAUUAUUGUUGACAUUAUCCUCGAGGGAAAUAAGUUGGGAGGUGAAACACUAAAAUCCCCAUCUUCCUAUGUGACUGAUUGAAACAUUUGUUUCAAAAAUAUUCCUUGAGUGUUAGCAACCAUGGAAGACUAUACGAUAGUUGAAUACGUGGUACAUGCUAAAACAAAAUCUCUUACAUAGACUCGUCCUGAAAAUAUGAUGAAUUGUAAUUAUUUCAAUGACUGAGAACAUAUAUAGUUCAUUAGUUUUCAAGAAACUUUAUGGUUUAUACUUUAACAUUGUGGACGAAUUGUUACUUGAUUAUGAGAAGCUAUAUGAUGAAUAUUUGUUGUUAUAAUAAUGAUCAUGAUGCUACCAUGUUCGUAUAUUGUUUUAUCGACACCUCUCUCUCACUCUCUAAACAUGUGGUCAUGAUUAUCAAGUUCGGCAUUCGCUUGAGGAUAAGUGAUGUCUAAGCUUGGGGGAUCAGAGUUGAUACGUCCAUUUUGCAUCAUGUUUUCCUACUGUUAUUUAUAGUGUUCUUAAUCGAUAUUUGACUUUAUGAUGCAAUUCUAAGGCCUUUUCUCUCCUAAUGUGCAAGAUUCAUAUAAAAAGGGAGAUUGCCGGCAUGGUGGAAUUUUGGACCCAAAAGAGCUGUAGCAGAGAUAGCUAUUCUCCCGAGCUACAAAUGAACUGAAAUUUUACGAAGAUUUUUAUCAAAUAAAUUUAAAAUGAUGGAACGAACAACCACCAGUUGCCCACAAGGAAAAAUGGCGCGCCUACCCCACCCCCAGGGCACGCCCUGAUGUCUUGUGGGGCCCGCAAUAGCCCUCUGGUGCCCUCCUUCUGCUAUAUAAAGCCAUUCCCUAGAAAAAAGGUAGAAGAACACUUUCGGGAUGAAGCGCCACCGUCUCGGGGUGGAACCUAGGCCGGAGCACUUUUUCUCUCUGAUGGAGCGAUUUCGCCGGGGAUGCUUCACUCCUAGGGGGGUCGAAGCCAUUGGCAUCACCAAUCUUACUCUCAUCAUGGGAGCACCAAUCUUCAUCAAGAUCUUCGUCGGCACCAUCUUCCCAAAAACCCUAGUUCAUCUCUUGUAUUCAAUCUUUGUCUCAAAACCUCAGAUUGGUACAUGUGGGUUGCUAGUAGUGUUGACUACAUCCUGUAGUUGAUACUAGUUGGUUUAUUUGGUGGAAGAGUAUAUGUUCAGACCCUUAAGCAUAUUCAAUACUGUCGUGGAAUUGUCACGUCAGAUGUCCUAGUGAAAGGACUUAGUCAUGGAGCCAUCGCAACUAGGAAGCUUAAAGGGGUUAAUCGGGACAAAGGACACGGGGUUUAUACUGGUUCGGCCCCUUACAGUGAAGGUAAAAGCCUACGAUCUAGUUUUGAGUGGGAUUGCUUAUGUCUCGAUUACCAUGGAGCGAAAUCGCUUGACCUAGCUCUCGAUUUGAUGUUACUUGCCCUGAACCGCCGCCAGGUCGUCCCUUUAUAUACAUAGGUCAACACCCAGCGGCUCACAGAGUCCCGACCGACUCAUAAACAGUGUCCGGCUCGGUCUUUAACUAUUCUUGCUUUACAAUACAAGUUAUGUACACAUGGCAGUUUAUCUCUACGGGCCUUAAGUCACCUUUGGGCUUUGGGCCUUUAACUGAACCGCCAUCUUCAAGCUUGUUUUGGGCUUCAAGAGUCCUUAUAGGUAUAACCUGGCCCCUCCUGGGCGGGUCAUACCUAAUAGUUAUAUCCCCAACAUUAGGCCCCAGAUUGAUUUGAACUGGUUCAUGUCAAUCUUCAACACUUAAGAAAAAUCUUCUACUUCUUUGCUUGUAUAAAAUUUUGUAACCCGCCAUGAUGUCAUCCUUUGGAUUUGUGGUAACCCGCCAUGACGUCAUCUGCCAUUAAUGCACAUUUUGUCCAACAUAUCUCAAUGGAUCCUUAUCUUAAUGACCAUCCCCAGAAUCGAGGCAUCCUUGUAGCUGGAUAACCAUGUUAUCGGCCUCCUUGUUUUUCGCGCCUACUUAUCAGUCUUCCCUUAUAAAUAGAUACGACCAAGGUCUUUCCUCAUUCUCCCCUUUCCUCAUAUUCUUCCUCUCGCAAUCCUACUGCCUCUCAAGCUCCGCCGCCGUCGCAGAGCACCUCGUCUUCCUCGACCUCGGCCGCUGCAUCAACCUGAGUCAAUCCAGAUAAUGGCGGCGACCCUCCGCAUUAGAUCUGCAGCUAUAAGCCUUCGCCUUCCCGCACCUCAGAUCCGCAUUAGGGUUUUCAAGUUCCUCUAUGUUCUUAAUGGUUCAUCACAGUUUAUUCGUAGUUCCUCCGCCGCAACAUCUUCUGAUCCAAAAGUAAUAUAGAACUCAUGCGGUAGUUGUUUUGCGUCCAUUUUUUAUACUAGUAGAUCCCUUUUUUCUUGUCAAGAGGCCUCAUUUGAACUCACAAACUCAUCUGUACUAGGUUUUUAGGUCUAGAAUAUUUUCUUUUUUGAACAGCCGUUUGAUCCAAAAUAAUAGCUGCAACCUGCGAAACUUGUUUAUGCAAUACUUAGGCAAAACCUGUAUUUGUUAGAUCCACCUAGUCAUGCCGACUCUUAUCACCGGCUUAAAAAGGCAAUGCUCAAUUGAUAAUCUUGACCACCCAUGGCAGUUUAGAUAACUUAGCUGCUUAUGGCGCUCAUGGCGGCUUAAAUAAUCUGACAUAAUUAGCCAUAUACCAUUAGGCCCCUUUAUAAGCCGCCAUCUUGAAUAUGCACUGUAAUGUUUUUCUCCGGCUUAAAUUUGAACCGGAAUUUUUUACUCUUUCUUAGGCUUUCAUCACAAUGCCGCCCAAACCACCCACUUCAUGCAACUGGGUCAAACCAUCAUCACAGACAGUACGUUUGAUGACAUUGUGAAGACCGGCUAUCUGCCGAAGAAGGAAGUUAUGUCACAUCAUGCUCCUGAUCCGACGGAGGAAAAGCCUCAGCCCAAAGAGGGGGAGGUCAUUGUCUUCACUGACCAUAUGAACCGGGGUUUUUCACCACCCGACUCAAAAUUCUUUAGGGACGUCCUGCACUUCUUUGACCUCCGUCCUUAAGACAUCGGACCCAAUUCCGUGUCUAAUAUUUGCAAUUUUCAAGUGUUUAGUGAGGUAUAUCUUGGAGAAGAGCCCAGCUUACUACUCUUCAGAGAGUUAGUUUACUUGAACCGCCAAAAUGAGUGUGCCAAUGGACAAAGCUUAGAACUUGGCGGUGUCUCAAUCCAACGUCGGAGAGACGUAAUUUUUCCUUAUGCCAAUCCACCAAGUCGUCCCAAAGACUGGAACCACACAUGGUUCUAUUGUCAAGACACUUCUCCAGCUGAUGAGAACCCUCUGCCCGGCUUUUGUGCUCUGCGUCUUGAGUCCAAUCAUCCGCUUCCUGACAAGAUUACACCCGCUGAACGCCAGACGCUUGCCCCUACUAUGGCUAAGAUCAAGACUCUUUUGGGGAAUGGGCUAAAUGGUAUCGACUUGGUCCGGGUUUGGCUUGCCUGGCGGAUCAUUCUGUUGAGCCGUCGCCCUGGUCUGAUGUGUACCUACACGGGCAAGAAGAAUGACACUCUAUGACACAGCUCUGAUGAUUUACCGAACCCUAUCAUUGAUGACAUGACAAAGUCACUCCUGAACGAGAGCCUAGCAGAUUAUGGAAAGGUGGGCUUAAGCCCCUUCUGUGAAGCUAACCCGGCUCCAGCGGUAAGCUGCCAACCUAAGUAAAUUACCUUUAACCUUGAUGUUUGUUUGUAGUCAACCUUUGCUGAUUUUUAGAGGCUGAUGAUAAAUUUUGGAAAGCAAAAUAUGAUCACGAGGCUGCGAAGACAGCCAGGAAGGCCAAGAGAGCCUCCAGGAAAGAAGCCGCCAAGAAGAAGGGAAAGAAGGCCAGCGCCUCUGAUUUGCUUCGACUAGAAGAUACUUCUGAGUCGGAGGUAGCCCUUGACUCUCUUGGCUCUUUUUUAACCACCUUAUUGACACUGAUUAUAAUUAGGAGGACACGGGAACAAGUCAUGGAAAGGAUGAAGAGGUAACUAUCAUUUCCUCCGACUCCGAGCCUUUGCCAAGACAGAAAAUCCGAAGAGUAACCCGGAAAGUAAAAUUUUCACAUCCCUUAGCUUAUCAAGAUCCUCAAUUUCUUUUGAAGCAACAGAUUCAUGAGAGCCAGAGGCAGACCCGGACCAGCAAGGACGCGGAACUCUCCUCCAGCUUACCCAAUACACCCAGGAAGCGCCGGAACGAGGUCACCUCCAAUUUAAAUCUCUUUUAUCCUUUGACAGGUCUCACUCGUCAACCACUCAAUUCUUCUGACUCGAAUUAUCAGGAAAUUUCACCUUCCUCCAGCGACUCAAUGCAGUCCAACUUGCCGGCAUUCAGGACCGCUCCAGGGUAAUGAUGAUUGACUUAUCCUGUAUUCAUUUCAAUUCUUUAUAUUUAUACUGAUCUUUUGACUUUAUGCAGCGAAAAAGCAAAGCCUAGAAAGAAGGUGAAGAAGAACAAGCCGGCCGAAGAGCCGAUCAUUAAAGAGCCGGAACUCCAGACGAUAGUGCCUGAGGCCUCUAUUCCUAAGCCACCACCUUAACCGGCGCAUGACACGCCCACAUCAACUACCGACCCGCCCGGUGAGCAAGUCAUCGACGGCUCUGAGAACCCUGAAGAAUCUAGCCCAGCCAAAACAGACGACCCGCAAAAUGCUGAUGUUGAGAUUACCACUACAAGAAAUAUGUCAACUAGUGACCUUCUGUUAGUGACCCUGGAAGAAUUGGUCAUAGAUCUAUGACCAUUUGAGACCAAUUGGUCAAAAGCUGUUCGGGGGGCUCCAAACCCUAAACCAUUGCGACCAGUUUCGUCAGAAAGGUCGUAAUUUCCUUACAUGAAAUGGUCAUAAAGCAAACAGUGCUGGUCCGCUGCCUUAUUUCUAGUUGUUAACGACCAAUAUAGAUGGUCAUAGCGUUGUAGAUUGUGGUGGGUUGUGAUGACUAGGCGCCAUCGCAUCAAUGUUGCCUAUGUGUCAUGUCCAUGUGUCAAUUUUUGCCCUAGGUUGUGAAGCAACCUAUAUUUCUGUUAUUCCAAAAAUUCCCAAAAAAAUCUCAUAAAUUUUUUGGAUCAUAUCUUCAUCAAAUAUGUCAAAAACAUUCCUUUCCUAGUUCAAAAAUAACUCAACAAUAUUCAUUUUCCUAUUCUGUUCAGAGCAGCACUUUGUGAAGGAAGUACCACUUUGGCAUGUCCAAAUAGUAUCCAUUUUCUACAGUGCUUUCCUAUGCCCAAAUAACCAUCCUCCACCAAAUGCCAGCUCAAUACAUUCAUUAUUUUGAGCCCAGCUUCAACAUUCGUAUUUAUGUCUAGUGUGGUACUUUGCAAAGCAAGUGCCACCUAGGCUCCUCCUUUUGAGGUGAAAAUUUGUGAAGAAGGUCUUCUUAGUAACUGAUCGUCCUCAGCGAAAACUCAUGCCCAUUAGCCAUGUGCAUUUCCCAUACCGCAAAUCAAACACUUGGCUGCUUCUUCAUGUUUAAGCAUCGAUCGGUCUCCUCGUGAGAAUCUUAUGUUGUGAUUUUGUUCCUAGCACCUACCUGGGGAGUGCCCAACCCACUAGACAUGCCUAGGCUGCCCAGAAGACAAGGCAACGCCAUGCUCACGCGGUGACCACGCGACGGGCAUGCGAGUUUACGCGCUCUAGAGUUGGAGCCCUCAGCCACUGUCCAAACCUCGACGUAUCGCCAUCAAACCAUGUAUUUAUGAUUAAAUAGGUACUUAUGUAACUAUAAAUGAUUUUUGGAAAAAAUAAAUAGCAAACUAUGAGGCAGCUGCAGUUCAAAUUUGACCCGCUUUUUGCUGAAUCGGCGGAAAUUUGUCUUUUUCACGAGAGGUGGAUCAAAGCUUUUCACACCCAACCAUUUGGUCAAUUGUGCAUUAAAUAUGUCCUAGUAUUUUAGAAAAUUGAUUAGGUCCAAUUUUGCAACAAAUAUAUGGUAGGUCCUUCACAAAAAAAACUCAUUUUGGGCACUCGGAAAAUGGAAAAUGAAUUCUCCGUGCAAAGAAAAUGAAAACUCUCUUAGGCAACAUUGUUUGGAAUUCCAAGAUACACCCUUUUGCACAAUAUGAGAUCAUUUGAACAAACUAUGCCAUGAAUGUGGCCAUAAGAUUGAUCAUUUGGCUUGAAAGUCAUGAAUAUUCACACAUGAUAGCUCGUCUCUGAGAACACUUUUUUAAAAUAAUUGCCGUAUUACAAGUUUAUUAUUUUUCCUGGGAACUUGGUCACAUAUAAUGACACAAUGCGAAGGUUUUCCAAUUCUUUGAUUUUUUUUGAAUUUUUUAUGCCCAUUUCAAAAUGCGGUCAAAACAGCGGGCUUGACAGUUCCUCUAGUUGUUGAAUAUUGGUAUUUUUUUGAUGUUUCUCUGAUUAAAUAGAUACUUAUGUACCUAGAAAUGAUUUUUGGAAAAAAUAAAGAGCAAACUAUGAGGCAACUGCAGUUCAAAUUUGACCCGCUUUUAGCUGAACCGAUGGAAAUUUGCCUUUUUCACGAGAGGUGGAUCAAGGCUUUUCACACCCAACAAUUUGGUCAAUUGUGCAUUAAAUAUGGCCUAGUAUUUUAGAAAAUUUAUUAGGUCCAAUUUUGCAACAAAUAUAUGGUAGGUCCUUCACAAAAAAACUCAUUUCGGGCAAUCAGAAAAUGAAAAAUGAAUUUUCCGUGCAAAGAAAAUGAAAACUCUCUUAGGCAACAUUGUUUGGAAUUCCAAGAUGCACCCUUGUGCACAAUAUGAGAUCAUUUUAACAAACUAUGCCAUGAAUAUGGCCAUAAGAUUUAUCAUUUGGCUUGAAAGUCAUGAAUCUUCACGCAUGAUAGCUCGUUUCUGAGAACACUUUUUUAAAAUAAUUGCCGUAUUACAAGUUUAUUAUUUUUCCUGGGAACUUGGUCACAUAUAAUGACACAAUGCGAAGGUUUUCCAAUUUUUUGAUUUUUUUUUGAAUUUUUUAUGUCUGUUUCAAAAUGCGGUCAAAACGGCGGGCUUGACCGUUCCUAGCUAGUGGUUGAAUAUUGGAAAACUUUUGAUGUUUCUCUGAUUAAAUAUAUACUUAUCUACCUCGAAAUGAUUUUUGGAAAAAAUAAAUAGCAAACUAUGAGGCAGCUGCAGUUCAAAUUUGACCCGCUUCCAACUGAAUCGGUGGAAAUUUUUCUUUUUCACUAGAGGUGGAUCGAAGCUUUUCACACCCAACCAUUUGGUCAAUUGUGCAUUAAAUAUGGCCUAGUAUUUUGUAAAAUUGAUUAGGUCCAAUUUUGCAACAAAUAUAUGGUAGGUCCUUCACAAAAAAACUCAUUUCGGGCACUUGGAAAAUGGAAAUGAAUUUUCCGUGCAAAGAAAAUGAACACUCCCUUAGGCAACAUUGUUUGGAAUUCCAAGAUGCACCCUGGUGCACAAUAUGAGAUCAUUUGAACAAACUAUCCCAUGAAUGUGGCCAUAAGAUUGAUCAUUUGGCUUGAAAGCCAUUGAUCUCCACACGUGAUAGCUCGUUUCUGAGAACACUUUUUUUAAAAUAAUUGUCGUAUUACAUGUUUAUUAUUUUUCCUGGGAACUUGGCCACAUAUAAUGACACAAUGCGAACGUUUCCCAAUUUUUUGAUUAUUUUUUGAAUUUUUUAUGCCCAUUUCAAUAUGCGGUCAAAAUGGUGGGAAUGGCCGUUCCUAGCUAGUGGUUGAAUCUUGGAUUUUUUUGGUGUUUCUCUGAUUAAUACUUAUGUACCUAGAAAUGAUUUUUGGAAAAAAUAAAGAGCAAACUACAACGCAGCUACAGUUCAAAUUUGACCCGCUUCCAGCUGAAUCGGCGGGAAUUUGUCUUUUUCAUGAGAGGUUGAUCAAAUCUUUUGACACCCAACCAUUUGGUUAAUUAUACAUUUAAUAUGGCCUAAGAUUUUGUAAAAUUGAUCUGGUCCAAAUUUUCAACAAAAAUUUGGUAGGUUCUUCACAAAAAACUCAUUUUGAACACUUGAAAAAUUGACGAGAGGUGGACGAAAAACUUUUAAGAGGGAACCAUUUGGUCAAUUUGUACAUAAAACACGGCCGAAUAUUUUUGAAAAUUGUUGUGGUCCAAUUUUAUAACUAAUAUUUGAUAGGUUCUUCACAUAGGUGAAAACAAAGAAAAGAAACAAAAAGAAAAAACACAUAUACACUAGUUUAAUUUUCAUUGAUGGAGAUGUUUGUGCCAUGGAUUGAUGACAUGGCACACAUCCAUCCAUCCAUCCAUCCACCCACCCGCAGCCCAAACCCUAACUCCACUCCUCCCGUCCCCUCUCCCCUGAUUCAGAUCCAGUCCUCGCCGCCGCCACCGCCGCCCGCGCCCGCACCCGCACCCUCUCGCUAAACCCUAGCCCCCGCCGCCCCGCCCCCGCACCAUGGCCAUCGACGGCGAGGAGCCCAAGUCCCCACGCCUCCCCGCCCUCAAGUGGCUCUCCCGCCACGGCCACAUUGGGCCUUCCGGAUCCGUGCUGUUGUAGAGCUGGAUCCGCGCCUCCUCGCGCGGCCGCCUUCUCCACACCAACGCCGUCGCCUCCCCAGCAGUGGAUCCACACCCACUCCAAUAGCAGCUCAGGCCGCCGUCAGAUCCACCCUCCUCCCACUGGCCAGAAACCCUAGCCGCCCGUCCAUGGCGACCCACCGCGGCACUCCAAGACAUCCAUGAUGGCUUUAUGGUCUAGUAUGAAUCCCUCCUCCUCUUCUUCUUCUCCUCUUCCUCUCUCUCUCUAUCUCACCCUGUCUCUGUCUCUGUCUCUAUUUCUGCAGGUAGGAUAAGAGGAACGGUGACCAGCAACGGCCAUGGCGACCCACCGCAGCCCAAGACCUCGACGACGGUCGGUGCUACGGUAGGAAUCCCUCCUCCCCUUGUCUUCUUCUACUUGUCCUUUUCUCUCCGUCUCUCCCUGACCCCCUCUUCCCUUCUCUUCUCUUCUCUGUAGGUGAGGCACAUCAGCCAGCGUCAGCAAGACGAGGAGAGCAUCCUCCUUCUCCUGCCAGUGCCAUGGAAUAGAAGGUCUGCUCCAUCUCUCUAUUGCCUUUGGUUUAGAAAACCCGCAAAUUCUCCCUGAUUGGUUAAUCAUGUAUGCAUGCCCUUCAUGUUUGAUUAGUACAUGCAUGUUUCACCCGUCAUGUAUGGAUAGAUUGCUGCUUGUUAGGCACGAUGGUACAUGGACAUGGUUUGGUCACAUGGAAAUUGGGAUGGGGAUUUGGGUAGGCAGGUUGGAUCAGUGGGGAUUUGGUCACAUGGAUCCUGGGAGCAUUGGAUGCGGUCGAGUUGUUCUGUGUCAUCAUUUUGAGCUCCAGACUAAUAUCAGUGGAGAUAAAUAUUGGGUAGUUUUCUUAGGACUGUAGCUGACACAUGUCUGCAAUUUUGGUGUUAGUUUUGUUAGGAUUGUAGCCAUUUGCACAUGUCUACAAUUUUGUUGUUUGUUACAUGCAAGGAUGUGAACAUGUGGCAAAAGUGGUUCAGUUUUGCUCUCAGUUAAUUUCACAUCUGCAAGUCUGUAAUUUAAAGUCAGUCUUGCAACCCUUGGUAGUAUGUCAGUCCCUGCUUGUAAUUAGUAUAUCCUUAGAUAAGGGUUACAAUGAGGUUCAGUUAAUGCCCCCCUUCAACUUGAUUGAUAAUACUGCCAUACAAUCUGAACUAGCUGGGCUCUUUUGCACAAUUAAGGUACUCAUCAUUGUAAUCAUGAACAUAAAUUAUAAUAUGCAUUGGUGAUCAGCUUGUUUUAUCUCAGUUGUGAGGCGAUUGAAUUUAAGUGACUGCCAACUUGUUCCUUUUUCACUUGGUAUCUAGUUCCUGGUAACUUGAAGAUGUAUUGAGAUCAUGUGUCCCUUUAACAUUUCGUACGAUUAUAUAGGUUAUUGAUAUUACAACUGUCCAGGCCUGAAUUUACUUGGGAGUACAUAUUCCAAAGACUUGAAGCAAAUGCCAAUCUUGUAAUGCUACUAUAUAGUGUGAAAAAUAUGAUUUCAGGUUCCUUGUUUAUAUUAUCCUAAUUUCAGAAGACUUACUUUUGUACUUUUGCAGAUGAUGACCCUCUCCCUUGCUGCAUUAGGAUCCUUGAUGUGGCUGAGGAAGAACAAACCUAGGACUUUAAUUCCAAUAAUUUAUGCACGUGCUCUGCUUCUGGCAACAAUGCCGUCUAUUACCAGGUAAUCCCGUUUCUAUAAUACUGCAGUAAUCCUCAAAAAGAAUAAUUGUCAUGCUCCAAAAUAUGUUGAUGUUCUUAUACUGCUAGAUGUUGGCAAAUUGUGUCAAUCUAUGUACAUUGGCUUAAUUCCUACCUCCUACACUUGCUCAAUACGGAUCUGAGAAAAAUAUAUCUGCAACCUGUGGUGUGUGCAGCAGCACUUGAAUGCAUAUAUUAAGUAUGUACCCUGGAUAGCAGUAGUACUUUAGUACUACUCCAGUAGCAUUUGUUGUUUUCGUUGUCAUAUGACUCUACUCUCUGCUGUUGUUGGUGUCAAACUGAUGCUAUGAACCCAGCAGCUCAUAUGACUCUAUUGUUGUUCUUGACCUGCUCUUGCUGCUAUUGUAGGAGGAGCACGCCUAGGAGAAGAGAGGGCUCAUUCCACUUGUUUGGAAGAAAAUACGAUGAAGCAUGGUGGUUAUCUGGAUAAUCUGCCUUGUGUUUUGGCUGUACUUUGUACCUAGUUAUAUUGUAUUCUGUAGUAGUCAGCACAUUCUGGAGCAGAAUCCAGUGAAGUUGUAAAACUGUAAUAGUUCUGUUUCAUUUGAAAUAUUUGUCAUUUGUGUACUGUGAGAAAUGUGAGAAAUGGAAGCUGAUGAGUUGUUUGAUAAAAAGCUAUGUGGCUCCACUGCCAGGAAAAAUCUGACAAUUGGGACCCAUCUAAAAACUGGACCACAAAAAACCCUCGAAAAUAAAAAUGAAAUGGACCGCAAAAGUCCAUGCCUAGAAAAUAAAAAGGCCAAAUUGUUGGGCCAGGCCCAUGUAGCUAGAGAAAAUUAAUAGAGAAAAUAUACAGUAAAAAGGCCGAACUGUUGGGCUAGGCCCAUGUAGAAAACCGAAUUGGACUGGGCUGAAUCUUGUGCCACAUCAGCUUGCCACGCUGGAUGCCUACGUGGCCUGUGGAGGUUGCUAGUGACCAAAACGCCACAGUGGACAUAUUUUGGUCAGUUAACGACGGCCAGCUUUUGACCUGAUGUUUUUGGUCACAAAAAGGUCACAAAUUGAAAACAGUGACCAUUCAGUGACCAAUAGUGGUGGUCACAAGUUGACAUAUUUCUUGUAGUGUACAAGAACCAGAUUUGCUAAGCCGGGGAGACCAACUGUGCUAGCCAAGUGCUCUGCCAAGGAAGAGCACUUGGAACACCGUAAGGUCAGAUUUGACCUUGCUGAUUAUACUCACAUGAGCAUUGGGGAAGUCUUUUCUGGCUAUCUUAGCCAAGUGCACAGCAGUCGUGAUGUCGAAGUUGACAUGGUGAAGCAAAUGCACCAGAAAUUUGAGGUAUAAAUUCUUCCCUUCACUGAAUUAUCCUUGCUUAUGCCAGCCCCCAAGUCUGUUGCUUAUGAUGAAUAUGUUGUAGACUUAGAAACAAACUGAUGAACAUUAAUGAUAUAUUUGGACAAAACAUGUAAAAAAUCUGGCUUACUCCAUAGUCCCCAAGGGCUGGUUUAAGCAGCAUGUUUGAGCCAGUCCAUCAUAUGCUGAUAUAGAAUAAAAAUACUUUAACAGCAAUAUGCAUUAGCUCCCAAGUGCCAAGUACUCUUGCUUGCAAAGUGCUUGGGACUUACUCUCAUGAACCGCCACAUAGGUAAAAUUCUUCGGUAGGCAGUAGCCCCCAAGUGCCAAGCGUUGUUGCUUGCAAAAGGCUUGGGACUUAAUAUUGUAUGCUAACUGUCAUGAUUUUGACCCAGUAUUUGUGCAGGCCACCACCACUCAACUUCAAUCAGAAGUGUCUGACUUGAAGAACCGCUUGGAAGCACAGGAGACUGAGACUCGACGAGCCAACUCCAAAUUUGAAUUAAGUGUAUCUAAACAAGAAAAACUGAAAAAAGACAUUGAAGUGGAGAAGAAGGCCUGGGCUGAAGAGAAGAUCGCAUUAACCAAUUGGGCUAAGAAAACAGAAACAGGUCUUGAAGAGAUGACAGCCGAACUAUCCGGCUUAAAACGCCAUGUAUCUCAGAUGGUCUCAGCAAUCUUCAGUAAGUGCCCUACUAGUGUCGAAUAUUUGAAUCUUUCCAGUGAUCAUAUGAAUUAGCAUUAACUCACCUAAUAUUACUAUGCAGGCCCCAGGAGCACAAAUCUUAACCAAGAUAUGUUGAUAAGCUGAAGGCGGUUUAUACGUUGGUGGAACAACUGUACACCGGAUCUCAACGUGCCUUAGCCACAGUGGCCCUGUCAAAUGAAGUUCCCACACUCCCAGUGGAUGUGCUAAGGAAGCUUUCGGUGCUGCCUUAGCGAUUCAAUGAGUUAAGGCGGUCGUCUGCAAGAGCCGGAGCCGUGGCUGCAUUAAGCCGGGCCAAAGCUUGGCUUCCAGAAUUAGACCCGGCCGACAUCGCCAUUGGGUAUCCAAGCCUUAAGGAGGAUGGCACGCCAUUUGAAUAGGAUUGCUUUACCGCUUGUGCGAAGGAAAUACGUCCUGUGGCCACCCUGAUUGCUAAUGAGGCGGAUCUCACCACGUAUCAGCCGGGUUAUGACGCGGAGAACUGGAGAAUACCAACGCCACAUUAUAAAGGACCAGCCUGAUCCCACCAAUUCGUAAGCAUACCUUCGCCCCUAAGGUUGAUCCGGCCGGAUUAGUUGAUGAUGAAGCUGAAUUUGAAGCUUUGAAUGGCAUUGAAUGGUCAUCAUCAACCUUCCAGGACAGGGAACAGGAAGAAGAAGCGGAGAGGGCUGACUUGGAGGCUUCAGGCCAACCAGAAAAUUAAUCCGUCACGCGGCUCAUCUUUCUAACCUGCUAAAAAACAAUUUAAUCAUUUGGACUCGAGGAGUCAUGUAACAGGGUAGAAAUGACUUUGCUUUGUUGUGCCAUUGUGCACGUUUUUGUGCCCAACAUUGUUAAGCCAUCAUCUAAUAUUCACCCCUUUUUAUACUUAUCAUCUGUUUUCCUUAUGUUUAAGAAAGUCUUUGACCUACCCUGCACAUAGAAAUAGAUCACAAGAACAAACCCUUGGCGGCUUACUGUGAGGCAGGUCAUAAUAUCUUUAUAUAUAACCUCUAAUAUAGGACAAAGAGUCACAGAUAAGCCUGUUGUGAAAUAUAGCUUUGAAACACAACUAUAAUAUCAUACCUGUGAUUGUUGAACUUGUACUGCCGGUUUAUAUGACCUGAACAGUAAGGGUGAUAAACCAAUACUUAGAAGCCAAUACUUCCAAAUGUAUGAUGAUUAUCAUAUGUUGGCGACUUAUCGUCCAAAACCAAGCCGGGUUAAAUUUAAACCACACUUAUACUUAGAUCUGAACAAAAAAGUGUCAAGACAAAAACAAAGUUCGCUUUCAAACAAAAUUUAAGCCAAAUAGAAAGAACAAAUCAAGGCUUAUGAUUCUAAUAUGAUCAGCAAAGUGUUCCAAAGGGGUUAAGUUAGGAUUCGAAUACGAUCAUGUAGCCCCCAGUGGCUUUGGCGUUGCACCGAUCAAGAGGGUACCGAGUGCUAUGUUCUCUUUGGUUCGAAUACGACCUAUGUUUGAACAGUAAGCCCCCAAAUGACCUUGAGAGUUUUUAACGACUCUGAUUCGAAUACGAUCAAAGUCAGACCCAAAAGGGGUUAAGCUAUGAUUCUAAUACGAUCAAGAAGACCCCUAGUGAGUUUGGCAUUGUGCCGAUCAAUAGGGUACCGACAGCUAUGUUUUUUUGGUCCGAAUACGACCUAUAUUUGAACAGCAAGCCCCCUAAUGAUCAUGAUGUUUAGCAGCUAGAUUCGAAUACGAUCAUCAGCCGAACCAAGCGGGUUAAGCUCGAUUCGAAUACGAUCAGCCCCCAAUUGGUCAUUUGAAAGGACAAUGAUGAAGACAUAUGAUCAUUGAGGAUGAAAAGGACAGAGGUCCUACUUUAUUACUUAUCAUAAUAUAUACAUCGUCAAAAUAAGUACAUCAUGAGAGCCGGUGGCUCACCAUGUAGCAAGGCUGCAGAUGAGCGAUAUUCCACGGCAGGCGGGUCUCCUCCUCCGACUUACGUGAGUCUUUGUGCUCCCGAGCAUUGAUAAGGUAGUAUGACCCGUUGUUUAAGUUCUUGCUGACCACAAAGGGCCCUUCCCACGGUGGGGAUAACUUGUGUGCAUCAGUUUGAUCCUGGAUGAGCCAGAGCACCAAAUCACCUUCUUGAAAGGUUCUGGACUUAACCCGGCGGCUGUGAUAACGGCACAGGUCUUGCUGAUAAAUCGCCGAGCGAGCUGCUGCCAAGUUAGGAUUUUCAUCUAACAGGUCAAGUGCAUCCUGACGCGCUUGUUCAUUGUCUGCCUCCACAUAAGCCCCCACGCGGGGCGAGUCAUGAUGGAUGUCACUGGGGAGAACUGCCUCGGCUCCAUAAACCAUGAAAAAAGGCAUAUAACCCGUAGACCUAUUAGGAGUAGUAUUGAUGCUCCAUAUCACAGAGGGUAACUCCUCAACCCAAUAACCCGGCGUCCAUUACAAGGGAACCAACAGCCGGGGCUUGAUGUCUUUCAAGAUUUCCUGAUUGGCUCUUUCAGCUUGACCAUUGGACUGGGGAUGAGCCACUGAUGAAACAUCAAGCCGAAUAUGCUCACGUUGACAAAACUCUUCCAUGGCGCCUUUAGACAGAUUAGUACCAUUGUCAGUUAUAAUGUUGUGUGGAAAACCAAUGUCACAGCCCCAGUUCAGGCCUUCCUUGUCUUUGCAUUAGUAUCCAUGCAUCAUGUUUAAAUUUUAUGAAACUUGAAAUGGGGAUGCUUAAACCCUAGCACCAAAUGAAUUCAACUAGGGUCAAAAUAAAAUCUUUUUCAUUGAACUCAAAAUGCCCUCUAAAAAUGUUCAACAUUUCUAGUUUGAGGUGGAAGCAUCUACCAAAAAUGGUUUAUAUUUUUGCAGGACAUAUUGGGCUCUAAAUUAAAUCAAACAGUAUUUGUACUUGGACAUUUAAAUGCUAUAAAUUAUUUUAAAUGUCCAAAUAAUCAUGAACUGAAAUGAUGGCUGUUGGAAAUAUUCCAAACAGUGCUCUCAAGCAGUUACAUGAUUUUUGAAUAGGUUCUGGUAUUUUUAUUAAAGCCAAACAUCUGCAAAAAAAUAGAAAACAGAAAAUAAAAGAGAGAGUGAGAGAGAGAAGGACUACCUGGCGCUCACCUGGCAGCCCACCUACCUGGCCUUCUACUGUAGCAGCCCAGCCCACCACCGCAGCCAUCCCUGUCGCCUUCCUCCUCGUGCCAGUAGGCAGAGGAGGGACACCGCGACGCCGCCGAGCUCGCCACGCCACCACCCUGCCUGGCUGCCUCCUCCUCUCCCUGGACGUCUCCCGCAGCUCCACGCCACCCCCUGGAACCCCCUCGCACUCUCCCUCAUCCCCAACUCCUCCUCUGUCCCUCUCUCCCGCGAUCGCCGUGACCGCUCGAGAACGCCGACGAGCACCCCCGUGACCACCAGCCACCCCUCGCCCUGCCACUACGCCCAGAAGCUCCGCCUCGACCUCCUCUUCCUCCCCACCGAUCCACGCCCCUCCAGAAGCCCUGCAGCGUCGUCCUCAAGCUCAUCUUCAACCUUCGGCCACCAUCAACCUCAUCGUCGAUUCGCCGCCGUCCGUGCUUCCCCGAGCCCACUUCGACGCCCCCUACAACCGUAGUGAGCCACUACGCCGAACCCCUCUCUCCCCGUUCUUUAUUUCCCUCCGUAGCCACCGUUUCCACCCCACCCGAGAGCUUCUCGCCGCCGGCCAUGGCGUAGCCGUGGCCACAGCCACUGCAGCUCGUUCCCGAGCGCGUCACCGUGCUCAGCACAUCGCCAGGAGGCCGUAGCACCCAGCCGUUCGCCCCGUUGUGCCCCACAGCACCAUUCCCAACUUCGCCUAAAAUCCGGCCGCCGCCUUGGAGCUCGCCGUCGUUGGCUCCGGCCACGAUAGACCCGACCUCCACCACCACUAGAUGCGCGCCUGCUAGAGCUCUCCAACAAGCCCAAGAACGGCCUCGCCCGUGCCCCGUAGCGCGUUUCCGACGGCCGCCACCGUCUCGGGCCUCGCCGGCGUCGAGUCGCCGGCGGGAUUGACCCUGCUGACCAGGGGUUUGACCCCACUAACCCAGGAUUUGACCCUGUUUGACUUUCCCAGGGUCAAUGACAGGUGGGGCCCAGCCCCGCUAAUUAACUAGGAUUAGUACCAAAUAAAUUUAGUUAAGCUAAUCACACUGACAUGCGGGACCCACUGUCAGGUUUGACUGGAUCGUGACCUGUUGACUUGCUGACAUCACACUGACGUCAGGCUGACGCAGUAAAUCAUUUACUGGAUUUAUUCUUUUAGGAAAUUCCAGAAAAUACCACAAACUUCUAAAAUUCAUAGAAAAUCAACCGUAACUCCAAAUCAAAUAAAUUAUAUAUGAAAAAUGAUCAGAAAAAUCCAAUCUAUCAAUCUGUACCAUUUUCAUGCAUGUUAGAACAACUUAUAGCUUCUGUUUAGCACAAAUCAUAUUAAUGGCAUUUGAAUUUCACAUAUGGAGUUUGGUUUUGAACUUAGGGUUCAAACCAACUUCAUUUAACUUUGUUGCUAGCUGCAUUAGCUCAAAUCAAUAGCAUAUUGCCAUGUCACAUUCAUGCAUCAUAUUGCUGCAUUGCAUUGAUUGUGUUCUUCCUUGUUUGCCGGUGUUUGUCCCCUCUCAAUAGACGUGGUUCCGACGAUGAGAUCGAUGACACCGAUGAAGAGCUAUUUUAUCUUCAGAAGUGCCAGGCAAGAAAAACCCCCUUGUUCAUUCCGAUAAAAUCCCACUCUCUCGCUCCUGCUCUAUUUUACUACAUUAGGACAACAAUGAUACAACUGUUAUUUGCUGCGGUAGUUGAACCCCUUUAUCCUUUGCAUGACCUGUCAUUGCCACAGUAAAUAGAUGAAACCCACUAGCAUGAGUAGGAGUUGUUUGAGCCCUGAUGUGCCUACUCAUUCAUGCUUGUUUGUUCAUGCCUGCUAUUUCUUAGAGUUGUGUCAGGUCUGAUUCAUCGGGGAUGAAUCGGAGGUGUGUGAACAUGUCCUACUGUUGAGAGCUAAGUGUGUGAACACGAUUUGGUAAAGGUAGCGGUGAGAGGCCAUGUAGGAGUACAUGGUGGGUUGUCUCAUUGCAGCCGUCCUCAGGAACUGAGUUCUGUGUUUGUGAUCCAUGAACAGCUACUACCACUCAUUGGGAUCCUUAAUUGACCCUCUCGGCUUCUUAAUCACCCUUGUUCUCUGUCCAGGAGUUGCAACUAGUUUCUGGUGUUUGUAGGUAGUGUUAGUAGUCUACCAAGUGGCACCCGGUACAGGUGGGCUUGGGACAGACUAGGCACAGUGGCCCGGCGUACCAAGUGGCACCCGGAUGGUGGACUUGGGAACCCUGCACACAUCGUUUGGGGCCGUGAGCGACACCCCGGCCGGAUCUCCUUGCGGAUGGAACCCGAAUAGGCGAUAAACCUGGACGAGAGACUUGAGUGGUUAGGUAGGCCGUGGCCGACACCCUCGCUGGGCUUCUGCUUGAAGGUUGCCGAGUACAUGUCGUGUAAACGGCGGUAAGUGGUGAGAGCGUGUGUGAAGAAGUACACCCCUGCAGGGUUAAUAUGAUCUAUUCGAAUAGCCGUGUCCGCGGUAAAGGACUUCUGGGUUGCCUGUACAGUUCAUAGACAAGUGAAAGUGGAUACUCCAAAAUACGCAAGAUAGUGUGAGUGCUAUGGAUGGCGUUCUCGUAGGGAGACGGGAGCGGAUCCAUAGUGGUGUAUUGAUAUGGUGAAUAUGUGGACUCGUGUGCGCCACCUCAACAGAGUUACUUGCAGUCGUAGUUCAGGUUAGCCACCGAGUCAAAGCUGGCUUGCUGCAGUUAAACUCCACCACCCCCUUUGUUGAUAAUGAUGCAUAUGUAGUUAGAUCUGAUGUAAGUCUUGCCGGGUACAUUUGUACUCACAUUGCUUAAUUUAUGUUUUUGCAGAGAGACUUCAGUCUCGCUAGUAGUACCGCGUGGACUUCGACGUUUAGCUUGUUACCUCGGCUACGAUCUUGUGCCCUCGGCAGGAUCUGAUAGACAGUCAGGCUUCUCAGCCUUUUUCUUGUGCAUUCCACUAAAUUUAAGAACUUAUCUUUGCAGAAAUAAGCAGACCACAAUGCCUCUUGUCUGCGCACCUGUCCAAAAACCCGCCGUGCAGCCGUGCCAGCUAGUCCUCGGUCCAUGGAUGAACUGGUAGAAAGUGCAUUCUGGACUAGGAUGCAGUUGUUUUCGCUCGUCCCUGCACUGCAAUCAGGAAGUAAAAUGUACGAAUCAGCUUCUUUUAGAUUGCGUUGGUUAUUCUACCUUAGUUACUACCAAUGUAGGAAUACCUUGAAGAUGGGAGGCUAGACGACGGCUACGAGGUAUAGCCAUCUCAUUUUGCGCAGUUGUACUAAAACUAAGGUUAACAACAGCAUCCCUGUUUGCGAAAAUGGGAGGUGCUUUUCGAAGAUGGGAGGUGCUUUUGAUUGCGCGGAUAGAAACGAUACAGAGACAGACAUCCCUGUUUGCGAAAAUAUGAAAUAUGGUUAUUUAAACAGUGACAGAUAUUUGCAGUGGUGUAUGAUUAACAACAGCAUCUAUUGUGUUAUAAUUGGCACUAGAUUGACGGUAUGAAGAGUCCUUAAGUAAGUAGCAUCACAUCACAUCGACAAUGCCACUAGAUUAACAUGCAGAACAAUAGCAUUAGUAUUACUGUCAUGAGAGUAGCACAUGGUCAGUAAAUGUGCAAUCAAAUUUGUGCAGUUCCACUGGGAUGAAGCAAUGUUAGCGGUGUGAGAUUUAAGUGUAACUGCAAAAACACAAUUCAUGGGAAAUAAAGCAAGACGGAAGCACUUCAUAAAAUGGUGGUGGCAUUGCUUCAAUUUAUCGACGGUACUAGACCAUUACUUAUAGUGACAUUAGGUGGCAUUGCUUAAUGCUUCAUGUGAUUUUACAUUAACGGUAGCGAUAUGGGCGUAGGGACAGCAGGUAUCUGCUACUUUCCCCCGUUUCCUGUUCGAACCAAGUCCUAGAUUCAUGCUACAACUUUCCCACUUUCUUCCCUAUUUGAACCAACGUUUAGAGUUGACUGUAUGAACUAGCUUUACCUCUAAUAAUAGUAGAAGUCUAGGUGGCUUUGGAACAGCGGACGGAAGUAGAAAAGGAUCCACACAAAUGGAGCUGGGGCAGUAGAGCAAGGCAGGUUUCGAAGGAAUAUAUACCUGAGGGUCGUCGGCAUGUUGCAAAGACGGUGUCGGGAGGCCGCAUCUUGGCCACAAUACCGCAUGGAGGAAGAAGGGGUCGGAGGCCCUCCCGAAUCGGCGCUCUCUCAGAGAGAAAGGCAUGGCCGCCGAUCGGGACACGCGGGCAGCCGUUGGUCUCCUCCCUCGGCACCGAUGACAGCGUGAAUGAUGCACCUACAGCCCUGCCUCGGUCGAGGUUGUCCGGCCGGAUUUGUGACCAGCCGUGAGCUGAGAGAGAGAGAGUGUGUCCACCUAUGUCUUGCUUAGAUCUAGAGAGCAUGAGAGAGUGAACGAGAGGAACCCUAGUAAAGCAAGCGCUAAGGCUCCUGCUUUUAUAUAUAGUGGAGUGAUUUUGUUGUACCAGCUUCAAAAAAUGCGCUCCUACGUGUACCCGCGAGUGGGUGUGAGAGAACUAGUGCAUGCGUGCACCGCUUCUCUUCGUGAGAGUACAAUAUACUAUGCCCAAAGAACGUUCGCCGCAACAGUAAUAGUAUAACUGUGUGACGUGUGAGCUAAAAUAAAAUGUGCACGACGUCUUUUGUUUUUUAGAAGUUCUGAGGGUGGGGUGUGAAGAGCACAUAUGUGCAUGACGUCUACCUGCAGAUAGACGGUGGGUGCGACGUGCGAGGCUGCAAGAGGACUCAGGAGAGUCAUGACUCGUGAGGGUGCGUGUGUGUGAGAGAGAGGGGGGCACGUAUCAAUGCACUCCAUGUGUCCGUAAAUCAUUAUCCGACAAACGUUCGCCACAAGACUUUUCCUGAUGAACACCGUAAGAACCGUAAGAUCGGCAUCCGACAGUGUCAGUUUUGCCAUGUCAUUUAAUAGAACAACCACUCCUCCUACACACAAAUCUUCCACGUGAGUGUUAGCAACUGCCGUAUGCUCCCUCCGUUCUGAAAUGCAGUGCAUAUAGCUUUAUUGAAAAUUCGAACCUCGCAAACUUUUACCGAGUUUCCGUGUAACAAAUUGCACAUGUAGAAUACCUUGUAUAUAUCAUUUCAUUCAUCUUCGAGAGGUAACUAUAAAGAUGGGUGAGGAGUCUACAAAGAAAUACCAUCGUAUCACCCGCGGCAAUUUCAACCAUCCUUUAGUGUCGAGGAAUAUCAUAGGAACUCUAUAUGAUAUGAUUUUUAUAGGAUUUUUUCCUUUAGAGCCAAUUGGUUCAUAGGAAUAGAUUCAUAUACUCCACAUUUCAAAGGAAAUAAACAUGAUAUCAUUUCUAUAGCUUUAGAGCCACUUGGUUCAUAUAAAUGGAUUCCUAUACUCCCUUAAUUUCAAAGGAAAAUAAACAUUAGUGUAUAUUCAAUACAAAAGUUCCUAUGAUAUGAACCAAAUUACAUCUCUUUUCUAAUCCCUCCUCAUAGGAAUUGAGAUACAUGUCAUCUCUAGAUACAAUAGAAAAGUUCCUAUGAUGUGAACCAAAUGACAUCUCUUUUCCAAUCCCUACUCAUAGGAAUUGAGAUGCUCCAUGUCAUCUCUUUCCCUACAACUUCCAUGUAUACAUCUUCUAUUCCUAAAUAGAUACUACAACCCACUAGUAGCUUUUUUCCAAAACAUGCAACUAUGGCACAAGAACUAUAUAGUGUGCCAACAACUUUGAAAGAUGGUCGCUGGAUGAAGCUAAUCCAACAGUGCAGAGAUAGACUAAUUCGAGCACUACUGGCCAUUGGAUAUCAUCAACAUUCCACCAGAUCUGCCACAUGUACAAUUUAGAAGACUCCAUGGUUGAACUUAAGCAUAAUGCACAAACCUCAAAACACAAGCACUUCUCCUUUGUUCUAGAAUCUUCUGUAUCAUAAUUGAUUAUUUUUUCUAAAUUAAUUGCCAUUAUUUGUUUUUUACUUUAUGAUUUACAAUGCACAACCCCAUGAAUCUUAACAUUUUUAUGAAACUAAUUGAUUUUGAAUGAGAUGAACUAUAAGAACUAAACGAACAUCUACAUCAUGCAUAUAUGACUCAAAGCUUUAUAUGCUAUAGUGUGUAUUUAUUCAUAAUUUGGUUUCGAAGUCUCAUGCAUUCAAUACAUGUGUACCUUACUAGUUUUGAGUAGAGUAGCAAAUUUCACGCGGCCCUGGGUAUAUCAAAGUGCAGGGCCCAUGCAUCAUUGCCUUUCGGUCGAACCUACAUCCACAAUUUUUUGUACGUACUAUAUCUCCACUGGUCCCCGAACCCAAAAUGCUGCCUCGUUCCCGUAAAACCAACGGCCCACACAUAUUUAAGGCGUCAACUCGAACAUGUUUACUAUGACAUGGCCCCGCAUACCGUAGUACUCCUACAAACCCUACCGCCGCACUCAUCGCCGGCUUUCUUCAAGAGGACGAGGGAGAAGCCGAUUUGUAGUGGAGGCGCUUUCAAAAAAAGGAUCUGUAGUGGACACCCCUACCCUAGGGUGCCCUAGGUAGCUGUCACACGCAUUAUUGUUUUCUCUUUUCUUUAUGCUCUUGCGCCCUAGAGUGAAAUUAUUGUUGCUUCGUCCGUCCAUCUUAAUGCGGGAAAGGUGGGGCUUAGUGAUUUGACCCCUCAUCGCUCAUUUUCUACUACUUCGGCGCUACGACCGGGGUGCCUUCAAGUCCAACCGCUGCUUCGAACUGUAAUUUGGUGCAUCGCACGUGGAACAAGACGAUGGAUGAGCCACUUGUCGGCCAAAGGGGUCCUGUUAAGUGUGUUGCCACUUCGUGUGCGGACUGACUGUGCUUGAGUUGCUACGCCAACACGACAGGAACAGCCUACCACUUGGUUUUGCUCCUUGGUGAAUCCCGACUAUAUUGAUCUAAAAAUAUAUGUGCUGAACUACCCUCCCCGUCUCGGUUUUUUAUUUGUAGGCAUCUCGGUUUAUAGGGCCUGCACGUAGUUCUAGGUCAUCCAUUUGACUAACUAAAUAUGAGUUACUAUGUCACAAAAAGUAUACCAUUGGAUUCUUAAGCGGAUGUAGUUGUAUUUAAAAGUCGAGGGCGGGGCUUUUCCUGCGCGGUAGGCGGGGCAGUUCCGCCUAGUCAGUUUGAUAGAGACGAGAGAAGACGAGGGAGUAGGUUGCUGCAAACGUAGGGCUGUGUGAUUUGACAGCGAGUUACUGCUGGAUAGGUGGGGCCCAGUGAUUUGACUUGCCAUUAUCAUUUUAACUACGACGCUACAACCGGCUUGAGUCUCCCGAUUCCUGACCACCUCCAUACAGGUGCCUCUGCCAAUGCUCUACCAUGUAGUAGAGGCUGGCUCUUGCAUGAGAGCCCACUUCUCCACUUUUUCCUUCCCUCUCUUUCCUCCACAUAUGCAAAAAUGUCAUGUAAAGUGCACUAUUGUACUUACUUGCUCCUACAGGAGCUAAGCUUGCCACAUAGGCAUAAAGUCUGAUGUGGCAAGUUAAUCAAGAAGAGAGAGACUAGUUUGGUGACCCAAGGAAGAAACGGUGCUAAGCGCGUGUACCUAGGUGAAAAGACAAUUUUGAGUCUAUAGCUAAUUAAAUGAAGCAAACUUAGCAAAAAAACUAAUAAGUACACCAUUUCAUUGGAAGAGGUCACUCCUUGGAAAAUGCAAUAAAUACUAGUACUCCCUGUGUCCCAUAAUAUAAGAAUGUUUUUGGCACUACACUAGUGUCAAAAACGUUCUUAUAUUAUGGGACGGAGGGAGUACGAAGAAAGAGAUAGAGAGAAGUAAAAAAAAUACACUUAUAGCCAACCUUAUAGCCAACCUUGUUUGUAGUAUGAGUGACUAAGUGAUGACUAUGUAUGACAUGCCAACAUCAGAUAGCCUAACGCACCGUGUUAAAUCUCCAAGGGCGUGACCGCGCGAGCGACGCGACGGUCGUGGUAGGCACGACCAUGAUACAGCCUGCUGGCAGCCCUUGGAUCUGAGAUCAAACGGUCCAUGCUAAGUUGCUGAAAAUUUGCGGAAUAACCCUCUAGGAUAGGAUAUUCACCCAUAGGUCUAGAAUAAUGCCAUGCAACCAUUCGAUCUCAGAUCCAAGGGCUCUCAGAAGCCCAUAUCAUGGGAGAAUAGAAAGCCACUACCCUGCCAUUCGCACGCUGGUAGUUCGCUCCUACUCAUCCCCGCACGUCCUUCAAUACUACGGCGGUUCGCUCCUAGUCGUCCCGUCCAUUCACAUUACAGCUGUUCCACUAAUCCUAACCCUCCUCCCAAAUCCAUGGCGUCCCAAAUCUCCACGAUCGGCGGUGAGUACAAGGUUAGAACCAUCGCCGACGAUGAGUUCGACAUCAUCUACACCCGUUCUUCUUCGACGGUGAAAGGAUGCCUUUCUCACUUCAGACGCAUGUUCGAAAACUCAGAUGAUGAGUGGGUCGCUGGGCUAGAUGUUUAGUGCACCACAGUCCUGGGACGAGAGAAGGAUCUAAAGGAUGAAGAGAGGAAGAAGCCCGCCGUGAUCCAGGUUUGCGUACAGAAAGUUUGCUUGGUCUACCACAUAUGCCAUGCCGACGUUGAGUGCCAGGAUUUUAAGAACUUCCUCAAGGACAAAACAGUGAAAUUCGUUACUGUAGACUUUAAGAACGACAAAGAAGUCCUGGGUCGGAUAGUCCUCGUUGUAGGCAACCCCUUCGACCUCCAGAAGAAUCGGCUGCUGCCCUCUCAUCAGCCUUCAAUGCUGACCCUGGCAGGAGCCAUGGUUCAUCCUUCGUACUGUAAACUAGAGAAAUCUCAUUACACGUUUCAUCCUCAUGCAUGGCAGUGGAAUGUACUACAAGGGUUGGAUGAAGAGCAAGAGCCAAGUGUGCGGUUCAAGCAAAGAAGUAUCGACCAAGAGGAAGAGGGACAAGGACGAAAUCAAGGACGUGGACGAGGACUCCGAGUGAGUAAGGUGUCAGUAUCGUUGCUCAUGGUGGUUCUAAUGCAGUGUCUACCGGAUUAGUUGCAUAGUUUAAUUUCAGGUGUGCUUAGUUUAAUUUGAGGGGUGUGUUGUGCUGAGCCCCCAGCAGAACUAUGUUAUGUUUCUUCUUGUUACUUUAACUCUUCAGUAUGUACAUACUACUAGUAUUUCUUUAGAAUUUAGCACCCCAAUUAAGCAUGUACUAGAUUUUUAAAUAGUACUAUAUGCAUAAUUUGGCGACGAGCGCUCUCUAUAUGUACCACCUUUUUUCUAAUUUCAAUUUUUGCUCCAUGGCGCAAUCCAUCGAUAGUACUACUGUACAAAAGUAUACAUUUUUUAAAAGGCUAGGGUACUGUUCAUCACAUAUAUAGCCAUUUAAAUUCUCAACCUAGAACGACGUACAUGCCAUGUAGUAAACCGAUACAGAGAAAGUAUAGUAAAAAUGAGGUGAUUUUACAGAGCGAUCAGCGGGGGAGCAUGGCUUGUCAUGCAGUCCCACGUGUCAUGAUGUACCAAGGCGUUGCGCGUGUCCCUCUUGAGGGAGAAGCAAUACUACGUGGUUUGGGAUGAUGGCGAACCGAAGUGUGAAAUAAUGGUUGCUUCGUCCGUCUGGGAAGGUGCGGCAUUGUGAUUUGACGUCUCAUUGCUCAUUACUACUAGUGGGCCGGUACGAGUGGGGUGCGUCCCCCUGCUGGCCUGUAUUGUUAUUUGGUGCUUGACAUGCCGACCCGGUUGCUAUAUGUCCCACAUGUCGGUGACAGGAAGCACAUAAUUCAUUAAAGGGAGCGUCGACGGAGGAGUAUACUACAGAAUUCAUGAAAGGGAGCGACCUAGUUUUGGAAAAAUAAGUUUUUACGGAGUACGUACCCAUUAGGGUUUAUAGGGCUCAUCUAAAAAACAUUCGUUUUUCCGUUUGAUAAGUCUCAAUUCUAGUAUACUAGUAGUAGUACCAUUACAUGUUGGAUUUCGAGGUGCAUUAGAUCACCCGACGCAAGCAGUGUCAAGAGGAAAUUAACCAAUGCAUGUAGAAGUUCAUGGAAAUUUAGUGGUCAUUCAGGGCAUCCACAAUGUGAGUAUUUGGCGCCUCUAAGGCUGCCUCUAGGCCCAUGAACACUGCCUCUAUGCACUGCAUCACCCGCCUCUAGGAUAAAAAUUCUUGGAGACGCCUCUAUGCUAAGCGCCGGCCUCCAAUGCUUUGUGCUGAAUAAAAUAUUCUGAUGUCCCCACUGUCAGUCAGUUAGGUGCUGAAGGGACCAAUGGGUUGGUUGAUAAAUGCAUCAUAUUUAAUUGAAUUUUGGGCCCGGCUUUGUCUAUAACGGUAGAGGCUGCACACUGUGGAGUUUUCAUCUAUGGUUAGAGGUAGACCCGUGGGUCCCAGUUUAGAGGCAAGGUUGCCUCCAAACACUGGAGAUGCUCUCAUGCAUUCGUUCUAAUUAAUGCCUCGGUAAACAUAACUUCUUGAGAAAAACGAGCGUACUAAUUACUUGUCUAAACUACGAAAUUAAUUCGACCACUAACCGUCUACCUUGGUUGGAGAGAUUUUGAAAUUGAGCCAUAAACUGGAAAGGAGGAAGUAGUAACUUUUGUCUCGAUUACUAUUUGUGGCCUUGUAUAGAUGCAAAAUGUAUUUUUUUACAGUGGCCUUGUAUAAGUAAAUGGAGGGAGUACUAACCAAGGUACGUAGUAGGGACGAGGAGUAAACGGAGGGAGUAGUAAAAUUUUCUCCUCAUGCUGCGAGCCACCGCGCGCGUGGCCGAGGGAGUGGGCGUAAGGCGUACAGUAGUAGGAGUACUACUACUACUACUCAAAGCAAGCUUCACUUCAUCCUGCAAGCCACCGCGCCCAUGGGCGGGGGAGACGGCGUACUAAGCAAGCUUCUCCUUGUUCUGCGAGUUGACGGGAGACAUCAAAAGUACUCCAGUGUAUAGAGCCUUGCCUCUAAGGUAGGCCCCACAUGGUUUGCCUCUUUUUUUUAACAUAACACGUCAAGUCGCAAUUUGUUUGUUCACCCGUGGUAGACGAUCCUCCCUCCACCAAGUGGACAACCAGUACACGUGUCAAAUUGCCAUGUGGGCUGCCUUUUUUGUACAGUAAUGAGCUCCACCGUGUACCCACGCGGGUGUGGUUGGGAAAGAGACGGGAGUACGUGCGCCGUGCUUGCACCUCUUCUCUUCGCGCACGUCCCCCACUUACGUGGGUGUGUGUGAGAGAUACACAAACCUAGACAUAAUGUGCCGUCCAUCCCCAUGCCUCCGCCUAGCCCGACAACCAGUCACCACCACGCCCCACUCCUCCUCACCUUAUCUCUCAUCUUUCUCCCUCCAUUUUUAUAUACAAGGGGCCACUAUCAAAAUUACAAUUUGUAGAUAUACAAGGCCACUAACACUAAUCGAUCCAAUAUUAAUGGUGUUUGCCUCGUGGUACUAGCAAAGGAGGACAUUAAUUAUCCCUUGCAUGCAUGCAGGAGUUUGUAAAAAAUACAUCUUGAUGUUCUAUGCAAUGCACGGGCAUCUUGCUAGUCCAUGAAAACAACAGAUGGCAAAAUUCCACGGCGAACGAGGGAUUUGAAUCUGUUGGGAGGGGCUGUUUGGAUCUUGCCCGAGGUAGCCAAAAUAUUGGCGACCCUUUUGUCCACCGGUGCCUUUGCUACCGAUGAACGAGGAAUGGCUCGGGUGCUCAUGUUGUCAUGCAUCCUCCGGCGUGCAUGUUGGAGACGAGCUCGCAUGAGCUGUGUUUUUUUUGUCCCACAACGCCGCCCGAGCCGCCCGCAGAUAGACUGGCGACCCGCAAAUUAUGCCAUCCAACUGUAGCCGCACACAUUAUGACAGCAACUCAAGCAACCGGACAAAAUUCACGCAAACACGUAGACAAACUGAUAUUUCAUAUAAACAAUGACGGAAAUCAUAUAACAUACCGGAUUUUCAUACAAACAUGACAGAUUUCAUGACAUUCAAAUGAACUACGCGGGGAUAGUUCUGGAUAGCACAUGUAUAUAAUACCUGGCCUAAAUGGUCGCCCGCCGAUCGAUUUGUGUUCCUCAUGUCCGACAGCAAGAUCAUCGGACUGCCGGGGCCCCGAGGGUAUAUGCUUCAGCGCAAAGGAUGGCUCGCUUCCCCACUGCCCAACUGAUAUCAUUGGCUGGUGCCAAAGAUGAUGGUGGCUGGCACCGGUUCGAGUUAAUCACCGGCUACUACUUUGCCAUGGCCGACACCGGCUCGAGUUCAUCCUAACAUUCCUCUCUUCCGUGGAGCCCAUGCGGGGUCGACGAAGGUCCUCGCAACAAAAGGAUCCGGCAAAACACCUGUUGUGUACACCGGCGUUGCCUCCGCGGUGGCCUUCAUGGGACCAAGCGGCGACGGCCUCCCGUGUUCUACUUCUCCUCAAUGAUGGUGGCGGACGCAGAGGCGCUGGCCACCGACUCGUCGCUCUCCGUGCACCCGGCUUCUGUCGCUGCUUGCAUGGCGCGGCCGCUGGCAUGGGAGUCUCAGCCACAGAAACGGGAGACAUGGUAUGAGGCGGUAGCGUGGACGGCAGCAACGACGCCCGUGCGCCACUCCUCGUCGAGCUGGCCUGGAGCGGCAAGUUGCUGAACCGCAUGCCAGCUUGGGGCAACAACUGGCUCCAUCGGGCGAGGGGAGGGAGGUGGAUCAGCGAGCUGCAUAGCUCGUAUUCGGCAGGCUACCCAGCCGGCUUGGAUGCGGAAUAACUACUCUUCGUAAGCCAUUGUAAGAGUGGACAAAAUGGUGGAGGAGAUAGGGGAGCGGCGGAGGUGUGUGAUUCUUGGUCGGUGUUUGGCCUCGCUUAAAUAGGAGAUUAAAUAGACGGCGGACAGGAGGAGCUCGCCGGCAUUGCGUUUAAUGCCGGCCCGGUCAAGAACGGACGUAGGUCCAGAGUGGGUUUCUCGGCUUCCACACGGGCGGGUUUCAUGGAGGCGUUUGAAUGCGGCACGGAGGCGUGUUCAGCCGAGCAUGUAGCGAGUGGCGCCCUCGACUCUGACCUAGGACACUACGCCAUUCUUUCACUGACGUGUGGGCUCUUUGGGUGCAUGGCCUGCAUGUCAGUAACCCAAUGCAGGCAGCGCACAGUAGAGGAACCUUUGGUGGGCCAGGGCGGUCAGAAGCAGGCAUUUCGUAAACCGAUGAUUGUUCGUUGAGUGUGACGUCAUAUUUUCAUGUAGAUAAGCCUACAAUGUUGAUAGCCGGUUCGAUACGUUGUGAUUCAUAAAGACCGCUGCAAACAUCAAUGUUCUGUUUAUCACAGAUAAGAUUGAUUAAUACCCGUAACAAUCCAUGUCCUUAACAAAGGGUGCAUGCACGUAUAGGUUGAGCGUGUGUCUUGCGUCGUGUGAUGUGUGCAUGCAGACGUGCGAAUGUUGCGUGCGUGCAAGGGUAUGUUUUAGUGUUGCAUGCAUGGGUGCGUAUGUGCGUGUGUUCGUGAGUGCAUGUGUACGUGUCAUUGUUGCACGCCAGCAUGCGUACGUGUGUACGUUAUGUGUAUGUGUCAGUGUUGCACGCCUGCAUGCAUGCGUCUCUUGCGUGCGUGCAUGUGUACGUGCGAGGUGAGGCUACACGUCAGUCGACUGACUUUUUCAUCUCUGGUCAUUAGAUUUUCCAGCCGUUGGAUAUGAAAUCAAGGGCCUCCAGUUUAUCAUCAAACACCCCCCCUGAGCCGCCAACCACCACCGGCCGAACCGCCAGCCCUUGCCGCCUGCGGCCGGCCCGUGCCGCCACGCUGCCCCGCCCUCCCCGAAACCACUCCCCACCGUCGGUCNNNNNNNNNNNNNNNNNNNNNNNNNNNNNNNNNNNNNNNNNNNNNNNNNNNNNNNNNNNNNNNNNNNNNNNNNNNNNNNNNNNNNNNNNNNNNNNNNNNNNNNNNNNNNNNNNNNNNNNNNNNNNNNNNNNNNNNNNNNNNNNNNNNNNNNNNNNNNNNNNNNNNNNNNNNNNNNNNNNNNNNNNNNNNNNNNNNNNNNNNNNNNNNNNNNNNNNNNNNNNNNNNNNNNNNNNNNNNNNNNNNNNNNNNNNNNNNNNNNNNNNNNNNNNNNNNNNNNNNNNNNNNNNNNNNNNNNNNNNNNNNNNNNNNNNNNNNNNNNNNNNNNNNNNNNNNNNNNNNNNNNNNNNNNNNNNNNNNNNNNNNNNNNNNNNNNNNNNNNNNNNNNNNNNNNNNNNNNNNNNNNNNNNNNNNNNNNNNNNNNNNNNNNNNNNNNNNNNNNNNNNNNNNNNNNNNNNNNNNNNNNNNNNNNNNNNNNNNNNNNNNNNNNNNNNNNNNNNNNNNCCCACCGCCCAAUCAAUGCCCCCCAACCGCCAGCGUCUGCCAACCAGAGGUCUCACGACUUCGAAUACCCACCGACCACUAAUUUAUUACCAUUUUUGUCCUUCAUAUAUGCGCUGACGAGUGGGCCCUAUGGUAAUGUGCGCUGCUGAAUGUGGACCAUUUGACUAGUCAAUUGAUCGUGUUAUCAACAAAUUACAGAGUUGUAUGGUGAGCCAGUGACCAUAUGAUCAUCCUAAAAUGUACUCCUAUUUUAUUAACACAGUACAGACUCAAACUACCAUUCCUUUCUUUCAUAUACAGGCUGACAGGUGGGCCCCACGGUUUCGCGCCCCGAUGGUGCAACACUAGUUGCACCGCGUGGAACGUUUGACUGGUCAAUUGAUUGUGUCAUCAGCAAAAUGCGGAGUUGUACGGGUGAGCUAGUGACCAUAUAAUCAUGACAUGUAUUUGUUUAACACGGUACAGACGCAAGGGCUCAUAUAUACGUGCAAGCACUCGCCGCUAUAAGCGCACACACACAAACCCUACCCCUAUGAGCACCUUCGAGAGAGUGGGCCAACAUAUAUGAUCUUGAGAUUUUACGAAGUCACCAUAGGUGCCUCAUAGUCGAGUGGAACAUCUCCUCCCACUGAACGUACAUCGCUGGAAAAUACUGAAAUUAACACAAGAUAAAUGCGAGCACCGGGACUUUAACCUUGGUGGGCUCGAGAAACCACUGUCUUCCUAACCACCCAACCACAUGUUUGUUAGCACGUCAAAAUGUAUGUGGUGACCGUGAUGAGCUUAUUCUGAAGUCCAGUGACCAUAUCGUGCUUUCGCUUCAAAUACAAUGACCGUAAGUGUCGUCAACAAAAUACAAAGCACGCAUCAAAUGCAAAGUCCGUUAGUGUCAUCAACAAAAUAUGGAGACAUAUCGUGAGCUAGAUACCGUUGUACUAUUGUAUAUGCUUAUUUUCUUAGCGGCCGAUUGCGUGUGUGGUGUGGUGGGCACAUCAUUUCUAGUUAUGGUGGAUCAACAUGAAGACUCAUGGGUCGGUUCCAUCCUGCACCACAUAUAGGUUGGACCAAGAUGUGUUAUACGAAGACCCAUGUGGAGGACUCGGCGUACAACACGAAGCUACCAGAGUCGCGGAGGACUCUAUCCCCACUGGUGAUAAGCCGACUAUAUAUGAUUUGUAACCAUAGGCCCCUAGUAUGUUUUACAAGCUUGGCGGCUAGUUCGUCGAUAGUAUACACACAUGCACAAUGCCUGGUAUUCACGUGUACUUUGUACACACCCCUAUCACUAAUAUACAGUACCAGGAGUAGUCUCCUUCUUCAACUGCAAGGGUCCGAUCCGAACUAGGGUAAAACUUUGCCUCGUAUUACCAUCCAGCCUAACAGCCAGGGAUAUCCUACCGAAUGAUAUGAUGAAAUCAUAUCUGCCAACUACUAAGAGAGAGGUGUGUCAGGGGGGCAAUGUGUGCGAGAGAGGCCUAAAGAUAAUUUUCAUGCGGGAGACACGUAGGCACAUACAUGUGCCUAUAGAGGGAUAGUAGAGACCGUGCGUGUGUAUAUAUGCAUGUGAGAGAAAUAGUGUUUUCCAACUGAGAUUAGUGAAAAGAGUGGUACAUAGUAGUCAGAAAGAGAGAGAAAGAAACAGAGAGAGCAUGUGCGUGAGACACCCAGACACCCCGAGAGAGAUUGUGAGCAUGUGUGAAAGAGAAAUGCCGAUGCAUAUAAAGUGUGUGCACUUAUGCGUUAGAUAGAGAGAUAUAUAACACGUUUGUGAGAAUGGGCCGAUGCAUAGUGCAUCUACGUGUAAAAGGAGGUUCUACGCAUUAAAUUAAAAUAUAAAUGUCAUUAUUAUUUUUGGAUGAGAUCAUGAAUUUUGCAAAUUGCGUAUGGACGAAAAUCGGUCUAUCUGACACCCAUACUCUAUUGAAUACUAGCAUGUGCAUGUGUUUAUUUCAUAUUAUCGAUCCAUAGACUGAGAGCGGUUUGAAAUACAGGCAAUUGAUGCUUUUGCAAUUCAUAUAUAAACAUUAAUUAGUGCACUCCAUGUUGUUAGUGUGAAGCACUUUAUACAUUUGUCACUUGCAUGGAUACAUUCCAAAUUGCUAGCUACGAAAUAGAAUACAUGUUGAAUUCAACAUAAAAGGGGUUUUGAAGAUUCGAAUUCAUAGGAAGUGCAUUCAUCUAUUUGAACCCGAGAUAAUGGCAUUUGUAAAUCAGAUGUAAAAGGGGGCACCAAUCUUUGUUGUGAGUUUGAACAUGCUAUAUAUAUUCGUACGCAUAUCUAACUUUUUUUUGCAACCAAGGAGAUUAUAUCUGGAACCAUGCAUGAACUGAGGUAAGUUGCAUAUUUUUUAAUAUAUACUCGUGUACAAUGUAUAUUCAAAUGUACCCCAUCCAUUCCAAAAUAAUCGUAGCUUUAGGAUUUUCAAGAGUAAAGAUUUGUGAAGUUUGACAAAUCCUGAAAGUUCAAUUCACUGGUAGAAAAAGAGGCUUCCGUCCAGCCCCAUUAGUCGCGAAACUGUAGGAACCACGACUAAUGAAGUCUUUAGUCGCGGUUCGACAGACGAACCGCGACCAAAGGCCUGGGCCCAGGGCGCUCGGUGGCCAGCUGGUGCACGUGAGGGGCUUUAGUCGCGGUUGGCCAGGCCAACCGCGACUAAAGGUGCCCAAAGGCCUUUAGUCACGGUUGGCCAGGCCAACCGCGACUAAAGCUCCUCCCCUAUAUAUACUAGUUCAGCACGCUCACUUAGCCAUUUGGUGCCACUUCUCUUCACAAGCUUCACAAGGGGGUGUAGGUUUGCUUUUGGUUCCUCUUAUGCACACAAGGUGUUUGAUGAAAUGCCCCAAGAGGGUGAAACAAACAUGAUAUGAAGUGUUGGAGCCACACUUGAGGUUCCUCAUUUAUUUUUUUCUCCUCGAUCGCGGUUAGCAACUUGAACCUUUCAUGCAUGUGUGUCAUUGAUAAAAUAUGCAUGUGUGUUGUUCAUUGUUUAAUUUCUAUUGUUUAUAGCUAGUUAGUUUAACAAAUGCAUGAUGGUUAAUUAUAUAUUUUAUAUUAUAAUAAUGCAGAUGAAUCGGCAAUGGAUGUACGGUAACCGACUCUCCCGCGAGUUCACUACGGGUUUGAAAGAUUUCCUCGUAGUGGCUAAUGCGAACAAGCAGAAGGGUUUUGUUAUCUGUCCAUGUGUUGAAUGUAAGAAUCAGAAGGGUUACUCUUCCUCAAGAGAAGUUCACCUGCACCUGCUUCGGCACGGUUUCAUGCCAAGCUAUAAUUGUUGGACCAAGCAUGGAGAAAGAGGGGUUAUAAUGGAAGAAGAUGAAGAAGGGGAUGAUUUCAUCGAUGAAAGCUAUCUUGCUCAUUUCGGUGAUACUUUCAUGGAGGAUGCUGAAGGUGAAGGGGAAGGUGAAGGGGAAGGUGAAGGUGAAGAAGAGGCACGUGAUGAGACCGUUGAUGAUCUUGGUCGGACCAUUGCUGAUGCACGGAGACGCUGCGAAACUAAAAAGGAGAGGGAGAAUUUGGAUCGCAUGUUAGAGGAUCACAGAAAGUCGUUGUACCCCGGAUGCGAUGAUGGCCUGAAAAAGCUGGGCUGCACACUGGAUUUGCUGAAAUGGAAGGCACAGGCAGGUGUAGCUGACUCGGCAUUUGAAAACUUGCUGAAAAUGUUGAAGAAUAUGUUUCCAAAGAAUAACGAGUUGCCCGCCAGUACGUACGAAGCAAAGAAGGUUGUCUGCCCUCUAGGUUAAGAGGUUCUGAAGAUACAUGCAUGCAUCAACGACUGCAUCCUCUACCGCGGUGAAUACGAGAAUUUGAAUGAAUGCCCGGUAUGCAUUGUAUUGCGUUAUAAGAUCAGAGGCGAUGACCCUGGUGACGAUGUUGAGGGCGAGAAACCCAGGAAGAGGGUUCCCGCCAAGGUGAUGUGGUAUGCUCCUAUAAUACCACGGUUGAAACGUCUGUUCAGGAACAAAGAGCAUGCCAAGUUGUUGCGAUGGCACAAAGAGGACCGUAAGUCGGACGGGGAGUUGAGACACACCGCAGAUGGAACGCAAUGGAGAAAGAUCGACAGAGAGUUCAAAGAUUUUGCAGCUGACGCAAGGAACAUAAGAUUUGGUCUAAGUACAGAUGGCAUGAAUCCUUUUGGCGAGCAGAGCUCCAGCCAUAGCACCUGGCCCUUGACUCUAUGCAUCUAUAACCUUCCUCCUUGGUUGUGCAUGAAGCGGAAGUUCAUUAUGAUGCCAGUGCUCAUCCAAGGUCCGAAGUAACCCGGCAACGACAUCGAUGUGUACCUAAGGCCAUUAGUUGAUGAACUUUUACAGCUGUGGGGCAGACCUGGUGUCCGUGUGUGGGAUGAGCACAAAAAAGAGGAAUUUAACCUACGAGCGUUGCUUUUGUAAUCAUCAACGAUUGGCCUGCUCUUAGUAACCUUUCGGGACUGUCAAAUAAGGGAUACAAUGCAUGCACGCACUGCUUACAUGAGACUGAAAGUGUACAUUUGCCAAAUUGUAAGAAGAACGUGUACCUUGGGCAUCGUCGAUUUCUUCCGAAAAUUCAUCCAGUAAGAAAGAAAGGCAAGCAUUACAACGACAAGGCAGAUCACCGGCCGAAGCCUGCGGAACGCACUGGUGCUGAGGUAUUUGAUAUCGUCAAGGAUUUGAAAGUCAUCUUUGGAAAGGGUCCUGGCGGACAAUCAGUUCCGAAGGGAGCUGACGGGCACGCAGCCAUGUGGAAGAAGAAAUCUAUAUUCUGGGAGCUAGAAUAUUGGAAAGUCCUAGAAGUCCGCUCUGCAAUCGACGUGAUGCACGUUACGAAGAAUAUUUGCGUGAACCUCCUAAGCUUCUUGGGCGUGUAUGGGAAGACAAAUGAUACAAAGGAAGCAUGGCAGGACCAGCAACGUUUGAAAGACCCUGAUGACCGGCAUCCGGAAUGGUUUCAAGGUCGUGCCAGCUACGCUCUGACCAAAGAAGAGAAGGUCAUCUUUUUUAAAUGCCUGAGCAGUAUGAAGGUCCCGUCUGGAUUCUCGUCCAAUAUAAAGGGAAUAAUAAACAUGGCGGAGAAAAAGUUCCAAAACCUGAAGUCUCACGACUGCCACGUGAUUAUGACGCAAUUGCUUCCAAUUGCUUUGAGGGGGCUCCUGCCGGAAAAUGUUCGAGUAGCCAUUGUGAAGCUAUGUGCAUUCCUCAAUGCAAUCUCUCAGAAGGUAAUCAAUCCAGAAGUUCUACCACGGUUACAGAACGAUGUGAUCCAAUGUCUUGUCAGUUUCGAGUUGGUGUUCCCCCCAUCCUUCUUCAAUAUUAUGACGCACCUCUUGGUUCCCCUAGUCGAAGAGAUUUUCAUUCUCGGUCCUGUAUUUCUACACAAUAUGUUCCCCUUCGAGAGGUUCAUGGGAGUAUUAAAGAAAUAUGUUCGUAACCGUGCUAGGCCAGAAGGAAGCAUCGCCAAGGGCUAUGGAAAUGAGGAGGUAAUUGAGUUUUGUGUUGACUUUGUUCCUGACCUUAAGCCGAUUGGUCUUCCUCGAUCGCGGCACGAGGGGAGACUAAGUGGAAAAGGCACGAUCGGAAGGAAAUCAACGAUAUGUAUGGACGGCCAUUCUCUGACUGAAGCACACCACACUGUACUGACCAAUUCCAGCUUGGUGGCUCCGUACUUUGAGAAACACAAGAAUAUUUUACGCUCGGACAACCCGGGGAAGCCUGAAUCCUGGAUUAGGAAGGCCCACAUGGAGACUUUCGGCAGUUGGUUGAGAAAACAUUUAAUGAAUGACAAUGAUGUUGUAGAUCAGCUGUACAUGUUGGCCAAGACACCAUCUUCGACUAUAAUGACUUUCCGAGGGUACGAGAUAAAUGGGAAUACAUUUUACACGAUCGCCCAAGAUAAAAAGAGCACCAACCAAAACAGUGGUGUCCGCUUUGAUGCAGCAACCGAGAAUGGGCAAAAGGUCACAUAUUAUGGUUACAUAGAGGAGAUAUGGGAACUUGACUAUGGACCCUCCUUUAAGGUCCCUUUGUUCCGGUGCAAAUGGUUCAAGCUAACAGGAGGUGGGGUAAAGGUGGACCAGCAAUACGGAAUGACAAUGGUGGAUUUCAACAAUCUUGGUUACCUUGACGAACCAUUCGUCCUAGCGAAAGAUGUCGCUCAGGUUUUCUAUGUGAAGGACAUGAGUAGCAAACCGAGGAAACGGAAAGAUAAGAAAACGAUCAGUACAUCAUGCGAUGAUCCAAAGCGCCACAUUGUUCUUUCAGGGAAAAGAAACAUCGUGGGAGUGGAGGACAAGACAGACAUGUCAGAAGAUUAUAAUAUGUUUGCUGAAAUUCCUGUUGGAAAUAUGCCCUAGAGGCAAUAAUAAAAGUAUUAUUAUAUUUCAAUGUUCAUGAUAAAUGUCUUUUAUUCAUGCUAUAACUGUAUUAUCCGGAAAUCGUAAUACACGUGUGAAUACUUAGACCACAAUAUGUCCCUGGUGAGCCUCUAGUUGACCAGCUCAUUGUGAUCAACAGAUAGUCAUGGUUUCCUGACUAUGGACAUUGGAUGUCGUUGAUAACGGGAUCACAUCAUUAGGAGAAUGAUGUGAUGGACAAGACCCAAUCCUAAGCAUAGCAUAAAAGAUCGUGUAGUUCGUUUUGCUAGAGCUUUGCCAAUGUCAAGUAUCUCUUCCUUAGACCAUGAGAUCGUGUAACUCCCGGAUACCGUAAGAGUGCCUUGGGUGUAUCAAACGUCACAACGUAACUGGGUGACUAUAAAGGUGCAUUACAGGUAUCUCCGAAAGUAGCUGUUGGGUUGACACGGAUCGAGACUGGGAUUUGUCACUCCGUAUGACGGAGAGGUAUCUCUGGGCCCACUCGGUAAUGCAUCAUCAUAAUGAGCUCAAUGUGACCAAGGUGUUGGACACGGGAUCAUGCAUUACGGUACGAGUAAAGUGACUUGCCGGUAACGAGACUGAACAAGGUAUUGAGAUACCGACGAUCGAGUCUCGGGCAAGUAACGUACCGAUUGACAAAGGGAAUUGCAUACAGGGUUUGAUCGAAUCCUCGACAUAGUGGUUCAUCCGAUGACAACAUCGAGGAGCAUGUGGGUGUUGGGGAACGUUGCAGAAAACAAAAAUUUUCCUACUCGUUUCACCAAGAUCAUCUAGGAGUUCAUCUAGCAACGAGUGAUUAGAUGCAUCUACAUACCUUUGUAGAUCGCGAGCGGAAGCGUUCAAAAGAACGGUGAUGAUGUAGUCGUACUCGACGUGAUCCAAAUCACCGAUGACCAGCGCCGAACGGACGGCACCUCCGCGUUCAACACACGUACGGAACAACCACGUCUCCUCCUUCUUGAUCCAGCAAGGGAGGGAGGAGAGGUUGAGGGAGAUGGCACCAGCAGCAGCACGACGGCGUGGUGUUGAUGGAGCUGCAGUACUCCGGCAGAGCUUCGCUAAGCACUAUGGAGGUUGAGGAGGUGUUGGGGAGGGAGAAGGAGGCAACCAAAGGCCGAGGCGUUCAGGUAUGAAGUCCCUCCUCUCCCCCACUAUAUAUAGGGGUGCCAAGGGGGGGUGGCCGGCCCUAGGAGAUCCAAUCUCCUAGGGGGUGCGGCGGCCUAGGGGGGGUUUUCCUCCCCCCCAAGGCACCUAGGAGGUGCCUUACCCUCCUAGGACUCUUUCCCCCUUAAACCCUAGGCGCAUGGGCCUAUGUGGGGCUGGUGCCCUUGGCCCAUUAGGCCAAGGCGCACCCCCUUACAGCCCAUGUGGCCACCCGGGACAGGUGGACCCACCCGGUGGACCCCCGGGACCCUUCCGGUGGUCCCGGUACAAUACCGAUAACCCCGAAACUUGUCCCGAUGCCCGAAACAGGACUUCCCAUAUAUAAAUCUUUACCUCCGGACCAUUCCGGAACUCCUCGUGACGUCCGGGAUCUCAUCCGGGACUCCGAACAACAUUCGGGUUACUGCAUAUACAUAUCCCUACAACCCUAGCGUAACUGAACCUUAAGUGUGUAGACCCUACGGGUUCGGGAGACAAGCAGACAUGACCGAGACGACUCUCCGGUCAAUAACCAACAGCGGGAUCUGGAUACCCAUGUUGGCUCCCACAUGCUCCACGAUGAUCUCAUCGGAUGAACCACGAUGUCGAGGAUUCAAUCAACCCCGUAUGCUAUUCCCUUUGUCUAUCGAUAUGUUACUUGCCCGAGAUUCGAUCGUCGGUAUCCCAAUACCUCGUUCAAUCUCGUUACCGGCAAGUCACUUUACUCGUACCGUAAUGCAUGAUCCCGUGACCAAACACUUGGUCACUUUGAGCUCAUUAUGAUGAUGCAUUACUGAGUGGGCCCAGUGAUACCUCUCCGUCAUACGGAGUGACAAAUCCCAGUCUUGAUCCAUGUCACCCAACAGACACUUUCGGAGAUACCCGUAGUCUACCUUUAUAGUCACCCAGUUACGUUGUGACGUUUGGCAUACCCAAAGCACUCCUACGGUAUCCGGGAGUUACACGAUCUCAUGGUCUAAGGAAAAGAUACUUUGACAUUGCAAAACUCUAGCAAACGAACUAUACGAUCUUGUGCUAUGUUUAGGAUUGGGUCUCGUCCAUCACAUCAUUCUCCUAAUGAUGUGAUCUCGUUAUCAAUGACAUCCAGUGUCCAUAGUCAGGAAACCAUGACUAUCUGUUGAUCAACGAGCUAGUCUACUAGAGGCUUACUAGGGACAUGUUGAUGUCUAUUAUUCACACAUGUAUUACGAUUUCCAGAUAACACAAUUAUAGCAUGAAUAAAGACAAUUAUCAUGAACAAGGAAAUAUAAUAAUAAUGCUUUUAUUAUUGCCUCUAGGGCAUAUUUCCAACAUAUUGUGUGUAUGUUAUUGAAAUGCUUGGUAUGUGUGGGAUCUGACCAUCUAGUUGUUUAUCUUUAGUAGCCUCUCUUACCGGGAAAUGUCUCCUAGUGUUUCCAUUGAGCCUUGGUAGCUUGCUACUGCUCCGGAACACUUAGGCUGGCCGGCAUGUGUCCUUCUUCGUUCCUGUGUCUGUCCCUUCGGGGAAAUGUCACGCGAUGAAUACCGGAGUCCUGUUAGCCCGCUACAGCCCGGUUCACCGGAGUCCUGCUAGCCCAGUGCUACAGCCUGGAUUCACUCGCUGAUGACCGACACGUUCGAUGCUGGGUCAUGGAUGCCUGUCCCUGUAAGUCUGUGCCACUUUGGGUUUACGACUAGCCAUGUCAGCCCGGGCUCCUUAUCAUAUGGAUGCUAGCGACACUGUCAUAUACGUGUGCCAAAAGGCGCAAACGGUCCCGGGCAAAGGUAAGGCGACACCCGUGGGAAUACCGUGCGUGAGGCCGCAAAGUGAUAUGAGGUGUUACAUGCUAGAUCGAUGUGGCAUUGAGUCGGGGUCCUGACAGCAUUGGUAUCAGAGCUUGACUGCCUGUAGGAUUACCAAGCCAAACUGGUCGAAGUUGAGUCUAGAAAUUCUUUAGUUAUGUAAGGGAAUUGAUUGUGGGAUGGAGGUAAUUGAGUUUUGUGUUGACUUUGUUCCUGACCUUAAGCCGAUUGGUCUUCCUCGAUCGCGGCACGAGGGGAGACUAAGUGGAAAAGGCACGAUCGGAAGGAAAUCAACGAUAUGUAUGGACGGCCAUUCUCUGACUGAAGCACACCACACUGUACUGACCAAUUCCAGCUUGGUGGCUCCGUACUUUGAGAAACACAAGAAUAUUUUACGCUCGGACAACCCGGGGAAGCCUGAAUCCUGGAUUAGGAAGGCCCACAUGGAGACUUUCGGCAGUUGGUUGAGAAAACAUUUAAUGAAUGACAAUGAUGUUGUAGAUCAGCUGUACAUGUUGGCCAAGACACCAUCUUCGACUAUAACGACUUUCCAAGGGUACGAGAUAAAUGGGAAUACAUUUUACACGAUCGCCCAAGAUAAAAAGAGCACCAACCAAAACAGUGGUGUCCGCUUUGAUGCAGCAACCGAGAAUGGGCAAAAGGUCACAUAUUAUGGUUACAUAGAGGAGAUAUGGGAACUUGACUAUGGACCCUCCUUUAAGGUCCCUUUGUUCCGGUGCAAAUGGUUCAAGCUAACAGGAGGUGGGGUAAAGGUGGACCAGCAAUACGGAAUGACAAUGGUGGAUUUCAACAAUCUUGGUUACCUUGACGAACCAGUCGUCCUAGCGAAAGAUGUCGCUCAGGUUUUCUAUGUGAAGGACAUGAGUAGCAAACCGAGGAAACGGAAAGAUAAGAAAACGAUCAGUACAUCAUGCGAUGAUCCAAAGCGCCACAUUGUUCUUUCAGGGAAAAGAAACAUCGUGGGAGUGGAGGACAAGACAGACAUGUCAGAAGAUUAUAAUAUGUUUGCUGAAAUUCCGCCCUUCAAAGUGAACACCGACCCAAGCAUUAAGUUAAAUGAUGAGGAUGCUCCAUGGAUACGGCACAAUUGUAAGCAAGCAGGGACACAAGGGAAGAAAUGAUGUGUAAUAAUUUAUUGUACCAAACUUUGUUGAAUGGAUCAUGUGAAUUAUAUUACCCGUGAUGUGUUUGGUGUCCAUUUUCGAAUGAUUCGAGAUACCACUGAUGAUACAUGAAAUUUGGAGUUAUUUAGUCAUACUCCUGCCUAGGCGUAUAAUAUGCAUACUCGUAGUCUUCAUAGCCGCCGCCGUUGUACUGGUAGUCGUCGCCUUCUAAGUUGCCGCCGUCGUCGUCGCUGCUGUCGUCGCUGUCGUACUCCUGCCUAGGCGUAUAAAAUUUUGAAUUGAAUUAGUUUUAUUUUUCUGAUUUUUUUGAUAUAUUAUUUGUAUUUUUAACAUUUUGAAUUGAAUUAGUUUUAUUUUUCUUAAUUUUUUGAUAUAUUAUUUGUAUUUUUAGAAUUUUGAAUUGAAUUAGUUUUAUUUUUCUGAAUAUUUUGAUAUAAUAUUUGUGUUUUUAACAUAUUGAAUUGAAUUAGUUUUAUUUUUCUGAAUUUUUUGAUAUAUUAUUUGUAUUUUUAACAUUUUGAAUUGAAUUGGUUUUAUUUUUCUGAAUUUUUUGAUNNNNNNNNNNGCCGUAUGUUUGCACACCGCGCCCCGCCCCGGCCCACGCGCGCCGCCCCCUCUCGCCCACACGUAUGGCGCCGCCGGCCGUCACCGGCAUCCCUCGCCCACCGCACGCGCCGCCUCGCUCGCCCGCCCUCAACGCCGCCAGCCGACCUCGGUACUGCCGCGCAUGCACGGGCCACCGGUCUCAGACAGAGAGCGAGAUCGUGGAGAGAGAGAGGGGCGCCGCGGGCCACCGGAAUUUUUUCUUUUUUUUUGUUCUUUUUAAUUUUAACUAGUUAAUUAGUUUAACAAAAACGGUAAAAUAACUUAAAACUUGAUAAUUAACAAAAAAACCGUAAAAUUUGAUAAUUAACAAAAAAACGUAUAUAAAACUUGAUAAUUAACAACAAAAAAGUAAAACUUGAUAAUCAAUAUAUACAACGACACCGCGCGUCAAUGUACAACGAUCCCGCUUUAAAAAAUGUACACGACCCCGCGCAUAUACGGAGAGGGGGCGGCGAGGGGGGCGGCGAUGCGCGCGGUGUUUUUUUUUUGGGAUCGAGAGGGGGCGGCGAGGGUUAUACAUGUGUGUUGUCCUCGCCUCCCUCUCCGUGACGCCGUCGUCUGCCGCCCCGUCUCGCGCUCUACCGCGACACCCUCUCCCACCCCUUCCUCGCCCCCUCCUUUUGCCACCGCCCUUUCACCACCGCCACCGCCACCGCCCCCCUUCUUCACUUAAUUAAUUUGUUUUUACUACAUGUUUUCAGGACUGACAUAAUGGCGGACGAUAGAGCUGACCCGAUUAUGGACAACUGUGAUCCGGACGGUGAAGCACAUAUGUUCGGCAUCAUAAACGGCGAUAUUCUAUAUGUGCCGACCGGACAAGAAGAAGAUGAUAUCUCUUCUUAUCUGAACCUUGACGGUGAAGAUGAAGGGCGCCGUCAGCAAGAUGAUGCCGAACAAACGUCGAUAAACGACGAUCUUCAAAUGGAAGUAGCAACCACCUCCGGCGCCGAGGUAUAUAUAUACAUUGAGCCUCUGGUGAUACAAACUAACUGAUUUGAAUAAAUAUGUGUGUACUAACGCGCGCGACUCUCUUUCUUAUUUUAGCCCUCGGCCGGAUCGUCGAAACAAUCGAGUACGUCGUCAAAGCGUGGCGCAACCAAGACGAUGAAACAAGGAGAAACAUGCACCAUCGAGGUUGUCGACAGUGCAACCGGCAGGCCGCUGGAGCCCCGCAAGAAUGCCACCAAGUUUGUCAACCAAUGCAGAGCCAUUGUUAGAGACAACAUCUCGAUCACCGUCCAGGAGUGGAAUAAGCCAAAGAAGGCACGAAUUGCUGGUUUCACUUUUGUCGAUAAGAGAACAAAAAAAGAUUGCUUCAAGAAGCUUAUGGAACAUUUCGUUCUACCUCCGAAAUACAACAAAUUCGAUGAGGAGGGUAACAAGAUUGAGGAAAACAAGGAGAGGAGGAGGCUAGUCAAACAGUUCGCUCUUCAUAAGAUGGCCGACGCAUUCCGGAAAUUCAAGCAAAAUCUAGCCCAUGACUUUGUCAAGCAGAACAAGACUCCGGAUUUCAAAGGACAAUAUGAGAAACUGAAACAUGAUUGGCCAGAAUUUGUGAAGCAAAAGAAAUCGGAGCAGUUCAUUCAAAUAUCGAAAAAAAAUAAGGAAAAUGCGGCUAAGAAGGAGUACAAUCAUAUUAUGGGGCCAGGAGGGUAUCGCCUUUGGGAGCCUAGGUGGGAGAAGAUGGAGAACGAGCUGAGGGCGCGAGGAAUCCGUCCAGGUACGGAGGGAUGGGACCCAAGGGCCAAAAGCUGGUGGUACGGGCAUGGGGGAACGCUGAACCCGGAGACAGGGGAGUGUGUUUACCGGGGCAAAAUAAUUAAACCCACCCAAGCCCUUAUUGACGCAAUGAGGGAUGCUCAAGAGGGGAAGAUCAAGUUCAACAGAGAGAACGACGCGCUGACAAAAGCCCUCGGGAAUCCUGAACACGGAGGACGUGUACGUGGCAUGGGGCACAUUCCGUGGAAAAUAGGGUUCCCCCAGAACGAUGACCCGUACGGUUACAGAAGCCGGAAGAGAAAGAUGGAUCAGGAAGCAGAUGUUGUGGCGCGGUUGGCAUCGGAAAUGGAUGUGAUGAAGAAAACCGUGAGUGUACUAGUAGCCGAAAGAGAUGCAGCUCGGGCGCAGCAUGAAGAUCAUCCAGCGGAUCUCAGAAGCCAGCAGCGGAGAAGCAGUGUGGCUUCCACGGAGGCCCCACCGGCUGGUGCAGAUGCACCGACGAUCGAAAUUACUGCACCGGAGCCUCUGGUGGUCGAAAUUACUGCACCGGAGCCUCUAGUGGUCGAAAUUACUGCACCGGAGCCUCCUCGCUACCCCGUGGACGAUAUAAAGGAGAUGAAAGAAUGUCAUAUGUAUUAUCCUAUCGGGAACAUGUCCAUGAAGGUAGCCAUCGGCAGUGCUUUACCAUGUUUACCUGGAGCACUCCACCACAACAACCCCAUUCAAGAUGGCUAUGCUCGUGUCACGGUGGAGGACAUAGUCCAAGGGUUUGAGGACCUGGAGAUUGACAUUGCUACACCUGAAGGGGAGAAAAGACUUGGAGAUGUCAAGCGCCAUUUCAUUCUAUGGCAAAAGAAGUUUAUCAAGUUUCCAGGCGAGGCGCCAAGGACAACAAGUCCACCCCCCUACGGUGGUGGCGGUUCACCUACACCUCCGUCACGUUAGCCGACGCCCCCCAGUCCACAACGUCCGGCGGGUGAUCAGACGCCGCCCCCCAGUCCUCGUCCGGCGGGUGAUCAGACGCCGCCCCCCAAUCCACCUCAGGCAAAGAAGCAGAAGCAGUCCUGGAUUAUUAACCCGGACCCUUAUGUACCUAAGACCACAAAGGUACCGGAGCCAUCACUGAAGCCUCUCCCCACAAGGCCUUGGGAACGUAGUGCCGAGGAAACUGCCACGGCCGCGGCUGCUGAUCAUGAGAAAUGGAAGGCGGACUGCAAGAAGAAAAGAGAGCCCGAGCCCAAGCCAGUAUUUUCUGAUGAGCAAAAGAAGUGGGCUAAGUCAUUUUUGAGCACACCGUCCCAAGCCGCGAAGAAUCUGCCUGACGACUAUGCACGUGAACUUCGUAGGCAUGCACUCAUGUUGAAGGAGAAGAAAGAGCGGGUGGAGAACUAGGAGAACAAAGCCUUGGAGGAGGCCGAGAAAACGGAAUUAGAAAGUAAAAAAAGCGGGAAACGAGUUGCCCAGCUCGAGGAACAAAGUAAACAAUCGAUUGCCCCGCUUAUAGUGAAAGUCGCCGGUCCGGAUGACCCCGAUAUCAUAGCAGUUGCGGCAGCACAUGGAUUGACUGUAACGAGUGCCAGAGAACAAGCGGCCAACUUAGGUAUUACUCUUCGUGAACUGUUAGGCCUUGAUGAGGCGCCAGUGAAGGAGGUAGUAAUUACAUAUGUGAAGAAUGGGCCUCUCGUCGAGCCUGCGCAGGAAGAGGAUCUACCUCCACAAAUGAAAGGUCUGCUGAAAUGGUACAAGGGUUACAUAAAAAAUAAAAACGCCAAAGAAUAUAUUUAUGCGGAAGUUAGAUAUGAGCAUCACUUCAAACAUUACUAUGUACAAAUUCAUCUGAGUGAAUUGUUCCAGCUUUUCAAUAUGCGCGAGCUCGACAAAUCUAUCAUCAGUUGCUACGUUCUGUAAGUGAUUUAUUUCUACCCCAUCUCGUUCAUAUUGCCUGCACUAUAUAUAUGUCCUAACUAUAUUGUUGUGUCCGCUAUUAUACAUGCAGAAUGAAGAUUAAGGAAUGCAGAGUAAGGAACAUCCAUGAUGUUGGGUUCAUUGACCCACACAUCGUUAAUGGAUAUGUGUUGGAGCAUCACCCCGCCGACAUGGAGGCAGACCUGUGGCAGUUUCUUACAAAGCAGGAACUCAAAAGUGAUAUUCUAUUUCCUUACCAUUUUGGGUGAGUGUUUCUGUCUUGAGCACAUUCUCUUUUGUUUACUCCAUGCAUGGUAUGUGGCCGGCUAAUCGAUGAGUUAUGCAUGACGUACUGUGCAUGUAUCGUGUCCGCAGGUUCCACUGGAUUCUGCUAGUAAUUAAAGUUGACACCUCAAAAUGUCUCGUCCACGACUCUCUGAAUAAGGAUCCAAAGCUUUGGGGCGGCAUGAGAAGAAUGCUGUAGAAGUAAUUAUUUUCAUUCAUUUGCGCUCUAUAUUGAUCGGCCUAUUUCGUUCAUUUCCUAAUAUCAAGUAACUAAUAACUCUCUUGUUCAUUUAAUUUUCUUUGCCUCGUAGGGUUUGGAGACGGUUCGUAGAUACAAAGGUCGGUGAAUUCAAAAAAGAGCUAGAAUUCAAAAGGUCAAAGGCUAAGAAUGGUGAGGAUAUUCAGCCAGCGGGGACCAAUCUAUGUGCAUACUAUGUCUGUGAGAUGAUCCGGAGAUACACCUCUGAGCGGGUUCCGAGUGAUACCAAUGCUCAGAGGAAUAACCUCCGGAUGAUGCUUAGUCCAGAAGCUCGCUUCCGACCACUUCAAGAGGAACUAGCUGGGUGGUUCAGGAGGGAAGUCCUCCAUCCUAAAGGAGAACACCAUUACGAGGACGUAGAACUUUAUAUGCAUUAAAUUAUGUAUGGAAACUUGUUCAAAAUUGUAUAUGGUCAUCCGAUGAUAUUGAAUAUAUAUUGUAUAUUCCUCUUGAAUUCUUUUUGGUUCUAAUUUCAAAUUUGUUUGAAAUUGUACAUUCAUAUGCAUGUAUGUAGUACCGUAGAAUAUGUGAAACUCCUUCAAAAUUAAAAUAAAGCACAAAAGAAAUAAAACAAUACAAAUUAAACAGAAAACUGGUUUAGGGGGGGGGGCUAAAACCCUAAACCUGCGGCGGCCUUUAGUCGCGGUUGGCCAGAAGAACCGCAACUAAAGGUCCUCCGCCCCGACGGCCACCUGGCGCCCACGUGGACGGGCCUUUAGUCGCGGUUCUUAAGCAACCGCGACUAAAGGGGGGGCCUUUAGUCGCGCCUAUUUGGUCGCGGUUGCGCAACCGCGACUAAUGGCAGUUGCGAACCGCGACCAAAGGCCCUUUUUCCACCAGUGAUUCAAGAGAACCGAAAAUGUUGAACGAAGCGCCAAAUAGGCCUCUGGUCACCCGAAACCGCGCGAGACUAAUGUUUGGUGGUAGGAAAUUACUGUCCUGACUCUGGCCCAUGUAGCCUAUCGGCCCGAUGUCCAAAGGUCUAAACCAGGGUAGGUUUGUAACUUCACCAAGACGCGGUCUAAACCGCCUCCGAGAAGCAUUCAUAUGCCGUGGGCGCCUAAACACCCAUGCGCUCGGCCGAAAUUUAUCCCGCACACAUUUGGGACACCUGACAGGACUGUCCUACCCCCAACCCGCAAUAUGUCCAAAAUUUUACAUGGGGGCAAAGUUCGUAACUUUCCCCAAAUUUCAAACAAGCAUGUCUCAAACCGAAACAUUGUUCCCCCAUAGUUCCCCGCCUCCCUCCAUUUCCCCAUUCAUACUCCAUGUGCGCGAAAACGCCCUCUCCACCAGCCGCGAAACCCCAGCCUCCUCCGUCCUCCACCCCAUAGCGGCCAAUCCACCCCGCCCUCCUCCAUCACACUGGAGCCGAUACCCCGACAUCGUCGUCCAACGCAACCGCAACCGCAACGCCCUCAAGGACUUAGCAGCUAAAGCCAAGGCAGAGCUACCUCCACGACACAGACGCCGAUGUGCACCGUCCCAGAACCACUCCGACCACGCUGUCCUGCGCCUCACUGCUGCGGCUCCACUGUCGCAACCGUCCACAGCACCGGAGCUAUUCCCGCUACGCCAUCGUUCGCCGCCUCACAUCUGCUUCCCCUUCGCCGACAGACGGCCACCGCACUGCACUCAACAACUUGGCCAUGGGUUCGUCCAAGGCUGCACCGUCCUCCGCAACUUCUGGUUUCCGGCGAACAACAAGAAGAUCGUUGGAAAAACAAAAGGAGGACACAAUACUACCAGCAGAAAGAGGUACCCGUCUUCCCUUAUUCGUGCAAAUCUUACGUCUCCGCUCACACCGUAUUCAUCCCAUGAAAGAAACUAGUUGAGCGCUUCUUACUUCAUCUUCUUCGUGAUACUAAAUGCCCAAGGUUUCCUCCCUUUUACUAUUUCACCUUUUCUAGAGGUCAGUAGCCCGCCUGGAUUUCAAUUCAGGGUCAGUCGAACCGCAAUUAAAAGAAGCAGCACCCGCUUAGGCGCGCGGAGAUCCUAGUCCGCCUGUUCCCCGGGGAAGCGGUGCAUCGGUGUCUAUCAUAGGGGUGUGGGGCGCAGGAGCUGCUUGCGACCGAUCUGGAGGUCGGCGGGGCUUGAAUGGAUGGCCGGGGGGCGAUGCCAAGCACGGCCGUGCGGUGAGAUCAAGGGGAGGGCGCAGGCAGGGGAGGGAUACUGGGUCGGUGGUCUCUCGCAUUUCGAGGAAGAUCAUCAACACUGACUAGCUAGAGGUAGAUGAAGGCGAUCUGCCCGUUCUUUGUACAUCGGAUGGUGUAGAAAAAAUGGACUGACCUAUUUGCUUUCAGUCGACUGUUAUUUUCAUAGAAUCUUGUAGUAAUUUAGUGUGUCAUGCAUGUUGUAGAGCUAUCAUAUGUCUCCCGUCAUUUAUUUCUCACCGACCUGCUAUCUGCUACCUUUACACUGUAUUAAUUGUGCACACACUUCACCCAUACUCACACUAUUAUUUUUUUAUGCAUGGGUAUUUCAGACUUUGAUGCAGUGUUGAUGAAUGCAGAAAAGAAAAUACAGAAGUCGCUCCAGUGUAAUUCGAAGAUAAGCACUAAGCGUUUCAGCGCUCUAAUGGGUGCGGUGUCAGCAGUUGGAGACAAUAAACGUAGCUCUGCAGUUGGUGAUCUCAAUUGCCACACACAACCAUCCCAGGUGCUUGCUUUAACUUCUCGCUGUCAAAUGUGGUUGCAUGUUGCAUAUGGUAUCUAGCUUGUAUUGCUUCUAAUUUGGUUAAAUUGCAUCUGCUUACUUUACACAUUAUACCGUUGAUAAUGACAUGCCUUCCUGUUUUUGAUACAUACUACAUAUGUCUAUUAACCAUGUUCGUACAUUAAACUAAUGCUCUUUUGUAUCGCUCGUCAAUCACUUAUGAUGAGACAGUCACCCGAGUUGGUUACUGUGAGACGCCCUACUCGUUUAAAGAGUGCAGUGUUAUCCUCCCCACAUCAUUCUCAAGAAACAGCAAGGCUAAAUGAAGAUAGUCAACGUAGCUCUCUAGUUGAUCACCGUAGUUCCCCCACACCACCAUCGCAUGUGCUUGCUCUUACUUGGCAGUGUGAUAUGUGGUGGCAUGUUGCAUAUGGUGUCUACCUUGUAAUGCUUCUAAUUAGGGUAAAUUGCAUCUACUUAGCUAACACAUUAUACCUGUGAAUAUGACAUGCCUUCCUGUUUUUGUUACAUACUACGUCUUUAUAUUAACCAUGUUCUUACAUCAAACUAUUUUUCUUGUGUAUGCCUCAUCAAUGCUCCUAAUUUGUUAAAUUGUAUCUCAUUAGCUUACACAUUAUACAUGUGAAUAUGACACGCUUUCCUAUUUUUGGUACAUACUACAUCUGCCUAUCACACCAUGUUCUUACAUCAAACUACUAUUCUUGUGUAUCAUGCAUCUAUCGCUUAUGAUGAGACAGUCACGCGCGUGGGUUAAUAUGAGAUGCAAUACUCUUAUAAAGAAUGCAAUUUCAUCCUCUCCACAUGAUUCUCAAGAAAUAGCAAGCCUAAAUGAAGAUAUUGAACAUAGCUCUGUACCUGAAGACCGCACUUCCCCUGCACCACCAUCAUAGGUGCUUGCUCUAACUUCGCAGUGUGAUAUGUGGUUGCAUGUUGCAUACGGUGUCUAGCUUGUAAUGCUUCUAAUUAGGGUAAAUUGCAUCUCCUUAGUUUACACACUAUACCUGUGAAUAUGACAUGCCUUCCUAUUUUUGGUACACACUACAUCUAUGUGUUAACCUUGUUCUUACAUGAAACUACCUCUCUUAUGUAUUCUGCAUCAAUCACUUACGAUGAGUCACCUUUAUUCGUUGCAUAUUGCAUAUUAUUUCUAGCCUGUUGCCAUGUAUUUCUUCUAAUUUGGUCAAAUACAUUUGUUAGGGCACCCUUUUAGUUUGGCAGAGUUAUAUUGGUUUCAUCUUUCAUAUGGUUUCUAGCUUGCAUCGAUUCUAACAAGUUCAAGCACCUUGUGCUUAGUUUACACUUUAUACAUCAUACAUGUCAAUAUGUCACGCCAUCCUGUUUUUCAUACAUAUUCCAUCCUCCUAUCAUGCGGCUGCCUUAGAUGAAAGUAGUGUUCGUCAGUAUCAUGCAUCAAUGAGUUCUGAAGAGCAAAUUUUAUUCCUUUUUCUUGUGGGUUUGACUUGACAAGGCAAAAUCAAGAAAGAGGAAGGAAAAGAGUAAGGAAGGCGAUGAUGGUGGUCCUCUGCAGCAACGUAAAUGGAGCAUCUAUACCCAUUCUCCUUGUACUGAUAGUGCAUUACAAGGUCCAAGUCUCCGCUCCCCUACUCCACCAUCCAAGGUGCUUGCUCUAACUUUGCAGUGUGAUAUCUGAUUGCAUGUUGCAUAUGGUGUCUAGCUCGUAUUGCUCCUAAUUAGUGUAAACUGCAUCUGCUUAGCUUACACAUGACACAUGUGAAUAUGACACGCUUUCCUAUUUUUGGUACAUACUAUAUCUGUCUAUCACACCAUGUUCUUACAUGAAACUACUCUUCUUGUGUAUCCUGCAUCAGUCACUUAUGAUGGGACACCUUUAAGUUAGCAGUGUGAUAUUGGUUUGCGUCUUGAAUAUGAUUUCUAGCAUGUAUUGCUUCCAGUUUGAUGAACGCCACCUAUGACGAGACAGUUUUAACUUGGCAAAGUGAUAUUGAUUGCACCUUCCAUAUGGUGUCUUGCAGUGUUUCUAAUUUGUUGAAGUGCCUUCUGCUUAGUUACCACAUCAUAGGUGUGAAUAUGUCAAGCCGUCCAUUUUUUCGUACAUAUUCUAUCCUCGUAUCAUGACUUUGCCUUUCAUCAGAGUAGUGUUCGUCAGUAUCAUGCAUGAAUGAAUUCUGAAGAGCAAAUUAUAUUCCUUUUUCUUGUCGGUAUGACCUCACAAUGCAAAAUCAAUAAAGCUGAAGGAAAUUGGCAAGGCAUUGGAUGAUGGUGGUCCCUCCAAGCAACUAAAACGGAGGUUCUCUACAGAUUCUACUCCGCCAUCCUCCCAACAAGAUUCGCAAGACAACGCAAGGCUAGAUAGUCAACGUAGCUGUGUAGAUGAUGAGCACAUUUCCCCUACUCCACCAUCACAGGUGUUUGCUCUAACUUGGCACUAUUAUAUGUGGUUGCAUGUUGCGUAUGAUGUCUAGCUUGUAUUACUUCUAAUUUUGUUGAAUUGCGUGUGCAUACUUCUAUACCUCUAUAUACCUAUACUAAUUAGGCACUCCAAAAAAAUUCCCACGUUAAUCAGUAAUUAGGAGCCGUUAAUCUUGUGGGACCAAAUUAUUACGGUGUAGAUCUACUGGAAUUUUUCCACAUCAAUCUGAAAAAAAACAUAUGUAGACAAAUUCUAUUUGGCUGAUCUAUCUUUAGUUCUUUUUUUGUACUUGGCUGAUCUAUCUUUAGUUUUCUCACAGGUGCGGUCUAUCUUUUCAUGCAAUUUGUUGAACCGUUGUGGAAAAAACGAAACGGCCCUAACCUGGACACAUGCACGUAACAUUAUUUUUUUGAAAGUCUCAUGUAUAUCUAUUGAUGUCCUUUCUUUUUUAUGAAGGCAUGAUGAUUAUAGCUCCUAAUAAAGCCCCAUCAGCCCACAAAAUUUCUGGCAAAACAGGAAAAAAAACCAAUCUAUUCCAUCAUCUCCCCAUGGCACAGUCCUUCCUAAUCACGAUACCCAACUCUGAAUCGUCCUUCCUCUAAAAAAAACUAACGGACUCUUCCACUUGACGUUACUAUUAAACACGAGAAGCAAUCUCUAUCCACAAUCUAUUUCUUCUCAUUAUUAGAAAAAGUUUUCUCUUCUAUCAAAAAUAGCCCAUCGUCUCUCUCUUUCUCUCUCCCAUGGAAAACAAUACAUCAUCUCUCUCAAGCUCAAGCAUGCAGGUUGGGGCGACAUAGAUGAGUUCUUUCCGGCGACACGUGGGUAUAUUAGGUAAGCUCGACUACUUCUGAGCGGAUUGCAGUUCGGAGGAGAUGAAAAUAUACCGCGGAAUUUUCUCACGCAUAGAAGCUAGCAGGCUAUAGGAUCGAUUCUUCUAGAAGACGCAGGUAUACGAUGCUAAUCCCUUUGAUCCGUUCUGCAAAACACACAUAUACAUACGAGGACCCAAUUUAUUGGCCACAAAUUUUAAAGUCGGAUUAGAUCUGUGUAUAGGUGUAGUUUGAACCUUCCAGACGUGCAUUGAUUGAGUUAUGUUGAGCACAGGCGUGAAAAGAAAAUCCCGAUUACCAUACAUGACACAUCUGAUCAGCCUUCAUGCAGUACCUCAUGUCGACUGCCUAAUCCUUCUAAGCUUCUAUAAUACUAGAUGACCUGUCGCGCCAUUUGGCGUGCGAGACAAAUUUGAAGCAAAAACUAAAAGAGAUUACUUUGCUUUUUUUGGUAGCAGACAAUGUUGAUGUAUACUCUUUUGCGAAGUGUGUGGAUCUGUAUAAAAAUAUAUAUUUUCUCAUUUGUAAUGUAUGAAACUGAUAAAAUUGACGCAAAAGCCCAACUGAAACGAAGAACAAAAUGCAAAUGUUUGAGUUUGCAAUUAGAAGAUUCAAGUAGCUAUAUACGCAGGUGGCACAAUAAAAUGCACUAAAGACAUGAUAAUAUAGAGCACUGUGUCCAGGAGCACUUCUUAGUGAUAGUGGUCAAUUACAUCAUAUACUCCCUCUGUCCGAGGUGAUGAAACCUGCCUCCGCAGGUGAUUCAAUCCAAAUCAUGCCAGACCGAUGAACAAAAAUGGCAUGCAACAUCACCUAACACACAUCUGAGCUAAAACUCAGUAUUUCUUUGGUUCUCAAAAAGAGACAGUACCAGCAACAAUGGCUGAUGAUAGCUGCAAGCAAAGUAGUAUGCAUCAGCUGGGAGCAAAAACCACGGUUGCACUUUCAUAUCAUUAACAACAACAAGGAAUUGGAAACUCGUUAACUUCAAAUAUACCUGAAAAGAAAACACGUAGUUCAAUCUCAUUUCCUCACCUCCCAGUACAUUGUAGUCCAAAAAAGGGAAGCACAAUAAAUAAAAUAAAUAGGAAAACAACAUAGAAAGGCCUUGCAAAGCAUCCAAGAUCCAACUUUAUGCCUACACAUAAUAAGAGACAAUUGGAUUUCUAUUUACAGAAGUAAGAAAUGACUACCCGUCCUCUGGUUUAGUAGUAACCCACUCUACUUAUUUUGAAAAAACACAAAAUUAUUGCAUGUUUGCCUUUUUCCUGAGACCAUUUGUAUUCGGGAAGCAUUUAACCAGACCUAAUCGGGAAGGAGCUGCAAUUAUUCAUUUCUGUACUUGCUAAUUCAUUCCAACAUGUGUAAUACCCAAUUAAACCAAAUCAUCCAAAAGAUAUGAGAUAAUUUUCUCCAUUGUGAUUGUUCUAUAAUAAAGCCCAUGAUGUAAAUACAAAUAAAAGCAUUCUGAUCUCCUUCAAUACCUAAAUUGCAAAAAAUUAAUGGGACUACUCAACUUGUUAUCUUUGACUGGCACUGGUAGAAAAAGAGGCUUCUGUCCAGCCCCAUUAGUCGCGAAACUGUAGGAGCCGCGACUAAUGAAGUCUUUAGUCGCGGUUCGGCAGACGAACCGCGACCAAAGGCCUGGGCCCAGGGCGCUCGGUGGCCAGCUGGUGCACGUGAGGGGCUUUAGUCGCGGUUGGCCAGGCCAACAGCGACUAAAGGUGCGCAAAGGCCUUUAGUCGCGGUUGGCCAGGCCAACCGCGACUAAAGCUCCUCCCCUAUAUAUACCAGUUCAGCACGCUCACUUAGCCAUUUGGUGCCACUUCUCUUCACAAGCUUCACAAGGGGGUGUAGGUUUGCUUUUGGUUCCUCUUAUGCANNNNNNNNNNNNNNNNNNNNNNNNNNNNNNNNNNNNNNNNNNNNNNNNNNNNNNNNNNNNNNNNNNNNNNNNNNNNNNNNNNNNNNNNNNNNNNNNNNNNNNNNNNNNNNNNNNNNNNNNNNNNNNNNNNNNNNNNNNNNNNNNNNNNNNNNNNNNNNNNNNNNNNNNNNNNNNNNNNNNNNNNNNNNNNNNNNNNNNNNNNNNNNNNNNNNNNNNNNNNNNNNNNNNNNNNNNNNNNNNNNNNNNNNNNNNNNNNNNNNNNNNNNNNNNNNNNNNNNNNNNNNNNNNNNNNNNNNNNNNNNNNNNNNNNNNNNNNNNNNNNNNNNNNNNNNNNNNNNNNNNNNNNNNNNNNNNNNNNNNNNNNNNNNNNNNNNNNNNNNNNNNNNNNNNNNNNNNNNNNNNNNNNNNNNNNNNNNNNNNNNNNNNNNNNNNNNNNNNNNNNNNNNNNNNNNNNNNNNNNNNNNNNNNNNNNNNNNNNNNNNNNNNNNNNNNNNNNNNNNNNNNNNNNNNNNNNNNNNNNNNNNNNNNNNNNNNNNNNNNNNNNNNNNNNNNNNNNNNNNNNNNNNNNNNNNNNNNNNNNNNNNNNNNNNNNNNNNNNNNNNNNNNNNNNNNNNNNNNNNNNNNNNNNNNNNNNNNNNNNNNNNNNNNNNNNNNNNNNNNNNNNNNNNNNNNNNNNNNNNNNNNNNNNNNNNNNNNNNNNNNNNNNNNNNNNNNNNNNNNNNNNNNNNNNNNNNNNNNNNNNNNNNNNNNNNNNNNNNNNNNNNNNNNNNNNNNNNNNNNNNNNNNNNNNNNNNNNNNNNNNNNNNNNNNNNNNGAGUUCACUACGGGUUUGAAAGAUUUCCUCGUAGUGGCUAAUGCGAACAAGCAGGGGGGUUUUGUUAUCUGUCCAUGUGUUAUCUGUAAGAAUCAGAAGGGUUACUCUUCCUCAAGAGAUGUUCACAUGCAUCUGCUUCGGCACGGUUUCAUGCCAAGCUAUAAUUGUUGGACCAAGCAUGGAGAAAGAGGGGUUAUAAUGGAAGAAGAUGAAGAAGGGGAUGAUUUCAUCGAUGAAAGCUAUCUUGCUCAUUUCGAUGAUACUUUCAUGGAGGAUGCUGAAGGUGAAGGGGAAGGUGAAGAAGAGGCACGUGAUGAUCCCGUUGAUGAUCUUGGUCGGACCAUUGCUGAUGCACGGAGACGCUGCGAAACUGAAAAGGAGAGGGAGAAUUUGGAUCGCAUGUUAGAGGAUCACAGAAAGGCGCUGUACCCCGGAUGCGAUGAUGGUCUGAAAAAGCUGGGCUGCACACUGGAUUUGCUGAAAUGGAAGGCAGAGGCAGGUGUAGCUGACUCGGCAUUUGAAAACUUGCUGAAAAUGUUGAAGAAUAUGUUUCCAAAGGAUAACGAGUUGCCCGCCAGUACGUACGAAGCAAAGAAGGUUGUCUGCCCUCUAGGUUUAGAGGUUCUGAAGAUACAUGCAUGCAUCAACGACUGCAUCCUCUACCGUGGUGAAUACGAGAAUUUGAAUGAAUGCCCGGUAUGCACUGCAUUGCGUUAUAAGAUCAGAGACGAUGACCCUGGUGACGAUGUUGAGGGCCAGAAACCCAGGAAGAGGGUUCCCGCCAAGGUGAUGCGGUAUGCUCCUAUAAUACCACGGUUGAAACGUCUGUUCAGGAACAAAGAGCAUGCCAAGUUGUUGCGAUGGCACAAAGAGGACCGUAAGUCGGACGGGGAGUUGAGACACACCGCAGAUGGAACGCAAUGGAGAAAGAUCGACAGAUGGUUCAAAGAUUUUGUAGCUGACGCAAGGAACAUAAGAUUUGCUCUAAGUACGGAUGGCAUGAAUCCUUUUGGCGAGCAGAGCUCCAGCCAUAGCACCUGGCCCGUGACUCUAUGCAUCUACAACCUUCCUCCUUGGUUGUGCAUGAAGCGGAAGUUCAUUAUGAUGCCAGUGCUCAUCCAAGGUCCGAAGCAACCCGGCAACGACAUCGAUGUGUACCUAAGGCCAUUAGUUGAUGAACUUUUACAGCUGUGGGGUGGUGUCCGUGUGUGGGAUGAGCACAAACAAGAGGAAUUUGACCUACGAGCGUUGCUUUUCGUAACCAUCAACGAUUGUCCUGCUCUUAGUAACCUUUCGGGACUGUCAAAUAAGGGAUACAAUGCAUGCACGCACUGCUUACAUUAGACUGAAAGUGUACAUUUGCCAAAUUGUAAGAAGAACGUGUACCUUGGGCAUCGUCGAUUUCUUCCGAAAAUUCAUCCAGUAAGAAAGAAAGGCAAGCAUUACAACGGCAAGGAAGAUCACCGGCCGAAGCCUGCGGAACGCACUGGUGCUGAGGUAUUUGAUAUGGUCAAGGAUUUGAAAGUCAUCUUUGGAAAGGGUCCUGGCGGACAAUCAGUUCCGAAGGGAGCUGACGGGCACGCAGCCAUGUGGAAGAAGAAAUCUAUAUUCUGGGAGCUAGAAUAUUGGAAAGUCCUAGAUGUCCGCUCUGCAAUCGACGUGAUGCACGUUACGAAGAAUAUUUGCGUGAACCUCCUAAGCUUCUUGGGCGUGUAUGGGAAGACAAAUGAUACAAAGGAAGCACGGCAGGACCAGCAACGUUUGAAAGACCCUGAUGACCGGCAUCCGGAAUGGUUUCAAGGUCGUGCCAGCUACGCUCUGACCAAAGAAGAGAAGGUCAUCUUUUUUGAAUGCCUGAGCAGUAUGAAGGUCCCGUCUGGAUUCUCGUCCAAUAUAAAGGGAAUAAUAAACAUGGCGGAGAAAAAGUUCCAAAACCUGAAGUCUCACGACUGCCACGUGAUUAUGACGCAAUUGCUUCCGAUUGCUUUGAGGGGGCUCCUGCCGGAAAAUGUUCGAGUAGCCAUUGUGAAGCUAUGUGCAUUCCUCAAUGCAAUCUCUCAGAAGGUAAUCAAUCCAGAAGUUCUACCACGGUUACAGAACGAUGUGAAAUGAGGAGGUAAUUGAGUUUUGUGUUGACUUUGUUCCUGACCUUAAGCCGAUUGGUCUUCCUCGAUCGCGGCACGAGGGGAGACUAAGUGGAAAAGGCAUGAUCGGAAGGAAAUCAACGAUAUGUAUGGACGGCCAUUCUCUGACUGAAGCACACCACACUGUACUGACCAAUUCAAGCUUGGUGGCUCCGUACUUUGAGAAACACAAGAAUAUUUUACGCUCGGACAACCCGGGGAAGCCUGAAUCCUGGAUUAGGAAGGCCCACAUGGAGACUUUCGGCAGUUGGUUGAGAAAACAUUUAAUGAAUGACAAUGAUGUUGUAGAUCAGCUGUACAUGUUGGCCAAGACACCAUCUUCGACUAUAACGACUUUCCAAGGGUACGAGAUAAAUGGGAAUACAUUUUACAUGAUCGCCCAAGAUAAAAAGAGCACCAACCAAAACAGUGGUGUCCGCUUUGAUGCAGCAACCGAGAAUGGGCAAAAGGUCACAUAUUAUGGUUACAUAGAGGAGAUAUGGGAACUUGACUAUGGACCCUCCUUUAAGGUCCCUUUGUUCCGGUGCAAAUGGUUCAAGCUAACAGGAGGUGGGGUAAAGGUGGACCAGCAAUACGGAAUGACAAUGGUGGAUUUCAACAAUCUUGGUUACCUUGAUGAACCAUUCGUCCUAGCGAAAGAUGUCGCUCAGGUUUUCUAUAUGAAGGACAUGAGUAGCAAACCGAGGAAACGGAAAGAUUAGAAAACGAUCAGUGCAUCAUGCGAUGAUCCAAAGCGCCACAUUGUUCUUUCAGGGAAAAGAAACAUCGUGGGAGUGGAGGACAAGACAGACAUGUCAGAAGAUUAUAAUAUGUUUGCUGAAAUUCCGCCCUUCAAAGUGAACACCGACCCAAGCAUUAAGUUAAAUGAUGAGGAUGCUCCAUGGAUACGGCACAAUCGUAAGCAAGCAGGGACACAAGGGAAGAAAUGAUGUGUAAUAAUUUAUUGUAUCAAACCUUUUGUCAAACCUUCAAGGGGUUUUAAAAUGAAUUAGUUUUUUUUUCUGAUUUUUUUGAUAUAUAAUUGUAUUUUUAAGAUUUGAAAAUGAAGAAAAAACAGAAGAAAAAAACAGAAGAAAAAAGCAAACAGAAGAAAAACAUAAGAAAAAAGGAAAAACAGAAGAAAAAAACAGAAGAAAAAAGGAAAAAGGAAAAAGGAAGAAAAAAACAGAAGAAAANNNNNNNNNNNNNNNNNNNNNNNNNNNNNNNNNNNNNNNNNNNNNNNNNNNNNNNNNNNNNNNNNNNNNNNNNNNNNNNNNNNNNNNNNNNNNNNNNNNNNNNNNNNNNNNNNNNNNNNNNNNNNNNNNNNNNNNNNNNNNNNNNNNNNNNNNNNNNNNNNNNNNNNNNNNNNNNNNNNNNNNNNNNNNNNNNNNNNNNNNNNNNNNNNNNNNNNNNNNNNNNNNNNNNNNNNNNNNNNNNNNNNNNNNNNNNNNNNNNNNNNNNNNNNNNNNNNNNNNNNNNNNNNNNNNNNNNNNNNNNNNNNNNNNNNNNNNNNNNNNNNNNNNNNNNNNNNNNNNNNNNNNNNNNNNNNNNNNNNNNNNNNNNNNNNNNNNNNNNNNNNNNNNNNNNNNNNNNNNNNNNNNNNNNNNNNNNNNNNNNNNNNNNNNNNNNNNNNNNNNNNNNNNNNNNNNNNNNNNNNNNNNNNNNNNNNNNNNNNNNNNNNNNNNNNNNNNNNNNNNNNNNNNNNNNNNNNNNNNNNNNNNNNNNNNNNNNNNNNNNNNNNNNNNNNNNNNNNNNNNNNNNNNNNNNNNNNNNNNNNNNNNNNNNNNNNNNNNNNNNNNNNNNNNNNNNNNNNNNNNNNNNNNNNNNNNNNNNNNNNNNNNNNNNNNNNNNNNNNNNNNNNNNNNNNNNNNNNNNNNNNNNNNNNNNNNNNNNNNNNNNNNNNNNNNNNNNNNNNNNNNNNNNNNNNNNNNNNNNNNNNNNNNNNNNNNNNNNNNNNNNNNNNNNNNNNNNNNNNNNNNNNNNNNNNNNNNNNNNNNNNNNNNNNNNNNNNNNNNNNNNNNNNNNNNNNNNNNNNNNNNNNNNNNNNNNNNNNNNNNNNNNNNNNNNNNNNNNNNNNNNNNNNNNNNNNNNNNNNNNNNNNNNNNNNNNNNNNNNNNNNNNNNNNNNNNNNNNNNNNNNNNNNNNNNNNNNNNNNNNNNNNNNNNNNNNNNNNNNNNNNNNNNNNNNNNNNNNNNNNNNNNNNNNNNNNNNNNNNNNNNNNNNNNNNNNNNNNNNNNNNNNNNNNNNNNNNNNNNNNNNNNNNNNNNNNNNNNNNNNNNNNNNNNNNNNNNNNNNNNNNNNNNNNNNNNNNNNNNNNNNNNNNNNNNNNNNNNNNNNNNNNNNNNNNNNNNNNNNNNNNNNNNNNNNNNNNNNNNNNNNNNNNNNNNNNNNNNNNNNNNNNNNNNNNNNNNNNNNNNNNNNNNNNNNNNNNNNNNNNNNNNNNNNNNNNNNNNNNNNNNNNNNNNNNNNNNNNNNNNNNNNNNNNNNNNNNNNNNNNNNNNNNNNNNNNNNNNNNNNNNNNNNNNNNNNNNNNNNNNNNNNNNNNNNNNNNNNNNNNNNNNNNNNNNNNNNNNNNNNNNNNNNNNNNNNNNNNNNNNNNNNNNNNNNNNNNNNNNNNNNNNNNNNNNNNNNNNNNNNNNNNNNNNNNNNNNNNNNNNNNNNNNNNNNNNNNNNNNNNNNNNNNNNNNNNNNNNNNNNNNNNNNNNNNNNNNNNNNNNNNNNNNNNNNNNNNNNNNNNNNNNNNNNNNNNNNNNNNNNNNNNNNNNNNNNNNNNNNNNNNNNNNNNNNNNNNNNNNNNNNNNNNNNNNNNNNNNNNNNNNNNNNNNNNNNNNNNNNNNNNNNNNNNNNNNNNNNNNNNNNNNNNNNNNNNNNNNNNNNNNNNNNNNNNNNNNNNNNNNNNNNNNNNNNNNNNNNNNNNNNNNNNNNNNNNNNNNNNNNNNNNNNNNNNNNNNNNNNNNNNNNNNNNNNNNNNNNNNNNNNNNNNNNNNNNNNNNNNNNNNNNNNNNNNNNNNNNNNNNNNNNNNNNNNNNNNNNNNNNNNNNNNNNNNNNNNNNNNNNNNNNNNNNNNNNNNNNNNNNNNNNNNNNNNNNNNNNNNNNNNNNNNNNNNNNNNNNNNNNNNNNNNNNNNNNNNNNNNNNNNNNNNNNNNNNNNNNNNNNNNNNNNNNNNNNNNNNNNNNNNNNNNNNNNNNNNNNNNNNNNNNNNNNNNNNNNNNNNNNNNNNNNNNNNNNNNNNNNNNNNNNNNNNNNNNNNNNNNNNNNNNNNNNNNNNNNNNNNNNNNNNNNNNNNNNNNNNNNNNNNNNNNNNNNNNNNNNNNNNNNNNNNNNNNNNNNNNNNNNNNNNNNNNNNNNNNNNNNNNNNNNNNNNNNNNNNNNNNNNNNNNNNNNNNNNNNNNNNNNNNNNNNNNNNNNNNNNNNNNNNNNNNNNNNNNNNNNNNNNNNNNNNNNNNNNNNNNNNNNNNNNNNNNNNNNNNNNNNNNNNNNNNNNNNNNNNNNNNNNNNNNNNNNNNNNNNNNNNNNNNNNNNNNNNNNNNNNNNNNNNNNNNNNNNNNNNNNNNNNNNNNNNNNNNNNNNNNNNNNNNNNNNNNNNNNNNNNNNNNNNNNNNNNNNNNNNNNNNNNNNNNNNNNNNNNNNNNNNNNNNNNNNNNNNNNNNNNNNNNNNNNNNNNNNNNNNNNNNNNNNNNNNNNNNNNNNNNNNNNNNNNNNNNNNNNNNNNNNNNNNNNNNNNNNNNNNNNNNNNNNNNNNNNNNNNNNNNNNNNNNNNNNNNNNNNNNNNNNNNNNNNNNNNNNNNNNNNNNNNNNNNNNNNNNNNNNNNNNNNNNNNNNNNNNNNNNNNNNNNNNNNNNNNNNNNNNNNNNNNNNNNNNNNNNNNNNNNNNNNNNNNNNNNNNNNNNNNNNNNNNNNNNNNNNNNNNNNNNNNNNNNNNNNNNNNNNNNNNNNNNNNNNNNNNNNNNNNNNNNNNNNNNNNNNNNNNNNNNNNNNNNNNNNNNNNNNNNNNNNNNNNNNNNNNNNNNNNNNNNNNNNNNNNNNNNNNNNNNNNNNNNNNNNNNNNNNNNNNNNNNNNNNNNNNNNNNNNNNNNNNNNNNNNNNNNNNNNNNNNNNNNNNNNNNNNNNNNNNNNNNNNNNNNNNNNNNNNNNNNNNNNNNNNNNNNNNNNNNNNNNNNNNNNNNNNNNNNNNNNNNNNNNNNNNNNNNNNNNNNNNNNNNNNNNNNNNNNNNNNNNNNNNNNNNNNNNNNNNNNNNNNNNNNNNNNNNNNNNNNNNNNNNNNNNNNNNNNNNNNNNNNNNNNNNNNNNNNNNNNNNNNNNNNNNNNNNNNNNNNNNNNNNNNNNNNNNNNNNNNNNNNNNNNNNNNNNNNNNNNNNNNNNNNNNNNNNNNNNNNNNNNNNNNNNNNNNNNNNNNNNNNNNNNNNNNNNNNNNNNNNNNNNNNNNNNNNNNNNNNNNNNNNNNNNNNNNNNNNNNNNNNNNNNNNNNNNNNNNNNNNNNNNNNNNNNNNNNNNNNNNNNNNNNNNNNNNNNNNNNNNNNNNNNNNNNNNNNNNNNNNNNNNNNNNNNNNNNNNNNNNNNNNNNNNNNNNNNNNNNNNNNNNNNNNNNNNNNNNNNNNNNNNNNNNNNNNNNNNNNNNNNNNNNNNNNNNNNNNNNNNNNNNNNNNNNNNNNNNNNNNNNNNNNNNNNNNNNNNNNNNNNNNNNNNNNNNNNNNNNNNNNNNNNNNNNNNNNNNNNNNNNNNNNNNNNNNNNNNNNNNNNNNNNNNNNNNNNNNNNNNNNNNNNNNNNNNNNNNNNNNNNNNNNNNNNNNNNNNNNNNNNNNNNNNNNNNNNNNNNNNNNNNNNNNNNNNNNNNNNNNNNNNNNNNNNNNNNNNNNNNNNNNNNNNNNNNNNNNNNNNNNNNNNNNNNNNNNNNNNNNNNNNNNNNNNNNNNNNNNNNNNNNNNNNNNNNNNNNNNNNNNNNNNNNNNNNNNNNNNNNNNNNNNNNNNNNNNNNNNNNNNNNNNNNNNNNNNNNNNNNNNNNNNNNNNNNNNNNNNNNNNNNNNNNNNNNNNNNNNNNNNNNNNNNNNNNNNNNNNNNNNNNNNNNNNNNNNNNNNNNNNNNNNNNNNNNNNNNNNNNNNNNNNNNNNNNNNNNNNNNNNNNNNNNNNNNNNNNNNNNNNNNNNNNNNNNNNNNNNNNNNNNNNNNNNNNNNNNNNNNNNNNNNNNNNNNNNNNNNNNNNNNNNNNNNNNNNNNNNNNNNNNNNNNNNNNNNNNNNNNNNNNNNNNNNNNNNNNNNNNNNNNNNNNNNNNNNNNNNNNNNNNNNNNNNNNNNNGGUGGUGGUGGUGGUGGUGGCGGUUCACCUACACCUCCGUCACGUCAGCCGACGCCGCCCCCCAGUCCACAACGUCCGGCGGGUGAUCAGCCGCCGCCCCCCAGUCCUCGUCCGGCGGGUGAUCAGACGCCGCCCCCCAAUCCACCUCCGGCAAAGAAGCAGAAGCAGUCCUGGAUUAUUAACCCGGACCCUUAUGUACCUAAGACCACAAAGGUACCGGAGCCAUCACUGAAGCCUCUCCCCACAAGGCCUUGGGAACGUAGUGCCGAGGAAGUCGACGCGGCCGCGGCUGCUGAUUUGGAGAAAUGGAAGGCGGAUUGCAAGAAGAAAAGAGAGCCCGAGCCCAAGCCAGUAUUUUCUGAUGAGCAAAAGAAGUGGGCUAAGUCAUUUUUGAGCACACCGUCCCAAGCCGCGAAGAAUCUGCCUAACGACUAUGCACGUGAACUUCGCAGGCAGGCACUCAUGUUCAAGGAGAACAAAGAGCGGGAGAAGGCCGAAAGUAAAAAAGCGGGAAACAAGUUUCCCAGCUCGGGGAACAAAGUAAACAAUCGAUUGCCCCGCUUAUAGUGGAAGCCUUCUGUCCGGAUGCCCCCGAGAUCAUACAAGCUGCGGCAGCACAGGGAUUGACUGUAACGAGUGCCAGAGAACAAGCGGCCAACUUAGGUAUUACUCUUCGUGAACUGUUAGGCCUUGAUGAGGCGCCAGUGAAGGAGGUAGUAAUUACAUAUGUCAAGAAUGGGCCUCUCGUCGAGCCUGCGCAGGAAAAGGAUCUACCUCCACAAAUGAAAGGUCUGCUGAAAUGGUACAAGGGUUACAUAAAAAAUAAAAACGCCAAAGAAUAUAUUUAUGCGGAAGUUAGACAUGAGCAUCACUUCAAACAUUACUAUGUACAAAUUGAACUGAGUGAAUUGUUCCAGCUUUUCAAUCUGCGCGAGCUCGAUAAAUCUAUCAUCAGUUGCUACGUUCUGUAAGUGAUUUAUUAAUUUCUACCCCAUCUCGUUCAUAUUGCCUGCACUAUAUAUAUGUCCUAACUAUAUUGUUGUGUCCGCUAUUAUACAUGCAGAAUGAAGAUUAAGGAAUGCAGAGUAAGGAACAUCCAUGACGUGGAGGCAGACCUGUGGCAGUUUCUUACAAAGCAGGAACUCAAAAGUGAUAUUCUAUUUCCUUACCAUUUUGAGUGAGUGUUUCUGUCUUGAGCACAUUCUCUUUUGUUUACUCCAUGCAUGGUAUGUGGCCGGCUAAUCGAUGAGUUAUGCAUGACGUACUGUGCAUGUAUCGUGUCCGCAGGUUCCACUGGAUUCUGCUAGUAAUUAAAGUUAACACCUCAGAAUGUCUCGUCCACGACUCUGUGAAUAUGGAUCCAAAGCUUUGGGGCGGCAUGAGAAGAAUGCUGCAGAAGUAAUUAUUUUCAUUCAUUUGCGCUCUAUAUCGAUCGGCCUAUUUGGUUCAUUUCCUAAUAUCAAGUAACUAAUUAAUAACUCUCUUGUUCAUUUAAUUUUCUUUGCCUCGUAGGGUUUGGAGACGGUUCAUAGAUACAAAGGUCUGGUGAAUUCAAAAAAGAGCUAGAAUUCAAAAUGUUAAAGGCUAAGAAUGCUGGGGAUAUUCAGCCACCGGAGACCAAUCUAUGUGGAUACUAUGUCUGUGAGAUGAUCCGGAGAUACACCUCUGAGCGGGUUCCGAGUGAUACCAAUGCUCAGAGGAAUAACCUCUGGUGGAUGCUUAGUCCAGAAGCUCGCUUCCGACCACUUCAAAAGGAACUAGCUGGAUGGUUCAGCAGGGAAGUCCUCCAUCCUAAAGGAGAACACUAUUACGAGGACGUAGAACUUUAUAUGCAUUAAAUCAUGUAUGGAAACUUGUUCAAAAUUGUAUAUGGUCAUCCGAUGAUAUUGAAUAUAUAUUGUAUAUUCCUCUUGAAUUCUUUUUGGUUCUAAUUUCAAAUUUAUUUGAAAUUGUACAUUCAUAUGCAUGUAUGUAGUACCGUAGAAUAUAUGAAACUCCUUCAAAAUUAAAAUAAAGCACAAAAAAAAUAAAACAAUACAAAUUAAACAGAAAACAGGUUUAAGGGGGGGGGGCUAAAACCCUAAACCUGCGGCGGCCUUUAGUCGCGGUUGGCCAGAAGAACCGCGACUAAAGGUCCUCCGCCCCGACGGCCACCUGGCGCCCACGUGGACGGGCCUUUAGUCGCGGUUCUUAAGCAACCGCGACUAAAGGGGGGGGGGCCUUUAGUCGCGCCCGUUCUGUCGCGGUUGCGCAACCGCGACUAAUGGCAGUUUCGAACCGCGACCAAAGGCCCUUUUUCCACCAGUGUGGAACUAAAUUAUAGAAAAAUAAAAUCACAUGACUUGCAUAGAUUAAUUUUCUCAUGUCAGCCUUUUUGGAUUUUCAUCAAACAACCUGUAGACACAGAGAAACCAAAUCUACAAAAACAAAACGAGAAGCUCUGUGAGUAGGGGACUGGGAGAGAAGGCGAAUGCUCAGCUACUCCUGCUUCUCCUAUUGAGUGCUUCUCCUUUUGAGCACCUACAAGGAAGUCAAUGGCGACACAACCAUGUGAAUACCACAUAGAGUAUGUACAUGAAUAAUAGAUACAACAUAAGAAGAUAUGACAAGACCAUGCUAUGUAUGCAGUUAAAAAUAAGUGUUAUGUUAUCCGUCAUUAUGUCCUAAUAUAAUAUCAGUAUACUUGUCUGUAUGAUAUGCUAAAUAAAAGUUACAGAGCUUAUUCCAUUGAGCAGUGUUUCCGGGAAUAAGUUAACUCCUUUGGUACUUUGAUAUUUAUCUACUAACAAAUUGUAUCGCUUCACAUACAGUAAGUGUAAAAGAAAUGAGUAAGGGGUGUAUGUAUGACUCGAUGGCUUACCCCUAUGUUAACAAGUUGAGAGUGGAUUUCUCACGAACUUGAGGGACUUGCUCUCCUGUCACCGACAGCACACAUGCAUAAAAAAUAAACAAAAAGCAUCCAUGAGUGGCAAAGUGCAGGUAAUAGCAGUGAAUGUAGAGUAGGACCAAAACCAAACCUCCGUCUCCUUGGAGCAAAACCAAAACCAAACCUCUGGCCAUCGAGAGGGUCAGGGAAGAGAGAGAGGGCACAGAAGGGAGAGGGAGAGCACCUGCGUCUAAAGGGGAGGUUGGCCUCGCCGGCUUCCGCCCCUCCCGCUCCAGACCGGGAACCUACGAGGAGGUCAGGAGAGGUCAACCCAAACAAGAUCUAACUGGGUGCUAUUGGGAAAAUGAUCCCAACUGAUCACUGAAAAGCUCAUGAAAGCUCCAGAUUAGGAGAACAAAGCAAAUGCUCAUUUUAAUUUACUGAAUAACUUUUAAAAUUUCCAAUGAGAAGAUCCAAAUACCACAUUAUCAAAUUAGUGUUAGAAAUUUUUAGUGUACAGUCAGUGAAUGUGCAUACAUGAUUUAUAAUUUGCAGAAGCAUAUAAUCUGAUAACCGUAUUCUGAUUGCGAAAACAUACCUACACCACAUGCUUCUUAAAAAUGUAUUAGUAAGAAACGACAGAGCAGCAUCUAGCUGUGCAGGGUUCUUAAUCUGAAGCGACAUAGCAAGGAAUACUUCAGAUCAACAACAUAAGGAGAAACAAGCACUGAAACAUAACUCACCCUUCGCUUGAGCUCCUAGAACAGAACAGAUAAUGCAAAAUGUGUGUUAAAAGUGGACUGAAAUAUCAAUAGGCGGCAAAUAUAUACCUUCAUCGAAAUGAUAUAGCUAAUGAGAUAAGGACGAUGGACGAGUGCAUUUGUUGGGUAUUUCGUGGAAACCUGUUUCAUUCAUGAAUAAGUGCCAACAUGAGCCACACGCAUAAAACAAAAAUCUCAAAUGUAGCAGGGGAAAUUGGUACAGGUGCGUAUUGUACAUAGAAGAUUCACGAACAAGCAUGGGAGCCACUUAUUAUAUUUGUUGAUUGCGCUAGCAAGGAGAUCAGUUCCAAAUUCCAACCUCUAUUACCUGCUAUUCCUAACAGAAUAUCUCAUGAAAACUCAAAAGAAUGCUGAACCAAACAGAAAUUUACAAUGUUGUAAUUAGCUGCUCAAAGAGACUAUCUGCCUAAUACAAACUUUGAUGGAUGGCAACAUUGGAUCAAUCUACGUGUUCUAUGGUAACAUACCUGUACUUGCUCACUGUCUUUUAAGCUUAUUGGGUAAAAUUCUAGCCAUCCUACUACACAUUCGAUAUGGAUGAGUCAAUGAUAUAAACAUUGUGGUCCACUGGCUGAACAUAAGAACUCGGUAACCAUCAUUUGCUAAAGAAGGUAGAAGUUCUGCUAAGGCCUUAAAAAAGCCGAAAGUAAGGUAAAUCAUAAAUUGUACUUCAGUCAUAAUAUGCCUCGAUAGAAGACAUUUUAGUAAGCAAAAAACAGUUUACUUGCUUUAUUGUUGUUCUUCUUUUGAUAGAUGAGAGAACUUGCUAAUCAGAUAAAGGAAAAAAGGAAAGAAAAAAACACUACACCUGACAUUUCGCUGAUGCAAGAACAUGAUCAUCUUUUAGGGCACCCUUUGCACCAGUAUCACCAUAUGUAAUCAACAGCCGCAUGACAAACUAAAAAACAGAACAGAAACACAUGGUCACAACGAAAUGCCAAUUUAUUUCAUUUGAAACUAAACUACAAUGAUGCUAUGAUAAACUGAAAGGGGACGUCAAAGGGCGAAUUCAAAAUAUUUUCUCAUAAAUGAUAUGAGGCAUAAGAGACACAUACACACAACAGAGAGAUAUAUGUUGAAGAUGUUCAAUUAUCUGUCAAUCUAAGUAAUUGGUUUACUAACCACCAGUACAUGAGGUCUGUCAAUUAUUUAUGGAACCUGUCCAUUUGAGUCACAAUGGUUAGAGUGGCCAACGUGCAUUAGCCUAAGGCUCCAUAUCCCAAUUCUGGAAAUAAAUGUAUGACGCGCUAUAACUAUAUUAUUAAGCCUCUCACCAAUUGAUUCUUUCCUAUGUGGUCAUCUAAACACCCGUUAAUAUAUUAGGACAAAUAACGACAAAAAUUAGAAGGCUCUUUAUGAUAUUUUCUUUUCAGCUUGCAAGUGCCAUUAAUCGAGCGCGCAAAAGAUAAUAUCAAAUCAACUCCAUUCCCUGCUCGACAAACUCGAUCCACGUUUUUCCUUGGCAACCUCUCUAAGGAAAGGUAAGAGCUAAUUCAGUUGGGGAUAGGUCACCAUGUUGUCUGGUCAAUUAUGCACACACGGAAAGAGAUGGAAGAUCUGAAAAUGCAACAGUUACAAUGAGGACUCAAGAAAAAUGUAUCUGUUCUCCUCUUUUUCUUGGAUUUGCAUACAUCUCUCUCUCUCUCNNNNNNNNNNNNNNNNNNNNNNNNNNNNNNNNNNNNNNNNNNNNNNNNNNNNNNNNNNNNNNNNNNNNNNNNNNNNNNNNNNNNNNNNNNNNNNNNNNNNNNNNNNNNNNNNNNNNNNNNNNNNNNNNNNNNNNNNNNNNNNNNNNNNNNNNNNNNNNNNNNNNNNNNNNNNNNNNNNNNNNNNNNNNNNNNNNNNNNNNNNNNNNNNNNNNNNNNNNNNNNNNNNNNNNNNNNNNNNNNNNNNNNNNNNNNNNNNNNNNNNNNNNNNNNNNNNNNNNNNNNNNNNNNNNNNNNNNNNNNNNNNNNNNNNNNNNNNNNNNNNNNNNNNNNNNNNNNNNNNNNNNNNNNNNNNNNNNNNNNNNNNNNNNNNNNNNNNNNNNNNNNNNNNNNNNNNNNNNNNNNNNNNNNNNNNNNNNNNNNNNNNCUGAAAUGGCCAGAACAAUUUUUUAGAGCAAACACAGUAAAACGAAAUCCAUUUUUACUGAAAUCUCAAGCAUGUUUUGGUUGUUUCUGCAACAACAGCAACAAAAAAAAUCACUAUCAAAGAAGAGAGGGGGUGGAGAAGCUACCAUACCUGCAGAUACCGAGCUGGUGCUUUAGACGGCAGCGUGAAAGAAAAAAUUCUGAGCUGGUGUUCCUCAGCACACAUCAGCGGAGUUGGGCGCUACCACAAGAGUCAGAAGGUGAAAGGGGACGGGAAGACGAACCAAGCACGGACUGGAGGGAAGAACGGUUGGGCUCGUUCACGAACCAGGGCCGGCUUGCUCACCGAGAUGGGAGCACUACGGCCGCCGUCGGCUUCUCCUCGGCUCUGGCCUUGCUGCUCCUUCCCCCACCGCAGGCCUCCCCUGCCCCUGCUCCUCCAGCCCAACCGUGAAUACUGGCCGUCAACGGCGGCAGCCAGAGGGUGGAGGAGACGCACCGCUUCCAAAUGUCCACCCAGCGGAGACGACCUGAGCCCGAUCUGAACCAGGCGCCAUCGACGGAGGAGGGAGGUGGAGGGGCUACGUUGAGGAAGAGGAAGAGGAAGAGAAGGAGGCGGCUAGGAGGCCGUCCGCGCUGGGCGAGAGGGAGUAGGCGGCUGGGUGGAGAGCGAGAGGAGGCAGCUGAGGUGCUGCGGGAGAAGGCGGCUAGGGAUCUGCGGGAUCGGGAGGAGGAAGCGAGCGAGGGGACGAAUAAAAGGAGACGUGGCUGGUGCCGCUAGUUGGGCGCAUUAGCUCAUCCUUUAUAUGUUUAAUUCACGCCUGUAGAUUGUGCGCCGACAACACAAUGAGUCCUAGCCCAGUCCUUCAUCAUGCUAAGGGAAGUCCCACGCCUACAACACUCGGUCCCUCAUGCAGGCAAUUUUCUCACUGCCACUCUUUUCUCACCGUAAAACAGCUAUAGGUUGUUUCACUUCCGUACGUCUGUACUAUGUAGUGGCUGCACAGGCAUACGGCACCACAUGAAAGUUGUGCCACCGAUGCAGUGACGGAUUACCUUGCAUAGGACUCCGUACCACCUCAAGAUUCUUGAUGUACUAAUGACCGCCACAAGUUCAUGUGCAUGCAUGUAUUGAUUACGAAGGUCUCUUUGGGUCUACCUGCAAUCUCACGAAGUUUCUUUUUGUGAUUUCUCAUAAAACUUCCAUAGUUACUGAGAUUAGAUCAAUUAGUUCACAACAAGGGUCAAUGGAGGCAACCCAUGCACAUCAAAUUGGAAAAGUAUGACAAUGAAAUUGCAAGAAUGCCUUACACGAAGAAAACAAGGAGAGCGAACGGGCCGACUGACUAUCGCCUUAAUGUUUGUUCUUUGCAAAGUCUUUGCUUCUGUUUGAGAUGAAAAAUCAAUUGAUAAACAAAUCUUAGUUGGUGGUUGCUUGAUGCAUUAAUGCAUUCUGAUAAAAAAAUUAUAGGUAAAAGUAGCAGUGACAACCAGCAGGAUGCUCUACGAUUCUUGGAAGAGAUGUAGAAAAACUAACAAAGUCUCAUGGUGGAAAACUAUCUUAAGAGGGCGUGAGCUAGAUUCUUACAAAACAGGAUUGUAUGUCUGCUUGACAGCAUGGUCUUAUAUAUGGACUCUUCGGUCGAUAUCAAUAUGCCACAUGGGGUCGUUCAUAGUGAAUAAAAUAACAAGGAGAUGCAGCGAUAUGUUGGCGUUAUUCUCCUUCACUUGGGAAACAAGAAUCCAGCUCACGAGGUAGACUUGAAUAUCAUUAGCGCACGACCAGCCAGUGUCCAGAGGUAAGCACGCAGCUGGGGAAAAAGCAACAUCAACAAUUGGAGAAGUAGACUGUUGACCACAUGUCAUUACGGAAUUGUCCUGUGUCAUGAAUAAUAAUUCAAUCUACCUAUCUAUCUAUACCUCUAUACCUAUACUAAUUACAGACUUCGUAGAAAUUAUCACAUUAAUUAGAAUUUACGAGCCGUUAAUCUCGUGGAGCCAGAUUUUCACGGUCUAGAUCAACCCGCAUAAUAAUAUUGCUUAGUUGUGAAAAAAACAUCUCAACGCAACCUUUCUUCCUGGGCUACUCGGCCCUCCUCUAUCUCGUGGACUCCUACCCUCCUCUAGCUCCACGCAACCUUUCUUCGUAGACUACUCGACUAUUCCAAUCGCUAGGUUUUCUUAGUCAGAUGGCAUCAACUCAAAUAUGACAAGAAGCUGUGCCAUCCCACAAUGGAGACGUGAUGGCAUCUCCCGUAUCCUUCUGGUCAGUUUUCUCAAUACAAGACGGUGUGCCAUCCCACAACGAAGACGUGAUGGCGUCUCCCGUACUGUUCUGGUUAGUUUUCUCUAGAUUUGGUUCUUUAAUUAUUUAUUUUCUUCAGAUUUUACAUGGAAGGUAAGCAUCACGUACAUGAGAAAUUUCAGGGGAUAGAAAUUAUUAAGUUCCAUAACUUCAUACUUGGAAGGUCGUGGCUGAACGGGGAAAAUCGAAAUACAUGCCGCUGAAAAGAGUUUAAUGUAGCCACAAAUCACUCGGGCUCCUAUCAAAAUCGGUCGUCUUCCUCCUUAUUUGCAUCUACCUGAGACCCCACGGAAAAUUGGCUGCAGUACUAGCCUUCCGUAGUCUCGCGGCUCGGGUUUUCUUGGCGCCUCGGCUGUGGAUCGAAAUACAUGCCGCUGAAAAGAAUUUAAUGUAGCAACAAAUUACUCGGGAUUCCUACCAAAAUCACGGUCGUCUUCCUCCUGAUUUCAUCUAGCUGAGGCGCCACGGAAGAUUGGCCGCAGUCUUGCGGCUCUGGUUUUCUUGGCGACUCGGACGUGGGGUGCGGGAGCGCUGGACUGCAUGCAGUUCCGACGGUCCAUCUUCGCAUGAUGCAUCACGUAAGAACUGAUAAUCAACAUCAACCAUUGCUUUUGAAGAUGCAGAGGGCGGACAACCAUGGAUUCCUGGUACGUUUUCAGUUCAGAGGUCAAUCAAUUGGGAUCGAGAACCUAAAAACUGGGGCCGCGUUCCAGCCAUCGAUCCUUGGCGUUCCACGUCUCCACGCCGACUAUGAGCUAUGAGCUGGACGUUGGCGAACGACAAGGAUCCAUAGUUAUAUUAAUCUACAUGAUGAAAUUGCUUGAGAUAUAGAAGAAUAUUCAACAAAGAUUAACAUGGGGCGAUCAAGUAUAGGUGCAAUCCACCUCUGUGUUUUCAGCGACAAAAUUUAAUUAAUGACUAUUCAUGUUCUUUCAGUUGGCUCUUGGUUUGUAUGGGAACAACAUAAACACUUGACCAGGAUCGUAAUUUGUUUGUACAUCCUGAUUUUAUAAGCUGCUGUUGAAACUGCACAGAAAUUGUUGGUAUUCUACAUGAAUUGGUACCAAAUCUGCAUUGGAACAAUACAAAUUUAAACGGAAGGAGGUAAUUUUCUUGCUUUCAAGUUUCUUAAUAAGAGCCACAUAUAUGAACACCAUCAUUUGCCAUACUAUACCAAUACCUUUCACACCAGUGUUCAAAAUACUAUAUUUUAUUCAUUAGCCCAAAUGGAAAGUAAAAGGAACGACUAAGGCAAUAGGUUUACAUAGUUUUGUAGUUGUAUUAUCUGUUUCUAACAGCAAGAAGAUUAAAAAAAAGUAAUAGUAGUUUCUGUUGUGUUAAUGCAGAUUUUUUUAUUCUAAAAAUGUUGGCAAGAUUGGCAUUCGUCAAGAUGAUCCAUAGAUAACGGAAGGAAGUUCUAAAUAUUUUCAAAACACCAGUUUUAGAAGCAGCAUAUUACCUCAACAUAGAUGCUUUGAUCUGAUCCUAUUUUUUUGCUAUCAUCAACACUCAGAAGCCAAAUAACCAAAUUGACCAGUAAAACAUUGGGUGGCGUUUUAUAUUUCUUAUUCAUUUGUGAAUUAUGUUUUGCUAAAUCAAUAUUUUGAAGGGAAUAUCGAAGACUUCCUCUCUCUCUUUAUAAUUGACAAUCAUAUGCUACUGGAGUGGCCACACACAGGUGUUGCAGCUAAGACAACAAUCUAUAAAUGUGUAGGUAUGCUCUGCCGGAUUGUUUCUAAUCAGCUUACAUUGUCUCUCUUCCCUGUAGGCACUCUACUAUAUUUUAUUAUAAGUGCAAGCUGGAGGUGGAGAACAUGGAUUCGUACUGACAUUAAUCUCCUGAUGAUUACUUGAGAGAGGGAAUAGUAUUCAACAAAGAGUAACAAGGUGUGAUCAAGUAUCCGUGCUAUGCACCUCUCUUCUUGCUGGAAUCAAAUUUAAUUCACGAUUAUUCAGGUUGCUUCAGUUUGUUCUCGGUUCAUUAGGGGCACAACAAAAAUCACCUCUGCAGGUUCCUAAUUUGUUUGUACAUCCAGAUUUCGGAAGUUGUUUUCGGCAUUGACACUAAAAUUGUUGUUAUGCUAUAGGAAUUGGUACCAAAUCUACAUCAGAACAAUCAAAAUUUAACGGAAGAAUCUAAUGUUGUUUCUUUCCAGUUUCUUGAUCGCCAUAUAUGAAAGCCUUCCUUUGGUAUACUAUGUCAACACAUUUGAAACCAUUAUUCAUAUUGUUGAUUACCAUAUUCUAUAUUUCGUUAGAAAAAAAUGGUAAAUGGAGCAACUAAUGCAAUAUAUAUACAUAAUUGUGUAAUUGUACUUUAAGUUCAUAGAAAAAAGAAGAGGAAAAAAGUAAUAGGAGUUUUUGUUGCAACGUAUGCAUAAUUGUUGUAUUUUUCAAAGGUUACCCAAAGAUGGACAUUCGUCAGAAUGAGCCAAACAGGGCAGAGAGAAGUUAUAAAUAAUUCGAAAGCAGCGGUUCUAAAAGCGGCCUAUUACUUCAGCAUAGAAACUUUGAUUUGAUCAUUUGUUGUUGGUAUGAUAAACAAUUAGAUGCCAAAGAACCAAAUUCAACAUUAAAAAUUCAAGUUGCCUUUUACAUUUCUUAUUCAUUGGUGAAUUGUCUUUUUUCUAAAUGAAUAUUUUGAAAAAAAAAUCUUGAAGACUUUCUCUCUACCAGUCCAUUGAUAAUUAAGAAACGCAUGUUACUGGAUUGGUUGCACACAUGUAUUGCAUCCAAAACAAUAGUCUCAAAGUGUGAAGGUAUAAAAAAUUGUUGAUGUUUUAAUGUUUGUGUAUUGAUAACGAUAUUAUACAUGUAAAAAAGAUUUCAGCCAAAGCAGAAUCCUUCUUGAACUUCAGGCUAUAAGUAAUUUGAUCACCAUUAUUGUUUUCCACAACAAAAAGCUCUUUUUGUGAAUGAAAAAGAAAACAAUCUUACUUCUACAGUAGAUGAAAAUAAACUUUGCUGCACUUUCUUUCACAUGGUCUUUAGCAAUGCGAUGCAUUUUUUAGGGGAGCACUAUAACGAUGAAAAAAACAUCCAUAAAGAUAUAACUGGAAGCAUUCUUAUUUAAACAAUAUUUCCACGUAUAACAAUAAUUGGAUUCCGUCUUGAUUGUUGACAAAAUUUAUAAGCCCCUACAUUUGUUAUACAUAGUUUCGGACCAUAUAUACAUUCUAUUAAACUUCCAAAUAUGAAAAUUCACUAAUGAAAAAUGACAUAAUAGGAUCUCAAUGAUGAUAGAUUAAUAAGUUGAGUUGUGUCUAAUCUUUUAGUUAUUGUGGUAUUAUGUGCAUAAAGAUAUAGCUAGCCCGUGCAGUUGCACGGGUUGACGGCUAGUUCGUUUAAUGCCAGACUUUCCCAACAAAAAAUGACAUGGCGGCCGGGUUUUAGUUUAAUUCGAAAAAGUGAUUGAGGCAGGAAGAGGGAAAUUAUUGCUGCCUGGAUUUGAUAUUUUGAUUUUAAGUACGCAAAUAAGGAUGCACGUGACAAAAUUUCAAACAGAGCGCGAGAGCAGCAGUCCAUUGUAAUUAUGUUAUCUUAUUUGAUCAUAUGCAGCAGAGAAGUUAGAUCGGGUAUGCAUACAUCACGAGGAAUUUGAUUACUCUCAGUUCAAAACAGAGGGUUUUGCGGAAGUUUUACAGCUUAAUCUUGCUAUCCAUCUAGGUAAUGUAUUCAAAUGUUGUGGUAAGUCAAGUGAAGAAUUAAUUUUCUUAAUGUUACUACAUAUGACGCUUAUUUUUUUAUCUCAACACCAAUGCCGCAGGGAUUCACACAGAUGCAAUGUUUGGUGUAUUGCACUAAUUAAUUCUUUACUAAUUUGCUGCUUACAGCAUAUAUAUUAUCUGCCAUGUUAACUUACUAAUUAUUGAAAGUACUAAGCCACUUAUAUUGUAUUUACUGCAUGUAUGAUCAAUUUGUUUCAGUAUUGCAUAGACUUCGAGUAAACAUUUAAGGACAUGUAAAGCAGUCUAUUUCUUCCUCUAAUUUUACUUUUUCAAAUCUAUUUUAUUUCUUACAAAAUUUCUUUCAGUGGAAAUUUAAAUUAAUGCAUAAUAAUUGUGGGAACCUCCUCUCAUUUUUGUUAAUCACUAAUCACAAAGUAGAUAUAUUCAGAAGGCGCAUGUAAGGAUAUCGAUAUAACAUAGUUGCUCCAUUUCUAGCAAAAUCCGAUUGUAUGUAGCAGUUUUUAUACAAGGAUCACAAUACAAAUUAUCAAUAUUAAUUAUAUAUUGUAAUUAGUUAAGUUAGAUUACAAUUUUAAUUUGGCUGGAUAAGUUUUUGCAAUUACUGUAUAGUAAUUUCUAUUUCACGUGAGAUAUCAGCCUCUUAAUCAUAGUAGUAGCAUUAAUCAACAAAUAAUUAAGUGUAGCUAUAUCACAAAUUGAUGCAUGUACCACAUAAAAAUGUAUUUAAUUGCGUAAUAGACUCAUUAUAAACUCUGAGCAAUAUGAACUAGAGGCAAAGUCUCUAGUACGUGCUGAAGUAAAGUAGCACCAUAACGUAAACCAAACGUAGCGCUAGCUGGGUUUUUUCUACAUAAGAGAUUACAGUUGACUAAAAUGCUGAUGCAUAUACCUAUUUAUAUUUGGAUUUAAAUAUAUAGCCUUUAUUGGUAUUCACGUGUACAGUUUACUCUGAAUACAUUUUUAAUUUGCAAUUAUAUGGUAUUUGAAUAUAGAUUUCUAAAUUAUAUCUAUGAACUUGCAAAACUUAUAAAUCAAAAUAAGAAAUAGGACCAUGCAUAAUAACUACAAAAUAAAACAAAAAAAUCUAUACAAAAUAUACUCUAGCCCGUGAGAAUGCACGGGUUGACGACUAGUUACACAUAAUGCCUGUAAAUAUGACAUGUGUUCCUGUUUCUACAUCAGACUACUAUUCUUGCAUAUCCCGCAUUAGUCACUUAUGAUAAGGCCCCUUUAAGUCGCCACUGUGAUAUUGGUUGUGUCUUGCAUAUGAUUUAUAGCAUGUACUGCUUCUAAUUUGUUGAAACGCCAUACAGUUUGAACUUGGCAGAGUGAUAUUGGUUGCGUCUUUCAUAUGGUGUCCAGCUUGCAAUGCUUCUAAUUUGUUGAAAUGUCUUCUGCUUAGUUACCACAUCAUAGGUGUGAAUAUGUCACACCAUCCUGUUUUUCAUACAUAUUCCAUCCUCGCAUCAUGUGUUUGCCUUUCAUCCGAGUAGUGUUCGUCAGUAUCAUGCAUAAAUGAGUUCUGAAGAGCGAAUUUUAUUCCUUUUUCUUAUCGGUUUGACUUCACAAUGCAAAAUCAUUACAGCUGAAGGAAAUUAGUCCGACAGUGGAUGAUGGUGGUCCUUCGGAGCAACUCAAAUAGGGGGUCUCUACAGAUUCUACUCUGUCAUCCUCCCAACAAGAUUCGCAAGACAACAAAAGGCUGGACAGUCAACAUAGCUGUGUAGAUGAUGAGCACAUCUCCCCUACUCCAUCACAGGUGCUUGCUCUAACUUGGCACUAUUAUAUGUGGUUGCAAGUUGCGUAUGAUAUCUAGCUUGUAUUGCUUCUAACUUGAAUUGCAUCAGCUUACUUUACACAUAAUAUAUGUGAAUAUGACACAUGUUCCUGUUUCUAGAACAUACGUGUACAUGAUGAGCACAUCUCCCCUACUCCACCAUCACAGGUGAUUGCUCUUACCUGGAAUUGUUAUAUGUGGUUGUGUUUUCCGUAUGAUAUCUAGUUUGUAUUGCUUCUGAUUAUGUUGAAUUGCAUCUGCGUAGCUUAAAAUUUAUACCUGCAAUGAUCACUUAUCCAUAAGACACAUUUAACUUGGGACUGUGAUGUAGGUUGCAUCUUGCAUUGUCUUGCAGCUUGUACUGCUUCUAAUUUCUUGAAAUGGCACUUACGACGAGACACUUUUUACCUGACAGAGUGAUAUUGGUUGCAUGUUCAUAUGGUGCCUAGCUUUCAUUUCUUCUAAUUUUGUUGAAAUGCCUUUCGGUUACUGUUUUUUCAUACAUAUUCCAUCCUCCUAUCAUACGUGUGAAUAUGAAACGCUCUCUUUUUUGUAUAUAUUUCAUCCUCCUAUCCUGCACUUGCCUUACAUCAAAGUAGUGUUCGUCUGUAUCAUGCAUCAACCAGUUAUGCAGAGUUAAUUUUAUUUAUCUUCUUGUGGUUUUGACUUCAUAAGGCAAUAUCAGAAAGUAGGAAGGAAAAGAGUAAGUUAGGGGAUGUUGGUGGUCCUCCGCACCGACGCAAACAGAGACUCUUUAGAUUUUCCACUGCUAUUGCUAAUGAAGUUGAAGUCCCAAGUCUACAUGAUGAGUUCAUCUCCCGUACUCCACCAUCACAGGCGCUUGCUCUAAGUUCACAGUGUGAUAAUUGGUUUCAUGUUGCAUAUGUUGUCUAGCCUGUAUUUCUUCUAUUUUUAUUAAACUGCACUUGCUGAGUUUAUACGUUAUACAUGUGCAUAUGACACGGCUUUCUGUGUCUAGAAUACACUUCAUCUAUCUAUCAUACCAUGUUCUUACAUCAAAGUACUGCUGUGGUGUAUCCCGCAUCAGUCACUCAUGAUUGGACGCUUUUAACAUGGCAGUUUGAUAGUGGUUGCAUCUUGCAUUGAUUUCUACGUUAUACUGCUUCUAAUUUUUCGAAUUGCCACUUAUGACAAGACACUUUUAACUGGGCAGAGUAAUAUUGGUUGCAUCUUUCACAUGGUGUCUAACUUGCAUUACUUCUAUUUUCUUGAAAAUCCUUCUGCUUAGUUUGCACAUCGUAGCUGUGAAUAUGUCAUGUCGUCUUGUUUUUCUUACAUAUUCCAUCCUCAUAAGGUUGUCUUACAUCAAAGUAUUGCUUGUCUGUAUCAUGCAUCAAUGAGUUCUGAAGAGUGAUUUUAUUCAUUUGUGUUGUGGGUACAUCUUGACAUGGCAAAGUCAAAAAAGAGCAAGGAAAAUAAUAUAGUAGGGAGUGAUGUUACUCGUCGGGUGAAACGGAAAAGGAUAUGUCGUCGAGAUUCUGCUAGUACUUAUAGUGCAGUAGAAGGUCCAAGUCCACCGGCUAAAUCUACAGACAUAGUAUCACCUGCUCCACCGGCUGCAGCAUCCUCUUCAACUGUACCAGCAUCUCAACCGGUUACUCGUUUGUUUGCUCCGGAACUGGCCAGUUCCCAAGCUGCCCUCACACCUAACACUACUUCCAAAGCACUGCUGACACAAUAGGACUUGGCAAGAUCAGAUGAACCUCAUGAGCAUCAACACCAAGAUGGUACCUGACCGAGUCAAGUUGCAGUUGAAUGCUCCUUUAUAUGUACUCUCACAGUUUGAUGUACAUUAACACUUUCCAUAUUCGUUGUUGAACUAGCACCACGGUGCAAGCGGAAACAGACAUCAGGGAUAAUGCUUGACAGAUUAACAAAAUCUAAAGGAGGAAGAAUGCAGAUCCAUUUUGAGGCGGGUUUAAAAAGGCCACGUGAUGCUACAGAGUCAGCCAAGUUAGUAUCAGAGGCAGUCGUUGCCGUUAGGUAUCAUGCACGUAUCCUCCCAACGUGGAUCCAGUACAGGAAUGAGAAAGACAAUACCCAGUUUAACACCUUCCUUGACCAUUUAUCCGUAAGUAAUGUUAUUCAUCGCAAUUAGUAAUAUUGUCUUGCUCUGUCCCAUACUUUCUAGCUUCCUCCUAAUAAGACUCACAUUCCUUUUUCAAUAGCUGAGGUUCAAGUUGGAUCCGAAAUAUGAUGCAACUAAACAAGCAUGCACUCAUGUUUUUCAGUCUGCUCUACGACAGUAUCGGUACUACCUUAGAAAUCUCACUUUGAAGGCAAGGCUAACAAUGAAAUCGCCCAAGCAUCUCCAAUGGAAUAUAUUACAGAUGGAGACUGGACAACCCUCAUUAAACACUGGUCUGAUCCAAAGUAUCAGGUAGGCUAUGUGUAUUUGAUCAGACCACAUAUUGAACUUGUAUUUAUGUAUGUGCCUUACAAGUGUAUCUUCUUCUAGGCUAACUGUUUGAAGAACAAAACUAACCGUUCUAAAGUGAAAUUCCAACAGACAAUAGGAUCUCGUAGCUAUAUUGCACACUACGAGGCUCUUGUAAAUAGCUGCUACUUCCUUCUUCUUUUUUGUGCCAUAUUAUCGUAUCUAUAUUGACUUGUUCCAAAUACAGAGGAAAGCCCGUGCGGACCAAAAAGAACCUGAACCGAAUGCAGUGCAAAUCUCCAAGGAUUGCCACACCAGCAAGAUGAAGGGCAUGAGCACACCAGUUCAAUCCGCUGUUGUAAGCCCUUACUCCUCCUGCCUUGAACUGAUUGGUACUGUGAUGUGUUCAUUUAACUACUUGGUUUGCAGCCAAUGUCAGAUACUCUGUUCACUUUUAUACACAGUUGUCUUAACGUAUCAUUUCACCUUACAUGGUUCAAAAGAGAUGAAGGAUAUUCUUUCGGUCUUGAUGUGUAAUCUAGUUGUUAUGUUCACGUGCGCACACAAUGAUAAAAUAGCAUGUUUGUUUUAUAUCUGUUUGCCCAUGAUAUGAAUGAUGCCAUACUAUGUUCAUCCUACUUUAAAACAUGUUUCUUUAUCCUUAGAUGUCAACGAAUGUGAGGAAAUAGACAAUACAGUAGGCAUGCUACAUGGACAUAUGUUCCGAAAGUGAUUUUAUUAUGUAGUUAGCACUACAAUACAUGCUAAUGUAUUACAGUAGUUCACCAAAAUAAGUUAAGUAUAAACGUUUAACCUACUUUGUUUGUUUUUAUCUCAUUAGUAACUUAUCUGGUACACUAAUCUACAAGUUCAAACUUUCAGGAAGCUAUGGAACAAAUGAUUGAACAGCCAUAACCACCUGAAGGUAACGAGUCUACCACAGGCACAAUGUCACCUCUUGCUGCAGUGCGUCAGUAUCUCUCCACUAACAGUGCAAAAAGCACCUUCCCGUGUAAUUCUGGGUUGGUUGUCAAGGUAACCUCAUCCAAAUCGCCUACUAAACAAAAUCUCCCUGCUAGACAGAGUGAUAUAUUUGUGCUCCAGACACAAGUCCAAUCCCUAAUGGACGUUGUUUCAGAAACAAGAAUAGUGGUUGAGAAAUGUCAUCAAGAUAUGAAUGGUUUUGAAACCAAACUAUCAGACAUUCGCUUUGUUGUUCAAGAGCAAUGGCGGAAAAAAGGUGGAGAUCAUGCUGCUCCAUCAGAUUCUACAGCCUGAAACAUUAGCACUCAGGUCAAAUGAUUUGUGCUUCUAUACAUCUGAUGGUGCUUUUAUCUGGAAGGAUAGUAAACUUUAUGCCAACAGGCCUUUUGUUGUAUGGUUGGAAUUUAUUUUAUUAUGAUACAACAUUUAUGAUUCUGCCACAGGCUACAGUAAUUACGACGCUAUUUUUGUAUAGUGUAGGUUUAUCUUAGUAACGCAUUCGGCCGAAAGCUUCGUAGGAGCCCAACAUGCCAACAUUCGUCGGGCCCAUUCCAAUUGGGCUAAAAACGAUUACGGGCCGCAAUUCGCAUGUAGCCCACUAAAAAUAUCUGGGCCUAAAUCAGCAUAAGCUUUCAUAUUUUUUUGGUAGGCAUGUGCCCAUAGUGGGCCUUUAACAGGCCUAAACAUAAUUUGGGCCCUCAAUAAAAAUAGGUCGUCUACAGGUAUAAAUAUCUCGAGCCCAUAAAAACAUGGGCCUUUAAUAGACCGAAAGUGAGAUUGGGCCCUGAUUGUGCCAAAUAACCCACUGGUCUUAGUAGGCCGAAAUGGUGGCCCAUUUAUGAUGCGGAUCUUUGACAGGCCGAAAUUCGGACUGGGCUGUAAAUGCGCCGACCUAAUACACGAGCCUUUAAAAGGCCGAAACUUUGGUCGGGCUGGAUUAUUGUCAUUUUUAUAUGGGCCUUUAAUGGGCCCGAUAUGACAUUGGGCCACAUAUGGUCCAUGGUUCUCGUCCGGCGUUAACAGGCCGGAAAUGACAACAGGCUGAAAGUGGCCCAAAUCUAUAGUGGGCCUCUAACAGGCCGAAUGCCAGACGUGGCCGAAUAUGACCCAAAUCCUUCACGGUCGUUUAUGGGCCGAAAGUUUUGAUGGCCUGUAAAUGGGCCCAAAUGACUUUGGACCUUUAACAGGCCAGAAAUACACUGGGCCGUAAUUCGGCCCAAUUACUUAGCGGACUAUUAAUGGGCCAGAAGUGACCAUGGGCCACGUUGAUGACAAGUUUAGGAUGGGCCGUUGACGGGCCGAUUUGAUAGAGAAUGUUGGGCCUUUAGCUGGGCUGGCCCAUUAUGGUCUGCAGAAUCUUGUGGGCCUUUAGCUGGGCCGACUCAUUGUGGUCCGCAAAAUCUUGUGGGCCUUUAGCUGGACUGGCCCAUUAUGGUCUGCAAAAUCGUGUGGGCCAUUAGCUGGGCCGGCCCAUUAUGGUCUGCUAAAUUUUGUGGGCCUUUAGCUGGGCCGGCCCAUUAUGGUCCGCUAAAUCUUAUGGGCCUUCGGUUGGGCCGGCCCAUUUAAACUUUGUGGGCCACUUUUGGGCUGGUCCACGUGUCAACAUAUCAUAGGCCCAUCUCGACCGUUGGAUGAGUGACACCUGUGCCAACGCAGAGCUGACGCGUGGAUCCGUCGGCUAAUGAGAAUUUUACACGUGGAAAAUCGACAUUGGUCGUGGCUGUUAGCGGGUUAUCGGAUCCAAAAAACAGACCCGAUAGGUUAACGGUGGUUAAUGGCGUCCCGUUACGGUGGAUGCCACGUGUCGGUCACCCUUGACGAAACCACUUCUAUGAUGCGCGCUUUAUCGUCAUGGAAGUGGACACUUCCGUGAUGAUAAUUUUGGUAAUGUCAUGGAACACUUCUACGACAGCACAUGUAUGACUAUCUUGAUUCAUGGAUGUACAUGCAUGACAGAAAAUGUGACCUACUGUGACAAACAUGUAUCAUCACGGAAGUGUAUUUUUUUGUAGUGAUAACACGGUCAUGCCAUGAACUUGGCAUAAGCCGGCCGUCCAAACAGGGCGUGAUACGGGCUCUUGAUUUUGACCACCUCAAAGGUUAACUUCUCAGCCCUAGAAUCAUGCUCAUCUCCAAUGGCAACCUCCAGCUCAAUCUUACCCACUGGGUACGCAGACUUACCAGGGACCACUCCAUGGAAAACAGUGUUGGAAGUCUUGAGAUUUUUAUCAAUCAAACCCAUGCAACGAAAAGUCUCAUAAUAGAGGAUAUUGAUGCUACUGCCUCCAUCCAUAAGCACCUUAGUGAAUUUAUAUCCACCAACCUGAGGUGCCACCACCAAGGCCAAGUGACCCGGAUUGUCAACCCGGGGAGGGUGAUCUUCCCUACUCCAUAGAAUAGGCUGCUCAGACCAUCUCAAAUAACGAGGAACUGUCGGCUCAACAGCGUUCACAGCCCUCUUAUGAAGCUUCUGGUCCUGUUUGCACAAAAUGGUGGUAAACACAUGAUAUUGUCCACUAUUCAGCUGCUUCAGAUUACUCUGAUAUCCACCUUGCUGCUGCUGCUGACCACCCUGGCCAGAUUGCUGAUUAUAACCACCUUGAUGACCCCGAGAGCUUUGAAAAUUGGAAUUUGAACCGCCGCCUGGGCCAUGAAAGCCGCCGCCACCUGAGCCGCCGCCCGGCCCAUGAUUACUGUCAAACAUGUUGGAAUUCUUGAAAGCCUUCAUGAUCGUACAGUCCUUCCAUACGUGAGUGGCCGAUUUCUGUGGAGUAUGGUGACUUGGACAGGGCUCAUUUAGCAACUAAUCAAGCAUGGGGCUUGACCCGCCAGACCGAGGAGGCGGUCUCCCCUUACGUUGUUGAUUGUUACCCUGCACAUUGGUGUUAGCCACAAACUCCAACCCACCAUCAGCCUUACAUUUAUUAUUACCUCCUUGAUUUGCCGAGUUAUCCUGAGGACCCUUGGCGUUAUCGUUCUUCUUUCUCUUACCUGUCUUCUCAUCAUCAGACUCGGGAUCCUUGGUACUAUUAGAGUCGGCGUAUUUGACUAGAGUCGCCAUCAGCUCGCCCAUGUCAUUACAAUCGCUCUUGAGCCACCCCAGCUUCAUCUUCAGAGGCGUAAAACUACAAUUUUUCUCCAACAUUAAGACUGCGGAGCCAGCAUCCAUCUUAUCAGACGAAUGUAUUAUGGCUUUGACCCGGCGCACCCAAUGGGUUGUGGACUCACCCUCAUCUUGCUUGUAAUUAGUCAAAUCCACAAUUGACAUGGGCUGCUUGCAUGUAUCUUUGAAGUUCAGAAUGAAUCGGGCUUUUAACUCUGCCCAUGAACCGAUGGAAUAGGCGGAAGGCCCUUCAACCAAGUGCGGGCCGUCCCAACCAACAUCAUGGUGAAGUACUUGGCCAUCACAGCGUCACUGACUUCCAGUAGCACCAUAGCCAUCUCAUAUCUUUCAAUCCACGCCCCAGGCUGUAAGUCGUCCAUGUAAUUAGGCACCUUUCGAGGCCCCUUAAAAUCCUUGGGCAAACGCUCGUUACGUAGAGUCAGCACCAGACAAGGGACACCUCCGGUCCUAGUGGUCACGCCUGCCUCAAUAGAAGUCGUCGGAUAAACCAGAAAAGACUGGUAAGCCGCCCGCUCAGCCGUCUGCUCACCCGCCCGCUAAGCCUCUUGACGUAUUCUGUCCUGAUCAACGAAGUUAAGAGCUCCAUCACGCGCCGGGUCAUGCCCGCAUGGCUGCUCACAGCGGCGGGCGUUGCUUGAAAUGGCCACUGAAUCCAUGUGCCUGCUAUAACUCGGGCUCCGGCUUGGAUGAGGGGUCGAAUGAAUCAUGUCUCGGCUAUACGAGUACGCCUCCUACUGCGCCAAAGUCGUCUGAAGAAGUUCUCUGACCCUUCGAGUUUCAACCGCCGUCGGAGAGUCGCCCUCCAUCGGGAGAGUCGCCAAUCGUGUUGCCGCAGCAAUCAUGUUCUCCAAAGGGUUAGAAUAAUGACCCGGUGGUGUUGAUACAUAAUGAGGUGGAGCAGUAUUUAUCCAGCGAGGUUCCAUCAUAUGCGGCUGAACCGGCAUUCCAGCCCCGGGCGUUGCAACCUGGUCCAUCUCCGAUGGGUUACUGGGUCCUGCACUGGGUGUACGGAAGAGGUUUCGAGGAUCAUAAACCGGAGGCAGACGGGAUCGAGUCUUCUGGAACAUCCUCCUCAUGACCUCAUUUGACACGUUCUGAUCCUCGUGAGCUGGAAAGCCUGUGAUUGAAUCCGCUGAGCCUGGGCGUCCAAAGCUGCCCGCUCUGCGGUCAUCCUGACAUUUUCCGCCGCCAGGUCUUCCUUAGCCUGCACUAUAUCCUACUUUAACUACGCCACUUAUGCAUCAUAUUGAGCUUGAUCCGCCGGGUUUACCACGGCAGUUAAUAGGGCUGUGAUCUUAUCCAUGAGAUCCAUCAACACAUGAGCCGGCGGACGCACAAGGCCUCCUGCCCCGGCUGCGGAUGACCCGGAGGUUAUCGGUGCCACAACCGUAGAGUUUUGAACGGGUUGCGUGCCAGCCAUGAAGAUUCCAACUCUACUCGAUGGCUCAAGGAGGUCCGGAAUACUACUGCCAUCGGAACAUCCCUCAAGCCCAUCGUCUUGCAAUUCAUAUAGUGAAUCCGUCUCACCCGUGGACGACUCACCAUUAGAGUAGAUGGUCGUCUCACCGUCGGACAUAGAUCCUUCAGAAAGUUCCCCUCCGUGGAUGCAUCCCACGAAGGCACGCUUCAUGGCAGGCUGAGACUGGGCGGGUCUCGCACGCUGAGCCGUCUUGAUGAGGUCGGUGCAGACGUCCGGCUCGCCGAUCUUGCCGAUGAAGAUGUGGAUUCCGCCGAAGGGGACCCGGUACCCAUACUCAAUUAAGCCGGCGUCAGGGCCCCAACCUACAUCGUCGAUGUAGAGCUUGUCGUGAUGACUCUUGGUCAUCCAUCCCACAGCGUAUCCCUUGAGCCCUUCAAAGCUGCCCUUCAAGAACUCAAAUCUAUCAGGCGCUGGCCCCAUGGUGGGCGCCAAAUGUUGUGGAAUUGUCACGUCAAAUGUCCUAGUGAAAGGACUUAGUCGUGGAGCCAUCGCAACUAGGAAGCUUAAAGGGGUUAAUCGGGACAAAGGACACGGGGUUUAUACUGGUUCAGCCCCUUACGGUGAAGGUAAAGCCUACGAUCCAGUUUUUAGUGGGAUUGCUUAUGUCUCGAUUACCAGGGAGCGAAAUCGCUUGACCUAGCUCUCGAUCUGAUGUUACUUGUCCUGAACUGCCGCUGGGUCGUCCCUUUAUAUACAGAGGUCAACGCCCAGCGCCUCACAGAGUCCCGGUCGGCUCAUAAACAGUGUCCGACUCGGUCUCUAACUAUUCUUGACUUACAAUACAAGUUAUGUACACAGGGCAGUUUAUCUCUAUGGGCCUUAAGUCACCUUUGGGCUUUGGGCCUUUAACUGAACCGCCAUCUUCAAGCUUGUUUUGGGCUUCAAGAGUCCUCAUAGGUAUAACCCGGCCCCUCCUGGGCGGGUCAUACCUAAUAGUUAUAUCCCGAACAAAUACCCAUCUGAUCUUGAAAAUGAAUAUGAUUUGUGGGUAGUUUCAUUUGUUCUUAGGGACAUGGGAGUAGUUUUGUUGUAAGUAAUCAUAUGAAGUUGGUAUUUCAUUAAAUAUUUUGAUGAUGUGUAUGUUGUUCUUCCUCUAGUGGUGUCGUGUGAACAUCGACUACAUGACUCUUCACCAUGUUUGGGCCUAGGGGAAAGCAUUGGGGAGUAAUAUGUAGAUGAUGGGUUGCGAGAGUGACAAAAGCUUAAACCCUAGUUUAUGUAUUACUCCGUAAGGGGCUGAUUUGGAUCCAUAUAUUUAAUGUUAUUGUUAGAUUUAUCUUAAUUAUUAUUUCGUAGUUGAGGAUGCUUGCGAGAGGGGGUAAUCACAAGAGGGUUGCUUUUUAAAGUAAGAACAUCACCCUAGCACCGGUCCACCCACAAAUCAAUUUAUCAAAGUAGUGUACGUCAAUCAACUAAACAUGAUGAAAGUUAACUAGACAAUAUUCCCAUGUGUCCUCAAGAAUGCUUUGCUCACUAUAAGAAGUACUUUCGGCUUGUCCUUUGCUACAAAAAGAAUUGGGCCACCUUGAUGUACUCUUGUUACUAUUGAUACUUGUUAUUUGUUACAAAUUACCUCGCUACAAAACUAUUUGCUACUACUAUUUACAUCAGUUGCAGACAAUACCUUGAUGAAAACCGUUUGUCAUUUCCUUCUGAUCCUUGUUGGGUUUGACACUCUUACUUAUCAAAAGGACUACGGUUGAUCCCCGAUACUUGUGGGUCAUCUGUGUUCUUUGUUUCCUUUGUUUAUUCGUGUUCGUUUCUUUUGUAUGUUUGAAAAUUUUCAAAAAUCCAAAAAUAUUUCUCACUUCUUUUGGGUUUUUCUUUCUUGUUUAAUUAGUUCUAGUAGUAAAAGAAAACACAAAAGGAUUUCUCAUUCCUUCUUUUGUUGUUUGUUGGGAGUUGUCCGGUGUAAAUAGUUUUUCUCGCAUCUCAUUUUUCUUCUUUAGUUUGCUCUCUUUAGAAAAACCUAAAAACUCCAAAAAAAUAUUUUAGUGUGUUUCUCUGAAUUUCUUUUCGUUUCUUGAGUCAUUGUAAGGAAAAGACUUCCUAAGAAUUUUUGAGUGGCUCUCAAAUGCUUUAUAGUUGAUCUAACAAAGAGCCAUAUAUUUCCUCGUGUUCUCCUUUGAAUUAAGUUUGUAGAUUUUAGCUUAGUCCACGACACUCUUGUUCUAUUAUUAUUUUCACAUCAUUGGGUCGUGUAAGUGAAAGGAAAUAAGGAUGAUGAUUUGAUGAAGUGACUAUGGUAAAGAAAAGUUGGUAUGGAGUCUUCUUCUUUUUGUUUUUGUAAAUAUGCUUAACUCAGUAGUCCUAAUUCAGGAUAUUAUGAGUAACAUGCUUUUAAUGAAAAAUAGAGAUUAUAUAUGCUCAUGCCAUGCUUAAGUAGCUAGCACUGAAUAAUCAUUUAUCUUGCAUGUCAACAUGCAUUAAAAUGGUUGUUGAAAGUGCAACUAAUCCCUGGGUGGUUUUGGUAAUUCAUAACAACAUAUAGCUCAUUGAACUAAUAUCCAUUCAAGAUUAAUAUUUCAGGAUGUUCAAUGAUUGGCAUGGCAUGGAUUAGAGAUGUGGACCCCUCAAAAUGCUAAGGACAAAUAUUGGCAAAAGCUCAAGACUCUUCAUCUUAAUUUUAGUCAUCCAAGAUCACAUUGAGUCCAUAGGAAAGCCAAUGCUAUUAAAAGGGGAUGAGGUGUUGCUUAAUGUCUUACUUGCUCAAAUGCUUAGUGAUAUUGCUGCAAAACCCUCAGCCACUUUUUCCAUCCAAAUAUAUCCAGACCCAAAACUCUAACUCAGCUAUUUUUUCUAUCUGGAGCCACUGAGUUCAUAUGACAUACCCCCUGCCUAAAACCCUAACAUUUCAGUCCCAUCGAUAUGGAUCUCGGUCUCACCGAGAUGGCCUAGCCAACUCUCUGUUUCUUGUUGCAAUUAUUUCCGUCUCAUCGAGAAUUGCAAUCGAUCUCACUGAGAUGGCUUGACCAACUCCCUAUUGCCUUAUUGCUUCACUUCAAUCCCACCGAGUUGAUGGAAUCGGCGCCACCGAGAUGAGGUUUGCCCUAAACCCUAGCACAUCGGUCCCACCUAGUUGUUCCAGUCGGUCCCACUGAGAUUCCUAACAUUCACAUUUUUCAACUGGUCGGCGCCAUCGAGUUUAACCAUUCGGUCCCACCGAGAUGAGUCAAAUGUGUGUAACGGUUGGAUUUUGUGUGGAGGCUAUAUAUACCCUUCCACCCCCAUCUCCAUUUGUGAGAGAGCCAUCAGAACGUUCCUACACUUCCAAAGAGAACCACCUACUCAUGUGUUGAGAUCAAGAGAUUCCAUUCCUACCAUUUGAACCUUGAUUUCUAGCCUUCCCAAGUUGCUUUCCACUCAAAUCACUCUUCCACCAUAGCCAAAUCUGAGAGAGAGAGAGAGAGUUGAGUGUUGGGGAGACUAUCAUUUGAAGCACAAGAGCAAGGAGUUCAUCAUCAACACACCAUGUAUUACCUUUUGGAGAGUGGUGUCUCCUAGAUUGGUUAGGUGUCACUUGGGAACCUCCAACAUGAUGUGGAGUUGAACCAAGAAGUUUGUAAGGGCAAGGAGAUCGCCUACUUCGUGAAGAUCUACCCGAGUGAGGCAAGUCCUUCAUGGACAAUGGCCAUGGUGGGAUUUGCAAGGUUGCUUCUUUGUGGACCCUUCGUGGGUGGAGCCAUUCGUGGACUCACACAGCCGUUACCCUUCAUGGGUUGAAGUCUCCAUCAACGUGGAUGUAUGAUAGCAUCACCUAUCGGAACCUCGCCAAAAAUCUUCAUGUCUCCAUUGCGUUUGCACUUUCCAAACCCUUCCCCUCACCUUCAUAUGCAAUGUUUUAUUUUCUGUUGCUAUACUCUUAGAAUUGCAUGUGUAGGUUGAUUGCUUGACUUGUGUCAUUUGCUAAAAUCUUCCCACAGCUGAAAUUGGGAAAAGGACAGAUUUUUAUUUGGUCAAGUAGUUUAAUCACCCCCCUCUAGACCUACUUUCGAUCCUACAAGUGGUAUGAGAGCUUUGGUCUCAUUAGCCUUGAUUUCCAUAGCUUUGGUGAUCAUAGCCUUGGCUUCACAACCUAGGAGAGUAUGGUUUCUAGCGAGGGAAAUUACCACCGUAGAGGUCCUUACUUUCAUGGUACAAAUUUUGCUAGUUCGAAACAUAAGAUGAAAAUGCAUAUCCUUGGUCAUAACCCCGCCGUUUAGGUUGUUGUUUGUAUUGGCUUUCAAGGUGAAUACUUUGAAGAUGGAAAAGAACAGACCGUGAAGCCACCACCGACGAAUUAAAGAUGUUGCAAUACAAUGCUCAAGCUUGCGAUAUUCUCUUCAAUGGAUUGUGCCCCGAAAAAUUCAACAAAAUCAGCCGCCUUGAGAAUGCAAAGGAAAUUUGGGAUAGUUUGGUUGAUAUGCACGAAGGUACUGAGUCCGUCAAGGAAUCCAAGUUGGAUGUGCUUCAAAUUCAACUUGACAAGUUCAAGAUGAAGGAUGGUGAAGGAGUCACUGAAAUGUACUCUACGCUUGCUCUCAUCACAAAUGAGAUUGUCAGCUUAGGAAGUGAAGAGAUGACCGAAAAAUUCAUCAUCAAUAAUAUCCUUAGAGACUUGGAUGGAAAAUAUGAUACCAUGUGCACUUUGAUCCAAAUGAUGCCCAAUUACAAAGAUCUCAAGCCUACAGAAGUCACUGGUAGAAAUGUUGCUCACGAAAUGUUACUCCAACAACUACUCCAAGAGAUGACCGACAAAUUCAUCAUCAAUAAUAUCCUUAGAGACUUGGAUGGAAAAUAUGAUACCAUGUGCACUUUGAUCCAAAUGAUGCCCAACAACUACUCCAAGAGAAGCUAUCACUUUGACUCCGACUAUACUCAAGAUGAAGGUGUUGUCGGUCUUACACUUGUGUCAUCCAACUACUAUGACAUAUUUGACUCACCAAAUGAAUUUUAAGAUGCUUCAUGGCUAAAGGCCCCACUUUUGUCAUCCAACUCCUACGACAUGCAUUGAAGUUUCUGGUCAAUACAGUACUAACAUGCAAUAAUAAACAUUUAUCAUGAACAAGGAAAUAUGAUAAUAACCAAUUUAUUAUUGCCUCUUGGGCAUAUUUACAACAGCGUCACUAUUUGAGAUGCCCUAAGCUCCCAAGUUUUGGAGCCUCCUUGUGUGUUAGGGACUAUGCAUGGGGGAGGCUACGGGCCCCACUUGUAAGGGUGUGUGUCUAUGAGCUAACCAGUUUUUUUGGUUUUGAGAAGGUAUUACCUGGUCUAUUGUUUUUCCUUUUUUGUCUUUCUCAUCUGUUUAAUUUGUUUUGUUUUUGUUUUUCCUACUCUUUUUUAUCGUUUCUUUUUAUUUAAUUUUAUUUUUUUGGAUUUUAAUUCAUGAAUAUUUAUUAAAAGCUUUGAACAUUAAAAAACGAUGAACUUUUCUAGAAUUCAUGAGUAUUUUUAAAAUUCAUGAACAUUUCAAAAUUGGUGAAUAUUUUUCAAAUUUGCGAACAAUGUUGGUAAUCCAUGAGUAUUUUUUUAACUCAUGAACAUUUUAAAAAAAUUAGUUUGUAAAAAUAUUAUAAUUCAUGAUGUUUGUACAAGAAUUUCUUUUGGUUUAAUGAACUUAUUCAAAAAAAAUAUGAUAACAUUUUUUCUGAGCUAGCAGUGGAGCGAGUGUAAAAUAAGCUAAGAGAGUGAGCAAAGCAGGGAGCCUAGAGAGCAAGAGCUUCAUGGAUAGACCCAUAUGAGCUUUAUAACAAAAAUUCCACAGUUUCAAUGUCGAAUAAGAGCUUCCAAGGGGCUCACACAACUGAUACCGACUCAUACCAAGCAUGAAAUGUGUAAGGACACCACAACCACACACUUGAAAACUUCACCCUUCUCUCAGAAUAAAUGUCGUCUCUUAAGCCAGCCCAACACAACACAAGCCCAAUACAACAGGCAAAUGAAAAAAACACCACAAAGACAUAAUUCAAAAGCAAGCCAACUUGUUGAAACUAAAAGAAAACAACUAACCACAAUAACCUGCUAGAGCAAAAAUAUUGAUCCCACGAGUGUAGAACAGAGCAGCAAAGCGCACAUUAGUCUCUAGUAAUAAGUGAUGUCCUACCCUUUUGAGAGAAAAUAAUCACAUCAUUUGCUGCCAUACUUUUGAUAUCAUUGAGUGAUUUCCUUACUGAGCCCUUCUUGCUAGAUUAUAAACUGGUCACACAUUUUAAGAUUCAACUCUACCAUCAGUUAGGCCAAUAAUAUAUGAGUUAUUAAUUCAUAAAACAUAUACCAUAGGAAUUAUCCAAUACAAAUUCAAUGACAUGAUAUUUGAGUCACAUAACCCAAGUUUUGGUAAACAAAAUGAAGUUACAUACUCAAGUCACUAAUUCCUACUGUAAACCCUCGGCCAUCUAUUGCAUCCAAAUAUGGAUCAUCUCAAGGAGUCAAAAGGGCGGGAUGGUCAUUUUAUAUUAAACCUUAAUUAUUAUGCAUAAAUUAAAAUGCCUUGUCCAUCCAUCCGUCUGCCCCCUAUAUUAAUGGCACACGAUUACCAAGGCAAGCUACUCCGGCGCCACCCAUUCCUCCCUCUGCCUCCCACCACUGUUAUAUAAAAUGCCACCCCAACCAUAGCCACAGUCAUCCACCUCUGAUCCCUUUCUCCUCUCUGCAGCACUCCAAACAUGGUUUCCUCGUGCUCCAAAGCUCUCUGGGAUGGGCUAGCGACGGACCAGAAGAAGGAGAUGUCCUCCAUUGCUGCUGGCUGGCUAGCCGGCAGGCAGCCAGAGGAAGACCAUGUCCCAAUGGAGGACACGGUCAGUGACGAACCGGCGCCACCCUCCUUGUAUGCGCCACCCUCGCUGGCGCAUUGCACCAUGACCAUCGUGUGGCUCAUGCCCAUUACAUGGACAUGAUGUGGGAGGAGCAAGAGGAGCAAUCCCGGGAGGCGCUGGCCGACGCCACCUACAACCACCAGCUCCUCCUAGAGCAGCUCACCGUCGGCAAGGUGAUUGUGGCGGUCGCGUACCUAGCGGAGCAGGCGGCGCUGCUCGAGUCCUACCGCUCCGCCCGCAAGAUCCUUCGCCCACUGGUGGUACCACCAUCAUUGGGUAGAACUGGAGGGCGCCUACAAGGAGUUCGAUGAGGCGGCGGACGAGGUGUGGGGCAAGAACGACGAUGAGGCGGAGGAUAUCACCGGCUCCGCUAAGGCCGUGUGUGACGCACGGAUAAUUAAGCUACAGUAAUCCUCAGCUAAUGAUACCACGUCACCACGAUUACUAUUACUAAUCCUCGCUUGAUCCAAAUCUUAGUUAAAACUCAAGUUCAAAACCGAGAUUAAGUCAAAAGUCAAAUUUUGUAACACAUGAAAACUAAAAUGUUCAAAGUGUGGCAAAUAAUCCCAGGAUAAUUGUCAUGUUGAAACAAUAUUUUAUAAUGUGUUUAAAUCCUUUGAAAUGAAUAAAACAGGGCUAGCUAUUUAAUUUAUAAAGCUAUAAAAAGGUAAAGGCGAAAGAGCAAAAAUGGGAGAGGCCCACUGUCCCCUGGGCUUUAGCCACCUGGGUGGCGCAACCCAGCAGGCCCAACUGGUCCAGCUCAUCUCCUCCAGUCGCCUCCCUCCUCUCUACCCGAGCCGCUACAGGGGCUCGUCCCCACCGGACCAGCCUCGCCUGCGCCGCCCCGAGGGGUUAUGGGCGACGCCUAAGGCUCCCCUCAUCUCGUCUCUCCCACUUGCCCCUCACCCUAGGCACUCUUGCUCCAUUCCGCCCCUGCCCCAAAUCCCCUUCUCCACCCUCGGUCGAACGCAGCCGUCGCCAUGGCCUCCCUCAUCCAUGCGACCACCGCGCUCCUCACGAGCUGGCUCCGUGUCCAGGGGAUCCCUCUACCUCGCCCACUUCGACUACGGGGAGAAGAACAAGCCGGGAUGCCCCUGCUACGCCGGAUCGAGGUCGUCUUCAUCACUACAAAAAAAGACACAUCCGUGACAUUUUGGGAUGAACGAAAAAAAAUUAUGUCAUACAUAUGACACUUCUAUGACGAUAAUUGUGACAAAACCCGGUAUCAUCAUAGAUAUGGUGGGCUCCUACUUCUAUGACAAAAAAUCAUGACAGAAAAUGGGCUUUUUGUCUUGGGCGGGCCGGAGACGCAGCUGCAUGACAUUCUUUGGGCCGUCCAUGACAGAAAAAACCAUGGUAGAAGCGAGGGGGAGGAAAAUUUCGGGGAGUUGCCAGUUACGGUGGGAGGUCGGGGCCGAGCGAUGCGCGUUUCUCUCGUACGUACGCGCGUGUGUGCGAGGCGUUGGCUCUAACUGAACCUGAGCGAGGCGUUGGGAUCUAACUGAACCCAACCGAUUGCACUGCAGGCUACGUGUUACUGAACCCGAGCGAUCGGUCAAUGGCUAUUAACUGAACCCGAUGGAGCGAUUCCUUCGCUACUGCUGUUAACAGAAGCCGAUCGAUUGGAUGAACAGUGAGCGUUGCAGGGGGGGUUGGAUGAACAGUGAGCGGUGGUGUUGCCUCUGGAUGAACAGGACCCCAUGGUGUGGAGGGUUGGAUGAAUAGUAGAUGGUGGAGGGGUGGCCGUGGAGGGGUGGUGGAACAGGACCCCGUGGUGUGGAGGGCUGGAUGAACAGUAGAUGGUGGAGGGGUGCCCGUGGAGGGGUGGUUGAAUAGUAGCCGGUGGAGUAGCGCGCGGUGGAGGCUGGAUGAACAGGAGCCCGUGGAGGCUGGAGGAGGUCAACGGUAGCCCAUGGAGGCUGGAGGAGGUCGACGGUGGAGAUGAACAAUAUCUCGUGGAGUCCCGUUUUGCGGUACGCCACACCCCUCCCGAUGAACAGGACCCCCGUUUCAACCGUAGCACUCCAACACAAGUCUGUUUCGUCCGUUUUGCGGUACACCACACCCCUCCCGAUCAACAGGACCCCCGUUUCGACCGUAGGAGGUCCGUUUCAUCCGUUUUACGGUAUGCCACACCCCUCCCGAUCAACAUGACCCCCGUUUCGACCGUAGGAGGUCCGUUUCCUCCGUUUUGCGGUACGCCAGACCCCUCCCGAUGAACAGGAUCCCGUUUCGAAUGUGGCCGGUCUAACACAAGGUCGUUUCCUCCGUUGUGCGGUACGCCAGGCCUCGUUUCCAUCGCCUGUUCCGUCCAAGCCCUCCCGAUGAACACGACCACGCAUUCUGUUCCGACCCAGCCGGUUGGCUCCCACGCGUUCCGUUGCCUCCCGAUGAACACGACGCAUUUCGUUGCCUCCUCAUGAACACGACGACGAUGUUGUUUCUCCGUUCCGACCCAGCCAUGUACGUAUGCGCGAGUAGGCGUUCGAGACCCUGCCCGUAUGUACGUACGUGGCCGUAUUUUCUUUUUUGCACCCUCGUCGUUGUACGUACGUGUACAUGCUACGUGCACGCCUCUACUACGACACGUGCGCGCCUCUAAAUCUAUGACACGUGCACGCCUCUACAUCGACCAGUAUGUACGUACACGUUCGCGACCAGAAUGACAACGCUACGUAUGCUUCGACCAGGUGGGUCCUGACUGUCAGGCACUUCCUUGCAUGCGAAGAUGUAGCUGGUGGGUCCCAGCAGUCAGGGGGGCGAAUCGUUUUUUUUAACGCACUUCCUUGCGUGCGAAGAUGUAAUUGGUGGGUCCCAGCAGACUGGGGGAAACGUUUUUUCGCUAAAUACGGUGGCCCGUCCGGUGGGUCCCUGCUGUCAGGUGGAGGAAUAAUUAUUUUGCACGUAAUAAGGAGGCACUUCCUUGCUGCGGUCGUGGACCCAGCUGUCAACCUCUCCACGUACAGUCCACGUCUGAUGGAAGCCAUUCCUUCACCACAUUGACCACGCCGCGCCGAGAGCACCAGGGCGGUGGACGACAGCGAGGCCUAGGAAGGGGACGACGCGGACCGAGGAAGACGCGGCAGUGGAUGCCCACGCAUAGAGGAGUACAAGGGUUCACUGGUUCGCUGCGGUGUGAGGCUGCCGUCGCCGCAGAAUAACAGGGGGUGUGGGUGAGUAGAGGGAUGGCCUGGCCAGCGGUGGGAGUAGUAGGGGGCAGUGAGGCCUCCGCCGCAUCGCAGCCGGCCACAAGAGGCUGGAGCACGAGGCACGAACGACGCUGGUUUGGGCAGCUGAUGCAAGAAGACCAGAGGUUGAAGAAGCACUAAGGCCAUUGGAUGGACAUCGUACGGUCACUGGAGCUAGAAUCAUGCAUAUUGACUAAGUUGACAAAGCCCUCUGUCCCUGUCAACUUAGUAGGCCCACAAGUCAGCCUGCCACUAUACUGGGUCCCAGCUAACAGGGGGAGUAUUCAUUUUUUUGUGCGUAAUAAGGAGGCACUUCCUUGCGUGAGAAGAUAUAGCUGGUGGGUCCGACCUGUCAGCGGCGGUAACGUUUUUUCGUGAAAUACUGAGGCCCUUUCGGUGGGUCCCUGAUGUCAAGUGGACGAAUCAUUAUUUUGCGCGUAAUAAGGAGGCAUUUCCUUGUGUGCGGCCGUGGACCCAGCUGUUGGCAUCUCCACGUACAGUCCACUUCAGAUGCAUGUCGGUCGUUGACCACGUUGACCAGGCCGCACCGAGAGCACCAGGGCGGUGAACGAUGGCGAUGCCUAGGAAGGGAACAACAUGUAGGCAGGGAAGACUCAGCAGUUCUUUCCCACGCGGAGGGGAGUACGACUGAAUGAGGGUUUACUGGUUUGUCUGUCGUCGCCGGAGAAUAACAGCAGGUGUGGGUGAGUACAGGGUUGGCUAGGCUAGUGAUGGGAGUACGGUGGGGCAGUGAGGCCUAUGCGGCAGCAAAGCUGGCCGCGGGGAGGAGGGAGCAGGCAGUCCCGCCGGCGCUUGUUUGAGCGGCUGGAGCAGGAAGAGCAGUGAUUGAAGAAGCACAAGGGCCGUUGGAUGGCCAUCCAACAGUCACUGCUUGUGUGUCAACCUUUUUUUUAGGAAAGCCUCAAAUCUGUGGAAAACAGCAUACAACCCAUCUGCCAUUAUUUCUAAUAAUUUACAGCCCAUUUGCUAAUUCUUAAGGUUUUUCUGGAGCCCAUAUUCUUUUUGUUAGCAUUACAGCCCAUAUUGUAGCCACGGUUAAAAAAUUAUACGAAAUUUUGCAUAUUUCGGUGCGGUCCGAACUGUUUUUAAACCCGAAAUUUCGACUCACAUUCAAACUGAUUUUAAAACUAAAUGUAUAUCAAUAUAAAAUCCAACAAAUUCUCCAUGCAUAAAAUUAAUGUAAUUUAAAAUCUCGAAAUGAAAAAAAAAGAUAUUUGAAACUAAUUGCCGCUUUGAUGUGUUUUAAAAAUUUACAGCCCAUUUCUCAUUACUGAUGGGCCAUUUUCUCGGCCAGCCGAAUGAAAGCUCUCCUCGUCUUGAAAGAUUUGCAGCCCAACAGGCCUGACAAAGCGACUUAGUUGGCAAAUCACAAAAAAACUGGGCUGUUGCCGUGGACCCAGCUGUCAGCCUCUCCACGUACAGUACUCUUCCGAUGGAAGUUGUUCCUUGACCACGUUGACCACGCCACGCGGAGAGCACCACGACGGUGGACGACAGCGAGGCCUAGGAAGAGGACAACACGGAGCCGGGGAAGACGCGACAGUGGAAGCCUGCGCGGAGAGGAGUACGAGGGUUCACUUGUUCGGCUGCGGUGUGAGGCUGCCGUCGCCGCAGGGCUUGGCCAGCGGUGGGAAUAGUAGGGGGCGGUGAUUCCUCCGCGACAGCACAGCCGGCCACGGGAGGCAGGAGCAUGAGGCACGACCACCGCUAGUUUGGGCGGCUGGAGCAAGAAGACCAGAGGUUGAAGAAGCACCAUGGCCGUUGGAUGGACAUCAUACAGUCACUGGAGCUAGAAUCGUUCAUAUUGACUAAUUUAACAAAGCCCUUCAUCCCCGUCAACUUAGUAGGCCCACAAGUCAGCCUCCCACCAAGGUGGUUCCCAGCUAGCAGGGGGAGUAUUCAUUUUUUUGUGCAUAAUAAAGAGGCACUUCCGGUGGGUCCGAGCUGACAGCGGGGGAGGGGGGGACAUUUUUUUUGCAAAAUACGGUGGCCCGUCAGGUGGGUCCCAGCAGUCAGGGGGCAAAUGUUUUUUUUCCGCAAAAUACGGUGGCCCAUCUAGUGGGUCCCCGCUAUCAGUUGGAGGAAUCAUUAUUUUCCGCAUAAUAAGGAGGCACUUAGUUGUUGUGGAUGUGGACCCAGCUGAGACUCUCCACAUACAGUAUACUUCCGAUGGAAGUCGUUCCUUGAUCAUGUUGACCUCGCUGCGUUCCGUUGCAUGCAUGCGUUGAUGGGCGUGGUGCGUCCCCACUGUCAGCCUCUCACGUACAGUCAUCUUCCGAUGACUCUCGGUUGUUGACCACAUUGACCACACCGUGCCGAGCGCACCCAGACUGGAACGACCCAGAGAUGGGGAAGACGGGGCAGUGGAGUCGCAGAUGGAGAGGAGUGGGAAACUUCACUGGUUCGGGUGCGCGGCAGCACAGCCGCGGUGCCGCCCACAGGAGACAGGAGCAAGAAUAGAGGUUGAAGAAGGGGCACGGCUGUUGGAUUAACAUCCAAUGGUCCAGCUGCUAGAAUCAUUUGUUGAUUAAGUUGACAAAGCCAUGCGUACACGUCCGCUUAGCAAGCCCACAAGUCAGUCACCAAAUCUGACGGGUCCCAGCUGUCAACGGGAUGAAUAAAUUUUUUCGCAAAACAAGGAGGCACUUCCUUCCGUGCGAAGAUACAGCCGGUGGGUCCCAGCUGUCAGGUGGAGGAAACAUUUUUUUAGCUUAAUAAGGAGGAACUUUCCUUGCAUGCGACCAUGGACCUCGUGGGUCCCAGCCGUCAGGCUCUCCACGUACAGUCCUCUUCCGAUGACUCUCGUUUGUUGACCACGCCGCACCGAACACAGCGAGGCGGUGGACGACGGCGAGGCCCCAGACGAGAACGACUCGGAGAUGGGAAAACGCGGCAGUGGAGUCGCAGAUUGAGAGGAGGAGAAGGGUUAUAACUGGUUCUGUUGCAAUUCAUAUCAAACUCAGGUUCACAGGACACGUUCAUAUUCAUAGCCAACAUUCACUAUCAACAACUCAAAAGAUUCAUAUAUACACAAGCUCAGCAUAUCUAUGCAUCCAAAUGAUUGAUAGAUCACACGACAAUAUUCAUACAUAAUUCACAAAAAGAUUUAGAUAUACACAUGUUCAGUAUGUUUAUGCAUCCAAAUGAUUGAGAUCACAGCCAAUAUGAUCCAUGGACGAACUUUAAUUACCUAGGGUACAGACUGGUAAAUGGUGUUCAAUCAGAGGUACUUCUUGCUAAAAUUAGUUCUUGUACGAGUAAACUUUCGAGUACAUAAGAGGCAUCAUAGACAAUCUGAACUUUGCUUGUAGGUUUAUCCUCAAAUAGUGGCCUCGUGCCGAUGGAGGUUUGAGCAACUUAGCACUACUUUCAUCCAACUAGUUUACUGGCUCAUCUUGGUCCUGUAUCUCGCCAAAUUCUACAUUGCAGACGAGAAAGGAGGCGGUUGAAAAAAUGAACCACCCAAAUUUUUUGUGCAGUUCAACUAAAAUGGAGCAUCCUUGGCAUGCAGACUGAUUAAGUCCCAGAUGAAUAUACGCAUCAACCAACUUGUCUGGAAUCUUUAGACUCCAUGCCAUAUAGUUCGCUACCAUAUGUGCCGAUAACCAAAAGGCACAAGUUAGGACCAAAGACUGGACUGCGUUUUUCUGGGCUAUGCACCAAACACUAUUUUUGGCAUUCACUCUCCUAAUACUUGGAGUUUGACAAUUGGUUGACGCCGGUUGAUACUCGAAUGAAUAUAGGCACUUCUUGUCAACAUCGAUGCUUGUUUGAGUGAAUUUUGGAGUACAUAGCAGCAGCAUAAAUACCUGUCCAUCCGAUCAUUUUGCGCAGUUCAACUGAAAUCACCCGAUGUAAUGAUUUGCCUGCGAGUUCAGGCUCCAAAUUACUCCUUUAUGAAAUCGGCAAAUAGUAGCACAAUACCAAAUUACCAAUACAUAUGACAGGCACAAUAAUCAGGAUAAAGACCAGUACCAACCUAUGUGAGGUAGCAUAUCAAUUACUAUUUCCUUUGACUGGAAGCCGAGAUAAGCCAAGCGACUGACAGCAAAGGAAGAAAGCAAGCGGAGAUUAGUGACUGACAGGAAAGGACGGAAGCUGUCGAGGCAAUGAAGCACCCAAAGUUUUUGUGCAGUUCCACCAAAAUCGAGCAUCCCUGUUGGCACAUAUAUUGACAGAGUGAGAUUACUGUAAUAGUGGGACUAGUUGAUGAAAUAUACACUAACAAAUAGAAGCACCCUCAUUAUCUUAAUGGGUAAAGUUAGCAACACAGUAGUCUUGCUUAAAGAGAGGUAUUAGUUUAUUUAAUCAGUGCCAAUUAGCUCAACUCAACACUCAAAGCAUUGCCAUUUAUCAUAGGUCGCAAAACUUAAAAGUGCAAAGAUAAAGGAGUUUCUCAUGACAGUAGCACGAUACAAAUAGAGAUGACAACAAACUAAUAUGGAUGAAGGCCUUAGGCCCAUACGUACCUGAGAAAAAAAAGCUUAUUCAUGUAGUCCCAUAAGAGAUGAUAAAGCACACACUGGAAUCACACAAUAGUAUAUAUUUUUGUGCACUUCAAUUGUAUGGUUGAAAUCGCUCUUGUUUACCAGUGCUGAGAUUAUAUCGAAAGAUUAUCAAGAACUUCCAGCAGAGUUAAAGCACUGGCUGGGAUACAGUUCAUUGUAUUGUCUUGUGUAGUUCCACUAAAAUGUAUGAUUGGCACAACAUGAUCCCUGUUUACACAAGUAGGAACAAGGUGAAACCUUCAUUAGCUUAGUGAGAAAGGAUAGGAAGACAUUAGCAUAUUACUCAAAUAGUAGCAUCAAAUUCAUGAUGGACAAUACGCAAAACAUUGCCUCAUUGAACCAAUGGCAAUAAAUUGACAUGCAAAAGAAUAGCACUAUUAUGUCAUGAAACUAAUAAUAUUCCCUCCCUGCUCCACCACAUGAUUCACCUCCAUAGAAAAACAUUCACACGUACAUGAUUCAGCAUAGGGUCCUACUAAAGAUUUGUUUAACUCCAACAGGAAAAUUAGGCAGUAAUAAAUUAGUGGUAAUUAAGUGCUCCUAAUUAAUUAAGUGAGACAGCAGAAGUGGAAGGGCUCCCUGGAGGAUCGUCUCACAUGUAAGGUAGUCAUUGCCGGAGCCCUUGAAUAGCCUCGACUGAGGCAUCUGGCUUCAGCAAGAUCGCCUUGGCACUGUUUAUUCUUCUUCUUCCUCUUCAUGCUCUGUUUCUCUUUCUCCUCACCAGUUGGUGAAACCAAGUACAUGAUUGGCCUUCUAAUUUCAGAAUUGGUUUUGUCAGUGAGGGAGUACAAGUGUACUAGUAAAAAACAACAUUAUUUUCUCAUGGCAGUCAGAAAAUAGAGAUGAACACAUGCAUUAAAUAUCAUUCUUACCUAAAGGAAGGUUAUGGCGCCAAUAUGGAUGAUGAGGAUUGGAACAUAGAUCUCCCUUUGUGCAGUUCCAUCAAAAUGAACCAACUGUUCCAUCUGACAUUCCAGUUAAACAACACAAAAGUCACUUCUUUUAAGAAGAGUUUUGUGCAGUGCACCAAAAGGUCACAACAGCAACCAGGUGAAUUGGAUAUCCCUGUUUGCACAAAAAGGCACAGAGGAAACAGUCAGAGUCUCAAACAAUUACAGGCAAAAACAUUUGGCUAAACUUGUCAGAGUCUCAAACAAUUACAGGCAAAAACAGUGGCAUGGCUUCAUUUUUACCAGGGACAUUAUAUUAAGAACAGCUAAGGCUGCAUUCGGUUCACAGGUUUGGUGCGGGAUUUUCGUAGGAAUACAAUUCCUACCGUAUUCUUUCCCUUCCAACCGUUCGGAACACGGGAAAGGUGAAUAGUGUUUCAUAGGAAAGCUGGUCUGGUAGUAGUGAUUCCAUCGGAUUAGAAACAUCCACGCGCUGCUCAUUGGCCCUGUUUGAAUACUCUAACAUAGUUAGAGUUAGAGUUAUUUUCUAACCCACUCUAACCCAAAUAAGCACCUCUCCAUCGUAAUAGUUGGGUUAGCUGGAACUAACCCACUCUAACCCUCCCUGUUUGGAUACUUUUGGGUUAUUUAAGCCCCCAACUAACCCAAACUAGCUCUAACCCCAUGAUCCAAACAGGGCCAUUGUUUGGGCGGAAGUCCGAGGCACGCGCUCACUGCCAUGCGUUAGAUAGGUUGUUGUGCUGUGUUUGCCGGAAUAAAAAAUCAACCUAUGUGUGGUACGUGAGGUGAGGACAAGAGUAGUCACUAUGCAGCUGAAUAAACAAAUAGCAUCUCAUACUGCCAAGCAUGCUACUCUAAAAAACAAAUCUGUACAUUUCGUAGUCCAUCCAAACACAUUCUCUUGAGAGUUUCCUCCGGUUCGCUGUUCCAUAGUUUUAUACCUACAUUCCUUUCCUAUACCUCUAUUUUCAUCAAGACCUAUGUUUUCUGCCCCUUUAUUCCGACCGGAGCCUAAAUAUUUGGUAUAAGGGCAUGGGACAGUGGGUGCACCAGCAGUACAGCACCAUGUACGUAAACAGGGGCAUAAAUUGGUGAUUCAUAGUUUGUUGCCCCGAGAAACAAACAUCCAAGAAACAUAUCUGGGUUGGUCCCAUUUUUUUUCACUCUAGCCACCUACUCCUAUGUGCGGAUAGCAAAUCUAGUCCUGGUCAUACCACUGUGUACAGUGUUACCCCUAUAUUUCCCUUUUCAACCAAGAGACCGGUUGGAUGACCAGUCUGUACUACUUUCAUCCCCUUUCCUUCCUGUUUGUACCAAGUCAGAUGUACAUACUAAAUUACCCCACCCCCAUUUUAUUUCAACGACAAGUAUUUUUGGACGGAGGGAGUACAAGAUUCGACUCCAUGAAGUAGCUUUACCUCUAACAAUAGAAGAAGAAAAAUAGGUGACGUUGGACCAUCCGAUCAAGUGGGGCUGAGAGGUAGAAAAUGAUGCACAUGCAGUGACGUAGCGAGCUGGGGAAGUAGAGCUAAGGCGGUUUCGAACGAAGAUAUACCUAAGGGUCGUCGGGAUGUGGAUAGGUGGGCGGUGGGAGGCCGGAUCCGCCCACAGGCAACGACGAAGGGAUCGGAGGACCUUCAACGCCAGCGCUCGGCCAGAGCUAACGGUGCGGCCGGUAGUGGGUCUCCUCCCUCGCUGUCGACGAUGGCCUAAACGCUGCCCCUCCUCCCCUUCACCGGCGGAGGGGGAUACGUCCAGAUCUGUAACCAGCGGCGAGGAUAGAAAGCCAGUGUUUUUUGAAGGGAGAAAGACAGGGUUACUACCCCUAUCUUGUUUAGAUCUGGAGAGGAUGAGAGUGUGUUAAUAGAGCAGCCCUAGCAAGCAAGCGCGAAGGCUCCGGCCUAUAUAUAAGUAGUGGGGUAGUUUUCCUUUUUCACUCCAUCAAAACAAUCGUUUAAAAUUGUGUACUACUACAUGCCAGGUCGCGGUUUUUUUUAGUUGUUGAUUGUUUUUUGAGAUAGCUACCCGCUUGUUCCAAGUGGUGUUACGGUGUGCCAGGUCACACUUUGUAUCGUUCAAGUAUGGUAGUACUACAAGUCCCUCCAUUAAAUGAACAACCACCCCCUCGUAAAAAUUGUGAACAAGCCCACGGCUAAAAUUAGUGGAAAUGUGGGUUGCCCCAACAUGCAUUAUUAUUGAUAUUUUCUACUCCCUCCGUUCCUAAAUAUAAGUGUUUUUUAUUAGCCACACCUAAGACAAGAAUUUUUUUUAUUAGCAGUGAACCCCACAUGUCAUAGACACAAAAAUUGUGGCAAGAUUCCCUUAGGCAAGAUAAAGUGUGUCUAACAAUUUGAGCAACUCAGGUUAGGCAAGUGUGGCAAGUGUGGAAAAAAUAAUGUGGCAACAUAAGACAAACAUAGUCACAAUCCAAACAGCCCCGUGAUUUUUUAUGACAUGCAUGAAAAUUUGGUUAGUUAAAUUUAUAGUCAAAAUUUGGCAAGGUGCAUCAAAUCAACACAUGCAAGUAUCAAAAGGAAAGUCACGGCAUGCAUGCAUUCAUUGUACUCCCUCCGUUUCCAAAUAUAAGUCUUUUUAGAGAUUGCAACAAGUGACUACUCCCUCAGUUCCUAAAUGUAAGUCUUUUUAGGGAUUCCACUACAAACUACAUAUGGAUGUAUAUAGACAUAUUUUAGAGUGUAGAUUCACUCAUUUUGUUUCGUAUGUAGUUCAUAGUGACAUCUCUAAAAAGACUUAUAUUUUGGAAUGGAGGGAGUACAUACGAAGCAGAAUAUGUCUACUCCUACAUACGAAGUAGCCCAUUUCAAAUGUGUAAAAAGACUUUUAUCGAAUGCAGUGCUUUGAUGUGUCGCAUCAACUCGUACAAGCCCGAGAAAUUUGAUUACUACAACGCCCUCUCCCUCGCGGACUGAGCUCCGGUGCCUUCACUGCACCAGCCUUUGGCUGCAUGACAGGUGGGCCCACCUGUCAUGGACGCAAAGGUAGGAGCAGUAAGUAGAAGCUUUCACUACGCGCUAUCCCUCCCGCAUGAGGUGGACGGACAUGCAACAGUGGAUUUGAUACUGUAGAAGUAGGAGUAACAUCAUUGUUCGUCUUCUCGAAGAGGCAAAGAGCCAAGUGCAAACCGAACGUGGCAGUUGCGAACGCUCGCAUGGUGCGGUUCCUUGGAAUACUAGCCAGGCUCUUGCAUGAGACAAAAUUGCUAUUGUUUAACAAUUAAACUCCAUUAUCCAUUGGUUGACACUCAUUCUGCAUAGGUCCUAGGGUCACCAAUGUUUAUUUGUUAAUUAAUAGCAUUCCAUGCAAUGAACUAGCCAUUGCAAGUCAUUAAAAGCAUGCACACCUCUCAUCUCUUAUUGGUUGAUACGUAUGUCAAUAAACAAGAAACAAGGUAGAAGUUAAUGCACCGCACCUAAGUGUUUUGGGACUAUUUGGUUUUCGUAAGAUGACUUACACACCUAGACGGAGAGAGUAGUAUAGACCUGUAAAACGGAAAGGAGUAUUUGCCUUUCUAGAGAUUUCAACAAGUGACUAGACUUCGGCUCAAAAAAACAAGUGACUAGACUACACCGUGUGCAGUACCCCCUCCCUUCCGGUUUAUAGGGCUCAAAUCUCAAAUCUCAUGAACCAAGGCAUUUAGCAAUUGGAGGAAUGUAUCUCGUAUUUUACAAAACUACCCUAAUUAAACUCAUGCAUUAAUUACGUAGUUCUCUCGUUUUCCUCUCCGCCUUGGUUGCGGUGCACAAUAUUGAGAGAGUGCUUGGAUACGUUUUAGUCUCAUGACUAAAAGUAGUGGGACUAAAAUUUGUUAGCCUCAUCCAUGCUUGGAUCCAAAUAGUAAAGAGACUAAAAUCAAGUUAAUGACAUUUCAAAGCAUCCGGGCCCGCGUGCCAUCCACCAAAUCACAGCGAGGUGCUACAGUCGAGACUCACCUGUCACCCCGGUGUAGCCGUCAUGACCCAUCAUAUCACAAAACCCACACCUUUACAAGCAGUGGUAAGGUGGCCUCGAAGUUGGACUGGACGAAGCAACCAUCAUUUCAUUGGAACGCUCAUUCAAGCCCUUUCUUCCCUUUCUUGAACAAAACCUCACUCUAGGCUACUCACUUCUGCCAUUUUUCUUCUCUACCGAUGAAGGAAAGGUGGGCGAAUCAGUUAUGCUGCUAUAUUUUCAUUCCAAUAAUCUUCUUUUUGCGAAGCACCGACCGAUUCUCACAUCCUAUUCUUUUCCCGUUUUCAUUGUGAUUGUGGUUUCCUUUCGAUUGCUUUUUGUUUGUCAGUUCAUUGAUGGAUCCUGGAGCACUAGGCAAAGAGUUGUCGGCGGACAACCCACUAGAGACAGCAAUCUCCGGGAAGCGAGCACCGAUCAACGAGUUGACCAUGUUGGCAGGCCAACCCAUGGAGACGAAGAACUCCAAGAAACAAGCACUGGACAAAGAGUUGAGGAUGUUGGCGGACGAACUCCUCAAAGAAAGUUGGAAGAACAGCAAGGACCAGACCAUGCCUACCCCAGGAGCUCUGAUUGCCACCUAUGUGAGGCUCAAGACCGAGUUUGAGGAGAUAGUCGCUGUUGAGAAGCAGUAUUCCCCUGGCAAGGUGAUAGUCCCCAUCGAGGACGAGGAGAUGGCCCCCGGAGGGAUGAGAUCCCCCGGUGAGCUGCACAAGGUAAAAAAUAAUGGCUUAUUACCAUAGUUGUGGUUUUUGAUUAUUUGCAAUGUGCUUGAUUUUUGAUUAUUUGCAAUGUGCUUGCUAAUAUGUUAGUGUUGUGCAGGUGCCGGUGGUUGUCCUUGAUGAUUCCGAUGUCGUGGCCCGUCCUGUUGGCAUCACCCCGGAGAUCGAUUCCGAUGUUGCUGUCCAUCCUGUGGACAUCGCCCCAGAGAUCGAUUCCGAUGUCGCGGUCAGUCCUGUGGACAUCGCCCCAGAAAUCGAUUCCCAUGCCGCUGUCCGUGCUGUGGUCAUUGCCCGAGAGAUCGAUGACAAGAAAUAGUUGGUCGUGCUAAUCCUUCAGGGUAGUUUGCAUUGCCCUGUGUUUAAUUACUAGAACGAUGUGUGUUAUCAAACCAUCUUAGGGUUUUGCGCUGUCUUGUGUGGGCGGAUCUUGCUACUUUUGUUUGAUAGUGAAUCAUGUGAUGAAUCAUGCGAACCCUCUCCGAGUUAUGGAAACAGAUGUAUCCUCACCAGCUUUUUAUGUAAUAUAUGGCAUGCUUAGAUGUAAGUUUGAACUGUUUAUCAUAUCAGCAGGGCUUGUUUGAUGAUUCUUGGUGUUAGUAGGCUAGCUACUGUGCGAGCUAUAGUACUUGCAAAACACUCAUCAAAGAGAAACAUUGGGGCUGAUGAGCUCGUGGUACGCUUAUACUUAUCCCUCGUCGAUCGACCAAUAGCCCUAGCUCCUAAAAUUGUAGGCUUAGCGAUCGAUCAGACAAUAGUCGACAUACAUUCAGGCCUCAUUUGGUUCAUAGGGUAGGAAAAUCGUAGCAAAAGUAUAGAGAACGUGCAACACAAAAUCAUAGCAGUGCAGAGACAUACUCCCUCCAUUCCAAAAUAGAUGACCUAGGCGGGCUAGUUUGGCCUAGUGGGUUUCAGUGAUACGGCGUGGUACAGUGCCGUCUAGUCUUCGCGUGUGGUAGCAGUAUUGCGGGUACAGUAAGUUUUCUUGAAGAAGCGGAAUUCAACGAAGUCAUGAUGGUUCCUCCGUCCGAGCAACUUAUGGUGGGAAACGUUGGGCCUGCUAUACGACUGGGGUAGGCCAGGAUAAUUUUGUGCAUGCAGGUGGACCAGGAUGGUCGACGUCCCACAUGUCAGCGAAUGAAAGUAUUCUUUUCGAUAUAGAGGACGAGCAACGAGUAUUCAUUGUUUAUUUUUGAUGAAAGCUAUUAUCUGUUGGGGAACGUAAGAGAAAUUCAAAAUUUUCCUAUGAGUCACCAAGAUCUAUCUAUGGAGAAACCAGCAACGAGGGGAAGGAGAGUGCAUCUACAUACCCUUGUAGAUUGCUAAGCGGAAGCGUUCAAGUGAACAGGGUUGAAGGAGUCGUACUCGUCGUGAUCCAAAUCACCGGAGAUCCUAGUGCCGAACCGACGGCACCUCCACGUUCAACACCCAUGCAGCCCGGUGACGUCUCCCAUGCCUUGAUCCAGCAAGGAGAGAGGGAGAGGUUGGGGAAGACUCCGUCCAGCAGCAGCACGAUGGCGUGGUGGUGGUGGAGGAGCGUGGCAAUCCUGCAGGGCUUCGCCAAGCACCGCGGGAGAGGAGGAGGACUUGGGAGAGGGGGAGGGCUGCGCCAGAACUUUGGUAAAGCUCCCAUGUGCCUCCCCACUAUAUAUAGGGGUGGAGGGGGCUGGUUACUUGCCCUCCAAGUCCAUUGGGGCGUUGGCAAAGGUGGGAGGAAAGAAAUCCCAUCAUUUCCUUCCCCACCGAUUGUUAUCCCCCUUUUUAGGGAUCUUGAUCUUAUCCCUUCGGUAUAUGAUCUUAUUCCUUCUAAGGGGGGAUCUUGGUGCGCCUUGACCAGGGGUGUGGGGCCUUGCCCCCACUACCCACGUUCAUGUGGUUCCCCCAUGCAGGUGGGCCCCACUCCAGAACCUUCUAGAACCUUCCCGGUACAAUACCGAAAAACCCCGAAUAUUUUCCGGUGGCCAAAAUAGGACUUCCCAUAUAUAAAUCUUUACCUCCGGACCAUUUCGGAACUCCUCGUGACGUCCGGGAUCUCAUCCGGGAAUCCGAACAACAUUCGGUAACCACACACAAACUUCCUUUACAACCCUAGCGUCAUCGAACCUUAAGUGUGUAGACCCUACGGGUUCGGGAACCAUGCAGACAUGACCUAGACGUUCUCCGGGCAAUAACCAACAGCGGGAUCUAGAUACCCAUGUUGGCUCCCACAUGUUCCACGAUGAUCUCAUCGGAUGAACCACGAUGUCAAGGACUCAAUCAAUCCCGUAUACAAUUCCCUUUGUCUAGCGGUAUUGUACUUCCCCGAGAUUCGAUCGUCGGUAUGCCGAUACCUUGUUCAAUCUCGUUACCGGCAAGUCUCUUUACUCGUUCCGUAACACAUCAUCCCGUGAUCAACCCCUUGGUCACAUUGUGCACAUUAUGAUGAUGUCCUACCGAGUGGGCCCAGAGAUACCUCUCCGUUACACGGAGUGACAAAUCCCAGUCUCGAUUUGUGCCAACCCAACAGACACUUUCGGAGAUACCCGUAGUGUAACUUUAUAGCCACCCAGUUACGUUGUGACGUUUGGUACACCCAAAGCAUUCCUACGGUAUCCGGGAGUUGCACAAUCUCAUGGUCUAAGGAAAAGAUACUUGACAUUAUAAAAGCUUUAGCAUACGAACUACACGAUCUUUGUGCUCGGCUUAGGAUUGGGUCUUGUCCAUCACAUCAUUCUCCUAAUGAUUUGAUCCCGUUAUCAACGACAUCCAAUGUCCAUGGUCAGGAAACCGUAACCAUCUAUUGAUCAACGAGCUAGUCAACUAGAGGCUCACUAGGGACAUGGUGUUGUCUACGUACCCACACAUGUAUCUGAGUUUCCUAUCGAUACAAUUAUAGCAUGGAUAAUAAACGAUUAUCAUGAAGAAGGAAAUAUAAUAAUAACUAAUUUAUUAUUGCCUCUAGGGCAUAUUUCCAACAGUCUCCCACUUGCACUAGAGUCAAUAAUCUAGUUCACAUCGCCAUGUGAUUAACACUGACAGGUCACACCGCCAUGUGACCAACAUCCAAAGAGUUUACUAGUGUCACUAAACUAGUUCACAUCAUCAUGUGAUUAAGACUCAAUGAGUUCUGGGGUUUGAUCAUGUUUUGCUUGUGGGAGAGGUUUUAGUCAACGGGUCUGCAACAUUCAGAUCCGUAUGUACUUCACAAAUCUCUAGGUCAUAUUGUAAAUGCUGCUUCCACGCUCCACUUGGAGCUCUUCCAGAUGGUUGCUCCACUAUACGUAUCCGGUUUGCUACUCAGAGUCAUUCGGAUAGGUGUUAAGUCUUGCAUCGACGUAACCCUUUACGCCGAACUCUUUAUCACCUCAAUAAUCGAGAAACAUGUCCUUAUUACUCCAAGGACAAUUUUUGACCGCUGUCUAGUGAUCCACUCCUUGAUCACCUUUGUACCCUCUUGCCAGACAUGUGGCAAGGCACACAUCAGGUGCGGUACUUAGCAUAGCAUACUGUAGAGCCUACGUCUAAAGCAUAGGGGACGACCUUCGUCCUUUCUCUCUUUUCUGCCGUGGUCGAGCUUUAAGUAUUAACUUCGUACCUUACAACUCAGUCAAGAACUCCUUCUUUGACUGAUCCAUCUUGAACACCUUCAAGAUCAUGUCAAGGUAUGUGCUCAUUUGAAAGUACCAUUAAGCGUUUUGAUCUAUCCUUAUAGAUAUUGAUGCUCAAUGUUCAAGCAGCUUAAUCCAGGUUUUCUAUUGAAAAACACAUUUCAAAUAACCCUAUAUGCUUUCCAGAAAUUCUACAUCAUUUCUGAUCAACAAUAUGUCAACAACAUAUACUCAUCAGAAAUUCUAUAGUGCUCCCACUCACUUCUUUGGAAAUACAAAUUUCUCAUAAACUUUGUAUAAAGCCAAAAUCUUUGAUCAUCUUAUCAAAGUGCACAUUCUAACUCCGAGAUGCCUACUCUAGUCCAUGGAAGGAUCGCUGGAGCUAGUAUACCUUUUAGCAUCCUUAGGAUCGACAAAACCUUUCUGAUUGUAUCACAUACAACCUUUCCUUACGAAAACUGGUAAGGAAACUUGUUUUGACAUCCAUCUGCCAGAUUUCAUAAAUGUAACUAAUGCUAACAUGAUUCCGAUGGACUUAAGCAUCGCUACGGAUGAGAAAAUGUCAUCGUAGUCAACUCCUUGAACUUGUGAAAAACUCUUCGCCACAAGUCGAGCUUCAUAGACGGUGACAUUACCGUCCACGUCCGUCUUCUACUUAAAGAUCCAUUUAUCUCAAUGGCUUGCCGAUCAUUGGGCAAGUACACCAAACUCCAUGCUUUGUUCUGAUACAUGGAUCCUAUCUCGGAUUUCAUGGCUUCUAACCAUUUGUCGGAAUUUGGGCUCACCAUCGCUUCUCCAUAGCUCGUAGGUUCAUUGUUGUCUAGCAACAUGACCUUCAAGACAGGAUCACCGUACCACUCCGAAGCAGUACGCGUCCUUGUCGUCCUACGAGGUUCGGUAGUGACUUGAUCCGAAGCUUCAUGAUCACUAUCAUAAGCUUCCACUUCAAUUGGUGUGGGUGCCAAAGGAACAACUUCCUGUGCCCUGCUACACACUGGUUGAAGUGAUGGUUCAAUAACCUCAUCAAGUCUCCACCAUCCUCCCACUCAAUUCUUUCGAGAGAAACUUUUCCUCGUGAAAGGACCCAUUUCUACAAACAAUCACUUUUGCUUCCGGAUCUGAAUUAGGAGGUAUACCCAACCAUUUUGGGUAUCCUAUGAAGUUGCAUUUAUCCGUUUUGGGUUCGAGCUUAUCACGAUGAAACUUUUUCACAUAAGUGUGUCAGCCCCAAACUUUCAAGAAACGACAGCUUAGGUUUCUCUAAACCAUAGUUCUCACGGUGUCAUCUCAAUGGAAUUACGUGGUGCUCUAUAAAGUGAGUGCGGUUGUCUCUAAUGCCUAACCCAUGAACGAUAGUGGUAAUUCUAUAAGAGACAUCAUGGAACGCACCAUAUCCAAUAGGGUGCAACUACGAUGUUCAGACACAUCAUCACACUAUGGUGUUCUAGGCGGUAUUAAUUAUGAAACAAUUUCCACAAUGUCUUAAUUACGUGCCAAAGCUCGUAACUCAGAUACUCAUCUAUAUGAUCAUAUCAUAGACAUUUUAUCCUCUUGUCACAAUGAUCUUCAACUUCACUCUGAAAUUACUUGAACCAUUCAAUAAUUCAGACUUGUGUUUCAUCAAGUAAAUAUACUCAGUAUCUACUCAAAUCAUUCGUGAAGUAAGAACAUAACUAUAUCCACUGCAUGCCUCAGCACUCAUUGGACUGCACACAUCAAAAUGUAUUACUUCCAACAAGUUGCUUUCUUGUUCCAUCUUACUGAAAACGAGGCUUUUCAGUCAUCUUGCCCAUGUGGUAUGAUUUGCAUGUCUCAAGUGAUUCAAAAUCAAGUGAGUCCAAACGAUCCAUCUGCAUGGAGUUUCUUCAUGCGUACAUACCAAUAGACAUGGUUUGCAUGUCUCAAACCUUUUCAAAAACGAGUGAGUCCAAAGAUCCAUCAACAUGGAGCUUCUUCAUGCGUUUUAUACCAAUAUGACUUACAUGGCAGUGCCACAAGUAGGUGGUACUAUCAUUACUAUCUUAUAUCUUUUGGCAUGAACAUGUGUAUCACUACGAUCGGGAUUCAAUAAACUAUUCCUUUAGGUGCAAGACCAUUGAAGGUAUUAUUCAAAUAAUAGAGUAACCAUUAUUCUCCUUAAAUGAAUAACCGUAUUGUGAUAGACAUAAUCCAAUCAUCCCUAUGCUCAACGCAAACACCAAAUGACAAUUAUUCAGGUUUCAUACUAAUCUUGAUGGUAGAGGGAGCGUGCGAUGUUUGAUCACAUCAAACUUGGAAACACUUCCAACACAUAUCAUCAGCUCACCUUUAGCUAGUCCCCGUUCAUUCCAUAGCUCUUUUAUUUCGAGUUACUAACACUUAGCAACUGAACCGGUAUCUUAAUACCCUAGUGCUACUAGGAGUACCAGUAAAGUACACAUUAACAUAAUGUAUAUCCAAUAUACUUCUAUCGACCUUGCCAGCCUUCUCAUCUACCAAGUAUCUAGGGCAAUUCUGCUCCAGUGGUUGUUCCCCUUAUUACAGAAGCACUUAGUCUCGGGUUUGGGUUCAACCUUGGGUUUCUUCACUAGAGCANNNNNNNNNNNNNNNNNNNNNNNNNNNNNNNNNNNNNNNNNNNNNNNNNNNNNNNNNNNNNNNNNNNNNNNNNNNNNNNNNNNNNNNNNNNNNNNNNNNNNNNNNNNNNNNNNNNNNNNNNNNNNNNNNNNNNNNNNNNNNNNNNNNNNNNNNNNNNNNNNNNNNNNNNNNNNNNNNNNNNNNNNNNNNNNNNNNNNNNNNNNNNNNNNNNNNNNNNNNNNNNNNNNNNNNNNNNNNNNNNNNNNNNNNNNNNNNNNNNNNNNNNNNNNNNNNNNNNNNNNNNNNNNNNNNNNNNNNNNNNNNNNNNNNNNNNNNNNNNNNNNNNNNNNNNNNNNNNNNNNNNNNNNNNNNNNNNNNNNNNNNNNNNNNNNNNNNNNNNNNNNNNNNNNNNNNNNNNNNNNNNNNNNNNNNNNNNNNNNNNNNNNNNNNNNNNNNNNNNNNNNNNNNNNNNNNNNNNNNNNNNNNNNNNNNNNNNNNNNNNNNNNNNNNNNNNNNNNNNNNNNNNNNNNNNNNNNNNNNNNNNNNNNNNNNNNNNNNNNNNNNNNNNNNNNNNNNNNNNNNNNNNNNNNNNNNNNNNNNNNNNNNNNNNNNNNNNNNNNNNNNNNNNNNNNNNNNNNNNNNNNNNNNNNNNNNNNNNNNNNNNNNNNNNNNNNNNNNNNNNNNNNNNNNNNNNNNNNNNNNNNNNNNNNNNNNNNNNNNNNNNNNNNNNNNNNNNNNNNNNNNNNNNNNNNNNNNNNNNNNNNNNNNNNNNNNNNNNNNNNNNNNNNNNNNNNNNNNNNNNNNNNNNNNNNNNNNNNNNNNNNNNNNNNNNNNNNNNNNNNNNNNNNNNNNNNNNNNNNNNNNNNNNNNNNNNNNNNNNNNNNNNNNNNNNNNNNNNNNNNNNNNNNNNNNNNNNNNNNNNNNNNNNNNNNNNNNNNNNNNNNNNNNNNNNNNNNNNNNNNNNNNNNNNNNNNNNNNNNNNNNNNNNNNNUAACGUGGUGCUUCGAAACGACGAACUUUCGCAACGGUGCACAGUUAGGGGGAACACUUUCUUGAAAUUUUAAUGAGGGAUCAUCUUAUUUACUACAGUCGUUCUAAGCAAAUAAGAUGCAUAAACAUGACAAACAUCACAUGCAAUCAAAUAGUGACAUGAUAUGGCCAAUAUCAUUUUGCUCCUUUUGAUCUCCAUCUUCGGGGCUCCAUGAUCAUCAUCGUCACCGGCAUGACACCAUGAUCUCCGUCAUCAUGAUCUCCAUCAUCGUGUCUUCAUGAAGUUGUCUCGCCAACUAUUACUUCUACUACUAGGGCUACCGGUUAGCAAUAAAGUAAAGUAAUUACAUGGCGUUGUUUAAUGACACGCAAGUCAUACAAUAAAUUAGGACAACUCCUAUGGCUCCUGCCGGUUGUCAUACUCAUCGACAUGCAAGUCGUGAUUCCUAUUACAAGAACAUGAUCAAUAUCAUACAUCACAUAUCAUUCAUCACAUUCUUCUUGACCAUAUCACAUCACAUAGCAUACCCUGCAAAAACAAGUUAGACGUCCUCUAAUUGUUGUUUGCAUAUUUUACGUGGCUGCUAUGGGUUUCUAGCAAGAACGUUUCUUACCUACGCAAAACCACAACGUGAUAUGCCAAUUGCUAUUUACCAUUCAUAAGGACCCUUUUCAUCGAAUCCGUUCCGACUAAAGUGGGAGAGACUGGCACCCGCUAGCCACCUUAUGCACCAAGUGCAUGUCAGUCGGNNNNNNNNNNNNNNNNNNNNNNNNNNNNNNNNNNNNNNNNNNNNNNNNNNNNNNNNNNNNNNNNNNNNNNNNNNNNNNNNNNNNNNNNNNNNNNNNNNNNNNNNNNNNNNNNNNNNNNNNNNNNNNNNNNNNNNNNNNNNNNNNNNNNNNNNNNNNNNNNNNNNNNNNNNNNNNNNNNNNNNNNNNNNNNNNNNNNNNNNNNNNNNNNNNNNNNNNNNNNNNNNNNNNNNNNNNNNNNNNNNNNNNNNNNNNNNNNNNNNNNNNNNNNNNNNNNNNNNNNNNNNNNNNNNNNNNNNNNNNNNNNNNNNNNNNNNNNNNNNNGGAACCUGUCUCACGUAAGUGUACGUGUAAGGUCGGUCCGGGCCGCUUCAUCCCACAAUACCGUCGAAACAAGAUUGGACUAGUAACGGUAAGCAUAUUGAACAAAAUCAAUGCCCACAACUACUUUGUGUUCUACUCGUGCAAAGAAUCUACUCAAUAGACCUAGCUCAUGAUGCCACUGUUGGGGAACGUAGCAGAAAUUCAAAAUUUUCCUACGAUUCACCAAGAUCUAUCUAUGGAGAAACCAGCAACGAGGGGAAGGAGAGUGCAUCUACAUACCCUUGUAGAUUGCUAAGCGGAAGCGUUCAAGUGAACAGGGUUGAAGGAGUCGUACUCGUCGUGAUCCAAAUCACCGGAGAUCCUAGUGCCGAACGGACGGCACCUCCACGUUCAACACACAUGCAGCCCGGUGACGUCUCCCAUGCCUUGAUCCAGCAAGGAGAGAGGGAGAGGUUGGGGAAGACUCCGUCCAGCAGCAGCACGAUGGCGUGGUGGUGGUGGAGGAGCGUGGCAAUCCUGCAGGGCUUCGCCAAGCACCGUGGGAGAGGAGGGGGACUUGGGAGAGGGGCAGGGCUGCGCCAGAACUUUGGUAAAGCUCCCAUGCGCCUCCCCACUAUAUAUAGGGGUGGAGGGGGCUGGUUACUUGCCCUCCAAGUCCAUUGGGGCGUUGGCAAAGGUGGGAGGAAAGAAAUCCCAUCAUUUCCUUCCCCACCGAUUGUUAUCCCCCCUUUUUAGGGAUCUUGAUCUUAUCCCUUCGGGAUAUGAUCUUAUUCCUUCUAAGGGGGAUCUUGGUGCGCCUUGAACAGGGGUGUGGGGCCUUGCCCCCACCACCCACGUUCAUGUGGGUCCCCCCAUGCAGGUGGGCCCCACUCCGGAACCUUCUAGAACCUUCCCGGUACAAUACCGAAAAACCCCGAAUAUUUUCCGGUGGCCAAAAUAGGACUUCCCAUAUAUAAAUCUUUACCUCCGGACCAUUUCGGAACUCCUCGUGACGUCCGGGAUCUCAUCCGGGAAUCCGAACAACAUUCGGUAACCACACACAAACUUCCUUUACAACCCUAGCGUCAUCGAACCUUAAGUGUGUAGACCCUACGGGUUCGGGAACCAUGCAGACAUGACCUAGACGUUCUCCGGGCAAUAACCAACAGCGGGAUCUAGAUACCCAUGUUGGCUCCCACAUGUUCCACGAUGAUCUCAUCGGAUGAACCACGAUGUCAAGGACUCAAUCAAUCCCGUAUACAAUUCCCUUUGUCUAGCGGUAUUGUACUUCCCCGAGAUUCGAUCGUCGGUAUGCUGAUACCUUGUUCAAUCUCGUUACCGGCAAGUCUCUUUACUCGUUCCGUAACACAUCAUCCCGUGAUCAACCCCUUGGUCACAUUGUGCACAUUAUGAUGAUGUCCUACCGAGUGGGCCCAGAGAUACCUCUCCGUUACACGGAGUGACAAAUCCCAGUCUCGAUUUGUGCCAACCCAACAGACACUUUCGGAGAUACCCGUAGUGUAACUUUAUAGCCACCCAGUUACGUUGUGACGUUUGGUACACCCAAAGCAUUCCUACGGUAUCCGGGAGUUGCACAAUCUCAUGGUCUAAGGAAAAGAUACUUGACAUUAUAAAAGCUUUAGCAUACGAACUACACGAUCUUUGUGCUCGGCUUAGGAUUGGGUCUUGUCCAUCACAUCAUUCUCCUAAUGAUUUUAUCCCGUUAUCAACGACAUCCAAUGUCCAUGGUCAGGAAACCGUAACCAUCUAUUGAUCAACGAGCUAGUCAACUAGAGGCUCACUAGGGACAUGGUGUUGUCUACGUACCCACACAUGUAUCUGAGUUUCCUAUCGAUACAAUUAUAGCAUGGAUAAUAAACGAUUAUCAUGAAGAAGGAAAUAUAAUAAUAACUAAUUUAUUAUUGCCUCUAGGGCAUAUUUCCAACAGUCUCCCACUUGCACUAGAGUCAAUAAUCUAGUUCACAUCGCCAUGUGAUUAACACUGACAGGUCACACCGCCAUGUGACCAACAUCCAAAGAGUUUACUAGUGUCACUAAACUAGUUCACAUCAUCAUGUGAUUAAGACUCAAUGAGUUCUGGGGUUUGAUCAUGUUUUGCUUGUGGGAGAGGUUUUAGUCAACGGGUCUGCAACAUUCAGAUCCGUAUGUACUUCACAAAUCUCUAGGUCAUAUUGUAAAUGCUGCUUCCACGCUCCACUUGGAGCUCUUCCAGAUGGUUGCUCCACUAUACGUAUCCGGUUUGCUACUCAGAGUCAUUCGGAUAGGUGUUAAGUCUUGCAUCGACGUAACCCUUUACGCCGAACUCUUUAUCACCUCAAUAAUCGAGAAACAUGUCCUUAUUACUCCAAGGACAAUUUUUGACCGCUGUCUAGUGAUCCACUCCUUGAUCACCUUUGUACCCUCUUGCCAGACAUGUGGCAAGGCACACAUCAGGUGCGGUACUUAGCAUAGCAUACUGUAGAGCCUACGUCUAAAGCAUAGGGGACGACCUUCGUCCUUUCUCUCUUUUCUGCCGUGGUCGAGCUUUAAGUCUUAACUUCGUACCUUACAACUCAGGCAAGAACUCCUUCUUUGACUGAUCCAUCUUGAACACCUUCAAGAUCAUGUCAAGGUAUGUGCUCAUUUGAAAGUACCAUUAAGCGUUUUGAUCUAUCCUUAUAGAUAUUGAUGCUCAAUGUUCAAGCAGCUUAAUCCAGGUUUUCUAUUGAAAAACACAUUUCAAAUAACCCUAUAUGCUUUCCAGAAAUUCUACAUCAUUUCUGAUCAACAAUAUGUCAACAACAUAUAUUCAUCAGAAAUUCUAUAGUGCUCCCACUCACUUCUUUGGAAAUACAAAUUUCUCAUAAACUUUGUAUAAAGCCAAAAUCUUUGAUCAUCUUAUCAAAGUGCACAUUCUAACUCCGAGAUGCCUACUCUAGUCCAUGGAAGGAUCGCUGGAGCUAGCAUACCUUUUAGCAUCCUUAGGAUCGACAAAACCUUUCUGAUUGUAUCACAUACAACCUUUCCUUACGAAAACUGGUAAGGAAACUUGUUUUGACAUCCAUCUGCCAGAUUUCAUAAAUGUAACUAAUGCUAACAUGAUUCCGAUGGACUUAAGCAUCGCUACGGAUGAGAAAAUGUCAUCGUAGUCAACUCCUUGAACUUGUGAAAAACUCUUCGCCACAAGUCGAGCUUCAUAGACGGUGACAUUACCGUCCACGUCCAUCUUCUACUUAAAGAUCCAUUUAUCUCAAUGGCUUGCCGAUCAUUGGGCAAGUACACCAAACUCCAUGCUUUGUUCUGAUACAUGGAUCCUAUCUCGGAUUUCAUGGCUUCUAACCAUUUGUCGGAAUUUGGGCUCACCAUCGCUUCUCCAUAGCUCGUAGGUUCAUUGUUGUCUAGCAACAUGACCUUCAAGACAGGAUCACCGUACCACUCCGAAGCAGUACGCGUCCUUGUCGUCCUACGAGGUUCGGUAGUGACUUGAUCCGAAGCUUCAUGAUCACUAUCAUAAGCUUCCACUUUAAUUGGUGUGGGUGCCAAAGGAACAACUUCCUGUGCCCUGCUACACACUGGUUGAAGUGAUGGUUCAAUAACCUCAUCAAGUCUCCACCAUCCUCCCACUCAAUUCUUUCGAGAGAAACUUUUCCUCGCGAAAGGACCCAUUUCUACAAACAAUCACUUUUGCUUCCGGAUCUGAAUUAGGAGGUAUACCCAACCAUUUUGGGUAUCCUAUGAAGUUGCAUUUAUCCGUUUUGGGUUCGAGCUUAUCACGAUGAAACUUUUUCACAUAAGUGUGUCAGCCCCAAACUUUCAAGAAACGACAGCUUAGGUUUCUCUAAACCAUAGUUCUCACGGUGUCAUCUCAAUGGAAUUACGUGGUGCUCUAUAAAGUGAGUGCGGUUGUCUCUAAUGCCUAACCCAUGAACGAUAGUGGUAAUUCUAUAAGAGACAUCAUGGAACGCACCAUAUCCAAUAGGGUGCAACUACGAUGUUCGGACACAUCAUCACACUAUGGUGUUCUAGGCGGUAUUAAUUAUGAAACAAUUUCCACAAUGUCUUAAUUACGUGCCAAAGCUCGUAACUCAGAUACUCAUCUAUAUGAUCAUAUCAUAGACAUUUUAUCCUCUUGUCACAAUGAUCUUCAACUUCACUCUGAAAUUACUUGAACCAUUCAAUAAUUCAGACUUGUGUUUCAUCAAGUAAAUAUACUCAGUAUCUACUCAAAUCAUUCGUGAAGUAAGAACAUAACUAUAUCCACUGCAUGCCUCAGCACUCAUUGGACUGCACACAUCAAAAUGUAUUACUUCCAACAAGUUGCUUUCUUGUUCCAUCUUACUGAAAACGAGGCUUUUCAGUCAUCUUGCCCAUGUGGUAUGAUUUGCAUGUCUCAAGUGAUUCAAAAUCAAGUGAGUCCAAACGAUCCAUCUGCAUGGAGUUUCUUCAUGCGUACAUACCAAUAGACAUGGUUUGCAUGUCUCAAACCUUUUCAAAAACGAGUGAGUCCAAAGAUCCAUCAACAUGGAGCUUCUUCAUGCGUUUUAUACCAAUAUGACUUACAUGGCAGUGCCACAAGUAGGUGGUACUAUCAUUACUAUCUUAUAUCUUUUGGCAUGAACAUGUGUAUCACUACGAUCGGGAUUCAAUAAACUAUUCCUUUAGGUGCAAGACCAUUGAAGGUAUUAUUCAAAUAAUAGAGUAACCAUUAUUCUCCUUAAAUGAAUAACCGUAUUGUGAUAGACAUAAUCCAAUCAUCCCUAUGCUCAACGCAAACACCAAAUGACAAUUAUUCAGGUUUCAUACUAAUCUUGAUGGUAGAGGGAGCGUGCGAUGUUUGAUCACAUCAAACUUGGAAACACUUCCAACACAUAUCAUCAGCUCACCUUUAGCUAGUCCCCGUUCAUUCCAUAGCUCUUUUAUUUCGAGUUACUAACACUUAGCAACUGAACCGGUAUCUUAAUACCCUAGUGCUACUAGGAGUACCAGUAAAGUACACAUUAACAUAAUGUAUAUCCAAUAUACUUCUAUCGACCUUGCCAGCCUUCUCAUCUACCAAGUAUCUAGGGCAAUUCUGCUCCAGUGGUUGUUCCCCUUAUUACAGAAGCACUUAGUCUCGGGUUUGGGUUCAACCUUGGGUUUCUUCACUAGAGCANNNNNNNNNNCAGCUGAUUUGCCGUUUCAUGAAGUAUCCCUUCUUGCCCUUGCCCUUCUUGAAACUAGUGGUUUCACCAAUCAUCAACAAUUGAUGCUCCUUCUUGAUUUCUACUUUCGCUCUGCCAAACAUCGCAAAUACCUCAAGGAUCAUCAUAUCUAUCGCUGUAUGUUAUAGUUCAUCACGAAGCUCUAGCAGCUUGGUGGCAAUGACUUUGGAUAAACAUCACUAUCUCAUCUGGAAGAUCAACUCCCACUCGAUUCAAGUGAUUGUUGCACUCAGACAAUCUGAGCACAAGCUCAACGAUUGAGCUUUUCUCCCUUAGUUUGCAGGCUAAGAAAUUCGUCGGAGGUCUUAUACCUCUUGACGUGGGCACGAGCCUGAAAUCCCAAUUUCAGCCCUCGAAACAUCUCAUAUGUUCUGCGAUGUUUUGAAAAAUGUCUUUGGUGCCUCAACUCUAAACCUUUUAUCUGAACUAUCACGUAGUUAUCAAAACGUGUAUAUCCGAUGUUCGCAACAUCCACAGACGACGUUUGGGGUUCUGCACACUGAGCGGUGCAUUAAGGACAUAAGCUUUCUACUGAUCGCAUAAUCGCUACUAUCAACUUUCAACUAUAUUUUCUCUAGGAACAUAUCUAAAACAGUAGAACUAAAGCGCGAGCUAUGACAUAAUUUGCAAAGGAUUUUUGACUAUGUUCAGGAUAAUUAAGUUCGUCUUAUGAACUCCCACUCAGAUUGACAUCCCUCUAGUCAUCUAAGUGAUUACAUGAUCCGAGUCAACUAGGUCGUGUCUGAUCAUCACGUGAGACGGACUAGUCAUCACCGAUGAACAUCUUCAUGUUGAUCAUAUCUACCAUACGACUCAUGCUCGACCUUUCGGUCUCUUGUGUUUCGAGGCCAUGUCUGUACAUGCUAGGCUCGUCAAGUCAACCUAAGUGUUUCGCGUGUGCAAAUCUGGCUUACACCCGUUGUAUGUGAACGUAAGAAUCUAUCACACCCGAUCNNNNNNNNNNNNNNNNNNNNNNNNNNNNNNNNNNNNNNNNNNNNNNNNNNNNNNNNNNNNNNNNNNNNNNNNNNNNNNNNNNNNNNNNNNNNNNNNNNNNNNNNNNNNNNNNNNNNNNNNNNNNNUAACGUGGUGCUUCGAAACGACGAACUUUCGCAACGGUGCACAGUUAGGGGGAACACUUUCUUGAAAUUUUAAUGAGGGAUCAUCUUAUUUACUACAGUCGUUCUAAGCAAAUAAGAUGCAUAAACAUGACAAACAUCACAUGCAAUCAAAUAGUGACAUGAUAUGGCCAAUAUCAUUUUGCUCCUUUUGAUCUCCAUCUUCGGGGCUCCAUGAUCAUCAUCGUCACCGGCAUGACACCAUGAUCUCCGUCAUCAUGAUCUCCAUCAUCGUGUCUUCAUGAAGUUGUCUCGCCAACUAUUACUUCUACUACUAGGGCUACCGGUUAGCAAUAAAGUAAAGUAAUUACAUGGCGUUGUUUAAUGACACGCAAGUCAUACAAUAAAUUAGGACAACUCCUAUGGCUCCUGCCGGUUGUCAUACUCAUCGACAUGCAAGUCGUGAUUCCUAUUACAAGAACAUGAUCAAUAUCAUACAUCACAUAUCAUUCAUCACAUUCUUCUUGACCAUAUCACAUCACAUAGCAUACCCUGCAAAAACAAGUUAGACGUCCUCUAAUUGUUGUUUGCAUAUUUUACGUGGCUGCUAUGGGUUUCUAGCAAGAACGUUUCUUACCUACGCAAAACCACAACGUGAUAUGCCAAUUGCUAUUUACCAUUCAUAAGGACCCUUUUCAUCGAAUCCGUUCCGACUAAAGUGGGAGAGACUGGCACCCGCUAGCCACCUUAUGCACCAAGUGCAUGUCAGUCGGNNNNNNNNNNNNNNNNNNNNNNNNNNNNNNNNNNNNNNNNNNNNNNNNNNNNNNNNNNNNNNNNNNNNNNNNNNNNNNNNNNNNNNNNNNNNNNNNNNNNNNNNNNNNNNNNNNNNNNNNNNNNNNNNNNNNNNNNNNNNNNNNNNNNNNNNNNNNNNNNNNNNNNNNNNNNNNNNNNNNNNNNNNNNNNNNNNNNNNNNNNNNNNNNNNNNNNNNNNNNNNNNNNNNNNNNNNNNNNNNNNNNNNNNNNNNNNNNNNNNNNNNNNNNNNNNNNNNNNNNNNNNNNNNNNNNNNNNNNNNNNNNNNNNNNNNNNNNNNNNNNNNNNNNNNNNNNNNNNNNNNNNNNNNNNNNNNNNNNNNNNNNNNNNNNNNNNNNNNNNNNNNNNNNNNNNNNNNNNNNNNNNNNNNNNNNNNNNNNNNNNNNNNNNNNNNNNNNNNNNNNNNNNNNNNNNNNNNNNNNNNNNNNNNNNNNNNNNNNNNNNNNNNNNNNNNNNNNNNNNNNNNNNNNNNNNNNNNNNNNNNNNNNNNNNNNNNNNNNNNNNNNNNNNNNNNNNNNNNNNNNNNNNNNNNNNNNNNNNNNNNNNNNNNNNNNNNNNNNNNNNNNNNNNNNNNNNNNNNNNNNNNNNNNNNNNNNNNNNNNNNNNNNNNNNNNNNNNNNNNNNNNNNNNNNNNNNNNNNNNNNNNNNNNNNNNNNNNNNNNNNNNNNNNNNNNNNNNNNNNNNNNNNNNNNNNNNNNNNNNNNNNNNNNNNNNNNNNNNNNNNNNNNNNNNNNNNNGGAACCUGUCUCACGUAAGUGUACGUGUAAGGUCGGUCCGGGCCGCUUCAUCCCACAAUACCGUCGAAACAAGAUUGGACUAGUAACGGUAAGCAUAUUGAACAAAAUCAAUGCCCACAACUACUUUGUGUUCUACUCGUGCAAAGAAUCUACUCAAUAGACCUAGCUCAUGAUGCCACUGUUGGGGAACGUAGCAGAAAUUCAAAAUUUUCCUACGAUUCACCAAGAUCUAUCUAUGGAGAAACCAGCAACGAGGGGAAGGAGAGUGCAUCUACAUACCCUUGUAGAUUGCUAAGCGGAAGCGUUCAAGUGAACAGGGUUGAAGGAGUCGUACUCGUCGUGAUCCAAAUCACCGGAGAUCCUAGUGCCGAACGGACGGCACCUCCACGUUCAACACACAUGCAGCCCGGUGACGUCUCCCAUGCCUUGAUCCAGCAAGGAGAGAGGGAGAGGUUGGGGAAGACUCCGUCCAGCAGCAGCACGAUGGCGUGGUGGUGGUGGAGGAGCGUGGCAAUCCUGCAGGGCUUCGCCAAGCACCGUGGGAGAGGAGGGGGACUUGGGAGAGGGGCAGGGCUGCGCCAGAACUUUGGUAAAGCUCCCAUGCGCCUCCCCACUAUAUAUAGGGGUGGAGGGGGCUGGUUACUUGCCCUCCAAGUCCAUUGGGGCGUUGGCAAAGGUGGGAGGAAAGAAAUCCCAUCAUUUCCUUCCCCACCGAUUGUUAUCCCCCCUUUUUAGGGAUCUUGAUCUUAUCCCUUCGGGAUAUGAUCUUAUUCCUUCUAAGGGGGAUCUUGGUGCGCCUUGACCAGGGGUGUGGGGCCUUGCCCCCACCACCCACGUUCAUGUGGGUCCCCCCAUGCAGGUGGGCCCCACUCCGGAACCUUCUAGAACCUUCCCGGUACAAUACCGAAAAAUCCUGAACAUUUUCCGGUGGCCAAAAUAGGACUUCCCAUAUAUAAAUCUUUACCUCCGGACCAUUCUGGAACUCCUCGUGACGUCCGGGAUCUCAUCCGGGACUCCGAACAACAUUUGGUAACCACAUACAAACUUCCUUUAUAACCAUAGCGUAACCGAACCUUAAGUGUGUAGACCCUACGGGUUCGGGAACCAUGCAGACAUGACCUAGACGUUCUCCGGCCAAUAACCAACAGCGGGAUCUGGAUACCCAUGUUGGCUCCCACAUGUUCCAUGAUGAUCUCAUCGGAUGAACCAUGAUGUCAAGGACUCAAUAAAUCCCGUAUACAAUUCCCUUUGUCUAGCGGUAUUGUACUUGCCCGAGAUUCGAUCGUCGGUAUGCUGAUACCUUGUUCAAUCUCGUUACCGGCAAGUCUCUUUACUCGUUCCAUAACACAUCAUCCCGUGAUCAACCCCUUGGUCACAUUGUGCACAUUAUGAUGAUGUCCUACCGAGUGGGCCCAGAGAUACCUCUCCGUUACACGGAGUGACAAAUCCCAGUCUCGAUUCGUGCCAACCCAACAGACACUUUCGGAGAUACCCGUAGUGUACCUUUAUAGCCACCCAGUUACGUUGUGACGUUUGGUACACCCAAAGCAUUCCUACGGUAUCCGGGAGUUGCACAAUCUCAUGGUCUAAGAAAAAGAUACUUGACAUUAGAAAAGCUUUAGCAUACGAACUACACGAUCUUUGUGCUAGGCUUAGGAUUGGGUCUUGUCCAUCACAUCAUUCUCCUAAUGAUGUGAUCCCGUUAUCAACGACAUCCAAUGUCCAUGGUCAGGAAACUGUAACUAUCUAUUGAUCAACGAGCUAGUCAACUAGAGGCUCACUAGGGACAUGGUGUUGUCUAUGUACCCACACAUGUAUCUGAGUUUCCUAUCAAUACAAUUGUAGCAUGGAUAAUAAACGAUUAUCAUGAACAAGGAAAUAUAAUAAUAACUAAUUUAUUAUUGCCUCUAUGGCAUAUUUCCAACAUUGUCUCCACUGUUACUCCUUGACUUUGUCAAUCCCUCUCUCUCCUCCACAUAAGCGGGGACUACUUGCUAUGCAUGUAGCGGGCAGCUGACGUCUUGAGGGGCCAGGGCGGUGAGAGCGGGCUCCGGAAGCGGUCCGGACUCCAGCAUGGCCCACCUCACAUUAUCACCAUAUAUUUCUUGGAGUCCGUGCGCAUCGGGCAGCCGAUCUCUUCUCCCUCCCCCGUUCCUCUCUUCUCAGCCGACGCCCGCUGAGCGAUUAGAUUUUGGCUAUCGACGGUUUAUUCAAUUACGGUCCCACAUGUCAGUGAAACUGCAAGACAACGCGUGUCCCCUUUGGUGAGCGGCGUGCGAGCCGGACUGUCGGGGUUGCGACGCGUACGAGUCGUAAGUGUGUCGCCUUUUCCUUUAGAACUUGCGAAGCGUAACAUUUUCGUGCGAUCGAUCGAUAGAAAUCCAGAAAAAAAUGACGAGGGCGGUGCUUUCCGGCUCGUUAGGCGGGCUAGUUCGAGUGAUAUGACGUUCUACAGUGCCGUCCACUUGCUCCAUUUUUAUGUAAGCAAGAGUUUACACUCGUACGCAGGAGGAAUGCGAAACACCGCGGAUCUGAUUUUGAUCGAGGGAUAACUGUUCCCUGCCAAAUGAUGGAGGAUUGUUAGCGAUUAUAGCAUGAUAGUUAGGGCAUCUCCAGUGCUGGCCCACAAAUUUACACCGGCAUCUGUCCGAGGACACUGAUGGAUGCCAUCCGAUGCUUCCCGCAUACCUUUUGACAACUAUAUAAACUAACCGGACGAAAUUCGUGCAAACAAAGCAAAUUUCAAUAUAACCGGAUAAAAUUAAUCGAAUUAAAUUCAUUACAUUUCAAAAACUUUUCCUACAAACUGGACGAAAUUCAUUACAUAUUUUGCACAAACCGUACUAAACCUACUAUAAACCUAAUCUAAACGAUCAUCGGCGCCCGACCACCAAGUCCGGCCAUGAACCCGAGAAAGUCGGCCAUUGCCUUUGCCUCCUCCUCAUCCGCCUCGAUAACCUCCUCCUCCGGCCGGAGCACAAGGUUAUGAAGAUUUCUGCAUCCACGUCGCCGUCAAGCGGCUAAUCGGCCGCCGAUGUUUACCCCACCAAGCUUGGCGUCGACUGAGUGGAGUAGCGGUGGCCUUCCCGGGACCAGAGCGGCGGCGACCUACCGUGUACUACUCUUCCUCGCUGCCAGCUGCGCCUGCGCACGUGCGACGGCUUCGUGGUCGUGGCGGCGGAGGGCGGCCUGGGGGGUGCCGGCGAUCUCCUUCGUUUGCUCCUGCGACAGUACGUCGAAGAGAGCUUUGGAGCGCGCCCAGAGCGGAUCCGCCGAUGUCCCUCAUCUGCUCCUGCGACAGUACGUCCAAGACAGCUUCGGAGCGCCAUGAGGCCAUGGUUGAAGUGGUGCUGACAGAAGGAAGGGACCGGAGGAGAAUAAGUGUGGGUCUUUGGCUAUGGCUGGGAGUUGGGGCUCAAGUUAAUAUAGCGGGCGAAUGGCAAUGAGCCGCGGCAGACGGAUGGACAACUGGCACCGGAGUAGGUUCGUCGGGCGUGAAUGCGGACGCUGCUUCAGUGACUUAACUACAGAUGCGUUUGGGUGUCUGACAGUGGGCCCAACGGGCGUCUGGCCCGCAUGUCAGUGACACACCAAUUGCACCUGUAGUUAAGUCUAGUGAAUGCGGCAUUGACAUUCUGGAGAGACGGUGACCAUUUCAGGCGCAUGCGGACUGUUUGAUUGGUCAACCAUACAAAUACGGAGCUAUACGCUGAGCCAGCGACCGUAUAAUCACCAUAUCUCGUAUACAAUGAUCAAAGUGAGCUAUCAAGACAAGUUCGAUGACCGCCAAUGCAUUUUACUCGGUAAUAAAUGACCAGGAUUGAAGGGGAAUCCUAAUUUGCUUCGUCUUCUGUCCUUGAGCUCUUGACAAACCAAUGCACUAUACAGUUGUCCGGCCACUCCACCCCAGAGCUCUCACCAACUGUCAUUCAUGCCACCGCGCUUCACACUAACCGGUAAGGCAGCGAUGGCAUCCCGCCGCGCCGAGUUCCUCGCCGCCCACGAAUGCACAUAAAAUGGUAGGGAAGCGAUGGCAUCCCGCCGUGCCGAGUUCAUCACCGCUCGCGACCUCAAAACUAUGUGGGAGGAAUUUCAAGAUGCCAAGGCCGAAUGGGCGGUAGAGCAAGAGGCGGCCAAAGCCGCACAAAGGGAGCGGAAAAGUCAGAAAGCACUCAGGAAAAGAGAGGCCCGCGACCGCAAGAAAGAAAAGGAUGCACGCGCUGCUGCGGAGAGGUCGGCGGAGAUCCAAGCACGGUGGGGUGUCGCCAACAAAGCCGGGAAGGAGAACGAUGGCGUCUGGCCAGCAUGUGAGAAGUAGUAGUACUAGUAGUUAGUGUGUGUGUCUGUAUCUGAGUACGAGCAUGUACCACUACUACUAGUUACUACUAUAGUUUUUAGAGCAAAUUACCAGUACAUUAGCCUAGACUAAGUGGAAAAAUUCCUAUCAUAUGCAUCAAAUGGCAUCUCUUUCUCUAUAGGAAUUGAGAUGCAUGUCACCUCACUUCCUAUGAUUUUCAUAUUCAUAUCCUAUGAACGAAAGGAGGCCUCUGUUGGAGUAAAUACUAUAGCUAGCAGUACUGCUGGUACAGUAGUUUUCUUCAAGAAGCGGAAUUCAACGAAGUCAUGAUGUUCGUCCGAGGAACUUCAAAGUGGGAAGUGGGCCUGUGAUUUGACGGCUCAUUAGUCAUUGUUACUACGGCGCAAUGACCUGGGUGACUCUCCCUUGGAGUUCUGCGUGCAUGGUAAGUGGACCAUGAUGGUCGACGUCCCACAUGUUGGCAAAUGGAAGUAUUAUUUCCGAUAUCGAAGAGCAAGGAAACCGCGUGGUAUAGUAUCACUGCUGAUUGGUUCGCAAAAAAUAGUAUCACUACCGAUUUAUAAUUAUUUUUUAUUUCUGAUGAAUGCUAGCGUUUCAACUCUUACGACGAAGGGUGCCAAACAUGGCACGUGCUAGAUGUCCCACACGUCAGCGAAAGGAGUGGGACAUGAACAGCUUGGUAGAGCCCAACGUAAAAAAAUAGCAUGGUAGAGCGUCUCCACUUCUUCCACUUCUGGGUCGGAGACCACACGUAGUAGUACUUAGCUGUAUGAACGAUACAAAGUGCGACCUGGAGAGAAAGACACGUCUAGUUGGAAGGUCUCGGGGCAUACACGUAAACAAAUAUAAAAGUUAAUGUGUGCCUCCAACUAAUAUAGUAGUAGUAGAGUACUUAGACACGUACUCCAUAACAUCACCGUGCAUUGCACGUACAACAUUUAGUGGUAGUACGUAGUAAGAGACAAAUGCCGCCCAAGAGUUCCCUUCUCGACCUACUUUUGGGUGUUUGGUAGAGUGUAUGGAAGGUGCAUGAGUCCACACUAGUUUAGCACAAAUACACUAGAAGCAUGCAUGAAGAGAGCAUGCAUGAAGAGGGGUGUUGAGUUGAGCAUGCAAGAAGAGGGAACAACUAUGCUGAGACGAGAACGCAACCAAACACACCCUGUAUGCCACGCAUGUUCAUACCAUUUGUGCCUUUCUACUUCACUUACUGCGCUACAUUACUCAAGUUCGUACGUCCACUCCUGGGUACAUGUCCGUCUCGUAGUUCCAGUGCCACGUGUUCUUCAUAUAGAUGGAACAAUCGUUGCAUAACACGUGCGCCUUGAUGCUAGAUGUCUCGCGUGUUGGCAAAAGGAUGAACUAAGCUCACGUAAAAAAAUAGAGUGGAAGAACAUAGAUUUCGGACGACCGACAAGGAGCAAGGAACCUCGUGGUGGAGCGUCUGCACUCAUAAUAUUUAAUAUUAUUCAGCGAUAUAAAAUUAACCAAUCAUCUCCACAGUGGACUGGAAGAGUACAAAACACGGAAGCCCAGUGUAGUUACAUCAUACUAGUACAUGGCUAACCCACGCUAUCACCAUAUUUCUUGGCUUCCGUGCGACACCUAUCUCUAGUAAUCCAGCAGCCUGUAUUGCUUCUCCCUCCUCGUCUCUAUCGAAGUGCGGUGGGUUGGUGUUUCUGCCGUCUAUUGAGGUCGGUUAACUAUCACAUGUUAGCGACAUGCCAAGAGCAUUCUAAAAAAAAUUCCUUUCACGUUCCAUUUUCAAAAAGAAAAAAAAUCCUUUCACGUACGAAUUUGCAUGUAUGCUUUGAGCAACUUGCAUGUCCUAUACUGCUCCUGUUUGAUACUCUAACUUAGCUAGAGGUUAGACUAACUCAUGACUAACCCUGGACUAACUGUAGUCAAAGAGGUGUUUGGGUGACAGGGUUAGAUUGACAAUAAAUGCACUUCAUGGAGAGAGAAAAGUGAUUUUUAGUGGUCCCAAUGAGAACUAUCUCCAGUUAGCACCUCUUGGGUGGGAUAGUUUUUUUGGUGGGUUCGGUGCAACUUGCUCUAAUUUAAACCCUCAUGCUUGGAUACUUUAGGGCUAUUUGAGCCCCAACUAGCUCAAACUAACUCUAACCCAUGGAUCCAAACAGGGCCUAUGGCCAGUCUCGAUGCGGGGCAGUCGCGUGCAUCGAGAAGCGGCGCUCUCUCGGCCGUCGCGCCACUUCAAAGCCAGCGCCAGUGAGAGGUCGCCUCCGCUCUGGCCGGGCAUUAAUGCGGCACUGACGCUCUAGGCGACGCUGACCGUUUCACGCGGGAAGCGCGUGCUAGCAAGGGAGUAUAGGUUUUGAACCGUUUCAGGUGUAGUAGUAAUGUAGUUUGCAAAAAUACUCAAUUAUUGCACUCAGUUUCCUAAGAAAUUGUGGUAAAAACGUUACUCCACAGCCCGCUUCCCUUCUCCUUCCUGCUCGUGAUUUACGUGGCCAUGUUAACGUGGUUGUGUCAAAAAAAAAUUCACUUCCUGCUCGUGAUUUGUGUUAUAUAAUUACAAGCAAGAUUCUCGUGCAUUGCACGGAACAUCAAUAUGCAUUUUUUACAAAACACCUGUUGUGAUUGACCCAUGCAGGAGUAAUCCCAUGUGUAAAAACUAAUGAUAUCUCGAGAAUUUUAUCGGAAAACUGGUAUCUCGAGAAUGUCAUCAAAAAAUGAAAGAUGAGAGAUAAGGCGAGGAGGAGUGGAGCGUGGUGGUGACUGGUGGUCGGAAUGGGCGGAGGCAUGGGGAUGGACGGCGCCGGCAGGCGGCAGCGGCCACCAUGCAUGCUAGAUUGUUCCAGAGACUUAUUCCUUUUUUUAAUUGCUGAGCAAUGAGGUUGCGAGAGAUAAUGAUGUGGAGAGAGGUGCGGGUAUCUUUUGUAAAAUUAUCAUAGUUUGCUUCCUAUCCAUCAGAUAUAGAUCAUACGGUCUGUAUUACAAGAUGGUAGGCACACCAUCAUUGCCAACUCAUUUUUUUAUAAGGGUAUAAGGGUAUACAGAUGAUAAGUUUGCUGACUACUAAAGUAAAGUGGAAUCUGUCCAUGUUAUGCAAGUAAAUAAAGGUGAUUGUUUAUCAUACAGGUAAGGUUGGAUGAAGGGUGGUAGGAACAUAUGCUCCGCCUAGAGCAUGUGUCUGUAAGAUGGAGUCUUAGUGUGUGUGGUGUGUGUGUGUGUGAGAGAGAGAGAGAGUGAGAGAGAGAGAGAGGAGAGAGAGAGAGAUGGAGUCUUAGUUUGUGUGUGUGUGAGAGAGUGAGAGAGAGAGAGGAGAGAGAGAGAUGGACUCUUAGUUUGUGUGUGAGAGAGAGAGAUGGAGUCUAAGUGUGUGUGGGGAGGUGCGUGUGUGUGUGUUUGUGUGUGUGAGAGAGAAAGAGAGAGAGAUGGAGUCUUAGUGUGUGUGGGGGAUGCGUGCGUGUGUGUGUGUGUGUGUCGGGGUCCUCUGUGGCGGAUGUAAUUUAAGUGUGCAUGGCUUCAUCAUAGAGAGGUGAUGUGUAUCGCAGAGGCCACCAACNNNNNNNNNNNNNNNNNNNNNNNNNNNNNNNNNNNNNNNNNNNNNNNNNNNNNNNNNNNNNNNNNNNNNNNNNNNNNNNNNNNNNNNNNNNNNNNNNNNNNNNNNNNNNNNNNNNNNNNNNNNNNNNNNNNNNNNNNNNNNNNNNNNNNNNNNNNNNNNNNNNNNNNNNNNNNNNNNNNNNNNNNNNNNNNNNNNNNNNNNNNNNNNNNNNNNNNNNNNNNNNNNNNNNNNNNNNNNNNNNNNNNNNNNNNNNNNNNNNNNNNNNNNNNNNNNNNNNNNNNNNNNNNNNNNNNNNNNNNNNUAAACAAAGGGAUGGUCCUAUUGGUUUCGGGGAUAUAGGGGAAGAGUGAGAGGCGCGCGGGGCGGGGGGGGGGGUAGCUAGAAGGAGAUUGUUAAGUGUGAGUGUGUGUUUUGCCCAUCCAGGCGGAAGUUAUGCGGACAAAAGAGGAGAACGAUUCGAUGUAGCGUUAGGAUUGAGGGUAAUUAACUACGUAUGGAGACAUAGAGACCUUGAACGUGCAUGUGUGAGAGGUAUACAUGUAUACGUGGGAUGUGUGUGUGUGCGCGCGCGCAUGAUCGAGAUAAAAGAAAGAAGACAUAAGUCCUAAGAUCAACGACAUGGGAGAGACGGGUCGGUAUGACAAUAUGCAUGCAUGUGAGAAUGCAGGGAAGAAGGCCCGACAAUUGAGCAUGUGUUUUUGUCUUUAAGAGAUAGUGGCGUGGGCUGGAGCAUGAAUCUAUGGCGAGCAGAGGGGGUGAGGCACAACGAUUGUGCAAAAGAGAUCAACCUAUAAAUGCAUAUGUAUGGAUAGACAUAUAUAGUGUGGGUGAUAGGAAGCAAGACUCCGUGAGAGAAAGAAAUGUUGACAGAGAAACUACAGAUAGAUACAGAGAUGGAGAUGCUAGCUAGAGAGACAUACGUUAGUUUGGCUGUCGGAGAUGACCGUCGGGUGGUUCAAAGGGUGAAGUUAUAUAUGUGUGUGAGCGGGCACUUGACUGCAUGCAUGUAGAGAGAAACAUAUGUAGUGUGCGUGAUAGGAAUCAAGAGUGAGGGCGAGAAAGAAGGUUGAUGGAGAAACAAAUAAAUAGAAAGAUAAAGAUGCUAGCUAGUGUGCUCUAGAGAUAGGAGUCGAGUGGGUCAGAAGGCUGGGUUAUGUGUGUGGGUGUGAGAGAGAUAGAGAGAGGGUGCAUGUGAGUCACAUACAAACAAAUAUCAGAGAGAAAUGAGAUCCAGAGAGACAGAGUUUUGUGUCUGCGAGAGAGAAAGAUAUUUCAGAACAAGAGUGAUAGCUAGAGAGACAUAUGAGGGAACGCAAGAUAUCUCUAGGGAGAGAGGGUGUGUUUGAGAGACAUACAAGAGAACAAUGGAGAAAUAUGAGACCCCGGGAGACAGAGUUUGUGUUUGUGUGUGAGAAAGAGAUAUUGAAGAGGAAGAGUCAUAGAUUCUCAUAUCUAAGACAUCCCUGUAUGAGGGGUGUGCGAGUGGCACACAUGGGAAUAGUUGAGAGAAAUGAGACCCCGGGAGACAAAGUUUUGUGUUUGUGUGAGAGAAAGAGAUUCCACAUGGAGAAUCAUAGCUAGAGACACAUAGCAGGGAGCGAGAUAUACUUAGAGAGAGAUAGAGUGACGAAGGUCGAUGGAGAGAGUACCGUCAGUGUGUUACAAAGAUAAAAGAUCAUUGUCGACAUACAGGUAGCACGAGAGAUGCCUGAGAGACGAUGAACGCGUAUAGGUCCAGAGAGAUAGUCCUAUAUAAGCAUGAGUGAUAACUAUAUGAGACGAAUAUCUGGAUUAAAGGGGAUUCAAAUAUUUAAACUGGAGAUCACGACAUCGAUAAUAUCAUAACGCAAAUUGGUGUAUCAAACAUGCAUAUUCAUUUGAAUUUGGGCACACGUGUAAUGUUAUAUAGUUUAUCAAUAUUGGUGAUCCAUAGAUUCUUCAAUUAUAAACAAUGCAUGGUUUAUAUGCAAUUAAUGUCUAAACGGGAUUACACUAUAUGUUGCGUGUGUGAAACACAUUAUACAUGUUUGAGAAGUUAAAAAAACCCGCAUGAAACACACAUUAAUUGGAGACAGUUAGCGAGGAAUGCAUACAUUGGAUUUCAACAUAAAGUGGUUUCAAAUAUUUAAAAAUCCAAAUUGAUGGAUACAACCUUAUGAAUCUGAGAUCAUGCCAUUUGUAAACCAUAUUUAUGUAUAAAUGGUGUUGUGCUUUUGAAAGUAUAUAUAUAAAAAAAUGAUGUAUAUAGAAUGUAAUUCCAAUUAAAAAUGGAUCCCGCCCGAAAAAAUAGUAGAAUACAAACGGGGUUCGAAUUGAGUUGGCACGGUAACCGUGCACUAUGCAAAAUUUGAACAAAGCAUGGAAAGUCGCAGUAACCGCCCGAAACCAAAAUCUGCGAGAUGGAAAUCACUACUGCCUAUCCCUGCCGUGCAAAGCCUAUCUGCUGGAGUUCUAUUGUUUUUGAUAGGGGUAGGUUUGUAAUUUCACCCAAACGUGGCGUAACCGCCUCUCACCCGGAUUCAUACACGAUGGGCGCCAAAACACAGUGUGCCCUCGGCCGAAAUCGACUCCCUCCCCGAUUCAUAUUCAUACACAGUGGGCGCCAAAAACAAACUCUCGUCGGCAAAUAUUCGGUGUAUGCGAGAUUACCGUCCUAUCCCCAACCGACUAAUGUUGCUGUGAUGUAGUAGAAAUUUGAAACGCGGGCUAAGUUUGUAAAUUUCCUCGCAUUUGAUACAAGCGCACCCUGAAUACAUGGUCCCCCUUCCUCUCUACCUCCCUUUUCCCCAUUCAUACUCCGUGGGCGCCAAAACACCCUCUCCACCCCACCCUCCUCUGUCCGCCGCCGUUCGCCACCCCAUCCACCGCCGUCCUCCUCCACCAUGCUGAAGCUGAUACCCCAACGCCACCGUCCAUUACAAGAGAUCGACCUCUCUCAUCCAUGCCUUCGGACCGGGAUCAUUGCAUCCCGUCCUCUCGCUUCAUCCCCGCCAUCGUCCACCUUGCCGGCGCCGCUCCUACGACCGUCUCGUCCACCGCGCCCCGCCGCCACCGUCUACCCUCCUAGAUCUGCUUCCACGCCGCCGACAACCAUCACUACCGCAGCACCGUCAAAUUCUCACCAGAUGCGUACACGGCGCCGCACCAGAGGAGGUACUCUUUCGUAUCUUCUCAACUUAUUUAUCGCAGCAAGAAAAUAGAUCGCCACUGCUUUACUCUGAUUUCUUGUCUUGGUUGCGAAGUUGCCUUUGUCCGGUUUGCACCUUCAGAUCCACCAUGGCACGCUCAACAGUCAACACUAUACUCCCAAUGCUUAUGGUUUUCCCCUUUUAUAUUCCACACUAGUUAAAUCAUAGUAGACUAAAUUUCAAAAUUGGGUCAGUCGAUUUUUCAGAGAUCGCCGGAGUUCGCUGGUGCGAUGGAAGGGGCUCGGGUGGUUGUGGGGCCUCGCCGAAUGAAGAAAACUCGACGCGGGUGGGGGUGGGGGUGGCGGAGGAACACAGGCGAUGGGGGCCGGUGGUCCGGCCGGCGGCCCAUGCAGUGUUCUGUAUGGGAAGAAUCAGAGACGAGGAAGAAGAAGGGUUAGGAGACGUAGGAUCUUCAUCCAACCGCCUGAAAUGGUCGAGAGACAGCUGGGAGUUGCAUUCUUAAUGCGCUCUGGUUCAUCAUGUGUGGGCACUGCACAACCAACAUUUUAUUAUCCAAAAUCUGCUUGCUCUUCUUUACCAUGUUCGAUAGUGCUGGCUUGUACGUGAUCGAUAGGCUUUCAAUUACUAGCGGCAAUACAACACCGUAUUUUCAAGCCAGUUCCACUUUCCCGAUUUAUAUAUCGUGGUUAUGGUGUACCCCUGUUAUGUACACUAUGAUCUGCCUAGUUGUUGUGUGCUCUUGUUAUCGUGGUUUGGCAAUAAACUAUCUAUACAGUAUAUUAUGAACCUAUCAUCUCCCAGCUAUCCUUACUUCUGGAGCCUAUUUCUUUGUGUACUUGUGCCAGAUUAUAUAAAUGCACGCACGAUAUUACAGCACACAUGAGCUCUCUCAUCAGAAUCCAGUGAUAGCACAUAAGUGUUUACAGGGGCGCCCCUAUAUUAGAAUAUCAUCUGCAUUACAAAGAUAAUCUCACAACUAUUUAUGUUUUCAUGGUUCUCAGAUAUUAUACGCAAUUACAGUGAAUAUCAGAAUCCGCGCAUUAGAAGAAUAUUGUGGAACACUGCAAUGACUUACAAAAUUGGCACCAAGGCAUUGAGUGCCAUUCUGGAAGCAAUGAAACUCGUACGCUCCCCACCUGUUGAUUCUUGUUCAGAAUAUCAUUCUAAUGACUAUUCUAACCUUGAGGAGUCAAAGGCAGAUGGCCUGUCCUAUUCACCCAUCAAGGUGUCUGUUCUAAUUUGGCAAGGUUUUAUUGAUUGUGCGUAUCUUGCAUAUGUUGUCUUGCAUUUCUUCUACUUUGUUGCACCACCAUCUGCUUAGUUUACUCAUCAUAUAACUCGAGAUGCUAUGCCCAUCCAUUAUCAAUACAUAUUCCAUCUGUCGUCAUACCAUGUUUUUUCACUCAAAUGUUUUUCUUGUGCAUCAGAUAUCAAAAAGGAAGAGAGUGAUUGCCAAACCUGAAGAAGCACCAGCAAAGUCCUUGAAAAACAUGGUGGUGCCGGAGAAAUCAGACAGCGCCCCACUUAUAUUGGUUGUACAACCAAUGGCACAAAACAUAGGACCGACUCCAGCAGACUGUACCCAUACUUCACUGGCCACACCACUAGCCCCACCACACAGGACCUACACUCCAGAAAAAGGUAUACCGAUUUCAUUUGCCAUAGCACCAGCCGUACCACAGAAAAAUCCCACUCCAGCAAAAAGUACAGCAAGUCCACCGGCCGAAGACCUAUCCCAACUGCAGAGACGGCCAAUUCCUGUAGAUUGGAACCCCAUUCCAUUUAUUCCCAGUUUAAAAGACAAUGCUUUCAAUGUUGUUAGGGACUACGUGCAUAUAUUCCCAUCAUGGGAAGAUUAUAGUGAAGACAAACACCAUUUUCACAUCUUCCUGUCCAACUUACGUGUAAGUGCUAUUAUUCAUGGUUAUUAUUUUCCUGUUUUCUGCUGAUCGAACACAUCAAUGAUUUACAUUACAUUGUUGUAACUAGGUGAGGGUCAAUCUGGAUAGACAUGACGAGCAAAGCUUGCUUGUGCUUUUCAAGGAAGCAUUGCAGCAGUAUCAGUGUUACCUGAGGAAAUCACACUUUGAUGGCAAGUCUAUAAACGAAUUUCCGGUGAAGUCUCCUGUGCUAAAUUUAGAAGACAUUGAAUGGAAAAUCCUUGUUAUGCACUGGUCUCGUUCCCAAGAUGAGGUAUUGUCUAUGAAAUCACAUGACAAUUUGAACUUCUACUUUUUCGCAUGUGCCUUACGGAUCAUUUUUGCAGGAAAUCAGCUCGAAGAAGAAUUCCGGUUUGAAAAGAACGACAGGAUAUCGCAAAUAUGCUGCCCGCUGCUUUGCUCUUGUUACUACCUGUUGUCCUGUAUCACUGUACUUGCAUACAUACCUGGUUCAUUAUGUGACAGCGGUAUGCAUGAUAGCUUGCUUAUCAAUUAUUCGCUCCAAAUUAUCUGAUCUGUAUGAAUGGUUACAUUAGUGUAGAAUAUAUCCAAUGCCAAUGAAUUUUUUUAGCUCUGCAUUGGUCUCUGUAAGUACAUGCCGUCCUUUAUCAGUGUACUUAUAUUGACAGGUAGUUGCUCAUGUACCAUCACUCUGCAACUUAUUUUCCUUUUCCCUCCAUUUUCUACACAUCAGAUCUAUAUUUACUCUUACCAUAAGGUUGGUACUGAAGAAGUUUAGCUGUGCAUUGCUCUUGGCUGUGCCUUUUGCCUGUAUCGCUGCACAUACAUUUAUAGCUACUUGGUUAUGUAGCAUCACUCUUCAUCUUAUCUUAAAUAUUCUCCAUUUUUUUGUAUAUUAUCACAUCUAUAUUUACUCUUAACAAAAUGUAGAAUAAAGGCAAUGCUUAUGAAGAACAUUCUGUGCUAAACUUCUUGAAUUUCCCCCCCCCCCAUCAGCAUGGACAAGGGCUUUAUAGAGCCUGUCUUCACCAGUAAUGUAAGUUUGUCCUUCUCAAGCCUUCAAACUUUGUUGUGUAUAUUUGGUUAGGCAUGACUGCAACAGCUGUUUAUUUUUGGUGUUUGCAUCAAAUUGCAUGUUUAAAGUUUAUUAUGUAGUUCAUAAACAAAAGUUUGUCCUUCUCAAUUUAAGUUUUUAGUUGUACAACCAAGUUCCUUCUUCAUACCAUGUAAAUUAAACUAUACAGAGCAAGUGAUCUUCUUUUGCAUUGCAUGUAUGCUUCUGUUCAUCAUCCGUAAUCCAGUGGCGUGGUGAACCUACCCACUACAGCACAAGGUCAUAUUCUGCAAUGUCUUAACUAUGAACAAUGUCAUAUCAUUCUACUAUUAUUUAAACCGCCUCUUUAUUUGCCAAUCUGAAAUGGGAUAAAUUGACAGCACACUAACCAUUGAUACUUAUGAGUUCUUGAUCUGUAAUCCAGUGGUGUCGUGAAGCUGCCAACUCCUUCACAAUGUCAAUUCCUGCCAUGUCUUGACCUGAACAAUACCAUAUUGUGUUAAUGCAAUUUUAAACUGUGUCACUUUAUUCGUUAGUAAGAAAUGUGAUGAAUUGUCAGUACUGAUACUUUUAUGUGCAAAACCUGUCAUCUGUCUGCUUGUUUAUCUUUCAGAGUGAGGAAGAUAUAAGUGUUGAACAAGCGCAGUCUCAUCAUCUUGCUCAGCUGCUUGCGCUGCAGCUCCCCAGCAGGGCUAACCUUUCCUGAACUCUAUUGAAGUGCUGUCGGUUUUGUAUAUUAUUUUGUCGGCGUAUUUAUUUGCACUGGUGGCGAUCUUUGAUGCCCAGUGUAUGUAAACUGUUGUCUGCUUGUGCUUUCUUAUCAUAGUGGCGAACUUUGAUGCCCAGUGGAUGUAAUAUGCCAUAAUUUCUUCAUUGUAUAGUCUAGGUUUUUUCUUAUUCACGAUGCUGUAGUCAUUUUACUGUAUAUAUAUCUUGUCUUCGUAGUAAACCGGCCAAACCGUAAAAUUACGGUACAUAAUCGAGCCGUCAUGCAAUCACGAUUUAUGAUCCGCAUCAUGGUCCCCGUCAAACUAGCCCACUAGUAGAUUCGGGCCUUUAAUAGGCCGACUAACCCCCGGCCCUCUUUUCGCAAGAAAACUCAAUGGGCUUUUAGGAGGCUAAGAAGUAGUCUGGGCCUGAAACAUGCCGAAUAGCUCACGGGCUGGCGGCAGCCCGAAAUGGACCCCGACCCAUGAUUGUGCGAAUCAAUUCACGGGCUUUUAACAGGCCAAAGUUGUCUCGGUCCUUGUUUGGCCCAAUCAGAUAUCGGCUGCGAGCAGGCCGGAUGCAAACCGGGCCGUAGUUAGGCCCAACUAUAUGACAGGCUUUUAACAGGCCGAAAUUAAUAUAGGGCCGAAAUGUUAAAUGGGCCCUUAACAGGCCGAAACUAAUAUCAGGCCGAAUUACUAAAUGGGCCUUUAGCAAGUGGGCCCAAAAGCAUAGCGUCCAGUCAACGGGCCGAAUCUGAUAUGGGCCAUAAUUGAGACCAAAGCCUCUUAAAGGGCCGGACCUGAUCUAGGCCGUGAUUUGGCCUAGAAAGUGGGAGGCUUUUAACGGGCCGGAUCUUAUAUGGGCCAUUACUAGGCCCGGAACGUGGCAGGCCAUUGAUGGACCGGAUCAAUUAUGGGCCGGCAUUUGGCCCAAAACAUGGCAGUCAGUUAAUGGGCCGGCCUACUAGGGUCCUCAAAAUCUUCUGGGCCUACAGCUGGGCCAGCCCGUUAAUGUCGGCGAAAUCUCGUGGGCUUUUAGCUGGGCCGGCCCAUUAUGAUCCGCAAGAAUUUUGUGGGACUUUACCUCGGCCGGCCCAUUAUGGCACACAAAAAUCUUGUGGGCCUUUACCUGGGCCGGCCUAUUAUGGCCCGCGAAAUCUUGUGGGCCUUUAGCUGGGCCAGCCCAUUAUAGUCCGCAAAAUCUCGUGGGCCUUUAACUGGGCCGGCCCAUUAUGGGCCGCAAAAUCUUGUGGGCCUUUAGUUGGGCCAGCCCAUUUAAACUUGAUUGGCCGUGCCACGUGUCGACGUAUCAUAGGCGCCUUCUGUCCAAUGAGUGGAUGACAUAUGUCCCAACGAUGAGCCGACACGUGUUUCCUCCAGCCAAUGAUGAUUUUACACGUGGAAAAUCCCCAUUGGUAGGGGCUGUUAACGGGUUAUCGGAUCCAAAACCCGACCCGAUAGCUUAACGGCGUUCCGUUACGGUGGAUGCCGCGUGUCGGUCACCCUUGACGAAAGCACUUCUGUGACGCGCGAUUUAUCGUCAUGGAAGUGGACACUUCCAUGAUGAUAAUUUUGGUAAUGUCAUGCAACACUUUUAUGACAGCACAGGUAUGACUAUCUUGAUUCUGUCAUAAAUUUGUCAUGGAUGUACAUGCAUGACAAAAAACACGACCUACUGUGACAAGCACGUAUCAUCACGGAAGUGUAUUUUUCUUGUAGUGCAUCCUGCUGCCGUCGUCGUUCCUCUCCGAUUUCGGCGGCCGCCCUGCGCUACUAAACUGCCCCCGGCCACCAUGUGCCACUCGGUGAGCUCCCCCUCCACCUGUCCCUUGCUCCUUCCCAUAGUUGUAGUCGCCCCGUCACCGUUACCGAUGCUCGUCGCCGCUGCUUAUCUUUCCGCCGUCGCUGUCGUCCACUCCAUGGCCAGGCGAGCAUGCCAGUGUGCUCGUGACCCCGCGUAGGUGCUGUAGGUGGCUAGCACUGGUCGUUUUACUUGUCAUAGAACCGUCGCCGCCCGACCCCGAAUGCUACUGCCGCUCGCCCGCUCGGCCGGUUCCUCGCGUGCGCCUCAUGUUUGCCUUGCUGCCGUCCGGAGCCUCCCGUUGCUGCUUUAGACCGUCUGCUGCUCCUGCUUACUGCUACUGUCAUGUACUGCUGCUGCUGCUACGACCUGCCGCUGCCGCUGCCGUCCCUAGCCUGCGCCUGCAUCCGCGCCUUGCCUCCUGCGCCGUCCGCCCCGCCCGCCACAGCGCGCUGCCUCGCAACAGCCGUCGCUUGCCGUGGCCUCGCCCACCCCGCCAUCCUCUGCUGCCCCACAUGUGUCGCGUCGCCGCUCACCACGCUGACCCGCUGACUCCGCCCUUGCCGCCUCACCCUCGCGCUUUGCCUCGUCGGCGCUGCUGUGACGCCCCAACCCGUUCGCCCCGCCUCUAGCCUCACCGCGCCGGCCACCGCACCCCCUGCUGCCGAGCGCCACACGCUGCGGCCCCGCCGCCGUUCCCCACGCUGCCGCCUCGGGCGCCGCACCUGCGAGCCCAUCAGCCCGCGCCCGCUAUGUCCUAUGGGCCACUGCCCAGUAAGCCCCACCAGCCUCUUUUUCUUUUAAAAAAAGGUUUCAAAAAAAUGUAUAUAAAAAUAUUAAUUAAAUAAAUAACUUAGUUAAUUAGGUUUAGUUAAACUAAUUACUUGCUUAAUCUAACUAUCUAACUAGUUAAUCAAAUGGGCCUAUGACAGGGGGGCACACCCCUUGUUGACUAGUCAAACAUUGACUGGUCAACCGGGACCCCCUGGUGCACCUGUCAGCCACUUGGUGCACUUUUGUGUACCCUGUGCUGGGUGCACCUAGCAUUUACUCAUUCUUUUCGAAUUAAAUAAAAUUGCAGAAUAUCAUUAAAACUUUGGAAAAUCAUAGAAAUUAAACCAUAGCUCGGAUCGAAAAACUUUCUACAUGAAAGUUGCUCAAAAUGACGAGACGAAUCCGAACACACGAUCCGUUCGUCCGCCACACAUCCCUAGCAUAGCAAAAGUCAAACAUUUCCCCUCUGGUUCAUUUGUCUGACACACAUCCGGAACCGGGAAAACUUUUCCGGAUGUUUUCCCCCUUCACCAGUAUCGCCUAACGCUGUGUUAGAACACCUCUAGGCCCACUUAUUGUCUUGUUAUGCAUAUGUUUGCGUGUAUUUACUAUUUCUUCCCCCUCUUCUCUUUGGUAGACACCGAGACCGCUGUUGAUGCCCCUGUGAUCGACUACGUCACUGACGGCACUUCUUCCCUUUUCAGCGGAGCUUCCAGGCAAGCCACCCCCCUUUGAUCAUACCGAUAUCGCCCAUUCCAUUCUCUCAUGCUUGCAUUAGAUUUUGCUACUGUUAUUGUUUGCUCCUAUUAUGAUGCAUAGCCUGCUUUUAUACCUGUUGUUGUACCUUACCGGCUUAUCCUAAACUGCUUAGUAUAGGUUGGUUAGUGAUCCAUUAGUGACCCCCACUUGUCCUUGUUGCCCCUGAUUCAUCAUCGACGCCUCGAUCAACAUGAUCGAUGACCAGAGCCCUACACCUCACAUCACAUCACGCCCCUUUUGUUGCUCGACUCUACAGAGCUACUAUCAAGUGUCGAGGGGUACCUCAUACAUCACUCCUGAUGAGAUCGCUGUAGUGUAGCUAUCCGGUCGUGUUCAUCGAGGGUGAUUCCUCCUUAACCACUUUCGAUACGGCUCUGUCGUGUAACCCCUCAAGUGCGAACCACGAGGGUGGUUCCUCUUAUGUUCACCUUGAUGAUUACAUCUAGUGGAAUCCAUCGAGGGUGAUUCCUCGAGUUUUCCCGUUGAUGUUUGGACACACGGUUACCCAGACUUCACUUGAGACCAUUGUUGAACUCGGGUCAGCCCUGAGGGGUACCCGCUAGUUGAUGUGAAAGUCGGGUGGGCCCGUAGAGCACCCGCGAGUUUUCCACAUGGCACGGCCGGGCAGUCUGGGCCCUUGCCGUAAGUCCACGAGACAAGGCGACGGGGUCACAUUAUCGUGAGUCUCUGCUCGUCUCCACGAGCCCCCAAUGCACUAAUGGUUUGGGUAUUUGUUAUGAGUUGGCCUCUGGCCUUUACGCACUAACCACCACGCGAGAAUAGUUAUGGGCCUCGACGUCGCAGUAUCAGCCGAAGCUUUGUCAGACGUCCAGUUCAGCAGUGUGGAACGGUCGGAUCAUGCUGGCCAUCCGAGGCGGUGCUGGUAUUCACCCUGCGCGCAACGACCCAAAGUGUUGCAUGCAAUGGGCCCAAGACCCAGAGUGCUUAGGAUGUAGACCGGCGGGGACCUCUCUGCUGAGCCUAGGUAGGGCUGCGACAUGUUGAUCUUCCGAGGUCAGGCAUUGACCCCAGAAAGGUGUGUCCGGCCAGAGUGAUCGAGUGUGUUGGGUAACGUGAUGCACCCCUGCGGGGAAGAUAUAUAUUCGAAUACCGUGUCCAUGGUAAUGGACAUUCAGAGUUGUAUCCUAAUAUUAUAUAACUAGAAAUGGAUACUUGAGAUAUGUGAUGGAUAUGUGGCUCCGAGAUUUAUUUUCCGUAGGGAGUCGGGGAAGGAUCUCUGGGCGUUGGUUCUACAACAUAUUUGUUAAAUAUUAAAUGCUAUUCUUUACUCUUGUACAUGCUGCAAGAUGCUUGGAGCUGCUUGAAGAUGCUAGUCUUCGAUAGGCUAGGCCUUCCCCCUCUAUUCUGGCAUUCUGCAGUUCAGUCCACAGAUACAAACCUUCCAUUUGACACCAAUGCAUACUUAGUAUAGAUUUGAUGCUUGCGAGUACGUUGGAUGAGUACUCACGGUUGCUUUGCUACCCCUUUUCCCCCUUCUUUCUUCUUUCCGGUUGAUGCAACCAGAUGAUGGAUCCCUGGAGCCAGAUGCCACCGCUGAUGGAAGCUACUACGUGGAGGCCGCCGACGACCAGGAGUAGUUAGGAGGUCCCAGGCAGGAGGCCUUGCCUCUUCGGUCGUUGUUGCUUUGUGCUAGCCUUCUUAAGGCAUCAUUGUGUAACUUAUGUCUAUACUCAGAUAUUGUUGCUUCCGCUGACUCUUGUGUAUCGAGCUUGUAUUCGAGCCCUCGAGGCCCCUGGCUUGUAAUAUAAAGCUUGUAUUACUUUAUUUGUGUCUAGAGUUGUGUUGUGAUAUCUUCCCGUGAGUCCCUGAUCUUGAUCAUACACAUUUGCGUGUAUGAUUAGUGUACGAUUGAAUCGGGGGCGUCACACUGUGCCCCACGGCCACGACCACAAAGGCGACACAUCUGUGGGCGUCGCUGACAAUGAGGAAGAGUAGAACAUGCUAGGUUGCCACCGCUCGGGUCCCAAGAAGGCCACCACUCCUCACCUCCUGUUGAAGCCAAGCUUGGUGAGCUGAACAUCGAUGGCCGAUUAGCCGCUUGGCGGCGUCCUGGAGGCGGACAGGUUUACUUCUAGGGCUCCACAGGCAGAGCUGGAGAAGUUGAAGCUUUAGUUCUCCGGGUUCAUGGCCGGACACGGGGACCGGGCACCGAGAAUCAUAGAUCAGGUUAAUUAAUUAUACAUUCAGAGCCAGACGAGCACCGCUUAUAGUUGAAGUAUGUCUGAAAUGUAAUGAAAUCCGGCAUGUUUAUAUGAAAUUCGGCCGUGUUUGAACAAAUUUCUUCUGGUUAGUUCGGAUUGUUGCCCAAAUGUAUGCAGGCAGCGUUGGAUGGCGUCCUCCCGCAUCCAUGUCCGCAGACUGGUCCCCCCUGUCCACAGAUAGAUGUGGGAGAAAAUAUGCGGGUCGCCGUUAGAGAUGCUCUUUCAAUGAUAAAAUAUCAAAAUAUUCGGAUAUUAACAAAUAGCCCCUGCCCAAUCAAAGACUGACAUGGCUAUAAUUCUAGAACAGUGUGGUGAUGUGCAAACCAACUAGUUCCACAUGGCACACAUACUGUCUCCUUCCACUCACUACCUUGGCUCUAACUCUGGGUACUGGUUUUCUUCAUCUGAGCGUAGAACUCAGGGCACCGCGUGCUUCCUGUAGUUUCAUAUCCUGGCCUUUUCCACUUCCAAGGAAGUACAUGUACAGUUGAUGCGUGUUGAAUAAGAGAGCUUGGUGAUCAAGAGAUAGGAACAACAUCAAUCACAAUGUGAGGAUCUCUUAGUUGCAUUGAUCAAUCUAUAAUACAAACUGGGCAUUUAUCCAAAUUGCGCCAUUGCAUUGUGUGUGAAGCUAGUAAAAAAUUCCUUUUUGUAACGAAGUUUAUAGACUAUCAACUAUGAAGAAGGCCGCAAAAGGAAAUGGUAGUCACCGCCCUACAAGGCAACGGACGGUGCCCUUUCUCCACCAAAAAGAAGACACCCACCACACUUUGGCAAUGGGGCCUGCCAGCACCUUGAUGAGGUUGAAGGUAGGGGCUGCGAGGACAAAAUUUAUGCGACACGCCCCCUAGACUGACAUUGGCCCCUUCCCCCGCCUGGGAAAAGCUGUGCGUUAUGGAGCAGUCGGAUCAAGAGGUGAAAGUGGCGGUGACAAAGAAUUUAGGUACAUCAGAUGAGAUUAAAGUCCAAGAGCCUCAAGUGGUUGAGUUGCAUAUCUGUAUAUAUGUAUUUGUUCGUGGACCAAUGACUUGUCUACAAGUUACUAGUUUUUCUCUAUGUGAACCAACACAAUUGGAAUCAUAGAACGUUGAUCUAAGGGCAUGUAUAGAGAACUGGAUGAUCGAGAGAGCAGUAGUGAUAAACUAUAAGUGGCACCGGACCAUAAGCAUCACUCACUAGGAAUAUGAUGCAUGAAGAUUUCGAGUUCAAGACUAGCUGCAAGUGUACACACAAGAACUCUUAUCUUCGCUACUCUUGGAUACAUGUGUGGAUUUUGUGUUGGUUGGUGUCGUGAGGAAAUAUGCCACGCUACCUUCUUAGUAGGAGACCUUGACUUACUCCCUUUGUGCUUCAAUAGAAUUAGUAUAAUUUUCUAUAUGAAUUCAAAUGAAGUAAGGUUUGACCAAGUUUAUUGAAAAAAGUAUCAACAACGACAAUACUAGGUAGAUAUAGGAUGAAAACUUUUAGUAACAAAACCGCACUAUAAACUCAAGUAACUAAUUCCGUAUGCAAACCAACAACUGGCUAUUGGUUGCUUUUAUUGUGCAUGGGCAUGUGUAUAAUAUUGCAUCCCGAGAUUGCAUUUAAAUAUGGAUCAUCUCGAGGAAUCAAAAGGGAUGGAUGGUCAUUUUAUGUUAAACCUUGAUUAUUAUGCAUAAGCCUGAAAGGUCAUGUAAAGAUUAAUAGAGGGGACGAAAUAACUUCAUGUACAAUAAAAUCAAGUCUGAAUUUCGUACAACGGGACAAUGGACGGUGAGGAUGCUUAGCACAUAUGCGAUUAAUGCUGCCUUUUUCUGGAAAAGGAGGCGUGCCCCCGACCUCUGCAUCUGAAUGAUGUAUUCAGCCAUCUUUUUUAAAAGUCUCAAAGUAUCACAAAGUCAUAAAAGUAUUACAACUCGCAGGCGGAGAAAACAUAAAAGAAGCUGAAUACCACAACCGGUAUGAAAAGAAGGACAAGCUCCCUAGACUCCUAUCCUGUUAUGCGACCGCCAUCUAAACCGGUUGAAUAUAGCCCGUGCUACCAUCAGCCGCUGGUUUCACCCAGUAACCAAUGGCUCUCCGGAGUCCGUAGGAGUGAGUAAGGACAGUGUACUGAUCCAUGCCGUAGCUCUGAAAAUGACCGGCAAGAAUGUUAAAAUAUGUUGUCUGUUAAAAAUAAUAUCAUUCCUGCAAUUCCAUAUAGCCCAAAUAAGCGCAUAUAUUCCAAUCAGAAUAUGAGACGCGGUAGUAUGAUCAACUCCAGCUAACCACGUCCCAAAUAACGAUUCAAUGCUAACUCGAGGACUGAUGUUAAAGGCUAUAUGAAUCAUUCGCCAGAGUAAUUUUGUGAGAGGGGAAUCUAUGAAUAGGUGUUGUAUUGUUUCAUCAUGAUCACAAAAACAACAUCGUGUACUGCCUACCCACUGUCGCUUUAGUAAAUUAUUUUUGGUGAGGAUCACUUGCUUGUGGACAAAUUACAUAAAAUAAUUAUGCACUAAACCUUAACCUUCCAGAUAUGUAUCGAUCUCAGGAUUGUGCCAGAAUUAAUUAGAUCCAUAUAAAAGGAUUUUACCAUACACUCUGUUUCUAGCCAACUUCCAGUGCAACGAAUCUGGUUGGUCAGAUAGUUGAACAUCUAUCAAUCCCCGUACCAAGUGCAUCCAGGAAGUCCAACGUUCCGCAACUAACGGUCGCCUAAAUUGAAUAUUAUUCAAGGGGACCGAUUGUAAUAUUGUGCCCACGUAACCGUCCUUAUUUUGCACAAUGUUAUAGAGGGUAGGGUAUUCUAUGGCUAGUGGCGUCUCCCCUAACCAUGUAUCCUCUCAAAAUCUUGUUGCCAUCCCAUUGCCAACAAAGAAUUUGACCCUACGAAAGAACAAAUCUUUCGUUCUCAUAAGCCCCUUCCAGAAUGGCGAGUCAGUCGGUCUCGCGGUGACUUGGGCAAGCGUUUUUGAUUGUAGAUAUUUGUUGCGUAAUAUAUGUGCCCACAUACCAUCAGUCUCAACUAAUAACCUAUAUAAUCAUUUACUCAUAAGAUAUUUAUUCUUAAUUUCCAGGUUUUCAAUGCCGAGACCACCCUGGUCCUUGGGUCGGCAAAUUAUAUCCCAUCGUGCUAGGCGAUAUUUCCUCUUAGUCUCAUCGAACUGCCAGAAAAAUCGAGAUCGAAAGAAAUCUAGUCUCUUUCGCAUCCCAUUGGGUACCUCAAAGAAAGGUAAUACGAACGUUGGCAUACUAGUAAGAACUAAGUUAAUAAGCACUAGCCGACCUCCAUACGACAUUAGCUUGCCCUUCCAACAGCUAAGCUUUUUUUCAAUUCUAUCUUCGAUACACUUCAAUUCCUAUUAGAAAGCUUGCAAUGAUGAAUCGGUAUGACCAAAUAGCUGAAGGGCAAAGAAACUAAUUCACAACCGAACAUUUGUCUAUAUGUGUCUUGCUCCUCUUCGACCCUACCAAAGCAGAACAAUUCGCUCUUGUGAAGGUUGAUUUUUAACCCUAACAAUUGUUCGAAGAGACAUAAUAUUAGUUUCAUAUUCCGAGCUUUUGCAAUGUCAUGUUCCAUGAAAAGGAUAGUUUCGUCAGCAUACUGUAAAAUGGAAACUCCCCCUUCGACUAGAUGAGGGAGAACUCCAUCAACUUGGUCGUUCUCCUUGGCUCUGCCGAUAAGCAUGGUUAACAUAUCCGCCACUAUAUUAAAUAGGAGAGGAGACAUUGAAUCCCCCUAUCUCAAACCUUUAUGAGUCUGAAAAAAGAGACUAUUGGGGAUAUAACUAUUUGUUUAAGCCGCCCAGGAGGGGCCGGGUUAUGCAAAGAAAACUCACCAGAAAGAAGCCCAAGACCAAGCAUGAAGAUGGCGGUUCAAUACAGGGUCUGAAGCCCACAGGCGACUUAAGGCCUGUCGUAGUAAACCGCCAUAAUGGCAUCACUUGUAUCAUAAGGUAGAUUUAACUAGUCACCGAGCCGGACACUGUUUAUAAGCCGGCCGGGACUCUGUAAGCCAUAGGGCGUCAACCCGUCUAUAUAAGGGGAUGACCCACCGGCGGCUUAGGGUAAGAAAAAACUGAUCAAGAGUCGGGCAUAGCAUAUCUCGCUCCCUGGUCAUCGAAACAUCAAUACCAACCCAACUAGAUGUAGGCUUCCCUUCAUCAUAAGGGGCCGAACUAGUAUAAAACCUCUCGUAUCCUUUGUCCUGAUUAACCCCUUCAAGCUUCAUAGUUGCGAUGGCUCCACAACUAAGUCCUUUCACGAGGACAUCUGACGUGACAAUUCCACGAUAGUUGGCGCCCACCAUGGGGCCAGCGCACGGUGGAUUUGAGUUCUUGAAGGGCAACUUCGAAGGGCUCAAGGGAUACGUAGUGGGCCGGAUGACCAAGAGUCGUUGCGGCAAGAUCUACAUCGACGAUGAAGGCUGGGGCCCCGACGCCGGCUCAAUUGAGUACAGGUACCGGGUCCCCUUCGGCGGAAUCCACGUCUUCAUCGGCCGGAUCGGUGAGCCGGGCCCUGAGCCGGACAACUACACCGACCUCGUCGAGACGGCUCAGCAUGCGAGAAAGGCCCGAGUUCAACCCGUCAUGAAGCGUGCUUUAGUGGGCUGCAUCCACGAAGAGGAAUUUUCUGAAGGGUCUGAAGAUGGUGGUGAGACGACCGUCCUUUCGAACGAUGAUUCAUCCGCCGGUUCAACAGAUUCACUAUACCAAGUGCAAGACGGCAUGCUUGGGGGCUGUUCCGAUGGCAUUAGUAUUCCGGACCCCUGUGAGCCGCCAAGAUGGGCAGGAGUCUUCAUGGCUGGGACUCAACCCGGCCGAAAUUCUACAGCCGCUACAGCAAUAACGUCCGGGACGAGGGCAGCCGGGGCAGGAGGCCCUAUGCGCCCGCCGGCUCAGGUGCUGAUGGAUCUCAUGGACAAGCUUACGACCACGUUAACCGCGACGGUUAUUGCCGCAAAUAAAGAUGAGCAUGACGCGGAGGUGGCACGGGUGCGUGAGGAGAUAGCACGGGCCAAGGAGGCCUUGGCAGAUGAGGUCACCAGGCUAGCCGCAGAGCGGGCAGCUCUAGAUGCACGGGCGCAGCGACUACAGUCAGAAGCCUACCAGCUCACGAUGAGCCUAAAUGCGUCCAACGAGGUGAUGAGGAGGAGACAUCAGAAGUCCCAGUCCCGUUUACCUCCGGUUUAUGAUCCUCAGAAUCUUUUCGCGACACCCGGAGCCGGUCCAAGCAACCUGCCAGAUGCAAAUCAGUUUAUGACAGCCGGGACAGGAGGGACGACCCAGCCUCAUGGGAGUAUGGCUCCACCCCGAUACGUGCCGAUACCGCCGGGUCACUUUUCCAACCCCAUGGAAAACUUAAUCGUAGAAUCGGCGCGCUUGGCGGCUCUCCCCGUGGACAGAGAUGAUCCGAAAGUGGUGGAAACCCGGAGGGUCAGAGAACUUCUCCAGACGGCCCUGGCUCAGCAGGAGACUUAUUCUUACAGGCGGGACAGGAUUCAUUCAACUCCUCCGCCUUGGUUAGCGCCGCCUCGUCAAAACCGGAGCCCGAGUUACAGCAGGCACAUGGAGUCUGAAGCCUUGUCAAGCAACGCCCAAUGCCGUAACCAGCCCGGUGGCUAUAAUCUAGUGCAAGACUGAUUAUGUCAGGAGAACGAGCGGGUGGCUCAGCUAGCGGCUCAGCAGAAGGUUCAUCAAGAUCUCCCAGAAUAUCCGACGACUUCCGUUGAGACGGGAGUAGCCACUAGGACCGGUGGUGUUCCUUGUUUGGUACCGGCUCUGCGUAAUGUGCGCUUAUCCAAGGACUUCAAGGGACCUCGAAAAGUGCAGAAUUACACGGCCGAUUUACAGCCCGGAGCAUGGAUUGAGAGUUAUGAAAUGGCCAUGGAGAUGUUGGAAGUCAGCGAUGCGGCAACGGCUAAGUACUUCACCAUGAUGUUAGAUGGAACGGCCCGGUCUUGGUUAAAUGGUUUGCCACCCAAUUCCAUUGGUUCAUGGGCAGAGUUAAAAGCCCGUUUCAUCCAGAACUUCAAGGACACCUGUAAGCAAUCUAUGUCGAUCAUGGAUUUGACGAAUUGUAAGCAGGAGGAGGGUGAGUCCACCACUCAUUGGGUAGGCCGGGUCAAGGAGAUAAUACGUUCAUCUGACAAGAUGGAUGCCGGCUCUGCAGCCCUCAUGUUGAAGAAGAAAUGCCGCUUUGAGCCGCUGAGGCAGAAACUGGGGCGCCUUAAGCGUGACUACAAUGAUAUGGGUACGCUGAUGGCAGCUUUAGUCAAAUAUGCCGAUUUUGAUAGUACCAAGGAUCCUGUGUCUGAUGAUGAGAAGACAGGGAAGGGAAAGAGGAACGGCAAUGGAAAUGGUCAGCAGUAUAACCCGAUGAAUCAAGGUGGCAAUAAGCGUAAAGCAGACGGCAACCCAGAGUUUGUAGCCAACGCUAAUGCGCAAGGUAACAAUCAGAGAUGUAAGGGCAAGCCGCCCCCUCGAUCUGGCGGGUCAGGCCCAUCUCUUGAGCAGUUACUUAAUGAGCCUUGCCCGAGACACGGCACCCGGGAAUGACCCGCCACCCACUUAUGGAAAGAUUGUGCGAUCAUGAAGGCUUUUAAGAAUUCCAACAUGUUUGGUGACAAUUCUGGGUCUGGUGGCGGUUCAGGAGCUGGCGGUUUUCAUGGCCCGGGCGGUGGUUCAAACUCCGGCUUUCAGGGACAUCAAGGCGGUAAUAAUCAACAGCAGUCUGGUCAAGGAGAGCAACAGCAGCAGCAGUCGGGUUAUCAAAGCCAUCCGAAGUAGUUGAAUGGUGGGCACUAUCAUGUGUUUACCACUAGCUUAUGCAAACAUGACCAGAAGGUUCAUAAGAGGGCCGUGAAUUCUGUUGAGCCGGCAGUUCCUCGUUAUUUAAGGUGGUCAGAACAUCCUAUUGUAUGGAGCAGAGAAGAUCACCCUCCACGGGUUGAUCAUCCGGGUCAGUUAGCCUUGGUGGUAGCACCUCGGGUUGGCGGAUAUAAAUUCACUAAGGUACUCAUGGACGGAGGUAGCAGUAUCAAUAUCCUCUAUUAUGAGACCUUUCGACCCAUGGGAUUGACUGAUAAGAAUUUGAGGACAUCCAACACUGUUUUCAUGGAGUGGUUCCUGGUAAGUCGGCUUACCCAAAUGGCAAGAUUGAACUAGAAGUGGCCUUUGGAGAUGAGUAUGACUCCAGGGCUGAGAAAUUAAUGUUUGAAGUGGUUAAAAUCAGAAGUCCGUAUCAUGCUCUGUUCGGGCGGCCGGCUUAUGCUAAGUUCAUGCACGGCCAGGUUACGUUUAUUAGCAGCUCAAGAUGCCGGGUCACAAGGGCACCAUCACUGUGCAUGGGAGUUGAAAGGUAGCCUUGGAGUGUGAAGAAGGCGACACGGCUUAUGCUGAGUCUGCCUGCGCAGUGGAAGAGCUCAAAUUUUAUCAAGACAAUGUUGACCCGGUGGAUAUGACCUCCCUGAAGAAGCCAACUACAGAGCAUGACCCAGCAUUGAAAUUUAAAUCGGCUGCUGAGAUGAAGCUCGUUGACUUCACCCCAGGCGAUUCCUCUAAGCAAUUCAGCAUCAGUACCAAUUUGGAUCCUAAAUAGGAAAGCGCGCUCAUCGAGUUCAUCCGUGAGAACCGGGACAUAUUUGAAUGGAAUCCUUCUGACAUGCCGGGUGUACCAAGGGAACUCGCUGAGCACACACUCAAUAUUGAUCUGAAGUAUAAGCCGGUCAGGCAGUUUCUCAGACGGUUCAACAAAGAGAGACGGAAAGCUAUUGGGGAAGAAGUCGCCCGGCUCUUAGCUGCCGGGCUUAUUGUUGAAGUUUUUCACCCGGAGUGGUUGGCUAACCCGGUGCUUGUACUCAAGAAGAACGGCACCUGGCGGAUGUGUGUGGAUUACACAGACUUAAACAAGGCUUGUCCGGCUGAUCCCUUUGCACUCCCCCAUAUUGAUCAAAUCAUUGAUGCUACGGCAGGUUGUGAACGUUUGAGUUUUUUGGAUUCUUACUCUGGUUAUCCUCAGAUCAAAAUGGCAGUUAAGUACCAGGAGAAUACGGCUUUCAUCACUCCGUUUGGAGCCUUCUGUUAUGUAUCUAUGCUGUUUUGGAUCAAGAGUGCUCAGGCGACUUAUCAGCGAUGUGUGCAGAACUGUUUACAUGAUCAAAUCGGGCGUAAUGUUCAUGCUUACGUGGAUGACAUCGUGGUGAAGUCCAGAGAGAAGAAAACCUUGAUAUCUAACUUGAAGGAGACCUUUGAUAACCUCUGGGUUUAUAAGAUGAUGCUUAACCCGGCCAAGUGUGUGUUUGGUGUACCUGCAGGUAAGCUCUUGGGAUUUCUGGUCUCGAACAGAGGCAUUGAAGCUAACCCGGAGAAAAUUAAGGCGAUUACCUCUCUGGCUAAAUCGGCAUGCAUCCAUGAUGUUCAGCGACUGGCAGGUCAUGUUGCUGCUUUAAGCCGGUUCGUAAGCCGGCUGGGUGAGAAGACCCUACCGAUGUAUCAGCUGAUGAAGAAAACAGACACCUUUGUCUGGAGCGAUGCUGCUGAUGCUGCUUUUGAAGAUUUGAAGAGACAGUUGUCAGAGCCACCGGUCCUUGCGGCUCCCAUUGAUAAGGAGCCAUUGCUGUUAUACGUGGCUACUAAUUCACGAGCCGUCAGUGUUGCUAUUGUGGUAGAGCGUAAGGAAGCUGGCAAGGAGCAUCCAGUUCAAUGGCUGGUUUAUUACAUCAGUGAGGUGCUCAUUGAGUCUAAACAAAGGUAUCCACAUUCGCAGAAACUUGUUUAUGGAGUGUUUAUGGCAAACCGGAAGUUGAAGCAGUAUUUCAAAAGUCAUCCUAUAACAGUGGUAAGUUCUGCCCCCUUAGGAGACAUCAUCCAGAAUAGGGAAGCCACAGGACGAGUCGCCAAGUGGGCUAUUGAGCUUGGGCCUCAUGAUUUGAAAUAUAUGCCGCGUAUGGCUAUCAAGUCUCAAGCCUUGGUGGACUUUAUCAAUGAUUGGACAGAGUUGUAGGGACGUGAGGAGAAGCUGGAUAACACGUAUUGGACUAUUCACUUUGACGGAUCCAGGCAAUUAGAAGGCUCGGGGGCUGGAGUUGUUUUAACUUCCCCUCGAGGUGACAAAUUUUGUUACGUGCUCCGGCUUAUGUUUCCUUGUACUAACAAUGCGGCUGAGUACGAGGCCUUACUCCAUGGUCUCCGGAUGGCUAAAGAGAUGAACUUAAGCCGGGUAAGGUGUUUGGGCGAUUCAGAUCUUGUGGCCCAAUAGGUAUCAGGCAAGUGGGACUCCAAGGAUCCUCUCAGGGCGGCUUAUCAUCGUGAAGUAGAUGCUAUGGCUGGGCACUUCAAGGGCUAUCAAGUGGAGCACAUUGAUCGAAGGAAGAAUGAGGCAGCUGAUGCUUUAAGCCGACUGGGAUCUCAACGUAAGCCAGUGCCACCUAACACCUUUCUCGAUGUUUUACAUAACCCUUCUGUCAAAGUACCUACAGAGGAAGAACUAGCAGUGCCAGACCCGGAGGCACAGUUGGUGGCAGCUCUUCACGUCAUCCCGAAUUGGACAGUGCCAUAUUUGGCCUAUAUGACCCGGGGAGAGUUGCCUGAGGAUGAUACUUCGGCGAGACAAAUUGUCAGGUGGUCCAAAUCCAUGACGAUUGUUAAUGGUGAGUUGCAUCAUUGCAGUGUCACUGGGGCGUUUCAACGCUAUGUGUCGCCUGCGGAGGGACAAGAGAUACUUCAUGAGAUUCAUGAAGGAGAUUGUGGUCAUCAUGCCGGCUCAAAAUCUCUUGUGGCCAAGGCCUUUCACCAUGGUUUUUAUUGGCUGACGGCUCAUGCUGAUGUGGAGGACCUGGUCAGUAAAUGUGACGGUUGUCAAAAGUUCUCACGAUGAGCUCAUGUGCCGGCUCAAGAGUUGAGGAUGAUUCCACUCACUUGGCCAUUCGCAGUCUGGGGGCUUGACAUGGUUGGGCCUUUCAAGAAGUCUAAAGAUAAAAAGACACACCUCCUGGUCGCAGUGGAUAAGUUUACAAAGUUGGUUGAGGCAGAGCCAGUCAGUAAGUGUGAUGCAGCCAUGGCGGUUCAGUUCAUGAAAAAGGUGAUCUUUCAUUUCGGUUUUCCACAUAGCAUUAUAACUGAUAAUGGCACUAAUCUCUCCAAGGGUGCUAUGGAAGAGUUCUAUCAAUGAGAGCAUAUCCGGCUUGAUGUCUCGGUGGUUUCUCAUCCUCAAUCCAACGGUCAAGCAGAAAGAGCUAAUCAAGAGAUCCUGAAGGGUAUCAAGCCCCGGCUCUUUGUCCCCUUACAGCGGACUCCGGGUUGUUGGGUGGAGGAAUUACCCUCUGUAUUGUGGAGCAUCAACACUACGCCUAUCAGAUCUACAGGAUACACACCUUUCUUCAUGGUGUAUGGGGCAGAGGCAGUCCUGCCAAGUGACGUCCGGCACGAUUCACCCCGCGUGGUGGCUUAUGUUGAGACUGACAACAAAAAAGCUCGUCAGGAUGCACUUGACUUGUUGGAUGAGGAGCGAGACUUGGCAAUAGCCCGCUCGGCGAUUUAUCAACAAGACCUGCGCCACUAUCACAGCCGCCGGGUUAGGAGCAGAACCUUUCAGGAAGGCGACUUGGUACUCCGGCUCAUCCAAGACCAGUCUGACAUGCACAAUCUAUCCCCGCCUUGGGAAGGACCCUUUCUAGUCAGCAAGAAUCUGCACAAUGGGUCAUACUACCUCAUCGAUGUUCGAGAGCACAAAGACUCACGUAAGUCGGAGGAGGAGACCCGUCGGCCAUGGAAUAUUGCUCAUCUUCGGCCUUACUAUACUUAAGCUACCGGCUCUUAAGAUGUAUAUAUUUUGACAGUGUUUAUAUUAUAUAAAGCAAUAAAGCAGGACCUCUGUCCUUUUUAUCCUCAAAAAGUGUAUAUGUCUUCUUUAUUAGGUGGUGAAAACAACUAACAGGGAGCGGAUCAUACCUGAAUCCGGCUUUCCUUUUGGUCCGGCUUAUGAUCAUAUCUGAAUCUAGCCAUGAUCAUUUGGGGGCUUCCUGUUCAAACAUAGGUCGUAUUCGAACCAAAUAGAACAUAGUUGUCGAUACCCAUUUGGUCGGCAUACUGCCAAACCCACUUGGGGGCUUCUUGAUCAUAUUUGAAUCAUAGCUUAACCCCUUUGGGUCUGACGUGGAUCGUAUUCGAAUCAGCGUCAUUAAACAACUCUUAUGGUCACUUGGGGGCUUCCUGUUCAAACAUAGGUCGUAUUCGAACGAAAGAGAACACAGCUGUCGAUACCCACUUGAUCGGCAUCGCCAAAGCCACUGGGGGCUAUAUGAUCGUAUCCGAAUCUUAGCUUAACCCCUUUGGAACGGUUUUUCUAAUCGUAUUCGAAUCAGAAGCCUUUGAAUAUUGUUUAUUAUUCAUGAUAUUUCAUAAGUAUAAUUAUUUGACUAUCUCGAGACAUUUUUGAAAGCACUAUGAGAUAUUUCUCCAACUCAAAAUUGAUCACCCCGGGAUGUUAAGUGCCAGGUGAAUAUUACACGUUCGGCUUUUAGGAGUUGAAUUUCACCAUAUGGUGAAGGUCAUAUAAGCCGUCGGGACUACCAAAGGGAUCGCAGGUAUGUUUAUGUUUAACAAAUAUCGUCAUAAACCAGCAUAUAUGUGAUAUUUUGGAUUUGCCCUCUGGAUUAUCAAUACCUUAUGUAACCCCCGAUGCGAUAAGCUACCAAGGGAAUUUUUGAUUGUUUUAUAUGUAUGAUUAGGCAAGCAAAAUUUAACAUCAAGGACAUAAGCUGGAAAUAUAUAGCAAUUGUGGCUUACGAAAGUAUUAAGCACCAUAAACAUGCGCGAAGGCAUGGCAAAAUUUUAGAUGUUUUUUCUACCCUAUUACAAGACUCCCCGAGUCUGAAUAAAUGAAGCAUUGUUUUUGCAAAGUCAUAAAAUGUCUGGCGGUUCACUCCUUCGGCGGGCUUGAAGAUUCUGGGUUAUCCUUCUCCGCCUCUCCGUCGGUUGCUUUGUCCUAGAAGGUUGACGAGGCCCAGUCAAUGCCACUCAAGGCUUCAAACUCAGCUUCAUCAUCUAUUAAACCGGCUGGGUCCACUUCAGGGGUAAAAGUAGAGGGAUCAGGCUGACUUGAUCAUAUGGAGUGUUUGGAAUCCUCUGAUUCUCACUGUCAUAGCCCAGCGAAUACUUGGUAAGAUCAGUGUCGUUCCCAAUGAGGGUAGCCACGGGGCGUAUGUCCUUGACGCAGGCGGUGAAAUCUUGAUCAUCAAACACAGUACCAUCCUCUUUCCGACUCGGGUAUCCAAGAGCGAGGUCGGUCGGGUCUAGUUCUGGAAUCCAUGCUUUCGCCCGGCUCAACGCGGUUACGGCUCCGGCUCUUGAGGAUGCCGCCUUAAAUCCUAGAUCCGUUGAGGUAGUACAGUGAGACACUUCAGCACGUCUUGCAGGAGGUGGGGAGGGUCAUUUUACAAAGCUACAACGGCCAAAGCACGUUGUGACCCGGUGUACAGCUGCUCCACUAGAGUGUAAACCGCUUUCAGCUUGAUCAACAUAUUCUGCUUGAGGUUUGUGCUUCUGGGGCCUGUGUUCACAAGCACACAGUGAGGCGGACAUAACGAUUACGAUAGUCAUCAAAGGAAGGAUCACAAUGUUUGAGGUUAUGUACAGUAACUUACCGAAGAUGGCUAAGACCAUUUGAGAUAUCUGGCGCUUUAAGUUGCACAGCUCGGUUGUUGUUUCUGCAAGUGAUGCCUCUGCCAUUUCGGCCCGGGUCACCAACGAAGCCUUCUCAUCAGACCAGAUUUUCUUCUCUACCUCAAACUCCUUCUUCAAUUUCUCUUGCUCAGAGACGCUGAAUUCAAACUUGGAGUUGGCCUUUUGAAUUUCAAGUUCUUGAGCUGUCAGACGACUCUUUAGAUCAUUAAUUUCCGAUUCAAAUUUAAUUAUGCUGACCUACAUUGAUGUCGGGUUAUAGUCAGAAUCAUGGUAAAGUAACAUUAAGUCCCAAGCACUUUGCAAGCAAAGGUACUUGGCACUUGGGGGCUAAUGUAUGCUGAAGAAAUUUUAAUUAACAAGGCCGGUUUAUGUUAAGAAGUAUGGUAAGAUAACAUUAAGUCCCAAGCACUUUCCAAGCAAAGGUACUUGGCACUUGGGGGCUAAUGUACAGCGCAAGUUCAAGGCAUCAUGUUACAACCGGAUUAAAUAUCUUCUUUUUUGAACCGGACAGAGCAGGAUUAAGCAGUUUUCUAAGUCUACAGCAUAUUUAUUCAUAAGCAAUAGACUUGGGGGCUGAUACAGUAAGUAUGAAUCAGGAAAAUAGCAUAAAUUAUACCUUAGAUUUGUGUUGUAUUUGUUUCACCAUGUCACUUUCCAGGUCACGACUGUUAUGCACUUGGUUCAGAUAGCCUAAGACUAUGUCUCCAAUGCUUAAGUGAGUAUAAUUAGCAAUGUCCAGCUUGGCCUUCCGGCGUUCGAUGAGUUCUUCCUUGCCAGUGCAUUUGGCAAGGACAGUGGGCCGCCCUGUCUCAACAAACUGACUUUUCAGAAUCUCAACUUCUGGGUCAUUUGUCUUGACCGGGCUAGGAGCUUCCGGGUUAUCGGAGCUAUUGAGAGUAUCUUCGGUAGGCGGGUCAGCGGUUGGCACCAGAAUGUCAGAGACCGGUUCAGGCGGCGGCUGAUGGGUGGAACUGUCAGGAACUGACGUAUCAAGCGCCGGUUCAAUCAUGACCGGGUUUUGGGACGGCUUAUUUUUCUUUGCCCUCUUACUGGGCUUCACUUGCAUGCUGUCAAUAAAGGUAGAAGGAUGAAUACAAAAGCAUGAGUAAGGUAAAGCCUAAGAUAAACAAAGUUACAUUACCCAGGGGCGGUUUUGAAAGCUGGCAUGUUUGAUUGCAUAGACUCGCCGGAGGAAGGAGAAGAAUCCUGAUAAUUGGAGGCAGAUGAAUUGAGAGGUUGGCGAAUUAAACCCGCCAAAUGUAAAACAGAACGUAAAUCAGAGAUAACCUCAGUCCGACGCUUCCUAGUUACAUCAGGUAAGCCGGAGGAGAGUUUUGCGUCCUUGCCGGUCCGGGUCUGUCUCCGGUUUUCAAGCCGUUGUUGCUUCAAAAGAAAUUGAGGGUCUUGAUAAGCUAGAGGAUGUGAAAAUCUUACUUUCUGGGUCACCCUUCGGAUUUUUUGCUUUGGCAAAGGCUCUGAGUCGGAGGAGAUUAUAGUUACCUCUUCGUCAGCUGCUUGGUUGUUCCCCGUAUCCUCCUGAAAAUACAGAAUGUCAAUCAAACAAUGACAAAGAAGUUAAAAGAAUUAAGGAUUACCUCUUCGUCAUCCUCGGAAGUAUCAUCUAAUUUGAGUAAAUUGGAAGCACUUGGCUUCUUCUUCUUUGAAGUUCCCGUUUUGGCGGAUUUCCUUUCGAUUUUCUUGGCUGUCCGGGCUUGUUUGGCAGCCUCAUGAUCAUACUUGACCUUCCAGAAGUUGUCAUCGGCCUGUGGAAAAUGAUAAGAGAUUAUAAGUAAAAACAAGGUGUAACAUAGCAAAGAGUAUUCAUUGAGGUUGAUGACUCACCGCGGGGGCCGGGUUCUUCUUGCAGAAGGGAAGUAAGCCGAAGACAUCACUAGUCACUGUGCCCUCUUUCAGCAGCGAUUGGGUCGUAGCUUCCACCACAUCAUCUGGUAAGUCGUCAGGGCUAUGACGUAGUGGAUCAUCCUUUUCUCCUGAGUAAGUGCACAUUAAGCCGGAACGGCAGCUUAACGGAAGUACUCGCCAAGUGACCCAGACUCGGACCAGGUCGAUGCCGUUUAGGCCAUUUCCCAAAAGAGCCUUGAUUUUCUUAAUGGUGGAGGCGAGAGGUAGACGCUCAAUAGCAGUCAGUUUAUCCGCCAGCGGGUGGUUGGACUCAAGGCGCAGAGCGCGGAAGCCGGGCAGAGGGCUCUUGUCAGCUGGAGAGGUGUCCUGACAAUAUAACCACUUUUGAUUCCAAUCUUUCGGAUGACUCAGCAGUUCAGCAUAAGGGAAAAGGCAUUCUCUCCGCUGCUGAAUUGAGAUGCCGCCAAGUUCGAGACUGGGCCCGUUGGCGCGUUCAUUCUGCCAGUUUAAGUAGAAAAGCUCUCUGAACAAAAGCAGAUUGGGCUCCUCUCCCAGGUACACCUCGCAGAAGACUUGGAAAUUGCAGAUAUUUGACACGGAAUUGGGUCCAAUGUCUUGAGGUCUAAGGUCAAAGAACAUCAAUACAUCCCUGAAGAAUUUUGAACCAGGAGGAGCAAAUCCCCAGUUCAUGUGAUCCGUAAAAACUAUCACCUCCCCUUCUUUGGGUUGAGGCUUCUCUUCAGAUGGGUCAGGGGCACGAUAAGACAUGACUUCCUUCUUAGGCAGAUGACCAGACUUUACAAACUCCGGCAGUUUACUUCUUGUGACUGUGGAUGGGACCCAGUUAUAGGUCACAGGAGCUUCGGUUGCCUUAGGCACCAUGACGUAAAUAGAAGCCUAUGUCAAAAUAAGAAAUUCCGGUUCAACUUUAAACCCGGAGUAAAGCAGUUUAAAUUUAUUCAAGAUGGCGGCUUAAGAAGGGGCCUAAUGAUAUAUGGGCAAUUACACAGUGAUAUUUAAGCCGCUAUGGAUGUCAAGAGCAAUUGAAUAUCCUUAAAUCUGAAGAGAAGCAAGUAAGGUUGACAGAUUAGUGUUAUUUACUUAAACCGGCUACAUGGACAGUCAUGGUUAAACAUAUUUUACAGAGGCGGGUUUUUAUUUCCGGGUGAAACAAACAAGUUUCGCAAGUUGCCGCUGUUAUUUUGGAUCAAACAGCUGUUCUGAAAAGAAAAUUUUCUAAACCUAGGACAGGCGCAGAUGAAGUUCUAGGGCUUGAACGGGGCGUCUGUGUGAUAAAAAGGGAUCUGUUCGCGUUGGAAAUGGGUGCGGAAUAUCUACCGCAUCGGUUUUAUACCAUCUUCAAGAUCAAGAAACAGCGAUGGUGAUAAAAUAUAUGAAGGGUUCCUAAUGAACAGCUAAGAACACUGAAGAACUUGAAGAUCCUACUGCGGAUCUGAGAAGCAAGAAAGAGGAGACUUAUAGAUGCAGGAUUGCUGCGGAGGAUCAUCGCGUUUUUCUGGUCAAACCAGGUUGAUGCAACGGCCAGAGUUUAUGAAGACGAGUAGAUCUGCGGCGGCGGCGGCGGAGCUCGAGCGGCAGAGAAGCAGCGAGAGGAAGAAGAUGACUGAAGGGGGAGAAUGAGAAAAACCUAGGUCGUGCCUAUUUAUAAGGAAGAGAUGACGAAGACGGCACGAGAAAAGAGGAGAUAAGUAUUAUUAUCCAGCGGCCCCAAUGCCUUGAUUUUCGGAACGGUCAGUAAAGGCAAGGAUCCGUUGGAGGAUACGGUGGAAUAAAGAAUGAAUUUAAGUAAAGAUGAUGUCACGGCGGGUUAACGCGGAUCCAAAAGAUGACGUCAUGGCGGGUUAAGGAAAACCUUUUUUGCACAGGCAGAAGGCUGAAGAUUUAUUUCUUAAAGGUAUUUUAAGAUUGACAUGAACCGGUUCAAAUCAAUCUAGGGCCUAAUGUUGGGGAUAUAACUAUUUGUGUAAGCCGCCCAGGAGGGGUCGGGUUACGCAAAGAAGACUCACCAGAAAGAAGCCCAAGACCAAGCAUGAAGAUGGCGGUUCAAUACAGGGUCUGAAGCUCACAGGCGACUUAAGGCCCGUCGUAGUAAACCGCCAUAAUGGCAUGACUUGUAUCAUAAGGUAGAUUUAACUAGUCACCAAGCCGGACACUGUUUAUAAGCCGGCCGGGACUCUGUAAGCCACAGGGCAUCAACCCGUGUAUAUAAGGGGAUGACCCGCCGGCGGCUUAGGGUAAGAAACAACUGAUCGAGAGCCGGGCAUAGCGUAUCUCGCUCCCUGGUCAUCGAACAAUACCAACCCAACUAGACGUAGGCUUCCCUUCAUCGUAAGGGGCCGAACUAGAAUAAAACCUCUCGUGUCCUUUGUCCUGAUUAACCCCUUCAAGCUUCCUAGUUGCGAUGGCUCCACAACUAUGUCCUUUCACGAGGACAUCUGACGUGACAAUUCCACGACAGUGACCGAUAUCAUCAUUAACCUUAAUCCCGACACUACCUUUUUGGACUAGAGAACCCACUUGGUUCCACCAUGCCUCACUAAAGCCUUUCAUGCGCAUUGCCUGCUGAAGGAAAGGCCACUUAAAUUCAUCAUAUGCCUUCUAGAAAUCCACUUUGAAGAUAACCCCAUCUAGUUUCUUCAAAUUAAUUUCAUGUAGCAUUCAUGAAGGACAACGACCCCUUCUAGGAUGUGCCUCCUAGGCAUGAAAGCCAUCUGACUCGAUUGCACCACCAAAUGUGCGAUCCAUGUUAGUAUAUUAGUUCCCACUUCCGUGAAUAUUUUGAAACUCAUGUUGAGAAGACAUAUUGGCCUGAACUGAUCAAUUCGAACUGCUUCUUCUUUCUUUGGCAAUAAUGUAAUCAAACCAAAGUUAAGAUAAAGAAUUUGAGGUGGCCAUUAAAAAAUCUUUAAACAUAGGCAUGAGAUCAUCCUUAAUUAUAUGCGAACAUUUCCUAUAGAAUUCCGCAGGGAAGCCAUCUGGUCCUGGUGCUUUAUUUGGUUUCAUUUGUGAUAUUGCAUCAAGGACCUCUUUCUUAGUAAACGGUGCAGUUAGAAUAUCAUUCUCCUCUAACCAAAGCAGAGGUAUAUCUCCAAUAACAGACUCAUUUAGGGAAACUGUGCCCUCUGCCGGAGGCCCGAAAAGUUGCUUAGAGUAGUUGGAAAUAUACGAUUUGAGAUUCUCAUGACCCACUACGGUUCCUUCGUCCUGUUCAAGUUGUAUUAUUUUCUUCUUCCUAUGCUUAUCAUUCUCAAUCAUGUGAAAGAAUUAUGUAUUGUCGUCCCCUCGGACAACCUUAAGAACCUUAGCACGCAAUGUCCAUAUGAUCUCUUCUUCUCUAAGAAGAGCACGUAGGCGUUGCUCAGCUUUGGAUUUAGUGGCCUGUUCUGCCACAUCGAGAAGAUUCACUUCUGCUUUUAGGUCCAAAGCCUCUAUUAACUGGGUGAGUCUUUCUUUUUCUUGUUUGUAGAUUCCACUCUCGUUUCUGGCCCAACCCCAUAAAAAUUGUCUUACAUGUCUAAUCUUGUUUUGCCAUCUCUCUACACUUGAUCGUCCACUAACCGGCUUCGCCCAUUCUCUUGCUAUGAUGGCCAUGAAAUUCUCAUUCUCGAACCAUCUGAGUUUGAAAGAGAAAGUGUUCUUGCUGCCAAUAUGUGUUGCGUCUCCCAAAUCUACUAGCAAUGGUGUGUGGUCUGAGAUCGCCCUCUACAUUGCAUGCACCGACACUAAUGGGUAUUUCUGCUCCCAUUCCACACUAGUGAGCACCCUAUCUAACUUCUCAUAUGUUGGAUUGGGCAACGAAUUGGCCCAUGUGAACUGCCUACCCGUGAGUUCAAUCUCCCUCAGACUGAGACUCUCGAUAAUCAUGUUAAACAUUAGGGAUCGACGUCCAUCAAAGUUGUCGUUGUUCUUCUCAUCUCUCCUUCUUAUAAUAUUGAAAUCCCGUCCGACUAGGAUUGGAAGUGUUUCAUCCCCACAAAUCCAUACCAGGUCAUCUAGGAAAUUAGCAUUCAGUUUGGGUUGGGUUGCUCCAUAUACAGCUACCAGAGACCAGCGGAAACCAUCCAAUUUCGAUCUCACCUGAAACUUGACUGCAAAGUUCCCCUAGAACCACAUUAAUCAUCUCUAGAGUUUCGCACCUAACCCCCUGCAAAAUCCCAUCGGAUCUUCCUCUAGGAGGUAAACAGUGCCAAUCAAAAUUGGUUCCGCCGGAUAACGUUCCAAGGAACUAUGAGGUGAAGUUAUAUCGUCCUGUUUCGAGCAGUGCAAUAAAAUCUAGUUUUUGCUCUAUCGAUGUCUCUGCUAGGAACCUUCUUUUAGCCAAGUUAGCUAGACCUCUGCUAUUCCAAAAGAUUCCUUUCAUAGAUCAUCAUGGAAUUUUUUAUUAAGCUUAAUCCUAGCACUUCUACGAACAGCCGAAGUCGGAUACACGUUCCUUUUCCAGGCUCUCUUGGGCUUAUCCCCUUCGACCUUCGUAUCCUUAUUAUCAGAAUGACUCAAGACAAUACCUUCCAUUACUAAAGGCUCUACAUUGUCCUUAGUCUCUGAUCCUUCCAUACCCCCUUCAGCCUCCAAAGUAGGCAUGAGAUCAUUACAUAGGCUUUCAAGUGUUGAUAUCCCUAGAUUUUUCAUAGCAUCCUCAUUCAUAGGUCUAACGCCCGUGAGGUUACGAAAAAUUUCGGAUGCCUGCUCUGCUUCUAAGUCUAAAAGGUCAUUAACAGAUUUUGCAACUUCUUUCUCAUUUGAACCAAGUGAAACUCCUAAGUUAUGGGCCUUGUCGAUAAUUUCAUGUUCAAAGAAAUGCAAAAUUGAACAACUCUUAUUAGAAGACAUACCUAUAGUUGCCUCGACAUCGUGAAGCUUGGCCACCCUCAUGGCACGCCCUAACUGUAGGUCGGCCGCAUCUGGUUGCUCCUGGAUUUGGUUGCUGACACGCCUGCCAGCCGACACCGGGUCCAUGAUCCCACCAAAGGCGAUAAGCUCCUCCGUAGACCUCUCCUGAGGUGUCUACUCAUUGAUCUUACGCCCGCCCCUCAUGGCCGGUGAAGACGGGUGGGGCGCAGUCUAGUUAGCACCACCAGCAGAAAUUGAGGUAGGAAGGGACUGUAUAGCCUCCUGUUCGGCAGCCCCACUCCCCACCAUAUCAUCACAGCGGUCGGGUACCGCCACAGGAGGUGUGAAGGUAUGGGCCUCCUACCCGCGCCCCUCCUUAGUUCAGUGGGUGAUCACCAUAGGUGAGGGGCGGUGAGGGCCUCCUGCCCGUGCCCCACCCCUCUCUCGUCGGUUGUCCUGGCAUCUGAUAUGUCUUCAAUGUAUCUAUAAUUUUUGAUUGUUCCAUUCUAUUAUAUUAUCUGUUUUGGAUGUUUAAUGGGCUUUACUAUACACUUUUAUAUUAUUUUUGGGACUAACUUAAUAACCGGAGGCACAGUCCAAAUUGCUGUUUUUUUGCCUAUUUCAGUGUUUCGCGGAAAAGGAAUAUCAAACGGAGUCCAAACGGAAUGAAACCUUCGAGAGAAAUAUUUUUGGAACAAAAGCAAUCCAGGAGACUUAGAGUAGACCUUAGGGAAGCAACGAGGUGGCCACGAGGGUCCAGGGUGUGCCCUACCCCCCUGAGCAUGCCCCCCACCCUCGUGGGCCCCUUGUGUCUCCCCUGACCGACUUCUUUCGCCUAUAUAUAUAUCCAUAUACCCCGAAAACAUCCAAAAACACAAUAGAACGGGUUCCACCGCCGCAAGCCUCUAUAGCCACCAAAAACCUCUCUGGAGCCCGUUCCGGCACCCUGUCGGAGGGGGAAUCCAUCACCGGUGGCCAUCUUCAUCAUCCAGGUGCUCUCCAUGAUGAGGAGGGAGUAGUUCACCCUCGGGGCUGAGGGUAUGUACCAGUAGCUAUGUGUUUGAUCUCUCUCUCUCUCUCGUGUUCUUGAUUUGGCUCGAUCUUGAUGUAUCACAAGCUUUGCUAUUAUAGUUGGAUCUUAUGAUGUUUCUCCCCCUAUACUCUCUUGUAAUGGAUUGAGUUUUCCUUUUGAAGUUAUCUUAUCGGAUUGAGUCUUUAAGGAUUUGAGAACACUUGAUGUAUGUCUUGCAUGUGCUUAUCUGUGGUGACAAUGGGAUAUUUACGUGAUCUACUUGAUGUACGUUUUGGUGAUCAACUUGCGGGUUCAGUGACCUUGUGAACUUAUGCAUAGGGGUUGGCACACGUUUUCGUCUUGACUCUUCGGUAGAAACUUUUGGGCACUCUUUGAAGUACUUUGUGUUGGUUAAAUAGAUGAAUCUGAGAUUGUGUGAUGCAUAUCAUAUAAUCAUGCCCACGGAUACUUGAGCUGACAUUGGAGUAUCUAGGUGACAUUAGGGUUUUGGUUGAUUUGUGUCUUAAGGUGUUAUUCUAGUACGAACUCUAUGAUAGGUCGAACGGAAAGAAUAGCUUCGUGUUAUUUUACUACGGACUCUUGAAUAGAUUGAACAGAAAGGACAACUUUGAGGUGGUUUCGUACCCUACAAUAAUCUCUUCAUUUGUUCUCCGCUAUUAGUGACUUUGGAGUGACUCUUUGUUGCAUGUUGAGGGAUAGUUAUAUGAUCCACUUAUGUUAUUAUUGUUGAGAGAACUUGCACUAGUGAAAGUAUGAACCCUAGGCCUUGUUUCAACGCAUUGCAAUACCGUUUGUGCUCACUUUUAUCAAUAUUUACCUUGCUAUUUUUAUAUUUUCAGAUUACAAAAACCUAUAUCUACCAUCCAUAUUGCACUUGUAUCACCAUCUCUUCGCUGAACUAGUGCACCUAUACAAUUUACCAUUGUAUUGGGUGUGUUGGGGACACAAGAGAUUCUUUGUUAUUUGGUUGCAGGGUUGUUUGAGAGAGACCAUCUUCAACCUAUGCCUCCCACGGAUUGAUAAACCUUAGGUCAUCCACUUGAGGGAAAUUUUCUACUGUCCUACAAACCUCUGCACUUGGAGGCCCAACAACGUCUACAAGAAGAAGGUUGCGUAGUAGACAUCAAGCUCUUCUCUGGUGCCGUUGCCGGGGAGGUGAGUGCUGGAAGGUAUAUCUUUAGAUCUUGCACUCGAAUCUUUUUGUUUCUUGUUUUAUCACUAGUUUACUAUAAAAGAAAACUACAAAAAAUGGAAUUGAGUUUGCCUCAUACGCUUCAUCUUUUUAAUAUCUUUCGUGAGAAUGAUGGAAAGGAAAAUUGUGCUCAGGUGCUAGAAGAAGAAGUCUAUAAAAUGUUUGGCACUAAAUCUUUGAAUGAUGAGCAUGAUUGCAAUGUUGUUAGUAUGAACUCUUUGAAUACCUAUGAUGCUAAUGAUAUGCAAAGCCACAAGCUUGGGGAUGCUAUGUUUGAUGAAGAUGAUAUUUUUUGUCCCCCAAGUUUUGAUGAGCAAAUUUAUUAUGAUGAAAGCAUACAUCCUACUUAUGAUGAUUAUUGUGAUGAUACAUAUGCCAUAAAGAAUAAACAUAAACAUGAAACUUGUCAUCUUGAUUUUAAUUUUCAAUUGGAUUAUGCUUCACAUGAUAGUUAUUUUGUUGAGUUUGCUCCCACUAUUGAUGAGAAUAAAUUUGCUUAUGUGGAGAGUAGUAAAAUUUCUAUGCAAGUAGAUCAUAAAAAUAAUGCUUUAUGUUCUGGUUAUAUUGUUGAAUUCAUUCAUGAUGCUACUAAAAAUUAUUAUGAGGGAGGAAUAUAUGCUUGUAGGAGUUGCAAUGAUAUCAAGUUUCCUCUCUAUGUGCUUAAAGUUUUAAAGUUAUGCUUGUUUUGCCUUCCUAUGCUAGUUGAUUAUUAUUCCCAUAAUUUGUUUGCUCACAAAAUCCCUAUGCAUAGGAAGUGGGUUAGACUUAAAUGUGUUAGUAAUAUUCUUCAUGGUGCUCUCUUUAUGUUUCAAUUCUUAUCUUUUAUGCGAGCAUCAUUGAAAUCAUCAUGCCUAGCUAAAAGGCAUUGAAGAAAAGCGCUUGUUGGGAGACAACCCAAUAUUUAACUUUAAUGUUUUUGUGUGCUACUGUAGUAAUCAUGUUUUAUAGUUUUUGUUUCAAUAAAGUGCCAAGUAAGACCUUUAGGAUAGCUUACGGUGAUAGUUGUGUUGAUCCUGCUGAAAAACAGAAACUUUUUCACCUAGUAAAUUAGUUUUGGUAAUUCACAUACACGUGCUUUUGAUCUGAUUAUUUUUGCUCUGGGUUGGUACACAACUUGCUUAGGAAUUCCUAAUUUGUUAGAAUUUUUUGAGUUACAGAAGUAUUCGAUUGUUACAGAUUACUACAGAUUGUUCUGUUUUUGACAGAUUCUGUUUUCAUUGUGCUGUUUGCUUAUUUUGAUGAAUCUAUGAGUAGUAUCGGAGGGUAUGAACCAUAGAGAAGUUGUAAUACAGUAGAUAUUACACCAAUAUGAAUUUAGAAUGAGUUCACAACAGUACCUAAGUGGUGAUUUAUUUUCUUAUACUAACGGAGCUUACGAGUUUUCUGUUGAGUAUUGUGUUGUGAAGUUUUCAAGUUUUGGGUAAAGAUUCAAUGGACUAUGGAAUAAGGAGUGUCAAGAGCCUAAGAUUGGGGAUUCCCAAGGCACCCCAAGGUAAAAUUCAAGGACAACCAAAAGCCUAAGCUUGGGGAUGCCCCGGAAGGCAUCCCCUCUUUUGUCUUCGUCCAUCGGUAACUUUACUUGAUGCUAUAUUCUUAUUCACCACAUGAUAUGUGUUUUGCUUGGAGCGUCAUUUUAUUUUGUUAGUAUUUUCUUGAUGUUAUUUAGAAUAAUGUUUUGCAUAUCUAUUUUCAAUAAAAGUGGCAAUGAUAGCCUUUGCCAUGCUUAUUUUGCAAGUAUACUUGUUGCUGUUUGAAAACAGAAAGUUUACCGCUGUUGCAAAAAUUCCCUAGAAAAGUCGGAAAAUGAUAAAAUGUUGAAACUUUUUGCAUAUUGAGAUCUGGUAAAGUAUCUACAGUUUAGUAUUUUUCUCAUAACUUUUGGAGUUAGGUAAGUAUGAUGAAUCUUACAAUCUUUACAGACUGUACUGUUUUGGCAGAUUGCUGUUAUGUUUGCAUUGUUUGCAUAUGUUUGCUUGUUUAAUGAUUCUAUUUGAGGAUAGGAGUAUUAAAUAUGCAGAGGCAUUUAGUAUGCAAUGUUGAAUAAUAAUUUUAGUGAUUUGUUACAGUAGAAAAUGAUAAGGUUUUUGCAUUGGUUUAUACUAACUUAUCUCACGAGUUCUUGUUGAGUUUGGUGUGGAUGAAGCUCUCGAGAUUUAGGAAACCGAGAUAUAAAAGGAAUUAAGGAGACACAAAAGCUCAAGCUUGGGGAUGCCCAAGGCACCCCAAGAUAAUAUUUCAAUAAGUCUCAAGCAUCCAAGCUUGGGGAUGCCCCGGUAGGCAUCCCACCUUUCUUCUUCAACAAUUAUCGGUUAGUAUCGGUUGAACCUAAGUUUUUGCUUCUUCACAUGAUGUGUGCUAUCCUUGAAAUGUCAUUUUGUUUUGUUUUGAUUGAUGUUUGAAUAAAAUACCAAGAUCUGAAAUUCUUAAACGUUAGAGAAUCUUCACAUAGUUGCACAAUUAUUUGACUACUCAUUGAUCUUCACUUAUAUCUUUUGGAGUAGUUUGUCAUUUGCUCUAGUACUUCACUUAUAUCUUUUUAGAGCACUGUGGUGGUUUUAUUUUGAAGAAAUAGAUGAACUCUCAUGCUUCACUUAUAUUAUUUUGUGAGUCUUCAAUAGCAUGGUAAUUUGCUUUGGUUAUAAAAACUUUCAUAUAAAGUGCAUUGAAUACUAUGAAAAUUUGAUACUUGAUAAUUGUUUUGAGAUACAAAGGUGGUAAUGUUAGAGCCAUGCUAGUUGGAUAAUUAUGAAAUUGAGAAAAAAUUGUGUUAAAGUUGGCAAGUCCCGUAGCAUGCACGUAUGGUGAACGUUAUGUGACAAAUUUGAAGCAUGGGGUGUUCUUUGAUUGCCUUCCUUAUGAGUGGAGGUCAGAAUCGCGCGAUGGUUAACUCCCACCAACCCUUUCCCUAGGAGCAUGCAUAGUAGUACUUUGCUUCGAGGGCUAAUAAACUUUUGCAAUAAGUAUAUGAGUUCUUUAUGACUAAUGUGAGUCCAUGAAUUAUACACACUCUUACCCUUCCAUCAUUGCUAGCCUCUACAGUACCGUUCAUUGCCUUUCUCACCUUGAGAGUUGGUGCAAACUUUGCCGGUGCAUCCAAACCCCGUGAUAUGAUACGCUCUAUCACACAUAAACCUCCUUAUAUAUCUUCCUCAAAACAGACACCAUACCUACCUAUUAUAGCAUUUCCAUAGCCAUUCCGAGAUAUAUAGCCAUGCAACUUUCCAUCGCUCCAUUUAUUAUGACACGCUCCAUCAUUGUCAUAUUGCUUUUGCAUGGUCAUGUAGUUGACAUCGUAUUUGUGGCAAAGCCACCUUCAUAAUUCUUUCAUACAUGUCGCUCUUGAUUCAUUGCAUAUCCCGGUACACCGCUGGAGGCAUUCACAUGGAAUCAUAUUUUGUCCCAAGUAUUGAGUUGUAAUUCUUGAGUUGUAAAUAAAUAAAAGUGUGAUGAUUUCCAUUAUUAGAGCAUUGUCCCAAGUGAGGAAAGGAUGAUGGAUAUUAUGAUUCCCCAUAAGUCGGGAUGAGACUCCGGACUUUAGGAAAAAUAAAAGAGGCCAAAAAAGCCCAAAUAAAAAAAGAAAAAAAUGAGAGAAAAAGAGAGAAGGGACAAUGUUACUUGUGCUUCAAAGUAGCACCAUGAUCUUCAUGAUAGAGAGUCUCCUAUGUUGUCACUUUCAUAUACUAGUGGGAGUUUUUCAUUAUAGAACUUGGCUUGUAUAUUCCAAUGAUGGGCUUCCUCAAAAUGCCCUAGGUCUUCGUGAGCAAACAAGUUGGAUGCACACCCACUUGGUUUCUUUUGUUGAGCUUUCAUACAAUUAUAGCUCUAGUGCAUCCGUUGCAUGGCAAUCCCUACUCAUCGCAUUGACAUCAAUUGAUGGGCAUCUGAGCCCAGUGAUUAGCCGCGUCAAUGUGAGACUUUCUCCUUUUUUGUCUUCUCCACAUAACCUCCAUCAUCAUAUUCUACUCCACCCAUAGUGCUAUAUCCAUGGCUUACGCUCAUGUAUUGCGUGAGGGUUGAAAAAGCUGAAGCGCGUUAAAAAGUAUGAACCAAUUGCUUGGCUGAAACCGGGGUUGUGCAUGAGCAUUUUGUGUGAAGAAAAUGAAGCAUGGCCAAACUAUAUGAUUUUGUAGGGAUAAGCUUUCUUCAGCUAUGUUAUUUUGAUAAGACAUGAUUACUUUGUUAGUAUACUUGAAGUAUUACUAUUUUUAUGUCCAUAUGAACUUUUAUCUUAAAUCUUUUGGAUCUGAACAUUUAUACCACAAUAAAGAAAAUUACAUUAAGAAAUAUGCUAGGUAGCAUUCCACAUCAAAAAUUCUGUUUUUAUCAUUUACCUACUCGAGGAUGAGCAGGAAUUAAGCUUGGGGAUGCUUGAUACGUCUCCAACGUAUCUAUAAUUUUUUAUUGGUCCAUGCUAUUAUACUAUCUGUUUUGAAUGUUUAAGGCUUUACUAUACAUUUUUAUAUUAUUUUUGGGACUAACCUAUUAACCGGAGGCCCAGUCCAAAUUGCUGUUUUUUUGCCUAUUUCAGUGUUUCGCAGAAAAGGAAUAUCAAAUGGAGUCCAAACAGAAUGAAACCUUCGGGAGAGUUUUUGGAACAAAUGCAAUCCAGGAGACUUGGAGUAGACGUCAGGGAAGCAACGAAGUGCCCAUGACAGUCCAGGGCGCGCCCUACCCCCCUGGGCGUGCCCUCCACCCUCGUGGCUCCCCCUGACUGACUUCUUUCGCCUAUAUAUAUCCAUAUACCACAAAAACAUCCAAAAACACAAUAGAUCGGGAGUUCCGCUGCCGCAAGCCUCUCGGGAGCCCGUUUGGGCACCCUGCCGGAGGGGGAAUCCAUCACGGUGGCCAUCUUCAUCAUCCAGGCGCUCUCCAUGACGAGGCGGGAGUAGUUCACCCUCGGGGCUGAGGGUAUGUACCAGUAGCUAUGUGUUUGAUCUCUCUCUCUCUCUCUCGUGUUCUUGAUUUGGCAAGAUCUUGAUGUAUCAUGAGCUUUGCUAUUAUAGUUGGAUCUUAUGAUGUUUCUCCCCCUCUACUCUCUUGUAAUGGACUGAGUUUUCCCUUUGAAGUUAUCUUAUCGGAUUGAGUCUUUAAGGAUUUGAGAACACUUGAUGUAUGUCUUGCAUGUGCUUAUCUAUGGUGACAAUGGGAUAUUCACAUGAUCUACUUGAUGUAUGUUUUGGUGAUCAACUUGCGGGUUCAGUGACCUUGUGAACUUAUGCAUAGGGGUUGCCACACGUUUUCGUCUUGACUCUUCAGUAGAAACUUUGGGGCACUCUUUGAAGUACUUUGUGUUGGUUAAAUAGAUGAAUCUGAGAUUGUGUGAUGCAUAUCAUAUAAUCAUGCCCAUGGAUACUUGAGGUGACAUUGGAGUAUCUAGGUGACAUUAGGGUUUUGGUUGAUUUGUGUCUUAAGGUGUUAUUCUAGUACGAACUCUAUGAUAGAUCGAACGGAAAGAAUAGCUUCGUGUUAUUUUACUACGGACUCUUGAAUAGAUCGAUCAGAAAGGAUAAUUUUGAGGUGGUUUCAUACCCUACAAUAAUCUCUUCGUUUGUUCUGCGCUAUUAGUGACUUUGGAGUGACUCGUUGUUGCAUGUUGAGGGAUAGUUAUAUGAUCCACUUAUGUUAUUACUGUUGUGAGAACUUGCACUAGUGAAAGUAUGAACCCUAGGCCUUGUUUCAACGCAUUGCAAUACCGUUUGUGCUCACUUUUAUCAAUGGUUACCUUGCUAUUUUUAUAUUUUCAGAUUACAAAAACCUAUAUCUACCAUUCAUAUUGCACUUGUAUCACCAUCUCUUCGCCGAACUAGUGCACCUAUACAAUUUACCAUUGUAUUGGGUGUGUUGGGGAAAUAAGAGACUCUGUUAUUUGGUUGCAGGGUUGUUUGAGAGAGACCAUCUUCAACCUACGGCUCCCAUGGAUUGAUAAGCCUUAGGUCAUCCACUUGAGGGAAAUUUGCUACUGUCCUACAAACCUCUGCACUUGGAGGCCCAACAACGUCUACAAGAAGAAGGUUGCGUAGUAGACAUCAGCGUCGCUAGCACUUGAAGCCGGAGAGGCAUCUGGAUGCGUCUGCUCCCCACGAUCGAGUCGGCGCCCCGAACAUCUGCUGCCGGAGAGACGCCAGUGAGGGCCUCCUGCCCCUCCGUCCAUUCGGCCACAGCAUCCGCAAUACGCGGCGUAACCACGUCCGGUCCGGAGAUCUCUGUUGGCGCUAUGUAAUCAAGAAGCAUCACAGACGGUAGCUCAAGUUCCACCGGGUCGUCCAUCUCCACUCCGUUGCUCCAUAACCGGCUGGAAGCCGAACACGAACCAAAGGAACCAAAACGUAAUGUAUUCUCCGGCAUGGAUGAUGUGGUCCCCUUGGCAGACUUACCUGCCUUAUCAGACUGCAAAUUGGUCCCCUUGGCCGGCUCCCACGACGUGUCCUCGGACCCCUUGUUCUGAUUCCCAUGGGCUCCAUCCCUCUCAAUCAUGUCCAUAUCCUGAUGCUCAUCAACCCCCUGGAAUAGAGGUGUAUCCUCGAUCUCGAUCUCUAACUCAUAUGUGACCCCCGCGUGGGUCCACUUAACCACAUCCGACACGAACUCAAUACUGAUCACACUGACAAGUAGCCUCGCCACACCAUGUGCAUGAGUGAAAGGCAUAUCUACAUGUUCUGUCUUGCCAAUGAGAGAUCCCAAGCUCUAGGUAACCAGAAAGUUGUUCAGUGGUUUAGGUGGCGCACCCGAAAAACGAACCCAAAUCUGAUCUAAAGGUGUGCCAUGUGGUUCUUUCUGCUUCCACUCGUCGAACUCCAUGAUGAUGCUAGUACUCGGGACUCUGCACAUACCAAACUAAAGAAUAUGUAGAUGAUCCUCCUUAGUGGGAAACUCUACCUUGUAAGUCUGGUUCUCCAACUUGACAUGGUUCCACUGAAAAUUACCCGGUGUCAACUCGCGCAACUGCUGUACAAUCUGUGCUUCGGUGAUGAACCCAUUAGUCACCCUGACUACUCCUGGAAAAGAGCUCCCCAUCGCUUGCAUCGAUGGUGCCACAUCAGGUGACUCUAAGAACAUCAACUCUUGACAGCAAACUCCAUAAAUGUUAACCACCGAUUUAGGUCCCGAAAGAAGAGGACAUUCACCGGACAAAUGUUGCGACUUAAGGCAGUAGUCACAUAACUCCUUAGUGCAUUCUGCCACAAAGUGUCCCGGCUCGCCGCAUCUAUAGCAUGUCAACUUCUUCUUCUUAAUAGCCCACUUAGAUAAUUUUUCGCCAUCUGUUUUGUCAGCCCCUUUAUCAGAAGCACUGUCCCCGGUCUUAGCAGCCUGGACCGGCCACCGAAAUGUUGACAGCCGCAGGAGCCCGAACUGUAUCUACAACAACCGCAGGCAAAGCAGGGGAGGACGAUGCCACAUCAGCCGUGGCAGCAACCGGCUUGGCUUGAGCCACCUCAGCAGCAUCGGUAGGAGGUGGUGGAGGUCGCGGUGGAAGCGGGCAGCGACCCCCUCCUCUCCCGCCACGGAANNNNNNNNNNNNNNNNNNNNNNNNNNNNNNNNNNNNNNNNNNNNNNNNNNNNNNNNNNNNNNNNNNNNNNNNNNNNNNNNNNNNNNNNNNNNNNNNNNNNNNNNNNNNNNNNNNNNNNNNNNNNNNNNNNNNNNNNNNNNNNNNNNNNNNNNNNNNNNNNNNNNNNNNNNNNNNNNNNNNNNNNNNNNNNNNNNNNNNNNNNNNNNNNNNNNNNNNNNNNNNNNNNNNNNNNNNNNNNNNNNNNNNNNNNNNNNNNNNNNNNNNNNNNNNNNNNNNNNNNNNNNNNNNNNNNNNNNNNNNNNNNNNNNNNNNNNNNNNNNNNNNNNNNNNNNNNNNNNNCGGUUAUUAGGUCCGGCUACUCCUUCAACGAAGUUCCCCGGUGGUCCUUGGAAUCCACGUCCCGAUCCUCCACCGUUAAACCACGCAUAUCCCGAACCACCUCCGAAAGAAGACGAGCCGCGGUGUUUGCCCUCGCCGUACGCAUCAUAGCCGUCAAUGCCCCACUGCCCUCGUUGGCGCGGUCAAUGCUGCCUAUUUUCCAUCGUACAAAAAUCGGACAGGAUUUGUCGUACGUCAAGCAUCACUCUAGAGGGGUUUUUUUUGCGGGGCACUCUAGAGGAGGUAUUAACAUGAGUGCCUAGCAAGCAAGCAAGAACAUCAUCAGUUCUCGUCUAAGUUGUAGAGGGACUCACUACGUAAUCGUUGAAGAGCGAAGCCAUGAAAAUUGGAAUUAACAAAUCAUCCAGAACUGAAUCAAAUGGUCUCUGCACUUACGAUGAUCACCAUUUGACCCCAUCAAUAAUAAAUUAAAAAUUCAAUAAACUUUUGUAUUCAACUUUUUUGUUGAGUUACACAGAGGGUUCGGUGUCGCGAUGUAUCUUUUGUUUGUUAUACUCAGCUGGAAAUCAAUCAACACGUCCUCCGUUGUUGGUUGAGUUCAUGGUGGCUUCUUUGUCAUGGCCUGUAGCAGUAUUUGCUUUAGGCGUGAUCAUAUAUAGAUGUGUGAUGAGCGCAACAAGUGUUGGCAACUGUACCAUUUAUGGUAGAAUUGAAUGGCCACAAUGGUUGAUGGCAUGUGGUGUCUGGUGAAAAAAUGAUGUCCUGCAACAGACAACGUUUCACUCCCUGUUCUUCUAUACAUAUCUGGCUUCCCCAUGUAGCAAGAUCGCGUCUAGUUGCUAGGGCAGAAUGCCAGAGUGUAGGAGAGCGAUCCUGGCGAGCACGGUGGAUGCACCAAUGGUCACAUAGCGUGUUCUGGGAAGGAAUGGGAUGUAUCCGAAAUUUAGAGUUGGAGACGAGUAAACAGAAGAGUGCUAAGAGCACUGGUGGAACGGCGGCUCUACGUUGCCAGUUCGGCAUGGUUUACUCUCCACUGUUGAGCCGUUGAUUUCAUCACUCAAGUAUCGAGCUGCUCAAGCUAAGCAUGGCCAGGUCUCCAACACAUGAAGAUGCUGAAAACGUGCGCGCUCUAUCCAUGUCACUCGGUUAAAUGGAAUCAUGUGACUUAACACUUAAGCAUGAGAAGAUACGAUUAUUUGCAUCUAUUGAUCGCGUCACCCAUUAAUUUACAAGACGCUCUCAUUACUUCAGUGCCUUUUGUUCCACUUGGUGAUCGCAUCUAGAGUAAAGCUCAUAGUUCGUUUGCUUGGAAAAGAACCUUUUUCUCCAUAACGAAACUCAAAACCAUAAGAUUAAUGCCACAAAAGGCAAAGGAUGCAGCGGCUUAGGUCGACCAUGCUAGAUCUGUCUUGACGAAGAAUGUCAAAAGAUCCAACUGUUCUGAAAUCAACAGGUAGCCACUAACCAAUCAAAGGUGAUAGGAAAUCAGAAAUGCUUGCGUGAUCAAGCAAGUGAAUCGCCUUAGCUGACAAACACAUAGCAGGCUGCAUCAACACUGCCACUAAAAUGAACAAGUAAUUUUAAUUUACUCCCGCAAACAUAUGCAAAUAUAUUCCACCAAGAAUAUUAGUCGGUCCUCGCUAUCAACCACAUCUAAAACCAUGUCAACAAAUGGAAACAACACCACCUUAAAGUAUCCACACGAGAAGGCUCCUUAUAUUUGUAUUAACAGAAGAGCAAAAAGAUAUAGCUGUAUGAUUUCAGCGAUCCAAAUCCGCACGGUGCAGCGAUGCGCAAGACUACCAUUUCCAAUCGGCACACAUCCUCUCUCCUUCCACUCACUACCCUGGCUACAACUCUGGCUGCUAGUUUUCUUCAUCAGAACGCAGAGCUCAGGGCACCUCGUGCUGCAUGUUGUUGCAACUCCUGGGAUUUUCCACUUCCACGGAAGUACAUGUACACUUGCUGCAUGUUGAGUAAGAGAGUUUGGUGAUCACGAAAUAGGAACAACAUCAGUUGCAAUGCAAGGAUCUAUUGGCUAUGCCGAUCAGUCAAAUACAAAUUGAGCAUUUCAUCCAAUAUGUGCCAAUGCAUCUGCUCAUCAGUAAGGAGGGGCUAACACUACAUUUUUCGAAAAGGAAGAUAACCCCCGGCAUCUGCAUCACUCCAUGCACACAACCGCCUUUAUUAUUAUCCAAUAGAGUCUGAAAACAUGAAUACAUGGAUCAACCCGAGGCCACCUAUCUCGCGAACAAACACGCGAUACCUACAAUUUGUAAUGUGCCCGAACAGCAUGAACGCAUACCAUCUAAUCUGCCUCACACAGCUGCACUGCAUUGGGCCAAGAGCACCACCUGUUCUGGGCGACCCGCAACACGCACCGCAUGUGCACGCUCUGAUCCGCUGCCGCCAUCUUCCAUCGUCCCAUAUCCAGGAGUGAUCUACGCUUUGACCUUGUCAGGCCCAACUGCCAUCGGCGCCACCACGAGGCCAGACAGUGCCACCAGCCUACACGUGUCCAUCAACCUGCAUCCAACACUGAGAACCACUUCGCCACGCCGCCAAGACCCAUCCUCUUCGAUGCGGUUGAUACAACACUACUCCACCUAUUGGCCCCUUGAGUUAGUACCUUCUUGAAAACAAUGCGCCCAAGAGGGAGAACGGCACCGAUGUCCCUGUCAUCAUCCGAUCAGGGAGGCCCAGAUCUAGGGUUCCCCCAGAGCAAAUGCCACUAGAGGGAGAAGGGCAUGCCAUCUGCUGCGGCCAACGAGCCCACACGGUUCCCACCACCACAAUACUCUCAUGGCAACGCCUUCAAGAAGGACACGGUGCCCAGAGCGUCAGCGCGGCCCACCGAAGUUAGGGUUUUCACCCGAGUAGUAGUGAGGUGGGAAGAGAUAGGACAGAACCGACCGGCAAACGUCUCCAAGAAGAAAACUAGCGCCCCCGAGCAUAGUCGCCAUCACGGUCGACCGUAGACGAUCAUGGAGUUAUCCUCAUCUGAAGCCCCCACCACCCGCUCCGCCAACGGCCCUAUGACCGGCUAGACAAGCAUGGCCAAGAUCCGGCCGAGGUGGAAUGCACCAUGUCGGGACGAGAUGCAACCGCCAGAUCCGACGUCAUCGGCCAUCGGGGCAACAAAGCUCCGGCCCAACCUGCAAGGUAGCCGUCGGUCACCCGAUCCAGCGACCUGCAACCCUCCAGCCCCUCCUCAACACAUGAGAGGUUGGCCUCGCGAGAGGGCCACAACCCUAGAUCCGAGCUCUCAACCCUAGAUCAGGAGGAGCAGCGCAAGCCCUGCCGCCAUAGUCCUUGGCUGCGCCGCGGGCUCACCCAGCGUCAGCCUCAUGUGGCGGCGAGGUGGAAGGGAGGAAAUUGGGAGUCCUGGCAGCGCAAGGAGGAGUCGCCCUAGAGGGGCGGUGCCGCUCGAGGUAAAUACUACAUAAUCAUAACCUUAUGAAAAACAUGAGAACUAAAACAUUCAAUUGGCUUUUGGUUGUUAACUAAUCAAGCGGUCAACGCAUUAUCAUGGUUGGAAUAGAGAGAUAACAGCACCACCUGAAUAACAUAUAAUUGGCCAUGCAGACUAAGAUCUUCAAAUAACAAGAAUUUAAUCAUCCCAAGAAAAAGGAGAGAAACCACACCACCUGAAUGACUCCUAUGCUCAGCAGUCAUUCAAGGCAGAACAGUCCAAAUCCAACAAAGUAAAAUAUCUGCCAAAUGAAGUUCCACAAAAAUAAGACUGGCAGACACAAUCUCGUCCAAAUGCAAUCUACGAAGUAAAACCCUGAUACUCAUAUGCGUGUGAGGUAUGCCGCAGUUAUGUGACACUCCAACGUUCGUAAUGCACUUUAUCAAGGAAACAAGAUGAUCAUCGUGCAACUCUGCUACACGAAGAAGACCUGGGAUAUGUUGAAGGCAGUGGUUACGACUUACGAGGACCAAAUGAAGGACAACAUUUGCCCUCGCUACUGCAUGUGAAGAGCGGUGGGGAUGGGGGAAGUCGGAUCAAGGGAGAAAGCGGCGAUGGAGAAGGAUUGUGGUGCGUGAUAUAAGAGACAUUUUUCACACAAAUAAAAAUGACGUGAUAUAUUAUUCAUGAAACUGAAGUCCAGGAGUCUAGAGCGGUUGAGCCGCAUAUCUCCAUAUAUGCAUGUGGUCAUGGACCGAUGGUCCGUCUACAAAUUACUAGUGUUACUCCAUUUAAACACACACAAUGUGCAAUCAUAGAAUGUUAAUCUUCGGAUAUGUAUGGAAACUAGAUGAUUGGUUGAAGAGUCGUAGUGAUACGUCAACUGGCAGCAGACAUAAGGUGAUUCAUCUGGAAUAGGAUGCACAGAGAAUUGCAGUUGAAGAUCAACACUAAGCACAUGAUCUGCUUCUUGCUUCUCCCGGAUACAUGUCGUGGCUAUGUGCUUCGUGGCAUGAGGCAGUAUGCCCCUACAGAAUGUCCCAUGCCACACCAUAUGGUUAGCAAGAUGCUAUGGACUAAUUGGUUAAAUUGUUACAUCUUGAAUUGAGUAUAUAACAAAGCGAACUGAGCAUAGCUCAGAUGAUUAGGUUUCUUGUGGUGGAACCUGCCCACCAUGAUACUAAGUCAUAGACUUGACACGGAUGGUCACAAUUUUUUGGAUUUAUUCUGGGCUUUCUGACGCUAUUCUUUGAUCAGUAUGGCAUGCUCGUGAACUAUGACUCUCCCAGAGGCGUUCGUAAGGGUAGGUGAGUGUGUGCGCAUGUUUAUGAGAGUCUAUGUUUGUAUUCUGUUACUUAAAAAUUGAUUAUAUAACAACCAUAUAUCACCAAUUCACACAUAGCUACAUGUACUUGCAAAACACGUGAAAAAUUAUUCGUAAAUGUCAUGCUCCAUCUUUGGUUGUUUAUUAAUCGUCCUUUCCUCCAAAAUAGAACAAAACAUGUGUUAUUACUUAUUAACCAAAAUUUCAUCAAGCACGGAGACUUGUGCAUAUAUGGUCCUUGCGCAUAGUGAUAUCAUUGUCCUCCAGCCAUAUCAAGAAAAAGCGCCAAAUUUAUAUUAAGAUAAGUAAGAAAAAAACAUGUUUGACUUCACAACCUCUCCCAUUGCAAAGUAAAUUAAAAUUUAGGCAUCUGCUUACUUUCAGUAAUAAGUGAUGCCUACCCUUUCUAGAGAAAAUAAUCACAUCAUAUCCUGACAUGCUGUUGCCAUCCUUGAUUGAUUUCCUUACUGGUCCCAUUUUCCUAGUUUAUAAACCGAUCACACAUUUUAAGAUUCAACUUAGACUAUCAUUCAAUCCAAUAAUUUAUAAAUUAUUACCAUAAAAAUAUACCAUAGGAACUAUUGAAUAUGAAUGCAGUGGCAUAAUAUUUGGAUCACAUAACCUACGUUUUGGUAAAGAAAAAAGAACUUUUAUGCUCAAGUCAGUAAUUCCUAACGCAAAACAACAGUCAUCUUUUGGUUGCUUUUAUUGUCCACAGGCAUGUGUGUAAUAUGGCAUUCUAAGUUUGCAUUUAAAUAUGGAUCAUCUCGGGGAGUCAAAAGGGUAGGAUGGUCAUUUCAUGUUAAACCUUAAUGCAUAUGCCUAAAACACCUUGUAAAAGUUAAUAGAGGGAAUGCUAACAUGAGUGCCUAGUAACAAAGCAAGUGCAUCAUUUUGGUUCUUUCUUGGUCAUCUUAGCGACUUGCCUCGUGAGCCCUGUAGAUCUACUCAUUACAUGUUCAUUGUACAGUGAAGCCAUGAAGAUUGAAAUUAGAAAAAAUCAUGUGGACUAGAAUCAAAUUGUCUUUGUUCUUAUGAUGCUCACUACUUCACUACUAGUAAUAAAUUAACAAUUUAAUAAUAUUUUGUAUUAAUGUUUCUAUUGAGUUACACAGAGGAUUUGGUGCCAUGGCCUAUCUUCCGUUUGCUAUACCGAGUUGGAAUCAAUCAACACUAAGAAGUUUUUCAGUUUUGGUUGAGUUCGUGAUAGCUUUGUCAUGGUUUUCUAGCGGCAUUCGCUUUAAGGUUGCCCAUAUGUAGAGAAACAUUGCUAAUUGCACCACUCAUGGUAGACUUAAAUGGCCAAACCAUUGGCAUGUGAUGUUUGGUGGAGAAAUGAUGUAUUGACCACACAAAUGUUUAACUCCUAGACUUUAUAUGCAUAUCUAUCUUCCCCAUGUGGUGGGAUCAUGUCUAGUUGCUAGGAGAUAAUGCCAAAGCAUAGGAGAGCAACACUGAUGAGCAUGGUGAAUGCACCGAUAGUCACAUAUCAUGACCUAGCAGGGAAUGUGAUAUAUCAAAACUUUGAUUUGGAGCCUAGUAAAAAGAAAGAAAAUCCAUGUAAGAGUGGUUGAACUAGCAAACACCCAUCGUAUGGUGGCUCUAUGUUGUCAAUUCAGUGCAAUUCAUCCUAGAGUAUUGAGUUGUUGAUUUGAUCAGUCAGGUAUACUGGUUGCAUGAUCUAAGACUUCACCGAUCUCUAAUACUUGAAAAUGGAAGAGAAUAUGUAUGCAUUGUAUCCAUGUUUUCAUAAGUGGAAUUCUAGUCUUAGUCCUAAGAACACACAGUUAUUUGCAUCUGUUAAUCGCAUCACCUCUUGCCUUACAUCCUUAGAGGGCAUGUCGCAUUACUAUGAUUUACAACGCAUACCUUUAUACAUUGUUGUUGCACCUAGUUAGCACAAUUAGAUGGCAUGAUAGUAAAGCUCACAGUUCAUUCGCUUGUUCGAAACAAAAAAUCCGUCGUAAAUAAACUCAAACCAUAUGAAUAAGGCCACAUAAGGCAAUGGAUGCAACAAUUUAGUUCGACCAUACUUGAUCUAUCUUAAUUAACAAUGAUAAAAGAUCCAAUUGUUCUGAUAUUACAAAUAACCCAUGCCCAGCCAAGGAAUAUCAUGGCCAUAAUUAUGGCACGGUGUAGCAAUGUGCAAGACUACCAUGCCCAAUUCACACACAUCAUGUCUCUUUCCACUCACUACCCUGUCUCUAACUCUGGCUGGUGGUUUUCUUCAUCAAAAUGGAGAACUCGGGGCACUGUGUGCUUCCUAUUGUUUCAUUUCCUUGGGUUUUUUACUUCCACGGAAGUACAUGUACACUUGAUCCAUGUUCAAUAACAGAGUUUGAUGAUCAAGAGAUAGGAACAACAUCAGUUGCAAUGUGAGGAUCUCUUGGUUAUGCUGGUCGAUAUAUAAUACAAAUUGGGCAUUUCAUCCAAAUUGUGUCAGUGCAUUGUGUAUGAAGCUAGUAAAAAUUUCCUCUUUGUAACAUAGUUGAUAGACUAUCAACCAUGAACAAGGACACAAAAGGAAACAGUAGUCACCAUCCUAUAACACGACCGUCACGUGCCAUUUAGCCACAAAGAAGAAGACACCUACUGUACUUUGGUAGUUGGGCCUGCCACCAUCUCUACGAGGUCAAAGGUAGUGGCUGCGAGGACCAAAAUUAUGGAACACGCCCCCUAGACAGACAUUGGUCCUUGCCGCCGCCUGGGAAGCGACACGGGUUAUGGGGAAGUCGGAUCAAGGGGUGAAAGCGGCAAUGACAAAGAAUUUAGGUGCAUCAUAUGAGAUAUACUUUCCACACAAUGAAGAACAUCACAUGAUAUUGAUGAAACUAAAUUCCAAGAGUCCUGAGUGGUUGAGCUGCAUGUCUCUAUAUAUGUAUUUGGUAAAGGACUGAUGGCUCGUCUACAAGUUACUAGCUUUUCUCUAUGUGAACAAACACAAUAUGGAAUCAUAGAAUGUUGACGUAAGGAUAUGUAUAGAGAACUGGAUGGUUGAUUGAGAAAGUGGUGUUGAUAAAUGUUAAGUGGUGUUGAAUCAUAAGUACCGCUCAUUAGGAAUAGGAUGGAUGGGGAUUCAAGUUCAAUACUGACUGCAAGUGUACAAACAAGAGAUCUGAUCUUCACUGCUCUUGGAUACAAUGUUGAUUGUGUGUCGGGUGGUCCCAUGAUGCAAUGUGCCAUGAUGCCUACUUAGUAGGAGACUCUGACUUGGGCCCGUUCGGCUCCCCUCCACGGGCUAGCUUCCUGAAAUACCUGUGUGAAGCUACCCCGGACGCUCCAGCGUUGUGAAGCCAACUUUGUGGAGACGAGGAUCAAGCAUGUGCAAAUUUUGCGGAGAGCACCAGUCACCCAGCUGCACUAAAGCGAUAAGUUGGAGUUCCUUGAAAUUACAUGGGAAUGCCACCCCUAAAUUGCGUACCAGUUUGAUCUCUUUUCUCCCGGGCUCCCGUACGAACCAGCGAGUAGACAUAGAUGUGUCCACACCUUUCACUCCGAACUGGCCGACAGCCCAUGUCACCAUCUACGUACUUAAUAGCCCAUGUCCGCAACUUUCACUCCAAACAGCCGUGUAGGCCAGCGCCAGCCCAUACAGCCGUAGGGAAAAGCUGGCCACAGCCUACCGAACGCACACAGCUCCUCACAGAAGUUGGAGUCGUGGAUUUCAUGACCUAGAGAGCUUCCGAACGGGGCCUUACUCCAUUCGUGCUUGAAAAGAAUAAGUAUAAAUUUGUGUAUGAAGUGAAACUGUGUAAGGUUGACCAGAUUUAUAGAAGAUAAACUAACAAUGAUAAUACAAGGUAGAUGUGGCAUGUAAAUAUGUUUUAUAGUGUAAUUAAUGAUACAAAAUUGGUAUGAAAGUUGUUUAUAGUUUUUGAUAAACUUGUUCCAACUUUGCACUGUUUGACCUAACAAAAAAAUUAUACGCCUUGAUUUCAAGCACACAGGGAAUACUUGGUUAAAUUAUUGUAUUUGUAAAUUGGGUAUGUAGCAAUUGUAUCUCACUAGCUAAACAUAACAGCAAAGAGAUGCAAAACAUGUUGUAAAUGUCAUGCACCAUCUAUUAAUUUCAUGCUCCAUUUGUUAACUGUCUUUGUCCGAGGCCCCCCUUCUUUCCUCGGAAGAUAGAAUAAACCUUAUGUGUUAUCAACCAAAAUUUCAUCUAGGACGCCAUUGCACUCAACAAGGAAUAUGGUGUAAUUUGUAAAUUAAAAACAAGUACGAAGAAGCAUGUUUUACUUUGCAACGUCCCCAUUUCGAAAACAAAUCAUCUACUUAUACCUUCCAUAAUAAGUGAUGUCUUGCGCUUUUCAGAGAAAAAUAUCCCAUCAUCUCAUGUCUUACGCUUUUCAGAGAAAAAAAUCACAUCAUCUCAUGUCAUUCGCUUGCCCUCCUUGAGUGGUUCUCUUACUACUCCCAUCUUCCUGGACUAGAAAGUGUCCAUAGAAUUUUAAGGUUCAUUUUUGGCACCGGUUAGGCCAAUCAUAUAUGAGUUGUUACCUUAGAAAUUGCAUAGAAGAAACAUCUUUCUAAUAUGAAUUCAGUGGCAUAAUUAUUGGAUCACAUAACCCACGUUUUUUAGUAACAAAUUGCACUUAUCAACUCAAGUAACAAAUUCCCUAUGCAAACCAACUACUGACUAUUGGUUGCUUUUAUUGUGCAUUGGCAUGUGUAUAAUAUUGCAUCCUGAGAUUGCAUUUAAAUAUGGAUCAUCACGAGGAAUCAAAAGGGAUGGGAUGGACAUUUUAUGUCCGACCUUGAUUAUUAUGCAUAAACCUAAAAGGUAUGUAAAGGUUAGCAGAGGGGAUAUUGAGGGAGUCCUGGAUUAAGGGGCCCUCGGACAGCCGGACUAUAUACAUGGGCCAGACUGUUGGGCUAUGAAGAUACAAGACAGAAGACUGCUUCCCAUGUCCGGAUGGGACUCUCCUUUGCGUGGAAGGCAAGCUUGGCGAUUCGGAUAUGUAGAUUCCUUUCUCUGUAACCGACUUUGUACAACCCUAGCCCCUAUAAACCGGAGGGUUUAGUCCAUAGGGGACAAUCAUAAUCCCAUAGGCUAGACUUCUAGGGUUUAGCCAUUAUGAUCUCGUGGUAGAUCAACUCUUGUAAUACUCAUAUUCAUCAAUCAAUCAAGCAGGAAGUAGGGUAUUACCUCCAUAGAGAGGGUCCGAACCUGGGUAAACAUCGUGUCCCCGUCUCCUGUUACCAUCGACCUUAGACGCACAGUUCGGGACCCCCUACCCGAUAUCCGCCGGUUUUGACACCGACAUUGGUGCUUUCAUUGAGAGUUCCACUGCGUCAUCACCAAAAGGUUCGAUGGCCCCAUCAAUCAUCUACAACAAUGCAGUCCAGGGGGAGAUUUUCCUCCCGGGACAGAUCUUCGUAUUCGGCGGCUUCGCACUGCGGGCCAACUCGCUUGGCCAUCUGGAGUAGAUCGAUAGCUAUGCCCCUGGCCAUCAGGUCGGAUUUGGAAGCUUGAAUUACGUGGACGAUAUCCGCGGAGAUUUGAUCUUCGACGGAUUCGAGCCCACGACGGCUGCUCCCUGUCACCGCGAUGAACAUGACCUAAAUCUGUCAUUGGACCGUGCUCAGGAGAUAGCACCUACAACUGCUUUGGCCCUAGAUCUGGAGCAGAUCGCACCAUCCGAGGACAGGAUGCUUAACCCCGCCGCGGAAGCCGUAGACUCAGCGGCGAUAGAGCCGCACACAGAUCCAACCUCAAGUGGACCCUGUGUCAUCGGAACCUCUGAUUCGUCUCCGGCCAUAGGUUCCUAACCGCGUGCAUCCGUGCCCAUCGAACCUGAUCGGGCGCCGAUUGUUGAGUUCAGCUUCGCGGACAUCUUCCGGCACUCGCCUUUUGGCGAUGUGCUGAACUCAUUAAGAGCCCUCUCCUUAUUAGGGGAAUCUCAGCCGAACUAUGUCCGGCUUGAGUGAGAAGCUGAUGACGAAGAAUUUCAUUUCCCACCCACCACCCACUGCAUAGCCACUGUCGAAGACUUAACCGACAUGAUUGAUUAUGACUCGAAGACAUCGAUGGUAUGGACAACGAUGCCGGAGAGGAGCAGGCACAGCAACCGCCGCUUACAGGGCGUUGGACAGCCACAUCCUCGUAUGACGUAUACAUGGUGGAUACACCAAAAGAGAACAACGACGACGACGAGAAGGAUCCAGUUGAGGAGAAACCUCCUGAGACACAACCAAAGUGCCAAUGACAGCGGCGACGCUCUAAACCCCGUCAUGGAAAAAACAGCAGUACCGGCACAGGAGAAAAUAACACUCCUGACGAUGCCUAAGACAAUGAAAACCCCGUGUAGCCAACGUCUGAACAAGACGAACGGGAAGAUGGGCAAGCUAGCCUUGAUGAACAGGCUGCGCAUGAAGACGCAGAGGACAGUAACUACCUUCCGCUCUCCGAGGACGAGGUGAGCCUCGGCGACGAAGACUUUAUGGUGCCCAAGGAGCCCACCGAGCAGGAGCUUUUUAAGCGCCGGCUAAUAGCCACUGCAAGGAGCCUAAAAAAGAAGCAGCAGCAGCUUCAGGCAGAUCAAGAUCUGCUCAAUCACAGAUGGACUGAAUUCCUAGCAGCCGAGGAAUACGGCCUCAAGCGCCCUACCAAAAGUUACACGAAGUGCAAACUAUUACCACAGUUCACUGACGAGGCGUUGGAGCCAGUCCUACCAGCAGACAAUGCGGCUGACCGGCCACCACGCGGCCAGGACAAAGUGGCACCUCGAGCCGAACACCAGCCCGCACUACCUCACUGUAAAAACAGAAAUACAAUAGCUCAGGGAUGCACAUAUGACCUGCGGCAUGACCUAGAAAACAGAGCAGGCCAGACCAGAUCAAUCUACGGAUCGCGGUGGCAUGCCCCGAUGCGCGACGACGGCCAUCCGGCUGGACGUGACAAACAUAACCAUGUCUAGGCCGAAAACUGUGGACGAACUCCAUCUGAGCUACGUCACGAUUUGGCCCGAUAUAGAGGCGCCGCACACCCCCUUUGCUUCACUAACGAAGUAAUGGAACAUGAAUUCCCAGAAGGGUUUAAACCCGUGAACAUCGAAUCAUAUGAUGGCACAACAGACCCCGCGGUAUGGAUUGAGGAUUUUCUUCUCCAUAUUCACAAGGACUGCGGUGAUGAUCUUCACGCCAUCAAAUACCUCCCGCUCAAACUCAAGGGACCAGCCAGGUACUGGUUGAACAGCCUGCCUAAAAACUCCAUUGGCAGCUGGAAGGACUUGGAGGAUGCCUUCCUCGACAACUUCCAGGGAACAUAUGUCUGACCUCCGGAUGCCGACUACUUAAGUCACAUAGUUCAACAGCCCGGAGAGUCAGCCAGGAAAUUCUGGACUAGGUUCUUAACUAAAAAGAACCAGAUCGUCGACUGUCCGGAUGCUGAAGCCCUACGGCCUUUAAACACACCAUCCGUGACGAAUGGCUCGCCCGACACCUCGGCCAAGAAAAUCCAAAGUCCACGGCAGCCCUUACGGCACUCAUGACCCACUUUUGUGCGGGUGAAGAUAGCUGGCUAGCCCGUAGCAAUAACAAGACAGGCGAACCUGGCACUUCCGAAGCCAGAAACAGCAACGGCAAGCCCUGACGCAGCAGACACAAGCGUCGAAGCAAUGGCGACAACGCCAAAGACACGGCGGUCAAUGCCGGAUUCAGCGGCUCUAAAUCCGGUCAGUGGAAGAAGCCGUAUAAAAGAAACAAUCUGGGCCCGUCCAGGUUGGACCGCAUACUAGAUCGUCCAUGCCAAAUCCACGUCAUUCCUAAUAAACCAACCAAUCAUACCAACAGAGAGUGUUGGGUCUUCAAACAGGCCGGCAAGUUAAACGCCGAGAACAAGGAGAAGGGGUCCCAAAGCAAGGACGAUGAGGAGGAGCCCGGGCCAACAAACACAGGCAAACAUAAGAAGUUCCCCCCCCCCCCAAGUCAAAAUGGUGAACAUGAUAUAUGCUACCCAUAUCCCCAAGAGGGAGCGCAAGCAUGCACUCAGGGACGUCUGCGCGAUAGAGCCAGUCGCCCCAAAGUUCAAUCCAUGGUCAUCUUGACCGAUCACUUUNNNNNNNNNNNNNNNNNNNNNNNNNNNNNNNNNNNNNNNNNNNNNNNNNNNNNNNNNNNNNNNNNNNNNNNNNNNNNNNNNNNNNNNNNNNNNNNNNNNNNNNNNNNNNNNNNNNNNNNNNNNNNNNNNNNNNNNNNNNNNNNNNNNNNNNNNNNNNNNNNNNNNNNNNNNNNNNNNNNNNNNNNNNNNNNNNNNNNNNNNNNNNNNNNNNNNNNNNNNNNNNNNNNNNNNNNNNNNNNNNNNNNNNNNNNNNNNNNNNNNNNNNNNNNNNNNNNNNNNNNNNNNNNNNNNNNNNNNNNNNNNNNNNNNNNNNNNNNNNNNNNNNNNNNNNNNNNNNNNNNNNNNNNNNNNNNNNNNNNNNNNNGAUGAGGAGGAGCCCGGGCCAACAAACACAGGCAAACAUAAGAAGUUCCCCCCCCCCCAAGUCAAAAUGGUGAACAUGAUAUAUGCUACCCAUAUCCCCAAGAGGGAGCGCAAGCAUGCACUCAGGGACGUCUGCGCGAUAGAGCCAGUCGCCCCAAAGUUCAAUCCAUGGUCAUCUUGACCGAUCACUUUUGAUCGCAGGGAUCAUCUGACCAGUAUCCGUCAUGGCGGUUCAGCCGUACUAGUCCUUGACCCAAUUAUUGAUAGGUCCCAUCUGACACGAGUCCUCAUGGACGGUGGUAGUAGCCUAAACCUGCUUUAUCAGGAUACAGUGUGCAAAAUGGGUAUUGACCCUCAAGGAUCAAACCCACCAAAACCACCUUUAAAGGUGUCAUACCAGGUGUAGAGGCCUGUUGUAUGGGCUCAAUCACACUGGAAGUGGUCUUCAGAUCCCCGGACAAUUUCCAAAGCGAAGAAUUAAUCUUCAAUAUUGUCCCCUUCCGUAGUGGUUAUCACGCACUGCUCGGACGAACCGCAUUCGCUCGAUUCAAUGCGGUGCUGCACUACGCCUAUCUCAAGCUCAAGAUGCCCGGACUACGCAGUGUUAUAACAGUAAAUGGAAACACAAAACGCUCCCUCCGCAUUGAGGAGCACGCCACCGCCCUCGCAGCAGAAGUACAGAGCAGCCUUUUCAGGAAGAACAUCAAUUUGGCAGCCAAGCUCCCGGACACCGUCAAGCGAGUCCUAACUACUCUGCAGCAGGACAGUCCAGCUCGUCCAGAGCUUGACUAGCAAUUUAGCCUCUGUCCCAGUCCCGACCAAGCGGCGACACUCAUGCCGCGCGUACAUAACUACACACUUAAAAUACCAUGGGCAUGAAUGGAGGCACAGCUAGAUCGUGGUCCAUAAUGUGGCUCAACCGCUCCUGGACCCGCAUACCUCCACUUGUUCUUUUUCAUUUGAGGUUUUUCUCUUUCUGAGGGCUUUCCUAGCGACCUGAUGGACGGACCUAUAGAGGGACGAAUACACCAAGAUGGCAAGGAGCUCUAACGUAUAAGGGAAACCCCAGGUGGUCUCUUUAAACGAUUGUUAUACCUGUUUUUGAGGACCCACACGCAGCUCUCUCUUGGUGGCGGCAUGCUAAAUAGCCCUGUUGCUUAUCGCAUUACUUGUAUAAAUACGCUUUGACGUAUUAACCAAAUUAUAAUGAAAAAUAGUUGCGGCCCAAUUUCUGCAGCAUUAGCCUAUUACCUCAUUUUUUUUCUUUUUCCUUUUUGAUAUUUUUAUCAAUUGCACCCAUACACUCUGGUACGCCUUAAUUUGUGAGGGGCUUCCUUAUGCCCCCAUACAGCAACAAAGUCCGAACACUUUUUCAUAGUACAGUUCGGCACCCCCGAACUUAUAGCAUUAUAUGCAUCGGCUCCAAAUCAUGUCUUUGGUCAAUAGUUGGGUUGCCCGGUUCCUGUGCUUACUACUUUACGUUCCGCUAUAUCGGCUAGGAUAGUAAAGGGAGAACUACUGAGAUUGUGUCCUGAUUCAUCCGGAUGAGCACCUCAGUAGAGAAAGCCGAAAACUGACUGUCAUGAUGAGGCGAGAGCCGGUUAGCUGUUCGAGAGGUUUCAAAUCUUUAGCGAUAUUUCCCGCAUUAUGCGAGGAAUCGGGUUUUUUUAUCCGAUCAGGUGUUGACAGCUUCCCAAGUUCGGAUUUCCGAAUACUAGGGGUUGCGCAUAAAUUUUAACUGUCAAACUCCUAUGGCUAAGUGAGGGUGGUAAAGCCACAUAGUCCGAUUGCCUUGUUCAUUGCGUUAAACACCUCCUUUCAGGACCAAACUUUGGACUAAAGAGUGUUUAGAUUUAUCCCAAACACUCCCAUACUAUCUACAUGGGGGCAGAAGCCGAUGACUGGCCAACUCUUAGAUUUCACAAUACGGCCGCACAGGAGGUAAAAUUGUAAAUAACAAGCAUUAUAUUACAUAACGUUCUUGUUUCAUAAUACAGGACAGGAUAACAUGAAUGCAUUCACGGAAAUAUAACAUCCUUAGCACAUUGCUCCGCCACAAGGCAGGAUCCCUCCAGGACAUUAUCAAAAUACAGUUCGGGUGCGCGGUGCUCCUUGCCUGCGGGCGGUCCCUCGGUCAUCAACUUCGUGGCGUCCAUCUUCGCCCAGUGCAUCUUGGCGCGGGCAAAGGCCAUUCGCGCGCCUUCAAUACAGACGGACCGCUUGAUGGCAUCAAGUCAAGGGCAGCCACUGACAAGCCACUUCACGAGUCCGAAGUAGCUACUGGAAAUGGCUUCGGCAGGCCAUAGCCGGAUUAUUAAAUCCUUCGUGGCUAGUUCGGCCGCCCUAUGCAGCUCGACCAACUGUUUCAGUUGAUCGUUAAAGGGCACCAAAUUUUCUGGCGCAAGGUAUUGCGACCAAAAUAGUGCCUCCGUAGAGCUCCCCUCUUUGGCUCGGAAAAAUUCCGCAGCAUCGGAAACGCUGCGUGGCAGAUCUGCAAACGCCCCUGGAGAACUUCAAAUCCGGGUCAGUAAUAGGAACCCUUUCUUCACAUAUUUGCUCUGCAUAAUAAUGGACUUACCCGUCACGAUUUUCCUGGCCUCCUGGAUUUCAAGGAGGGCACCCUGGGCUUCGGCUCGGGCAUCGUGUGUGCUCCGGCGGGCCUUGGCAAGUUCAGAUUCUUGAUCCUUAAAAUUGCUCUCCAAGGACUCGCACUUCUUAACAGUGUCAUGGAGCUCUUGCUGGACCUCACUGACCCGGGCCUCAUGCUUUUCGCGUGCGGCUCGUUCCUUGGCCGCUUUGUCCUCGGCCUUGGCCAGUGCCUUCUUGAGGGCCUCUACUUCGGUCGUUGCCCCUAAUAAAUAUCAUGGAACUUUAGUCAGCACAAAUCAUUCAUCCUUCUUGAAUAUAUACAAGGUUACUGCAUACCUUGACUGUCCUCCAUCUGCUUCUUCACGCGGCCGAGCUCUUCCUCGGCCCACUCUAGACUCUGCUUCAGUCCGGAGACUUCCGCAGUGUGAGAGGUCGUAGCCAGCAGCGAUGCCUGCUUAUUCACAUAGACAUUUUAGAUUAGUCUCCUGCGAAAAUUAUUUGAUCCUCUAUCCGGCUAGUCUUUUCGAACACCGGACAGUGUCUGAGGGGCUACUUUCUAUAUUGUGACAUUAUUUUUACAAAAUUACAUUACUUACCUCAAAGCCUGUUAGAAGGCUAGUGCAGGCUUCGGUCAGUCCGGACUAGAUCCUCUCAAUCACCGUACCCAUAAGGGUACAGUGUUCCUCGACAAUGGAAGUGCCUCGCGGCGCUUCCAGCAAAGUGUCCAACGCCUCUAGAUGGACAGAGGUCACCGGCAGAACAGGCACGCCCCCUUCCUUCGAAAAGGGGUGCUUGCCUGAUUCCGGAGCCGUAUGGGUCUCCGAAAUUAUAUUCGGUUGGGGGCUGAAUUGGAUACGGUCUCCAUCAUCCGUAUCAAUCGGGGUUUACUCCCCCAUGUGUCCGGCAGUCGAGGCUUCACCCUCUGGUGCCUCCCUGACGGCCUCUGGAUUCUAUCUCGGGCCUGGGAUCCUUCGGGACAACGCCUCGGCGCCAUCCAUGUCCUUGGGAGAGGAGGCCGCGGGAAUGGUCCCGCUGUCCAUCGUGUCCGGGUCCAGCGAAUCCUCCGAAGAUAAGGACCGCUCGAGGUUGGACCUAGCCGGACUGUAAAUUCAUAAUUCAGUACAUUAAAACAAUGAAGUAAAGGGGGCCAGAUACAUGAACAUGUCCAGACACUUACGAUUUGGCUAGGGGCUUGUCCCUGGGCUCCCACUCCCAGCUAUUGUUGGUGGCCGCUGCGGAGCUGUCCGGAAGGGAGGUUUUCCCCUUCUUGGACGCCUUGGCCUCCACAUGCGUGGAGGCUGACCUCUUCUUUCUCCCCCCUGCAGGUGGGGAAUGGUUUUCUUCUUCCUCCUCCUCUUCCACGUCAUCCUCAGCGGCAGAGGAGUGCGCCUCGGCUUCUUCGGAUGUCACAUACGAAUUGCCCUUGCGACGGGGACCACCCCUGGUCCCCUUGGCCUUCUUUUUGGCCUUCUUCUCCGGCACCUGAUGUCGGUGGGAAACGACACCUAUGGGAUCACGAGGACCCCUUCUGCGGUUGCGGGGCGCGGGGUUGUGAGAAGAGCAGGAUUAGCAAUCAGCACAAGGAUCGUUUACCCAGGUUCGGGCCGCGGGGAAUGCGUAAAACCCUAGUCCUGCUUUGGUGGGUGAAUUGGAUGUUCUUGAGCUUUUGAACUAGCUACGAUGGCCGCGUGGUUCAAAAUAGCCGAAUCCCUCUCCAGUAUGCCAUGGGCCUCCUUUUAUAGUCGAAAGGGGCUGCCACAGUGGCACACAGGAGGUGGAAAAGCCUACAGUGCUAUGAGCUUAUCGCUCGUAUUACAAGACAAGAAGCAUUUAAUGCGUUGCUUAGGUGUCUCCUUGCUUUAUCGGGGACGGGAGCGAGGCCCGUCCCGUCCGUCGCCGCUCCUCCUCGCUUUGACACGCGCCCUGGCCAGCGAUGCAUGCGGCGCCAUGUAGGCAGGCAAGCAGCUGAGGUGGCGCGGUGGUGGAGCCUUCACGAAGAUCUGCAUGCCGCCACGCAGGCGUGUGCUGAGUUGGCCUGGAAGCUGCAUGUUGCCACGCAGGUGCCUGCCCAGCUGGUUGGGCUGGCAGCUGCAUGUGAACAGCGGCUAAGACUUCGUUGGUGUGGGCUGGCAGUGGCCCCGCUGACGCACUUGGCAAGGGCCUUGCCGGGUGGCUCGGCAAGGGUCUUGCCGUGGCGCGCUGUCGUCCCCGGCAAGGAUCUUGCCGGGGGUCUUGUGGGUUUUCUCGGCAAGAAUCUUGUCGAGGAUCGUUGCCUUCCAAUCCUCAUCCGAUCUUGAAUAUUCUUUGUCUUCACAAAGAUCUGCAUGCCACCAUGGAGGUGCCUCCCGAGCCCUAGCCCAACGUGGUUGAUGGUGUUGGAGACUGUGGGUUCGAGGGUGGCUCACUCCGCUGGUGUGGGCGAGCCGCCCCGGCAAGGGGCUUGUCGGGGCUACUGAGGCUGCCCCAGCAAGGGUCUUGCUGGGGAAACCUGCUCCGUCCAUCUGCUCUCCUUGGCGUUGCGUUGAUUGUUUUUGUGUUUGUGGCUCUGGGUGUUGCUUUGACCAUCUUGCGGCUUCGACUCCUCCCUUUUGCCCUGCUAAGUGUGGCUUCGGCCCAUGGCUCUGACUACCCGCGCACAAGUAAGGGGUACAAAGGAGUGCCCCUACUUUAGUACACCGACAGGAUCCCCCGGGCCUGGGCCACACAUAGGCGCAACGCAUUGUUGGGCCAGGCCGAAAACAGUCCGCGGGCAGGCGGGCGGUUUUUACCGCAGUAACUUUCCGUCUGAUGCGCUUGCCCAUGACCCAUGUUGAAUGCGCGACAUGGGGGUCGCGCGCGCGUGCGUGACCGAAGCACGCUGGCGUCACCUUGCGGUGGAUAGUAAAGAGGCAGCUUGCGUGUCCCCUUGAGAGUGCAGGGCCACCGCUCAUUUACUGCCCUUACUUGGGAACCGUCGCUCCACGCGUCCCAUUGCGCCCGUCUCUUGCGCCACGUUUGCUGCAUGCAUGACGCAGAGCGAAUGACAGGUGCGCGGGAUACAGGAAGUCGCGCACGCGUGGGUCGGUUCCCCACGCGCCUUCAAUUGGGCGGGGAGGGUGGUUGACGGCCCUGCCCAUUGUCACUUCAAUGGGCCGGCUUGGCCAAAAGGGGCGGCUGAGCCCCGCCCCUGCCCCUUUAUAAAGAGGGGGGCAGGAGGAAUGGCGCCUCUCAAUCCUUCGUCAUCCGCUUCUCUUUGGGGUGGCCACCGGGAUGUUCUCCUGGUGCCUUCUGCUGCUCAUACCUCGCCUAGGCGCCCCUUUUGCCCUUUUGCUUUCUUGUUUCAUUUCCUGAGGAGAGGGACAAGAAAGGGAUUACGGGCACCUUAUCUUUUUUCAACUUGCAAGCCUAUGGACCUUAAUUAGAUCUAAAACCUGUAAUCUCCCUAUUCAUGUUUAUGUUCUGUACUUAUUUUACCUGUAUGGAACGUAUUAAUGGCAAAAGGGUGCUUGCCGGGUCUUGUGCGUGCGUGUGAGCAAAGCCCAUACCAAGGAACAAGUCCUUGUUAUUUUUAAUAUAAGCAUCAUUACCCGGCAGCAGGCCUUGCCGUUUCCCCACCCCAUUCGUCCAUACUCACGCCUUUGGAGAAGGCAGGGACCAAGUGGGGGUGGGCCCUACGCUUGCUUCCUUGCCGCCGCGGCUACGACCAUAUUCCGGACCAAGAAGUUCUUGGGUGAUAGGAACAAGGGGAGCAUGGCAGCCUUGGAACAAAACGAGGUUCCAUAUGUCCCAAGUUUCUUACGGGAAUGCAUGACAGGGGAUGGGAAAACUUAUCUGAAUCUACAGCCCUCGGCAACCUUGACUUGCCGUGGGUGCAUCUCUGUGUCUUCUGCCCUCGGCAAGCUCGGCUUGCCGGGCCUGGGGCGCUGGCUCGUUUUCUUCGUUCCACUUGGCUUGGCGGAAACAUAUCAUGUACCCUGCAUACCAAAGAGAAUGGACAGGAACAAAAUGAUGCAAACUCGACCUGUAUGCUAGGGGUCAGUCGCCGCUAAGCACUAUCAACCCUUACCGAGGGAGAGACUCAAUCUAGCAUGCAUGCUAUGACUUAGGGCGCCAGCGCUUCGUUUAUUUAUGCUCAGGGUCUGCGCCUGGCUUUGUUCAAAGGGUCACAUGCCUUGCCGACAAGGCUUGUACAAAAAGGGGGCUUGCCAGGGGGCACGGCAGUCGCGCCUUAUGGGUAAAACUUGCGAAGAUGCUCGAUGUUUCAGGAGUUAACCGAAGUACUUGCCGGGGCCAUGGCAGGAUCGGCAUCCACGGCAGCAUCUUCGCCAGCGGCUCCGGUGAGCUCGAUGGGGAAGUACAUGCCGGGGCCUAGGUUCCUUCGCUUGCUCUGCCCGGUUGAUGGUUCGACGGAUGGUUGAGUUAACCGAAGCACAAAGGUACCUGGUUCCACAGGUAGCUUGAGGGCAGCGCGCUUUGACAGGUAGUCGGCGAUGUCAUUUUCCGUACGAGGGAUAUGCUCCGUUUGUAUACCGUCAAAGCGCUCCUCUAGUUUCCUCACUUCAUCCACAUAAGCUUCCAUCAAUGGGCUUUGGUAAUCUUUGUUGAUCUGCCUGAUGACGAAUCACCCCUAACGAUGAGCUUUUUGACUCCGAGGUCCGCCGCGAUCCUGAGACCGGCAGCAAGCCCUCGUACUCGGUGGUGCUGUUAGUUGACAUCUCCCGGGGAAAGUGCAUUUGGACGACAUACUUGAGGUGCUCUCCGGUGGGGGCGACAAGCAGCACACCAGCACCAGCGCCUUGCAGUGAAAAAGCCCCAUCAAAGUACAUCAUCUAGUUGCGGCUCGUUUCCUUGCCGGGGAGAGUGGUCUCCUGUACCUCUUCAUUGGGCGCCGAGGUUCGUUCUGCAACGAACUCCGCCAAGACUCUGCUCUAAAUCAUCGAGGUGCUUUCGAACUUUAAACUGAAACUCGACAGCUCCAGGGCCCAUUCCACGAUCCUUCCCGUUGCGUCUGGGUUAUGCAGUAUCUGUUGCAACAGGAGGCGGGUGACCACGGUGAUCUCGUGCACUUGGAAGUAAUGAUGCAGCUUCCUCGAGGCCAUAAGGAGGCCGAAGAGCAAUUUUUGCAGACCUGAGUAGCUUGUCCUAGCCCCCUGCAAGAGGGAGCUGACGAAGUAGACUGGGUGAUGCACCAUUUUCUUCUUCUGUGCCACUUCACCCAGUCGCGCAGGCCCUGUCGCACUAGCGUCAGCCUCUGCCGGGGACUCAGUCUUUCCGGGACCGAGCCUUGUCGGGGAGGGUUCCGGCUCGGCAUCCGUUGACUCUGCCGCUGCCACUGCCUCUUCAUCGACCUCUCUCUGCGCCACUAGUGUAGCACUAACCACCUGAUUCGUUGCCGCUAGGUACCGCAGCAAGAGUUCUUGUGGUUUGGGCGCAACCAGCACUGGGGUAGAGGAGAGGUACUUCUUCAAAUCCUGCAGUGCUGCCUCGGCCUCCGGGGUCCACUCCAUUGGGCCCAUCUUCUUCAAGAUCUUGAAAAAGGAAGAGCACACUCCGCGGACUUGGAGAUGAAUCUUCUCAUGGCGGCAACAUAGCCAGUGAGCCGAUGCACGUCUUUGAUCUAUUUAGGUGCCUCAAUAUGCUCGAUGGCCUUGAUCUUAUCCGGGUUUGCCUCAAUCCCGCACUGUGACACAAAGAACCCAAUAAGCUUGCUGGACGGGACACCGAAGACACACUUCUCAGGGUCCAACUUGAGGUUGAUCUUGCGCAGGUUCGCAAAUGUUUCCUCCAGAUCUUGCACAAGUGUUGCUUUGUCCUUGGUUUUGACCACUAUGUCAUCCAUAUAAGCUUCCAUAUUUCUAUGUAGUUGGGGCUCAAAACCAAUUUGGACUGCUCUUGCAAAGGUUGAGCCAGCACUCCUCAACCCGAAAGACAUCCGUAAAAGGCAAUACGUACCACAUGGGGUGAUGAAUGAUGUCUUCUCCUCGUCUUAUUUUGUCAUGAAGAUCUGGUGGUACCCUGAGUACGCGUCGAGGAAUGAUAACAGUUCACACCUAGCUGUGGAGUCAACAAUUUGGUCAUUGCGCGGUAACGAGAAGGGAUCCUUUGGACAAGCCUUAUUGAUGUCUGUGUAAUCAAUACACAGUCUCCACUUCCCGUUUGCCUUGCGCACCACUACCGGGUUGGCCAACCACCUCAGAUGGAGCACCCCCCUUACCAACCCUACCGCAUCUAGUUUUCUAAUCUCCUCCGUGAUGAACUCCUGCCUCUCCAGAGCUUGCUUCCUGACCUUCUGCUUGACGGGCCGUGCAUGAGGACAGACAGCAAGAUGGUGCUCAAUCACUUCCCUGGGAAUGUCGGGGAUGUCGGAGGCAUGCCAUGCAAACACAUCGACAUUCGCCCACAGGAAAGUGACGAGCUCGCUUUCCUAUUUGUUGUCGAUGGUGGAGCUUAUGGUAAAAGCUCCCCCCGUGCCGUCCUCCUUGACGGGCACCUUCUUGGUCUCUGGUGGUGCAGCUGUGGACUUCUUGCUCUUGCCGAUGGAGCUCUCUGGCAUGUCCUCAAUGGGAGCGCAACACCCUGAAGAGGUGCGCUUGCCGGAGUGGGUGCGAGGGGUCUCGCCGGUCUUUUUCCCUCCCAGGACUCUGUCGGCAGAAGCAGGUGCCUUAGCAGCAGCUGCUGCAACUGCUUCCCAGUAGAGUUGGUCGACGCAAAUCAACGCGUCUUUCUUGUCGGAGGGGACGGUGAUGAUGUUCAUCGGCCCGGGCAUCUUCAGCGUGUUGUAGGCGUAAUGUGAAGCCAACAUGAACUUGGCUAGUGCUGGGCGGCCGAGGAUCCAGUUGUAGGGCAAGGGGAUCUCAGCUACAUCAAAGAAUAUCCUCUCCGUCCUGUAGUUCACUCACCUCCGAACGUCACGGGCAGCGUGACCUUUCCCUUCGGCUGGCUCCUCCCUGGGUUGACCCCUUGGAAUAUGCCCGUCUCCUCGAGGUCUCCAUCAGGGAUCUGCAGCCUCUUGUUCACAAUAGGCGAGAUCAAGUUCAGACCGGCCCUAGCGUCAACCAGCAUCUUCGUCACCUUGAGGUUGCGGAUUGUUGGUGAAAUCAACAACGGCAAGCACCCGACUGCAAUAGUGCGGUCAGGAUGGUCCUCGGUGUCGAAGAUGAUAGGUGUGAUGGACCACUUCAGCAGCUUCCAUGCGUCGAACGACGGCUCCACCACUGUGAUCUCACACACCCACUGCUUGAGCUGGCGGUGGGAUGUAUGCAGUGAGGUGCCACCAUCGAUGCACAUGGCUUCUAUGGCUUUCUGGAACUCGUGGUCGCCGGACUCACCGUCCUCGUCGUGAUCAUCGUCUUCCUGCUUCUUGUCGCGGCCCCGGGCGGGCCUCUCCUGCUAAUUAUCUUUGCCGCGACGGCCUCCUUGGCUGCCACGCUUCUUGUUGGAUCCCUCGGCACCCUCUUGGCCCUUCUCCUUGUCCCGCCGCUCAUACUCGGCUUUCUGCUUCUCAGCGAGCAGCUCCACUUGUCGGCAGUUCUGGAGGUCAUGGUCCUUGGUGCGGUGGAUCUUGCAAUACUCCUUGUCGGAGCCCCGUGGCUUAUCGGCAUCCGCCAAGGCCCGGCAAGCGACACACCCGGCAACCUCCUUGACGGGGUCACUCGCCUUGGGUUUCUUGGUGGCGCCGGUAUCGUCGGACCACUCGAUGGCAAGCACGGUCUUGCCCUUGUGCUUCCUGUUACGGCGCUGGCCCUUCUUCGCCGGGGUGGCCGUAUCAUCCGUGGUGUUGGUUUCCACGCCUGCGUCUUCGCCGGGGUACUUCCUUCCCUCUUCAGCGCGAGCGCACCGAUUGGCUAGAACAUAAAGCUUGGCCACAUCCUUGACCUUGUUCAUCGCCAGCUCCUCAUGCAUCUUGUGAUUGUGCACAUUCUGAUGGAAUGCACUAAUCACGGCGGCAGGAUGAACGUCGGCAAUGUUGUACUGCACUCGGCUGAACCUUUGGAUGUACUUACGCAAGUUUUCUCCUUCUUUCUGGGGGAUGAUGUGCAAGUCGCUCGCCUGGCCAUGAGCUUGGUGGCCUCCAGUAAAGGCGCCAACAAACUCAUGAUGCAGAUCCGCCCAAGAAGAAAUGGAGUCCACCGGCAAGUGCAUCAACCAUGACAUAACAUUGGGCUUGAGUGCCAACGGGAAGUAAUUGGCAAGCACCUUAUCGUCGCGGGCCCCAGCAGCUUGCAUCGCGAUGGUGUAGAUGCUGAGGAACUCCGAUGGGUGAGUCUUGUCGUUGUACUUCUCGCCAACGUCAGGCCUGAACAUGCGGUGGGAGGGCCAUUGGAACUGCCGCAGCUCAUGGGUGAAGGGCGGACAACCCACCUCGUAGGGUAGGCCACCGUAGCCUCCUGGUGUUGGGUGGUCUGUAGUGGGCCCUACCCGCCUGUCCGACUGGUGGUGCGCGUCACGCCAGCGCUCGAUGGUGGUUCGAGCGUCUUCAUGAGCUUGCUCCCGAAGAACUUGACGUUGGUCGCGGUGGGUUCGCGGGUCGGACGACGCUAUGAAGAUAUCAUCACGAGCGUCGUCACGACGGACCGACACCCGCGGUGGACGGUAUGGAGGAGGGGAGUGCACCAUGGCCGCAUCACCUCCGGCCCGACGUCCGCUAGCAUGUGGUGGCUCGAUGGAGCGACGGCCUACGGGUCCUGCAGGCCGCAACUCGUCGUUGUUAGCGUUGCCGACGAGGCUCCGAACGGUGGCCCUCCAUUUGUCAAGCUUCUCAGUAGCGGGAGGAAAGUCGAGGAGCAGCUGCGUGCGUGCUAGGGCUUCUGCUGGCGUGGGCAGUGGCGAAAGCUGUGUGGACCGCGAUGCGCUUAGACUUCUAACUGCGUUAGAAGGAGCCCCAUCACGGCCCCGCAGCCGUCCGCCACCUUCGCCAGCACCUCGGCGCGCAUGCUAGCCCUCCUCAUCAUGUGAAGGGCGCAUGGGACUCUUCCCAGGGAGGCGCCCAGGGUCACCGGCAGGGCGGCGCUGCUCCUCGCGCACGGCCUGAGAAGAGCGCGCCAUGGGCGCCGGUGUUGGUGUCUUGGAGGUCGUCGUGCCGCCGUCUGGCGGCACGACAACGCCCCUGGAGGGCCCCGCACCGCCUGCGGGGGGGCGACUCCGUCUCUGGAGCUCGCGAUGCAUGGCUCAUCGCCUGGUGUACGAACGACGCCGCUCACCAGGCCUGGACUGCUAGGGUGAUGUGGAUGUUCGUGGGCCGUGCCACGGGUUCUCUCCGCGACUGGCCCUCUACUGGUCCACACCAGUACUGGUAGUCCGGUCCUGGACGAACCGACCGCCGUGGUCGUCUUCUUCUCAGGAGCCAUGGCGAUGAAGGACUGCUAGGCCAACUACUAGACCAGAUUAUCACAAUUUUGCGCCCCCCGCCUGGCGCGCCAAAGAUGUCAGUGGGAAACGACACCUAAGGGAUCACGAGGAUCCCUUCUGCGGUUGCGGGACGCGGGGUUGUGAGAAGAGCAGGAUUAGCAAUCAGCAUAAGGAUCGUUUACCCAGGUUCGGGCCGCGGGGAAUGCGUAAAACCCUAGUCCUGCUUUGGUGGGUGCAUUGGAUGUUCUUGAGCUUUUGAACUAGCUACGAUGGCCGCGUGGUUCAAAAGAGCCGAAUCCCUCUCCAGUACGCCAUGGGCCUCCUUUUAUUGUUGAAAGGGGCUGCCACCGUGGCACACAGGAGGUGGAAAGGCCUACAGUGCCAUGAGCUUAUCGUUCGUAUUACAGGACAAGACGCAUUUAAUGCAUUGCUUAGGUGUCUCCUUCCUUUAUCGGGGACGGGAGCGAGGCUUGUCUCGUCUGUCGCCGCUCCUCCCCGCUUCGACAUGUGCCCUGGCCAGCGAUGCAUGCAGCGCCAUGUAGGCAGGCAAGCAGCUGAGGUGGCGCGGUGGUGGAGCCUUCACGAAGAUCUGCAUGCCGCCACGCAAACGUGUGAUGUGUUGGCCUGGAAGCUGCAUGUUGCCACGCAGGUGCCUGCCCAACUGGUUGGGCUGGCAGCUGCAUGUGAAUGGCGGCGGAGACUUGGUUGGUGUGGGCCUGGCAGCCUCGCUGACGUCCUUGGCAAGGGCCUUGCCGGGUGGCCCAGCAAGGGUCUUGCCGUGGCGCGCUGUUGUCCUCGGCAAGGAUCUUGCCGGGGGUCUUGUGGGUUUCCUCAGCAAGAAUCUUGUCGAGGAUUGUUGCCUUCCAUUCCUCGUCCGAUCUUGAAUAUUCUUUGUCUUCACAAAUAUCUGCAUGCCACCAUGGAGGUGCCUCCCGAGCCUUGGCCCAACGUGGUUGAUGGUGUUGGAGACCGUGGGUUCGAGGGUGGCUCACUCCGCUGGUGUGGGCGAGCCGCCCCGACAAGGGGCUUGUCAGGGCUGCUGAGGCUGCCCCGGCAAGGGUCUUGCCGGGGAAACCUGCUUCGUCCAUCUGCUCUCUUUGGCGUUGUGCUGAUUGUUUUUGUGUUCGUGGCUCUGGGCGUUGCUUUAACCAUCUUGCAGCUUCGACUCCUCCCUUUUGCCCUGCUAAGUGUGGCUUUGGCCCGUGGGUCUGACUACCCGCGCACAAGUAAGGGGUACAAAGGAGUGCCCCUACUUUAGUACACCGACACCUGAUAAGGCUCCAGAACCAGCAUCUUCAUCAGAAGCGGGAUUGUUGGGUCUUCGGGCAGCGGAGCCGGACAGUUAAUCCACUUCGACAUCUCUGUCCAGGUCUGAAAAAAUUAAUAGGGAAGCUUAGAUGCCUUCCUCGAAUAUGCAAGUAAAGGGUAUACCUUGAAAACAGGAAAGAAUUUACCGGAUUAGCAGGGUGACUUAAGUCAUGCCCGCGAUCCUCGGUCGUGGGCGGCGGCGCCUCGUUCGCCUUGAAGAGCACCUUCUAGAUGUCUUCGUGCGUCAUGUCAAAGAGAUCCAAUAGGGUCUGGUGCUUGGUCGGAUCGAACUCCCAUAGAUGGCAAGUCCGGUGUUGGCACGGAAGGAUCCGGCGAACGAGCAUCACCUGGAUCACGUUGACGAGCUUGAUUCUCUUGUUUAUCAUGUUCUGGACGCGUGUCUGGAGCCCCGUCAGCUCGUUCGGGGAAGACCAGGUCAGGCCUUUCUCUUGCCAUGAGGUAAGCCGCAUCGAGACUCUGGAUCGGAAUGCGGGAGCUGCUACCCAGUUGGUGCCGCGCGGCUCUAUGAUGUAGAACCACCCCGACUACCACCCUUUGAUAGUCUCCACAAAGGAGCCUUCGGGUUAGGUGACAUUGGGCAUCUUGCCCACCAUGGCGCCUCUGCACUCUGCUUGCUGACCACUCACCAUCUUUGGCUUCACAUUGAAGGUCUUCAGCCAUAGUCCGAAGUGAAGUGGGAUGCGGAGGAAAGCCUCGCACACACAAUAAAUGUCGAGAUGUUGAGGAUGGAAUUGGGGGCCAGAUCGUGGAAGUCCAUCCCGUAGUAGAACAUGAGUCUAUGGACGAACGGGUGGAGAGGGAAUCCCGGCCCACGGACGAAGUGUGAGAUGAACACCACCUUCUCCUGGGGCUCCGGGUGGGGAUGAUUUGUCCCUUGGCCGGAAGCCGAUGGGCGAUUUCCUUGGCCAGGUACCCGGCCUCCCGGAGCUUCGUGAUGUCCUUCUCCUUGACACUGGAGGUCAUCCACUUGCCUCCUACUCCAAAUUUGGACAUGGUUGGAGUGCUUUUUUGGAUGGAAAAGGUGAGAGCUUGGGCGCUGGAGCUCGAGAAUGGAUUGGCAGAGGAAGGAGAAAGCAUGGGCAAAAAGGGGUGAACCCUUAUCCCUUUAUAAAGCCAGUGAAAAUUAUGCGCCUCCCCACUCGCCUAAAACUCAUCUAUUCCCCAAGGGUCGUGUGUAUGGCACGGUUGGGUUACCCAUGCCCGUAUUGAUGAGAAUCCUGCAAUAAGGGGACACGAUAUCUACUUUGACAAGACGUGCCAGUGAAGCCGCACCUCGGAAUACGGAGCGGCAGGCUAAAAAACGGUUCGAAUAAUGGCCGGGCGGUGACGUGAUGUCACACUAUAAAAAGUUGUCAGCGGAUUGGACUCAUCAAAAUAGAGUACUCUCACCAAUGGAAUCAGCUUCUUUGCCGUCCGCCAUGGCAGACGGCAAAGGCAUAGAUCCAGGACGGAAAACUUCUUUGCCAUCCGCCAGCAGACGGCAAAUUGUCCAUCUGAACAGGUGCCAGCAAAGGCCUACUUUGCCAUCCACUUCCAUGAAAUGGACGGUAAAGGAUUGUGCCGUCCGCCAUCUGAGGCCAGCAGACGGCAAAGACAAUGGGCGGCAGUGGGGUGGCGUCAGAGCCAUUAGGGGGUUAACGACGCUCUUUGUCGUCCGCCAGCACACGACACAGAGCCGAAGCUCUUUGCCGUCAGCUUACGGAUGGCAAAGAGCUCAGUUAGGCCAGCACUGGGAAGCUGCCACGUGGCCAGCUAUGCCGCCUGCCAGCAGGCGGCAAAGAUUCAAAGGUCUUUGUCGUCCGCCAGCGGACGGCAAACUGUCCAAAUAGGCAGCCAGUGCUCCUAGUUUCUACAGGUAGUUGCCACGUGUCCUCUUUGUUGUCUUCUAGCGGACGGCAAAGCUCUUUGCCAUCCGCUAGAAGACGGCAAAGAGGCUAUAUAUCCCCUAUUUUUAGUUAUAUCCAUUUAAUUUCACUGGAUUUCACACACAGAUAUACAUAUUUUUUUCACACGCACAGCAGACAUAUGAUGUAUCCAACACAUAGCUCCACCCAUGACAACAUACAUAAAUAAGAAACACAGUUUCAUCCAUACAUCUUACACUAAUAUCACAAUGUUCAUCCAAGACAUUGUUCCAUGCAUCCAUAUAACAAGUUCCACAUUAUUCUUCGAUACAAACGAAAAGAAGAACAGAGAAACAAGCACUCCAUCCAUGCAAGCUUCCAUAUAUUGAAUUAAAUAUACAAAAUGGGAAACAAGAAAGUUAAAAGAAGAAGAAGAAGAAGAAAACUAGAAUAAGAAUAAGAAGAAGAGAAGGAGAAGGAGACUAGAAGUAGAAGAAGAAGUAGUAGAACUUCUUCUUCUUCUUUUCUUCCUAUUCCUUCUUUUCUUCCUCUUCCUUGAUUUUCUUCAUCUUAUUAUGUCAUUUGUGGACUAAAUAGGCUAAAUUAUGUCAUAAAUGGACUAAAUAGGCUAAAUAAUAAGAAAAAUGCCAUUUUUGAGCUAACGUAGCAAAUUAUGCCAUUUUUUACCUAACUAAGCUUAUUGUGUCAUUUUAGAGGACAACAAGCUAAGUAUAUGACAUUUAUGAGGUUAGCAAUGUUAUGAUGCCAUCUUCUUCUUCUCCUUCUUCUUCUUCUUCUUCUUCUUCUUUUCUUCUUUUCUUCCUCUUCCUUGAUUUUCUUCAUCUUAUUAUGUCAUUUGUGGACAAAAUAGGCUAAAUUAUGUCAUAACUGGACUAAAUAGGGUAAAUAAGAAGAAAAAUGCCAUUUUUGAGCUAACAUAGUAAAUUAUGCCAUUUUUGACCUAACUNNNNNNNNNNNNNNNNNNNNNNNNNNNNNNNNNNNNNNNNNNNNNNNNNNNNNNNNNNNNNNNNNNNNNNNNNNNNNNNNNNNNNNNNNNNNNNNNNNNNNNNNNNNNNNNNNNNNNNNNNNNNNNNNNNNNNNNNNNNNNNNNNNNNNNNNNNNNNNUUCUUCUUCUUCUUCUUCUUUUCGUCUUUUCUUCCUCUUCCUUGAUUUUCUUCAUCUUAUUAUGUCAUUUGUGGACAAAAUAGGCUAAAUUAUGUCAUAACUGGACUAAAUAGGGUAAAUAAGAAGAAAAAUGCCAUUUUUGAGCUAACUUAGUAAAUUAUGCCAUUUUUGACCUAACUAAGCUUAUUGUGUCAUUUUAGAGGACAACAAGCUAAGUAUAUGACAUUUAUGAGGUUAGCAAGGUUAUGAUGCCAUUUACGAAUAAAAACAAGUAAGAGGAGGAAAAGAAGAAGAAGAAGAAGAAGAAGAAGAAGAAGAAGAAGAACUUUUUCUUCUUCUUCUUUUCUUCCUAUUCCUUCUUUCCUUCCUCUUCCUUGAUUUUCUUCAUCUUAUUAUGUCAUUUGUGGACUAAAUAAGAAGAAAAAUAUCGUUAUCACGGAGGUGUAGGAAUGGUCGGGCAUGCGCCAGUGGCAGACGGAGGUGAAGAACCGAUCGGGGUUUCGGCAUUGGCAGACGCGGAAGGAUUGGUCAAUGCUUGUCGGGAGCCAUGCUGAACCAAAGAUCAUUUCCAAUAAUGUCUUGUUAGCAUGAUGCAAACUGAAAAGUGAAUAGUAGUAACUAAGGACCAUUCAAAUCAAACUCACCGUGGUCGCCGGAGCAAUCUGGGGCAUCGGCGGAGGGGCCUGACCGUUUUUCUCGCACAUGGUCUGCACAUUUGGUUCUCAUGAGUCAGUCAUAUUAGUUAGUAAUGUGAACAUUACGUGCAUGAUUGGGCUAAUAUGCACGAGAAAUGUACCACGAUGAGCUCGUAUAGGGCCCGGUGAGAUGCCUCAUUCCGGUUCCUCUCCUCCUCCAAUAGCUUAGCUGUCCUCUCAUCCCUCUCCCUCUCCCUCUCUCCGCCUCCCUUUUUACCUCCUCCAAAAGCGCCUGGGUCUUCAAUCUCUCAUUCUCAACCACUGCAUGCAACACAGCACUCCUCAUUGGCAUUGUAAUCAUCGACGGACACACACAUAAUGUAAUGGAGGAAAGGUCAGAGAGUCCUUAUAACUAACCGCCACGGUGAGCUCCGCGGGCCGUGCACGAGGCGUUAUCUCAGGAUCAGAGCUACUCAGGCGCUUCUUGAUCUGCGGGAGAGUCUUAGGACAACGUAUCAGUCCAUCACCAAUGGCUUGAGAGCCAUGGGACCUCCCGCCACCAGAUAUCAUCACCAGCUCUGUAUCAAAAGGAUCCUGGCUCGGGUUAAAGUCCUCCCCUUUCCUCGUCUUCCCCUUGUCUCUGUACUUCACAAGCUUGUGAUGGGAGGAGAUGUUGGUGAAGCUCUCUGGAUGAUCUAGGUCAGACUCCGUGAAUGGCUUGGCCUUCUUGUACGGGGCCAUAUGGGCCAUGCCAUAGAGGCCGAACAGACUUGGCACAGGCUUCUUGUGGUACUACACGUGAGAGAGAGGAACAAUAUUAGUUAAGGGCUCAAGCUAGCAUGAAGAAUGAUAUUGAUAUGUAAAUAGGUCAUUUUGGAGCUAAGAAAUGUUUUAUGUCAUUUUCGAGGAAAAUAAGCUAAGUUUAGGUCAUUUUUGAGGUAACCAAGAUUAGUAUGCCAUUUUUGACCAAAGUAUGCUAAUUAUGUCAUUAUUGAGCUAUCCAAGGUAGUUAUGCUAUUUUUUAGCUAACUAUAACAUAUUUAGGCAUUCUAUAGAGCUAUCUAAGGUUAUUAUGUCAUUUUAGAGCUAAUUAUGUCAUGAAUGAACUAGCUAAGAUUAGUUUAGGUCGUUAUUGAGCUAUCGAAGGUAGUUAUGCCAUUUUUAACUAACUAAAGCAUAGUAAGUCAUUUUAUAGAGCUAUCUAAAGGUUAUUAUGUCAUUUUAGAGCUAAAUAUGUCAUAAAUGAACUAUCCAAGGUAGUUAUGCCUUUUUUUAACUAACUAAGCAUAUUAAGUCAUUUUGGAAAGGAUAAAUGCUACCAUGAAGAAUGAAAUUGCAUGAAUCAUGUAGCAAACCACAUACCCAGUUAUCCCCGUACUCAAACAGGUUGGAGCUACCUUGAUGGUGUGGCACACCUUCCAUUUGGUCGCGCUUAUCCUUGGCCCUUUGGUGUUCGACUAGCCAUUGGGGAGAGCACCACGCAUCCACCAACGCCUCCCAAUAGUCCACCAUCCUGUCAACACCUGCAAUGACAAAAAGUAAAUGAAAUUAGUACAACAUAAAAAAAUUGGAUACCUCACAUGAACAUAAUAAUAUGUAUAUAAUUUAAGUGUAUCAUCAUCAUGAACAUAAUAAAAAUACACCCGAUCAAAACAAAUAUAUAUGAUGUUUUUGUAUCAACAUCAUGUCCGGGGUCAAUCGGGGUGUCAGGGUGUCGGGGUGUCGGNNNNNNNNNNNNNNNNNNNNNNNNNNNNNNNNNNNNNNNNNNNNNNNNNNNNNNNNNNNNNNNNNNNNNNNNNNNNNNNNNNNNNNNNNNNNNNNNNNNNNNNNNNNNNNNNNNNNNNNNNNNNNNNNNNNNNNNNNNNNNNNNNNNNNNNNNNNNNNNNNNNNNNNNNNNNNNNNNNNNNNNNNNNNNNNNNNNNNNNNNNNNNNNNNNNNNNNNNNNNNNNNNNNNNNNNNNNNNNNNNNNNNNNNNNNNNNNNNNNNNNNNNNNNNNNNNNNNNNNNNNNNNNNNNNNNNNNNNNNNNNNNNNNNNNNNNNNNNNNNNNNNNNNNNNNNNNNNNNNNNNNNNNNNNNNNNNNNNNNNNNNNNNNNNNNNNNNNNNNNNNNNNNNNNNNNNNNNNNNNNNNNNNNNNNNNNNNNNNNNNNNNNNNNNNNNNNNNNNNNNNNNNNNNNNNNNNNNNNNNNNNNNNNNNNNNNNNNNNNNNNNNNNNNNNNNNNNNNNNNNNNNNNNNNNNNNNNNNNNNNNNNNNNNNNNNNNNNNNNNNNNNNNNNNNNNNNNNNNNNNNNNNNNNNNNNNNNNNNNNNNNNNNNNNNNNNNNNNNNNNNNNNNNNNNNNNNNNNNNNNNNNNNNNNNNNNNNNNUUCUUCUCCUCCUCUCCUCUAGCUUUCUUCUCCUCCUCCUCCUCCUCUCCUCCUCCUCCUCUUCCUUCUUCUUCUUCUUCUUCUUCUUCUUCUUUCUUCUCCUCCUCCUCGUCGUCUUCUUCUUCUUCUCCUCCUUUUUCCUCUUUUUAAACCUAGCACUAAUUAACCUAAAACAAAACAAGAAAAAACUACACCUAAACCUAGCUAUUCUUCUUCUCCUCCUCUUCUUCUAAUUAUUCUUAGUUUUUUUCAUGACUAAACAUAAACCUAAAACUAAACUAAACCUAAGACCAAACUAAAAGUCAUCUAAACUAAACUAAAUAUAAAACCAAACUAAAAGUAAUCUAAACUAAACUAAAUCUAAAACAAAACUAAAAGUAAUCUAAACUAAAAAAGGAAAAAAUAGAAACAAAGAAGAGGAAAAGAGGGGUGCGGUCGGGGCUCACCUGCAGUAGGGGUGGGAGUCCUGCGGCAGGCCGGCAGGGCCCGGGGGCACCGGACGACGGGGUUGCUCGCCGGUGGAGGGAUGCUGGCCGGGAGGAGGGGGCACCGGGUGGUGGUGGCGGCGGGUCCGCAGCUCCGGGGCGGCAGGGUGGCGCUGGCCGGGCGGAGGGGGCACCGGGCGGUGGUGGCGAUGGGGCCGCAGGGCUCCGAGGCGGUGGGGUGGUGCUGCGGUGGGGUGGGGCAGCGGCAGCGUCCGAGCGGCGGCAAGGUGUAAGUGCAUCUAGUGCCCCUUAGUGAUUUUGGUGUAUUGAAGACUUAUAGGUUAAGGGACUAAUAUGUUUGUGAGUAUACACAGGCUCUAUAAGUCAAUGAGGAGUUUGAUAUUUACAGUGAAAGUCGACCCCUAAAAAUGAAUGUCUACGGCUGAAGACAUUGGUUCUCCUGAAAACUUUAAAAGUGAAGAAAUUGGUGUGACCAUGAAGACUCGAUAUUCAUGCGAGAAAUCUGAAGCGUGAAGACAUUUGUUUUCAUAGUUUCAUUUUCUCUUUCUUGAGUCAUAGGAAACACCGUACUGUUAAAGGGGGUCGAGGUAAUACUAAGGAAACAGAUUUCCAAGUGAUGCUCAUCUCAAAAUCCUACACCUACCCAAUCCUUCGAGUGAAGCCAUUGGAAAUCUCAUAUUAGUUCAGUCAAUUUCUUCAGUGACAGAGACAAAGAUCUUCUGGUCUCCGAGGAAUUUGCUAUGAUUGAGGAGUUAGGAAUUCGCUAGUGUGGGUUGCCUACACAGUGAGGAACAUGAUAGCCCUGAGGAAUUCGAACCUCAAAAUAUCUAACCAUUGCUGAGCCGCGCGGCGGCUGUUCCAAAAUAUCCUACCACCUAACGGUCAUAUCUGCCAAGGGCAUUUAUGUCUUAUCAUGUUGGGCUACUCCCUGGGCUAUAAAUAGCCGCCCCCUACAACCACUAGCUGGUUGGCUACUCCGAGAGAAACUGACACUUGUCAUUCGAGAGCAUCCCAUCCUCCUAGGACUUUGAGCAAAAAUCAUCGAGUGAGGAAAACCCUAAUCCCAAACCCAAACCUACAAACCCCAAAGUGAUUGAGCAUCACUGAAGAGAUUGUUCCUGUGUGGAACCGACGCUUGUUACCUUUGAGGACUAUGUAUCCUCCAUACGGUUAGGCUUCAUGGUCUGAGCAUCCAAGAGGAAUUGUGGAUUGUCGAGUGACCUAGUCUGUGAAGGUUUGGAAGUCACCUGUGAAGACUUACCACUACUGUUGGGAGAGGUCUAUGUGAUCUUAGCUCAAGGAGAAUACGGUGAGGACUGUGUGUCCGGGACUGUGUGUCCUCGAGUUUAAAUACUCAGUAGCUCCAACCAGACGUACAACUGUCACAGCAGUUGGAAUUGUUCUACCAAAUCAUUGUCUUCACCAAGCCAACUGGUUCUAUUUCCUCAACCCUUUCAUUUCCUCAGUUAUGUGUUGAUGAACCUGAUCAUUACUGUUUGAAGACUUUGACUGAAGACUUUCUCUAAUUCCUCAAUCCUAAUUCUUCAGUCAGUUUUGUCUUCAUCCUGCUUAUCCUGUGUUUACGCUUUCUGUACUCAGUGCUUGUCUUUCAUUUCAUCAUGAUGACUAUGCUGUUACUCUGUUUUGCUUAUACCUGAGUACUUAUUCCGCUACAAGUAGUUCUUCGCUUAGGAAUUUCCUCACCUUGAAAUUCCUCAAUGAAGAUUUCUUAAAAAUCGCCUAUUCACCCCUCCCUCUAGUCGACGUAAUGCACUUUCAAUUGGUAUCAGAGCAAGGUACUCCCUUGUUCUGUGUGAUUUUGGUUUAACCGCCUGGAGUUUUAGUUAUGUCGACUGCAGGUAUGAUCAAGGUCUUGGCUAGGUGUCCUACCUUUGACGGUACGGACUACCCCUACUGGAAGAACAAGAUGCAUAUGCAUCUUGAGGUAAUUGAUAACCAUCUCUGGUACGUUGUUGAAAAUGGUGUUCCCUCAGUCACUCCGUCUAUGAAUGCUACCGAUGUGAAGAGAUUCAAGCAACUCGAUUCCCGUGCAGAGAAUAUCAUAUGUGGCCAUCUGAGCAAAGGUCAGUUUGGCAGAGUGAGUGCAUUGGAAACUGCUAAGUUGAUUACAGGUUGUCCAAGGUCAACGAAGGAGUCUCAACUCAACGUGACUCCCGAGUUGAUGUUCUUCGCAAUCUCUUCAACCGCUUCAAAAGACUCGACAACCAAAAUGUUCAGCAAACCUUCGAUCGCCUCACUGACAUCUCAAAUGAGCUUCAAGCACUUGGUGCCACUGAUAUCACCGAUCAUGAGGUGGUGAAGAAAUUGCUGAGAUCACUUGACACCUCGUUUGAUACCCUCACAAUGAUGAUUCAAGAACGAGCUGAUUACAAGUCACUUGAUCCCGCUGAUAUCCUCGAGAGGCUAAAUACACGUGAGUUCUAGCUUGCUGAAAAGAGAGAUCUCUAUGGAUCAAGCUAUGGAAGAUCACGUGCACUGAGGGCCAAGGAAGUAUCUGAGUCUGAAGCUGAGGAUUCUGGUAGUAGCCUUGGUGAUCCUGAAGAACUGAGCCAGGAGCUAGCAAUGCUCGUGAGGAAAUUCCAGAAGUUCUCUCGCCGUGGAUGUUUUGGAAAGUCUUCAAGAAAUGAUGAUUCCUCAUCCCGUGACUACAAGAAGAGAACUUGCCACAAAUGCAAGAAACCUGGUCACUACAUGUCUGAUUGUCCUCUGUGGGAAAACGAAUCAAAGAAGAAGAAGUACAAAGAUGAUGACACUGACGAUUCAAAGAAGAAGAAGAAAUCAUCAAAGUCUUCAUCAUCAAAAUCCUCAAAGUCUUCAUCUCACAAGAAGAGCAGCUCCAAGAAGGCCCGGGCAUUCAUUGGCCAGGAAAUGGACUCUGAAGCGGAAUCUGAGGAUAAUGUGGAAGAGGAGGAAUCUGAGGAAUCUGACUCUGGUGUGGCUAGCCUAGCCCCCGCUACUACGUAUGUCAGCAAGUCCAUCUUCAACAAUGAAGAAAAUGACUUCUCCGACUCUGCUGACAAGGGCAACGAUGACUAUGCUCCCACCUAUUGCUUUAUGGCAAAAGGUGCCAACGUACUCAAGCAUUCCCCCUCUGACUCUAGUGAGGAUGAAUCUGAUGACAAUCUUAAGCCUAGCUAUUCAAAACUUGCUAAAAUUGCUGUUAAACAACAGAAGGCUUUAGAAAAGAUUCAAAAUCAACUAGACAGAAGCGAUGACCUGUUGGGUGAGGAAUUUAAUCAAACUAAGACUCUGACAGAUAAUCUUCAGAGACUUCAAACUCGGCUUGACAACCUUCAAAAUCAUCAUAACACUCUCUUAACUGAUCAUGAGACGCUUUCUUAUGAAUUUCUUCAGAGAAAGCAAGAUCUUGAGACAUUAAAAGUGACUUAUGAAGAUAUUUAGAAGGAAAAUGAUUCAUUGCUUGCUCAACAGAUCAGUUCCGCUCAGGAAGAAUUUGUUCCACCAUGUCUUAAAUGCAUUGAGCGUGAGUCUGCUAAUUCAUCACCUGAAUGUUCAAAUGCUUCUAUUGCUGCAAAUUCUUCAAUUGUCUCUGCGGUUACAAAUUCCUCAUCUGAGGAUACCACAUGUAUCACUGACGAUAAUGCAGGGCUGAAGGAAUUGUAUGUGACAGGCAUUUACAAAAGGCAUCAGACUCUUUGUGAUGUGCUCAAAAAGCAUAUCUUGAACAGGAACCCUAGGAAAGAGGGUAUUGCCUUUGAGAGGAAACGCAAUGCUGAUGGAACCUACUGGAGCCCUGAGCAGUACCCCAAAACCUCAGGGUUGCUGCGAAAGGACCUCCUGUAGAUCCAUGCAAUUUAUCUGGCUUUACCUCUGAUUCUUCGUAUUCCUCUGAUGAGUCAUUUGAAUCCAUAUAUAAACUGUUCAAAAAUCAGAACGGUGAAGUAUUUGCUCGAUAUGUUAGAACUAAUUGCAGGAACGGUCCUCCUAUGAAGAAAAUCUGGGUUCCUAAAAGUUGCCUUGAAAAUCUUCAGGUGAAUGUCAUCAUGACACCACCCAUGAAGAAUAGGAACCCCAAAUCAAAUUCUUCAUAUGGACCAAACUCUUCAUAUGGAUCCAAGUCCUCAUAUGGACCAAAUUCUUCACGAGGAUCAAAUUGCUCACAUGGAUCAAAAUCCUCAUAUGAUUAUCAUCGUGCUAACACUUCUGUUUCGUAGGGAAAGUCUAAGGGCCAUGAAUAUGUGCAUUAUUCUUCAAAUCAUUAUGUUCAUAAGUCCUCGGAGAAUUUCUAUGCUUAUUCAUAUGCUUAUCCUAACCACUCUUCUAUGAAACGAAGUGCACUGGCUUCUAUGCCAUCAUUUUCUUAUGGAGAUCACAGAAUGAUGAACUUUUUGCCACCCCUCCAGAUGUGGGUGGUGAAGAAAAGGAACUAACCUCUUAUGCAGGGUCAGGUCUCCAGACGAACUUGAUCGCCUGAAGAAUUUGUUGGAGACCUGAAUGUGCUUGAAAGGACACAAGCUAAACAUGAAGAAAUGAAUCAUUCAUUUCUCACGUCCUCAUAUUGCUGAUGAACAACCCAAAGCUACUGAGUGGGUCCUUGAUAGUGGAUGUACAAAUCACAUGACUGGUGACAGGAGCUUGUUGAUGGACACUGAUUUGUCACCAUCUCAUAUGAAGCAUAUCACCUAUGCUGACAAAGGCAAAAGCAAGGUAUUGGGUCUAGGUAAGGUUGCAAUCUCAAAGGAUAAACACAUGGACAAAGUCAUGCUUGUUGAGUCCUUAGGAUUCAAUCUUAUGUCAGUCUCAAUGCUUUGUGAUCUAUGGUUGUUGUCUUUGGCAAAUUUCUUUGCCUUGUGCUAAUGGAAUCUGACAACUCCAAAGUCUUCGAAGGCUUUAGGAAAGGAGACUUGUAUAUUGUUGAUUUCUCUGCAGUACCACAGCCUGCCACAUGUCUACUCACAAAAGCUUCAGAAUGCUGGUUAUGGCAUCGACGACUUGGUCAUGUUGGGAUGAGGAACUUGCAUACACUCGCAAAGAAUAAGCACUUCAUUGGCAUCGAGGGUGUCAAAUCCUCAAAGAUCAUCUUUGUGGGGCUUGUGAGGCUGGAAAGAUCACUAGAGCCAAGCAUCCCGCGAAGACUAUCAUGACUACUUCUCGUCCCUUUGAAUUGCUUCAUAUGGAUCUAUUUGGCCCUACUCAUUAUGCCACGUUCACCAGUUCUGCAUCAUUAUACGGCUUUGUCAUAGUUGAUGACUAUUCUCAUUACACAUGGGUGCAUAUCAUCACUUACAAAAAUGAAGUGCAGGAAGUCUUCAGACGAUUUUCCUCAAGGGCUUCCACAAACUUUGGUGUGAAGAUCAAGCAUAUCAGGAGUGAUAAUGGAACCGAGUUCAAGAACACUGGCCUCGAUGAAUAUCUCGAUAUGCUUGGUAUUACUCAUGAAUUGUCUACUCCUUAUACUCCUCAGCAGAAUGGCGUCAUGGAGCGCAAGAACAGGACUCUUGUUGAGAUGGCUCACACUAUGCUUGAUGAAUACAAGACAGCUGGGCGCUUCUAGCCUGAAGCAAUUGAUACUGCGUGCCACAUCAUCAAUAGGGUAUAUCUUCACAAAUUCUUCAAAAAGACCUCAUAUGAACUCCUCACUGAAAAUAAACCCAAUGUAAGUUAUUUCAAAGUCUUCGGUGCUAAAUGCUGGAUUAGAGAUCCUCACCAUCACUCUAAAUUUGCACCGAAAGCACAUGAGCGUUUUAUGCUUGGUUACGGAAAGGACUCGCACACCUACAGAGUCUUCAACAUCCAUCAUCACAAGGUUGUUGAAACUGUAGAUGUGCGGUUUGAUGAAACUAAUGGCUCGCAAAGAGAGCACCUACCUCCUGUGCUAGAUGAAAUGUCACUUGAGGAAUCCAUCAAGUUCAAAGCUACUGAGGAUGUCAUCCCUACUGAAGAAAUUGCUGAAGAAGUCAUUCCUGAUCUUGAAGAAAAUCAUCCUGGUGCUGAUGAAGAAACUGGUCCUGAAGAAACUACUGGGCCUAAGCAAAGUCAUCAACCUGCACAUCCUCGCAUUGCAAAUGAACUGCAAGUCCAGAAGAUCGUUAAUGACAUUCGUGCACCAGGUCCCCUCACGCGCUCAAAAGCUUCACAUUUAUCUAACUUUUGUGGGCAUUUUGCAUUUGUCUCUAUCACAGAGCCCACCAAAGUAGAUGAAGCAUUCAUGGAACCCGAGUGGAUUCAAGCCAUGCAAGAUGAAUUGCAUCAAUUCGAGCUCAACAAUGUGUGGGAGCUUGUCAAGCGACCAGACCCUCGCAAGCACAACAUCAUUGGUACCAAAUGGAUCUACCGCAACAAACAAGACGAAAAUGGCCUUGUGGUGAGGAAUAAGGCUCGUCUUGUAGCUCAAGGCUACACACAGGUUGAAGGAAUUGUUUUCGAUGAAACUUUUGCACCUGUUGCUAGACUUGAGGCUAUUCGCAUAUUGCUUGCUUAUGCUAACCAUCAUAAUAUCAUCUUACAACAAAUGGAUGUGAAAAGUGCAUUCCUCAAUGGUAAGCUUGAGGAAGAAGUAUAUGUUUCUCAACCACCAGGUUUUGAGGAUCCAAAAUUUCCAGAUCACGUCUACAGACUCAACAAGGCCCUCUAUGGCCUCAAGCAAGCACCUCGGGCGUGGUAUGACACACUGAAGGAAUUCCUCAUGAAGAAAGGCUUCAAAACCGGUUCACUUGACCCUGAAUCUUUUCACCAAAUCAUAUGAUGAUGAAUUAUUCGUGUGCCAAAUAUAUGUUGAUGAUAUUAUCUUUGGUUGUACUAACCAACGUUACAGUGAUGAAUUUGCCUAUAUGAAGAGUGAAUAAUAUCAAAUGUCUAUGAUGGGAGAAUUGAAAUUCUUCUUAGGUCUUCAGAUUCGUCAACAAUACAAUGGCAUAUUCAUAUCUCAGGAGAAAUACCUCAAGGAUGUGUUCAGGAAAUUCGGUAUGCAAGAUUGCAAGGACGUCAAAAUUCCCAUGCCCACAAAUGGCCAUCUAUGCACUGAUGAAAAUGGUAAAGACUUCUAUCAAAGGGUAUACCGUUCCAUGAUUGGCUCUUUAUUGUACCUAUGUGCAUCUAGGCCGGAUAUUAUGCUUAGUGUUUGCAUGUGUGCCCGAUUUCAAGCUACACUGAAGGAAUCACAGCGGCUGUGAAGCAUAUUCUUCGAUAUCUAGCUCACACACCAACACUUGGAUUAUGGUAUCCCAAGGGCUCUUCCUUUGAUCUCAUUGGAUAUUCAGACUCUGACUAUGCUGGCGAUCGGGUGGACCGCAAGUCAACGUCAGGCACAUGUCAUUUCCUCAGACGAUCCUUGGUAUGUUGGUCCUCGAAGAAGCAGAACUGCGUAUCACUCUCCACUGCAAAAGCUGAGUACAUUGCUGCUAGAUCUUGCUGUGCUCAAUUACUAGGGAUGAAGCAAACACUCAAGGACUAUGGCAUCAACAUUAAAAAUGUGCCUCUCUACUGCAACAAUGAGAGCACUAUCAAGAUUGCUCACAACCCAGUUCAGCACUCGAAGACAAAGCAUAUCCAGAUUCGUCAUCAUUUUCUUCGUGAUCAUGUGUUGAAGGGCGACAUCUCCAUCGACCACGCAAGUACUAAAGACCAGCUGGCCGAUAUCUUCACAAAGCCCUUGGAUGAGAAGAGAUUUAGCAAGUUGCGGUGUGAGCUAAAUAUCCUAGAAUCUUCAAAUGUUCUUUGAAAAGGACACACAUCCUAACACUUAUGCUGACUUGAUGACUUAGAUGUGCAACACACGAAGUAACGUUUUUCUUCAAUCAAUGAAGACUAACCCUCUAAGUGUGAAGAAAUUGAUUCUUAGAACCCUACGAGAAUUGUACGCGGUGUCUGAAAUCAGCUUUCUUAUACGGUGGGUUACGCCACCAACCAAAGUUUAAAAUCUUCAAUUUGAGUUUUUUUUUCAUUUUUGAAAUUCCUCAGUUUUUCAAAUUCUUCAACUUUGCAUUAUCUUCACUCUUUCGGUUGUUGUUCUUUAUUUAACUAUAUAUAUAUAUAUAUAUAUGUGUGUGUGUGUGUGUGUGUGUGUGUGUGAGUGAGUUUAUGUCCUCUACAGUAUUCACUUAUUGCUAAUUCUUCAAGUUGAUUUUUUUUUGCUAAGUGAAUGUGAUCGGGCCCUUCCCCCUCUAUGCUAAACUCAACCCAGUCCAUUCACAAAUUCUUCAUGUGCGUUCUAUUUGAAACUCGUUCAAAUUCUUCACUGUGUCCUUGUCAACUGAAGAAAUUGCAAACGAUACUUUAAAAUAUUCUUAUAUAAAAUUUUCGGCCUUAGCCGCUCAAACCGUUACGCAUUCCACGGUAUAAUUAUCUAUUCAUCCAUGAUCUCACACGAUCUCCACUUCUCAGUACGUGGGCGACACAUGUCGCGCGAAUGAGAAGGGUCAGGGGCACGUUCAUCCAAAUUCUCUGGGCGAACAGUUAUUCAUCUCCGCUAUAAAUACCCCCUCCCCUUCCUCAUUUCACUUUUACUCCGCUCGAACUCACUCCCUCACUCGAGCUUCUCAAAACCUAGCGCCGCCGCUAACUCCAUCGUCGCCGGUGAGGAAGAGCUUCACUGCCUCGACCUCGUCGUCGUCGUACUCGCGCCGGCCGCGGAAAUCUUCCCUCCGCCGCUGAUGUAGACGUCUUCCUCCGCCAAGUUAGGGCGUGGAAGAUCUGAGCCGACGAACUUCACAAUCUACACUUCUAGUUCGUCUUCUUCUUUGUCAAGGGUAAUUAAAAGUUACUUUUACCGCAUUUAUUCUACUAAUGAUUUUCAUCAAAUCUUCAAAAGGUGUUUAUUCUUCGAUCUCCACACUCUAAACACCUAGCACAAAUCUUCAGUUCUUGAUCUGUUUCUCUAAGUGACGUUUUUCUUCAUGAUUCCUCAAUUGUGUGAAUCUCAUGAUCCGCACGACUCUGGAACCUAAGACAAAGAAUGCUUAGUGAAAUUCUUCAAGACACAUCGAGUCAAUAUCCUCAAACUGCAUCAAAUUUUACAAAACCUUCUGAGAAUGCAUAUGACCUCUCCAAAUUCUUUGCACCUAUACUCUAUUCACAGAUACUCAUGUCAGCUGCUGAAUCACUAGGUUCUCAUCAACUUAACUCAUUUGCAGCAUUCCUCGAAGAAAAGCUGCAUACUUCUUCAGAGAACUCAAUUGUGCAAAUUCCUCAGAUGAAGAACAUGGCUGACGGUAAACUUCCUCAGAAAGGAGGAAAGAAGCUUGAAGUAAAUACUGCCGUUGAGAUCCCUGCGGACAUCCAUGCAGGGUACUACACGCCUAAUGAGGCAAAAUAUGGCAAGGAAACGAAGAAUGAGUGCAAAGUGCGCAUUCAGAGGAUCGAAAGGAGAUGGGCAAGAGAGUGGAGGGAGUAUAGAUAUGUUACUCCCAAAUACAUGAAGAAAUUUGCUCUCAAUCCUCCGUGCUCAAGACCUCCUCUGGCACCUGGCCGGUUAGAUGAUCCAACAAGCCUUAAACGUGGUGAGGAUUAUGCUGAUGAAUGGGCCAGGCGGCAGGCAAAGUUGGCCAAGCAGGCCAAAGAAGCAGUGAAGAAAUUCAAUGAAGAUUCUGCUGUUGCCGCUGCCACUGCUGAAGCUUCUUCAAGUAAGAAGGCCAUGCCUAAGAAGCCAGCAAAGAAACCACCAAGUACUUCUACAAUGCCCUCACGCCCAAUUUCCUCAGUGCCACCGAGGCAAAUUCCUCAAGCUGCCCCAGUUCCUCAAGCUGCACCAAUUUCUCGGGCUUCAAAACCCUCAACUCCUCCGGCAAAGUCCUCAACACCCGUGCAUCUCGCCACGUGCCAAAGGACCACUGGCAUAUCUAUUGCCUCAGGAGCUUCAGCGAGUCCUUCUUCUCAUCCUUCAACUACCGAUCCCACUCUGCUGAAGAGCAAGGCCACUGCUGGACAAGGCACUAGAUCAAGUCCUCGCAAGAAGCAGGUGGUCUUUCAAAUUACAUCUGAUGAUGAUGAGGCUGAUGAUGAUGAAAUUGACAAUAUCAUCAAGGACAGACUGCAGCGGGCCGCUAGAGCCAAAGGAAGUGGUGUGCCCCUACUUCUGGAUUCAAAGAAGAUCCUUGAUUUCAUCGACCUCUGGCACCAGGACCCCAAUGCUCCAAUGCCAGAUUUGGGCCUCACUCCUGGACAAAGUCACGUUGUGAUGGCGUUCAUCAUUGAAGAGAAGUGGAAGUAUGACCAAGCCAGGUCAUUGAAGAGAACCCAAUACAAGAAGCAGCGCUACUUAAAGGACAACGUCCUCAGUCUUUCGCCUGAGCAGCUCCUUGCACUACAAGCUAAAAUCAAGAAGCUCAGCAAAGAAUUUGAAGCCUACAGGGCUGACUAGAAGGGCGCCAAGGUCAGAUUCAUCAAGCUGACGAAGACAUUCACUUCAAGUCAUGCUGCUCAUGUGCGCAUUGAAGUCACUCCGGCUGAAACAUCUGCCCAAGCCACUGAAGGAAUUGCCAGCACCGCUGAUGAAUUUCAGGUUGCUGAUGAAACUGCAAGCACCAGGGCUGCUGAAGAAAUUCCAGCCUCUGAAGAAACUGUCAGGGCAACCACUAGUGUUGGCCUGAAGAAAUUGUCAGGCCAGCUGAAGACUCUAUCGCUGCGCCUGAAGAAACUGCUCAAGACAGGCCAACUGCAUCAGUUGUGCCUGAAGAAAUUGAUCCCACUGCCACUGCUCUGCCCGCACCAACAUCAAGUCUGAUUCUUCCUUCUGCUCUGGAAGUGAAGAAAACCAAAGCUGCGGAGCGUGCUGCUUUGAAGAAGAGGAAGGCAUCAGCUGCAUCAGAAUCUUCGGGCCCCAAGAAGGCAAAGAUUUUGACAAGUUCACUAGAGAAUCCCAUUGAUGUUGUUCCUCUCGCAAGCAUGCCAUCUAAGGAACUUGUUCCUCAUGGCAAAGAAUAUCAGAUUCCUGAAGAAUCUGCAGAAGAAGAUCCCUCUGUUGCUUCCACAAAGCAGAUGGAUGAAGAAAUUGAGGUUGAAGCUUUCACCUCAACUCCUCUGGUAUCAUCGCCAACGCCUUAGUUUACUGCUGAAGAAGCCGGCAUUGAAGAAAUGGAAGUGGAUGAGGAUGUGGACAUUGGCUGCACCACUCCCGUGAUGAAUGAUGAUUUUUGGGAGAGUCAGCACCCCAACUUACCUCUGUUCACACUGAUCCAACAAAUUCCUCAGUCCCCGGCUCCAACUAAAGUUCUCAUGGGUUCUGAAGAAAUUCAUGCCACCCCUUACAUUCUUGAAGAGAUUCCAGCCACUAGUGUUGAUGAACAUGUUGCUGAAGAAAUGGAGGUCCAGGCUACUACUGAAGCAAAAGCUGAAAUUCCUCAGCCUGCGGCUCCUGAAAUAGAAGUCCCAGAAGUUAUUCUUCAAAUCACCGAUACUCCUCAGCCACAGUCGAAGAAUCCAUUCUCCAAGACUCCGAAGUUCAAGGCUGAUGCCUUCUUCAACGAGCAUGUAUUCUUCACAGACUACAAUCCAUAUGAUUCAGCUCGUCUGAGGAGGAAGCGAUUCUGGACUACCAGCCAGGCAAACUUCUAUUCUUCAGUGCUAUUCAACAAAGACAAGGUCUUCGAUCAUGAGCAUAUUCCUCACUAGGAUAUGGAAUCACUGCCUUGCUUUAGGCCAGUCCUCGCUGCCAUUCAUGAUACUGGCCUGCUCAAUUUCUGCUCGGACAUAUGUGAUUGGAAUGAAGAACUCAUUCUUCAAUUCUACACGACGCUGCACAUGACACGAAAUGCUGAAGAUGUGAACUCUUGGGUGUUGGACUGGAUGACAGAAAACAAUCACUAUAAGGCCCCAGCAACUGAAUUGCUUCGUGCCAUGCCAGUCAGUCCUCCCCCAGAAGGUGCGCAUCUGAUAUAUUUUGAAACUGAGAUGUCCGAUCAUUUUAUGCAAGUGCUGAUGAAGCCACUAAAGCCUGGACAAGCAUCAAGGACCAAAUUCCUCGUGAAGGAAUUGCAGUAUGUGUCGAGGACAGUCUAUCGUAUUUUGGCGAAGACUUUGAGUCCAAUCAAGGGCCACGACUCAAAUGAUGAGGAAGUCGUUGGCAUCAUGAAGAACCUGUUGUUCAACAUCAUGCACGGUAUUCCCAUGAAUUAUCAUGAUUUCUUCAUGAGGACUCUAGCAAAUAUCGCUAUGUCCCUGUUUGAGCUAAAACCUUACGCUCCCUGGAUCAUGAGAUUCCUCAGAACAAGGUCUUCACUCAACUACAAAGCUGAUAUGCUCAACCAUGGCAGCUUCUUGCCCCCGAUUGAAGUCCUCAAACGGACAUUUUCCUCAGCUGAUGAGAAGGGCAAGGCCACUGCUGUCAUUGAUGAGGGCAUUCGUCCAUUGGAUGGAUAGUUCCACAAAGCUGCUUCAUACUCCACCAAUGAUGAUUCUGCCACUCAUGAUACUGCCGCAAAUGCUUCAAAGCAUAGUCCUCAAGCAACAGCUCCAAGGGUGAUGACUGAUCGUGAGCUUCUCCUCAGUCUUCAUCAGAAGGUGGAUUGCAAUCACAAAUGGGUGAAGCGCCAGUUUGCUUCAAUUCUUCACAGUAUGACUGCCACUUAUAAUUCGGUGAAGAAGAACCAUUACUACCUCAAUGAAAUGUUCGUCACACCUGGGCUAUAUUGUCUCACCUUUACGGUGAAGAGGAUCUCAAGCAGAUGGGCUUCAAGCAGGACUUCGGCUAGGCUAAGCAACCACCGAAGAAAUUCAAGAAGGUCAAAGUUCCUCCCUUGGUGCCCAGUUCAUAUUCCUCGUCCCGUGACACUGAUGAAAAUGAAGAUCUGGAGGACACUGUGGCAGGCCCUACUCCAACAACGCUGGCGCUCCUCCAUCGACUUCGUGAAGAAAUUUUUCAGGGGUGUUAGUCCUCACUUCUCGUCCCUUUUGGCCAUUUGAUGACAAAGGGGGAGAAAUUUGAGUUAGUCUUCAAGCGGGUCUAUAUAUAUGGGCGGUUUUUUUUAUUAAGUUGCAACUCUCGCUCUUCUGAAGCUUUUGUUGAUCGAGUCGUAAACUUAAGUCCGAUGGUGACCUGAUACUUUUGCUUUGUUUUUCUGCAUGCUAUUUCCUCAUUAAUCCUAUGCACGCAUGCUGAAUUACAUCAGCCACCAUAUUUCAUCAUGCAUUUCAAAUUCUUCAUUCUGUAUGUUAAAUGCGUGUAUGAAUUACAAGAUAUAGGGGGAGAUCUCCAUGAUUCUACUCUUCAAGUGUGCAUUACUUCAAAAGCAAAAUCCUCACUAUGCACAUCUUGAGGGGGAGUUCUUCUAUAUCUUGCAAUCAAAUUCCUCAAUUUUGAGCACUUUCAAUUCAUAUGUUUAUCCCCGUUGAAAACUUAACCUAUAUUGUCAUCAAUCACCAAAAAGGGGGAGAUUGAAAGUGCAUCUAGUGCCCCUUAGUGAUUUUGGUGUAUUGAAGACUUAUAGGUUAAGGGACUAAUAUGCUUGUGAGUAUACACAAGCUCUAUAAGUCAAUGAGGAGUUUGAUAUUUACAGUGAAAGACGACCCCUAAAAUGAAUGUCUUCGGCUGAAGACUUUGGUUCUCCUGAAGACUUUGAAAUUGAAGAAAUUGGUGUGACCAUGAAGACUCGAUAUUCAUGCAAGGAAUCUGAAGUGUGAAGACUUUUGUUUUCGUAGUCUCAUAUUCUCUUUCUUGAGUCAUAGGAAACACCGUACUGUUAAAGGGGGUCGAGGUAAUACUAAGGAAAUAGAUUUCCAAGUGAUGCUCAUCUCAAAAUCCUACACCUACCCAAUCCUCCGAGUGAAGCCAUUGGAAAUAUCAUAUCAGUUGAGUCAAUUUCUUCAGUGACAGAGACGAAGAUCUUCUGGUCUUUGAGGAAUUUGUUCUGACUGAGGAGUUAGGAAUUCUCCAGUGCGGAUUGCCUACACAGUGAGGAACAUGAUAGCCCUGAGGAAUUCUAACCUCAAAAUAUCCGACCAUUGCUGAGCCGCGCGCCAGCUGUUCCAAAAUAUCCUACCACCUAACGGUCAUAUCUGCCAAGGGCAUUUAUGUCUUAUCAUGUUGGGCUGCUCCCUUGGCUAUAAAUAGCCGCCCCCUACAACCACUAGCUGGUUGGCUGCUCUGAGAGAAACUGACACUUGUCAUUUGAUAGCAUCCCAUCCUCCGAGAACUUUGAGCGAAAAUCAUCGAUUGAGGAAAACCCUAAUCCCAAACCCAAACCUACAAACCCCAAAGUGAUUGAGCAUCACUAAAGAGAUUGUUCCUGUGUGGAACCGACGCUUGUUACCUUUGAGCACUGUGUAUCCUCCAAACGGUUAGGAGUCAUGGUCUGAGCAUCCAAGAGGAAUUGUGGAUUGCCGAGUGACCUAGUCUGUGAAGGUUUGGAAGUCACAUGUGAAGACUUACCACUACCGAUGGGUGAGGUAUGUGUGCUCUUAGCUCAAGGAGAAUACGGUGAGGACUGUGUGUCCUCGAGUUUAAAUACUCAGCCACUCCAACUAGACGUACAACUGUCACAACAGUUGGAGCUGGUCUACCAAAUCAUUGUCUUCACCAAGCCAACUGGUUCUAUUUCCUCAACCCUUUCAUUUCCUCAGUUAUGUGUUGAUGAACCUGAUCAUCACUGUUUGAAGACUUUGACUGAAGACUUUCUCUAAUUCCUCAAUCCUAAUUCUUCAGUCAAUUUUGUCUUCAUCCUGCUUAUCAUGUGUUUACACUUUCUGUACUCAGUGCUUGUCUUUCAUUUCAUCAUGAUGACUAUGAUGUUAAUCGGUUUUGCUUAUACCUGAGUACUUAUUCCGCUGCAAGUAGUUCUUCACUUAGGAAUUUCCUCACCUUGAAAUUCCUCAGUGAAGAUUUCUUAAAAAUCGCCUAUUCACCCCCCCCCCCCUCUAGUCGACGUAACGCACUUUCAUGGGGCGGCGAUGGCCGGGUGGAGGGGGCGCCGGGCGGUGGUGGCAACGGGGCCGCAGGGCUCCGGGGCAGCGGGGUGGUGCUGCGGUGCGGUGGGGCGGCGGCAGCAUCCGGGCAGCGACGGUGCUCGACGGCGGCGGUGCGGGCGCGGGUGAGUGGGGGCGCAGGGUGGAGAGAGGGGUGAGAGAGAGGGGAGAGAGCAGUGGGGUGGGGCCGAAGAGACAGAGAGGGGCGACCGUUACUAAUUAGUGGGGGCACGUUCAUUGCCGCCCGCUAGCGGACGACAAAGGGCGCGCAUAGCAGAAGGGGAGAUGGCCGUUAGCUGGGCCCCUUCUUUGCCGUCAGCCAGCAGACGGCAAAGGUCCAGCAGGCACACGACAAAGAUUAGGCUGACGGCAAAUAGGCUGACCUAGCCACGCCAUGCCCUAUGGGGCCCACCUGGCUCUUUGUUGUCUGCCUUCUAGCUCUUUGCCAUCAGCUGGCUGGCGGCAAAGAAGCAGCUGACGGCAAAUAUCCUUUUUUCCAUUAGCCCAUUCUUUGUCAUCCGCUUUGUGGAAGCUGGCAGCAAAGAGCCUCUUUGCCAUCAGCUGGCAGAUGGCAAAGAGGAGGCAGACAGCAAAACGCCAGACUCCAGUAGUGUCUGUAUGGUUGUGUGUGGAACUUGUUUUGCAGAACCGGACACGAUUCUUGUGUUCGAAGUCUACUUUAAAGUAUUCGGAGAAGGAACCCGCCUUGCAAUGCCGAAGAUAAUGUGCGCGCUGGACUCAUCGUCAUUGAAGCCUGGUUCAGGGGCUACUGAGGGAGUCCUGGAUUAAGGGGUCCUCGGUAAGCCGGACUAUAUACAUGGGCCGGACUGUUGGGCAUGAAGAUACAAGACAGAAGACUUCUUCCCGUGUCCAGAUGGGACUCUCCUUUGCGUGGAAGGCAAGCUUGGUGAUUCGGAUAUGUAGAUUCCUUUCUCUGUAACCGACUUUGUACAACCCUAGCCCCCUCCGGUGUCUAUAUAAACCGGAGGGUUUAGUCCAUAGGGGACAAUCAUAAUCCCAUAGGCUAGACUUCUAGGGUUUAGCCAUUACGAUCUCGUUGUAGAUCAACUCUUGUAAUACUCAUAUUCAUCAAGAUCAAUCAAGCAGGAAGUAGGGUAUUACCUCCAUAGAGAGGGCCCGAACCUGGGUAAACAUCGUGUCCCCUAUCCCCUGUUACCAUCGACCUUAGACGCACAGUUCGGGACCCCCUACCCGAGAUCCGCCGGUUUUGACACCGACAGAUAUUGACCCCAAUGCCUACCAAUGAAGCAAGAACAUCAUUUUAGUUCUCGUCUAAUCAUCUUAGCAUUUUGCUUCACAAGCCCUGUAGAGAGACUCACUACAUAAUCAUUGCAGAGCGAAGCCAUGAAUAUUGAAAUUAGCAAAUCAUCUGGAAUCGAAUCAAAUGGUCUUUCUGCACUUACGAUGAUCACCAUUUGACCAUCAAUAAUCGAUUAAAAAUUCAAUUACCUUUAUAUUCAUUUUUGUUGUUGUGUUAGACAGAGGGUUUGGUGUCGCGAUGUAUCUUUCUUUUGUUAUACUGAGUUGGAAAUCAAUGAACAUGUUUCCGUUGUUGGUUUCUUUGUCAUGUUUUAUAGUAGUAUUCUCCUUAGGGUUGAUCAUAUAUAGAUGUUCAAUAAGUGCAACAAAUGUUGGCAACUAGACCAUUCAUGGUAGAAUUAAAUGGCCAAAACAGUUGGCAUGUGCUGUCUAGUGAAAAACAAUCAUGUCCUAGCCACACACAAUGUUUCACUCAUUGAUCUUCUAUACAUAUCUAGCUUCCCCUUGUAGCAAGAUCGUGUCUAGUUGCUAUGGAGAAUGCCAAAGUGUAGUAGAGCGACAAUGACGAGCACGGUCAAUGCACAAAUGGACACAUGACAUAAUCUGGCAGGGAAUGGGAUGCAUCAGAAAUUUGAGUUGGAACCGAGGAAAAAUAGAUAGAAUCCACAGAGGAGUCGUGGAACUAGCAAAUACAGAUCAGACGGUGGCUCUAUGUUGUCCAUUCGGUGGAGCUUAUUUUAGAGUGUUGAGCCGUAGGUUCAUCACUCUAGUAGACCAGUUGCUACAGAUUUCAGGACUCUAGAAACUCGUUCUUCCUUUCUCAAUGGUGAGCCCAUGCCCUAGAAGACGGAGGACAAGCCUACUGCUUCAUUACCACCAUCGCCGAACAAGGAGACUUGAGUACACGGGUAUGGGCACCACCCUUGGCUUGUUUCAUGCUUGGGGGGAGGUGCCCCGGUAUCGUAUCACCAUCACUUUUAUCAUUAUUAUCUAUGUUAUUUCGAUUCUUAGUUGUUUUGUUAUUUAGAAGAAUAAAAGUAUUAGUAUUAAUUAGUUCGAGUUCUUGUUUCAUGAUCUAUCUAUCUAUGUAAUCGUGUGUGAUAGUUAUAUAAUAAAGAGUAGUUUGAGUUUUGAUACUUUGCUUUCUUGUUUCAAUCUUAUCAAUGAAAAAUAAAAGAUCAUAUGCUAAUAUCAUGGGGAGUAAUGACUUUACAUGUAAAAAGUAUAGUUGAUAAAAUUUAUUGGAAGUUAGCAAACAUAGCAUUGGUCAUUGUUGCAAUUCAUGAAAGAUUAUUAAAGGGAGAGAGUCUUCACAUAUAACUACACUAUCCUGGAUAACUUUUAUGAUUGUGAGCCCCCAUCAAAUAUUUUCAGCUUGACCAAAUAGUUAAUGUUGGACAAGGAAGACAACAUAAUGAGUUGUGUUUGCUUAUAUGCACAUAGAAGUUAUAUUGUCAUGGAUCCUCUAACAUGUGGUGCUUGUUCAUAAUCUUUUUCUAGCCAAAAUUUUGUACUACUUAGAAAUACUAUUUGUGCAUCCAAAAAUCCUUAAACCCAGUUUCUUGUCAUGAUAGUCCACCAUAUCUACCUAUGGAUUGAAUAAGAUCCUUAAAAUAAGUUGUCAUCGGUGCAAAGCAAUAAAAAUUGCCCCCAAGUAUGUAUGCUCUUUUAUUGUAAGGGAAAAUAAACUUUGUACGAACUUGUGAUGGUAAAGAAAUAAAAGCGACUGACUACAUAAUAAAGGUUGCUAUCACAAGGGGCAAUAUAAAGUGUUGUGGGAAACCACGGCCACCUAUGGAGCCAUGAGCCCCUUUUGGUUCGACAGGGGGACGGGCAUGUUGCACAAAGAGUGGAGAAGCGCAACACAUCACGUCAUUGAUCACACGGGUAGUUUUACCCAGGUCCGGGCCGCCGCGAGGCAUAAAACCCUACUCCUGCUUUGGUGGAUUGAUUGGUGGAGGCUAAAUUUGAUGUUUUGACCCUUUGGAUAAAAUUUAGCCGGAUCUGACACUCAUCCAAAAAUAUUUCGAGAUCUGACCCUUUUUCCUACCGUUGUAGUCGUUAGCGGUAGGGUUAUACAACAUACCACCAAGAUCUGUGGCGGUAGGACUUAACUGUGCCGUCACGGCCAUUUAACGUGAAAAAUAGCCUACCGCCACAGUCUUUGGCGGUAGGUUGUGUAACCCUACCGCCAAUGGCUACGGCGGUAGGAUAUUCGUAGUACAAAAUGCAUGUGAGUGCAUGGCACCGGUCUCUGUGAGUGCAUGCGAACAUCCGGUAUGCAUGUGAGUGCAUGGCACCGGUCUCUGUGAGUGCAUGCGAACAUCCAGUAUCCAUCUUUCCUCCCACAUGUAUCAUUAGUAGUACUAGCUCCUAGCUCGUACUGCCACAAAAUUAAACAAUGGAUGUACUACACAGCUAGCUAGCUAGACAAGCAGCAGGCUAGCCACUAGCUAGUUUCACAAAGCUAGGUAGGCAGUAGGCAACCACAUAAUCGCAAAACGCUAGCGGCCAGCCGGCAUGCAUGCAUGAACGACCACAUUUUAAAUGGAAGGUAGUAGCACACCCUACCGCCAAAGACCCUGGCGGUAGGGUAUAAUGGUCUACUGCCAAGGACUUUGGCGGUAGGGUAAUUUUCAUGUUAUAACAACGUCAUAAUGCAGUUAAAUCCUACCGCUGAAGACCAUGGCGGUAGGUAGUGUUACCCUACCACCAGAGACUACGGCGGUAGAAAAAGGGUCAGAUCCUGAAAUGUUUUUGGAUAGGGGUCAGAUCCGGCUAAACUUUGUCAAAAGGGUCAAAACACCAAAAUUUGCCAUUGGUGGAUAAUGGAGGAAUGCGUGGCGCUCUUACCCAGCAGGGUUGCCUCAGGGCGAGAGUGGCUACGCGCGUAUGAGGACUCAAAUGGCCGAAUCCUCGAACCCUUUCUGCAAUCGCCAUGGGCCUCCUUUUAUAGAGCAAGGGGUCACCACAAUGGCAAAUCAGUCUUUGUGUACUGAUUAGAGAGCAAACAGUGCUAUCAUACCUAAUUCUGCAGGCAGUCAGAGCGCAUUAAAUGCGCCACUUAGUGUCACAUCACAGCAUGCCCGUCAAGGAGCUUCGCACCUGCUUGCUUGACUCGUCUUAGGACGGGUGUCAUUUGGAGGUGUUUUCUGUAGGAAGUGGCUGCCAUGUGGCAGGAAACAACCACUUAGUCACUUGGGGGCUUGACACCGCACUGAUCGAUGACUUGCGUCAUGGUAAGGUGGAGCGGUGAAGCCUUGGCGGGGUAAUCCGCCCUUGCUGUGCCCGGCAAGCCUGCCGGGCAGUCUGGAGGCUUGUCUUUGGGGAAACCUCGCCCUUGCCAGGCUCUCCUUCCCGACAAGGGAGGUUUUUCCCUUAGGGACAUCUUGCUCCUCUAUCUUGACUUGGUCUUCUUGAUCUGCACUCUAAUUCUUCAAAGAGUUGAUCUCUUAUGCUUGGUCUUGGACUUGGAUGCUGCAAUCUUAUCCUUGGGCAUGUGCACAGUCUGGGCAACAGACCCAGGGUUUGUUGCACCGACAUGAGCCCCCGGGCUUGGCCCCGAACGCGCUUGAAAGAACAUGCGGUGCCCCCAUGUUUGGUUUUGGCAAUUGAUGACAAUCUCUAUGGACUAAUGGUUGCCUUGAGUUAUAUUUGAAGGAUUUGUCCAUAGGCUUUUCUUGGAGUCCAUUUGUUGGUUUCAAGGAGAGUUUGUGAUGACCACGGUGCUAUUAAGGAAUUAUCCAAAGACUGGUCAUGUGAGUGUUGAGCUUAUUGCAAGCAUGUCUUGAAGAAUAAGAUUGUGUGAUCAUUCAUGUCCACCUUCAAGACAUCAUCCAAAUAAAGAGAGUUGGAAAGAUUCAACACACAAAGCGCACAAGAUGUACCGAGGGAUCAAGUGAUCCCAUGGUAUGGUAAGCAUUGUCCACUACGCUUUGUGUGCUAACCCAUGGUCUUCGUGAGAGUUCUUUGUGGGGUUAGGUUGCGGUGUGUAAGUUCAAGUGAUGCAUCACGAAGAGAUCAAGUGCUUGAAGCUUGCCGUCCAUUGUGGUGACAAUGGACUUGUGAAGAUGAGCGGAAGAGUGGCUCACCCAUAGUGGAGUAUGGGGGAGCAAUCAACUAGUCUUCAUCGAGCCAACGCAAUCAAGAAAGGUGGUCCAUCUUGAGGAGGAGUAGAUCGUCAUCAUCUAGCUCAAGUGGACUUUGUGCAAGGCAGAGGUUUGCCCUUGAUAGGUUUUCUAUUUUACCGAUCUCAUGGUGGUAGUUGGGAGACCGGGUUUUAGGAUCGAUUGUCGUACUAUCAAGGGGGGCUCUUGAUGAGUUGCUUGAUUGUAUCGUUCGUAGAGAGCUCAAACCAUGGCAUCCUUGCAUCAUCUUUAUUGGUUCUUGUUUGGUUCUUCUCCUUGUGAGAUUUGGAGCUUUUGGUCAUUUUCAUGACAAGCUCGAGUUCAUCGAAAACGGAGUUCACAUGCAUCUUCUAUGAUGUUUUCCAUGUUGGAGGUUCUGCCGAUUCUUCUCUGUUGGAGGUUUAUCUCCUCUCUUGUUAGGCAGACCUCCGUGUCUCUGUUUUGAUGCUACUUGUUGUCUUGUAUCCAACAAGCUUGAGUUUGCUCAAUUCGGAGCUCAUUUGCAGAAGUUAUGGCAGUUCUGGUUUUAUCGCUUCCCUCUGUUGUCUUCUCUGCAAAAUGAAGGACUCCUAGUGUUGCUGAUCUGGGGCAUGCGGUAGUACUGCUCUCAGGAGCGGUAGUACCGCAGGCCCUUGCGGUAGUACCGCAGUCCCCUGCGGUAGUACUGCAGGUGCUCACAGUAGUACCGCUCUGUGGGAGCGGUAGUACUGUGGCCUUAGGCCAGGCGCAGCUGCUUGAGCGGUAGUAGGGGCGGAUGUAAUUUUUUACAUCCGCGCCCUACGCGGUAGUACCGCGCCGCGGGCGUGGUAGUACCGUGGGCUCUGGCCAGGCUUAGCAGCAUGAGCGGAAGUAGGGGCGGAUGUAAUUUUUUACAUCCGCGCCCUGUGCGGUAGUACCGCUCUUUGUGUGCGGUAGUACCGUGCCGGAGUUUUGCGCAGGUCCUCCCUCAGCGGAAGUAGGUACGAAAGUAAUUUUUUACUUCCAUGCUUCUCUGCGCCUAGUGUUGCCUGCCUUACGGUAGUACCGUAGGGGCGCGCGGUAGUACCGCUCUGGCGGUUCUACCGCUCGUUACCCUGUGCAACAGGCCUUCAUCUGGCCAGUGUUGCACAUGCGGUAGUACCGCAACCUGCAGCGGUAGUACCGCAGCUGACCGCGGUAGUACUGCAGCUCCGUGCGGUAGUACCGCGUCGUGCGGGCUGAGUGAGGGGAUAACGGUUGGAUUUUCUCCCCACCUAUAAAAGGGGGUAUUCUUCCCCCAUUGAGUCUUAUCCUUUGAGCUCGUGCUCUUCCCCCAUUGUUGACCUUCCCCGAGCUUGCUAUCUCUCAAUCCCUCCAUGGAUUCUUGCUAGUUUUGGGGGGGAAAGAGAGAGGAGAUCUAGAUCCACAUUUCCACCAAUCACUUUCUCCUCUAAGUGAGGGGAACCCCUUGGAUCUAGAUCUUGGAGUUCUUCGUGUUCUUCUUUCAUUCUUCCUCUCAUUUUCCUCCCUACCAUUAGUUGCUUUGGUGGGAUUUGGGAGAGAAGGACUUGGGCACUCCGUGUGCCCUUGCCAUUGCAUUUGGUGCAUCGGUUUGAGUUCUCCACGCGAUACGUGGAAGUUACAAGUUGAGAAGAUUAUUACUCUUGGGUGCUUGAUGCCCUUGAGCUUGUUCCUCUUGGGUGCUUGGGCGCCCUAGACGGUUGGUGGUGUUCGGAGCUCAAUCAUUGUGGUGUAAAGCUCCGAGCAAGCGUCGGGGUCUCCAAUUAGGUUGUGGAGAUCGCCUCGAGCAAUUUGACGGGUACCGGUGACCGCCCCCAAGGGUUGCCAAAGUGUACGGGUUCGGUGACCGCCCCCAAGGGUCGCCAUUUGUACGGGUUUGGUGACCGCCCCCAAGGGUCGCCAUUUGUACGGGUUCGGUGACCGCCCUCAAGGGUCCCUUAGUGGAAUCACGGCAUCUUGCAUUGUGCGAGGGCGUGAGGAGAUUACGGUGGCCCUAGUGGCUUCUUGGGGAGCAUUGUGCCUCCACACCGCUCCAAACGGAGAUUAGCAUCCGCAAGGGUGUGAACUUCGGGAUACAUUGUCGUCUCCGCGUGCCUCGGUUAUCUCUUACCCGAGCCCUUUACUUAUGCACUUUACUUUGUGAUAGCCAUAUUGUUCUUUUUCAUAUACCUUGCUAUCACAUAGUUGCUUAUCUUGCUUAGCAUAAGUUGUUGGUGCACAUAGGUGAGCCUAGUUGUUGUAGGUUUUGUGCUUGACAAAUUAACCGCUAGGUUUAUUCCGCAUUUGUUCAAGCCUCUACCGUAAUUAUUUUAAAACGCCUAUUCACCCCCUCCCCCCCUCUAGGCGGCAUCCACGAUCUUUCAGCGCUGUCGGGCAUCGUCGGGGUACGCCCUAACCAGUGCACACGUAGGAGGGUAGUAGUUGCUCGUCCUUUGAGAUCUUAUUUGCUUCUUCAUUAACCUGAGCCCAGGUCAGUUUCCGGUUCUCCCGUGCGCCGUGUAACGCCAAUCGUAGUGGGGCCACUCUUGUAAUGGUCCGUGAAUGACUUUAACGCAUGGGCGAGUAACUACCAAUUCACUCUUCCCACCACGCCCUUAUCCUUAGCCAUGUAUGUUGCAUGAAUUGAGUGGGGCAGGUAACAUAGGCGCGUGGUGCGGGAGAGCAUGAAGGCAGGGGCCCGGCCUUCUCGAAUUGGUGGAGGAGGACGGCGGUCAUCCACCAGGGAAUCAGUCCCCGGCUCCAGCCCGCCUAUAAAAGGAGGAGUGGGAGUGCCCAUCCAUACACCUCUCCUUCACCCUCUGCUUUCUUCUAGUUAUGCUGAAGGGGAGAGUCCGGGCCUCCCUAGUUUCGGGUUGGUGACACCAAAUGCUCGUGAUGAUGCUUGGGGAGUGAAUGGAGGGUUUGGUCAUGCCUUCGCUGGGGCAGGAUCCCUCUCUCAUCUUCAUGCGAGCCUCAGGAGGGCGCACGGGCGGCACGGGUGGUAUCACCGGAGGUAGCGACUCCGGUGGGCUCAUCGCCGAUCCGCCCGUGUCUUCAAUUCUAGUGAGGGGUAAUGCAAACGAUACCACGUCGAGGCCCGUAAUAGGUGCAAGGCGUGGUAGUCGAUCGUGGCCUAUUCCCCCUCUUCCUGCGGCGUCGGAGGGAGGUCGUAGAAGUGGUUCUCCAUUGGCAAAGAUAGACUAUCAACCAUGAACAAGGCCACAAAAGGAAAUGGUAGUCACUACCCUAUAAGACAACCGCCACACGCCCUUUCUCCAUGAAUAAUAAGACACUAGCCAAAUUUUGGCAGUGGGGCCUACCACCAGCUUGACGAGGUCGAAGGUAGGAGCUGUGAGGACAAAAUUAUGCGACAUGUCCCCUAGACGGACAUUAGCCCCUUCCACCGCCUAAGAAGUGUUGCUGGUUACGGGGCAAUCAGAUCAAGGGUGAAAGUGGCGGUGACAAAGAAUUUAAUUAGGUGCAUCAUAUGAGAUAUACCUUUCACGCAAUAAAUAACAUGACAGGUUACUGAUUAAACUAAAGUCCAAGAGUCUCGACUGGUUGAGUUUCAUAUCUCUAUAUAUGUAUUUCUUCAUGGACCAAUGGCUCAUCUACAAGUUACUAUCUUUUCACUAUGUGAACCAACACAAUAUGGAAUCAUAGAAUGUUGAUGUAAGGACAUGUAUAGAGAACUGGAUUUUUUUUCUGAUAAAAUAUACAGAACCGGAUGGGUGAUCGAGAGAGCGGUGGUGAUAAAUGUUAAGUGGCAGCGGACCAUAAGAAUCACUCACUAGGAAUAGGAUGCACAUAGAUUUCGAGUUCAAGACCAACUGCAAGUGUACACACAAGAACUCUUAUCUUCGCUGCUCUUGGAUACAUGUGUGGAUUGUGUGUUGGUUGGUGUCGUGAGGCAAUAUGCCACACUACCUUCUUAGUAGGAGACCCUGACUUACUACCUUUGUGCUUGAAAAGAAUGAGUAUAAUUUUUUGUAUGUAGUCAAACAAAGUAAGGUUUGACCAAGUUUAUGGAAAAGCUAUCAACAACGACAAUACUAGGUAGAUAUAGUAUGAAAAUAUAUUGUAUAGUGUAUUUGAUGAUACUAAAUUGGUAUGGUAGUUGUUCAUAGUUUUUGAUAAACUUAGUGAAACUUUGCAUUGUUUGACUUGACACAAAAAUUAUGCGCCUUCUUUUCAAGCGCACAUAAAUUAUUGUAUCCGUGAAAUGGGUAUGUAGCAAUUGUAUCUCAACAUUCAGACAUAGCUGCACAUAGUUGCAAAAGAUGUCGUAAAUGUAAUCCACUAUCUAUUAAUUUGGUUGUUUAUUACUCUUAAAUUAAAUGCCAUGCUCCAUUUGUUAAUUGUCCUUGUCCUUCUUUCCUCAGCAAAUAGAAUAAACCUUGUGUGUUAACCAAAAAUUCAUCUAGGUUCAGACGUCAUUGCACUCCAACCGUACAAAGGAAUGUCAUGUAAUUUGUAAAUUAAAAUAAUUAAGAAGAAGCAUGUUUUACUUUACAACCUUCCCAUUUUGGAGAAAAAAAAUCAUCUACUAUACCAUCAAUAAUAAGCGGUGUCUUAUGCUUUUCAAAGAAGAAAAUCACAUCUCAUGUCUUACGCUUGCCCUCCUUGAGCGGUUUUCUUACUACUUCCUUCUUCCUAGUCUAGAAGGUGUCCACAGAAUUUUAAGGUUCACAUUUUAUCAUUGGUUAGGCCAAUAAAUAUGAGUUUUACCAUAGAAAUUGUAUAGAGGAAACUUCUUCUAAUAUGAAUUCAAUGGCAUAAUUUUUGGGUCACAAAACCCAUGUUUUAGUAAAAACAUUGCACUUAUCAACUCAACUAACUAAUUCCCUAUGCAAACCAACGACUGUAUAUUGGAUGUUUUUAUUGUGUAUGGGCAUGUGUAUAAUAUUGCGUCCCGAGAUUACAUUUUUAAUAUGGAUCAUCUUGAGGAAUCAAAAGGGAUGGGAUGUUCAUUCUAUGUUAAACCUUGAUUUUUAUGCAUAAGCCUAAAAAGACAUGUGAAGAUUAAUAGAGGGGAUAUUAACCUGAGUGCCUAGCAACAAAGCAGGAAUAUUGUUUUGGUUCUCAUCUAAUCAUCUUAGCAUCUCGUUUCGCAGGCCCUGUAGAUCUAGUCACUACAUAAUCAUUGCAGAGCGAAGCCAUGAAAACUGAUAUUAGCCAAUCAUCUGGAAUCAAAUCAAAUGGUCGUUCAGCACUGAUGGUGAUCACCAUCAAUAAUCAAUUAAAAAUUCAAUAAUCUUUUUUAUUCGACCAUUUUUACGGUACCCUGUACUGCUAUGGGUGAGGAGAGCCGUAUAUAACAGAUCACCCCCGUCGAUUUCUCAAGGUUAAAACAGGCAUUUCCAGAUUUUAAUUACUAUCAUGAAAGUUUUCUUCGCCUCGUCAUGGCCUAAGGGGCUGGGGAAUCAACUUAGUUGCGACCUCGGCGCCUUGCUGUGAACGCCGCCAUGCCCUGGCCAUCCUUGCUGCUGCGACAUUGCGUGCCCGCGUCUCUGUGUCCUGGCACGCUCUCCCCAUUACGAUUUGCCGCCACCGCAUUUAACCUAGGUGGCAUGGCUUCCUUUGGCCUUGGCGUCACGUCUACAAUCACGACCUACAAAGGGGAGGUGCUAGGGCGACCGUCGGAAUCCUAGCCGAUGGGUUUGCGGGCGUGCAGGAAACGAAAGAGAACGAACGGGCUGGGUGGGUGGGUCCGAGCAAUGGGAUUGGCGGGCUAAAUUCCCUUUCUCUAAAACGCCCUCACAACACGUAUACUCACAGUUGCGCGUUGUGCGGCCAGAAUCAACCAACACGUUCCGGUUGUUGGUUGAGUUUGUGGUGGCUUCUUUGUCAUCGUUUGUAGCAGUAUUCACUUUAGGGUUAAUCAUAUAUAGAUAUGCAGUGCAGCAAACAUUGGCAACUGCACCAUUCAUUGUAGAAUUAAAUGGCCACAACAGUUCGUGGUGGGUUGAGUUCGUGGUGGCUUGUUUGUCACGGUUUGUAGCAGAAUUCUCUUUAGGGUUGAUCAUAUAUAGAUUUGCAAUGAGUGCAAAAAAUGUAGGAAAUCACAUCAUUCAUGGUAGAAUUAAAUGGCCACAACAGUUGGCAUGUGGUGUUUGGUGAAACAAUGAUGUCCUUGCCUCCACCCUUGUCUUCUAUGCAUAUCUAGCUACCCCAUGUAGCAAGAUCACGUCUAGUAGCUAGGGGAGAAUGCCAGAGUGUAGGAAAGCAAUAUUGACUAGCACGGUGGAUGCGCCAAUGGUCACAUAGCGUGUUCUGGCAGGGAGUGGGAUGUAUCAAAAAUUUAGAGUUGGAGACGAGUAAACAAAAGAAUGCUUUGAACACUGGUGUAACCAGCAAAUACAGAUCACAUGGCGGCUCUACGUUGCCAGUUCGGCACAGUUUACUCUCCAGUGUUCAGCCGUUGAUUUCAUCACUCAGGUAUCGAGCUGCUCAAGCUAAGCUUGGCCAGGUCUCCAACACACUAAGUUUGGGAAAGCGUGCGUUCUGCAUCGGUGUCACUCGGUUAAAAGGAAUCAUGACUCGAGCGCGAGAAGACACGAUUAUUUGCAUCUAUUGAUCGUCUCACCUAUUAACUUACAAGACACCCUCAAUAUUACAGUACAAGCACCUAGUGGGCGCAGCUAGUCAGCAGGAGAGUAAAGCUCACAGUUCGUUUGUUUGGAUAAAAAGGGUUUUCUCCGUACCGGAACUCAAAUCAUAUGAUUAAGACCACAAAAGGCACUGGAUGCAACAGCUUAGUUCGACCAUACUAGAUAUAUCAUUACUAAUAAGAAUGACAAAAAAUCCAACUGUCUGAAAUUAACAGGUAGCCACUGAACAAUCAAAGGGGAAAGGAAAUCAGAAAUGCUCUUUGUAAUCGAGCAUGCGAGUCGCCUUACCUGACAAUCAUAGCAGGCUGCAUCAACACUGCGACCAAAAUGAACAAGUAAAUUUACUCCCUCACAAGCAUAUGCAAAUAUAUUCCACCAAGAAUAUUAGUCGGUCCUCGCUAUCAACCACAUCUAAAACCAUGUCAACGAAUGGAAACAACACCACCUUAAAAGUAUCCACACGAGAAGGCUCCUUAUAUUUGUAUUAACAGAAGAGCAAAAAGAUAUAGCUGUAUGAUUUCAGCGAUCCAAAUCCGCAUGGUGCAGCGAUGCGCAAGACUACCAUUUCCAAUCGGCACACAUCCUGUCUCCUUCCACUCACUACCCUGGCUACAACUCUGGCUGCUGGUUUUCUUCAUCAGAACGCAGAGCUCAGGGCACCACGUGCUGCCUGUUGUUUCAACUCCUGGGAUUUUCCACUUCCACGGAAGUACAUGUACACUUGCUG